GUUUGGUAACUGCAGAGGAAAUGAUAAUAUAUGUAAAGAAAAGAACAAUUUAUGUAGAUUUCAUAGGAUUGGUACAAUGAGUGGAAAAAAUGAAAUAAACUAAAGAGAAGCAAAUUUGAAAAAUCUAUAAACAAAAAGUAAAACUUAAAUGCAAUAAUACAUAGAGUUCCUGGUGAGAUUUAUUACAAAUCAAAUGAGGACUCCUUCCUUUCCAGUUUAUAAGUCUUGCACGUGUAUCUUGGCUGCUAAUUUACCAAGUUAAUUACACGUGCAAGACUAAUAAACACGUACGGACGGAAGGAGAUAGUAUCUCCGAAGUGGAAGUAAGUACAUUUAAGGGUAUACUUCGAUAAUUGAUCGAAUCCCAUUGGUUGGAGUGAUCUUGUAGUCGCUGAACCCGGCUUCGGAGAAAAUCAAGCUCCACUCGUUUUCCUCUCGCUCCAUUCCAUCGGAGCCCAUCAUGUAGAUAUCUAACAAAACCUGCGCCUCUUUGGAAUGCUUGGGCUGAGUCACCGGAUAUCCCACCACCAUGUCGAUGAUUAUCACCUUUCCUCCGGCUUCUUUCGCUGGGAUCGCUUCCUUGCACCGGCGCAUUAUCUUGACGCAAUCUUCGUGUUUCCAGUCAUGCAAAAUCCACUGGAACCAAACAUACAUAUUAUAUCCCAUUAGCAUAGUAGACCAGCAGAAAAAAGAAGAACAUAUCCAAAAAUAAAAAUAAAAAUAAAAAAUUACCUUGAGUAGAACAGCAUCCGCAGGUGGGACAUACUCGAACAUAUUUCCGGCGACGAAGGUCAAAAUGUCGCUGGCGGGAGCCGCGGCGACGACGUGUGGGAGGUCCAGAACGCUGCACUUGAGGUGCGGGAACGCUCUCGCCACGGCCGACGCGGUGGCGCCAUGGUUGCCGCCGAUGUCCACCAGCGAGCUUUUCACUUCCCCGAACGCUCCGCCGUGCUCCUUCAACAGGACCUUCAUGGCGAUGCGGCUGUCCGCGGCCAUGCCGUCGUUGAACAAGCCGCCAUCGACCUUGGUGGUGUCCCAGAACGUGCAGCCGUUGGCCAGCUGGACGAGCGAGUGCGACUGUGCCGACUCUCCCUCUUGGCCUUGGGUAAACCACUCGGGCAUUUUGAGGAGAGAGGUCCAGCAUAACGUGUUGACGAUGGUGCCCACCAUCGGGGACAGGUUGUGCGGUGAUCUCUCGACAAGGAGCCGGGAGACCCGCGUGAGCUUGUAAUACGCAGCGCCAUCACCGGCGUGGUCGUUGCUGCCUUUGCCUUGGACAAUGGAGAAUACCCCGGUGGUGGUGAGCACCCGCAUGACCCGCCGGAGGUUGGAGCGCUUCGUGGGGUGGAUCCCGGUGUCGGAGGCCAGCUCGGACAAGGUGGCGGCGCCGCCGCGGCGGUGGAUGGCGUCGGGGAUGCGCAGGUCCGUGGCGGCCUUGAGCGCCAGUGACUUGACGAAGGCGAGGCCGUGGUGGUAGAGCUCCAGCUGAGCUUGAAGUAACUCGGUCUUGGUCUCGUUCGAUGUGCUGCGCGGCCGGCAUGGUGUAUGUGUAUGAUCGAUCGAGUGUGGUAUGCUAGCUGCUACCUGCUUCUUGCUUCUUCCUUACGUAGAGAAAACGUAGUACCUUCUUAUAGAUAUAGAUGCAUGCGCAUGGUUUCCUAGUAGCUAGCUUCCUUUUGCGGGUUUUUUUUUGUUCAGGGAAGCUUCCUUUUGCGGCUUGGUUUGAGGUUACUACUUCUAGUUGUAGCCUCCUCCUAUCCUCGCUGUGUGGACGUAGUUUCCCAUUCACCUUAGUAAACAAUUUGGACCUCUCAUUGAGAAGAUUAUAUUUCCACAACAGUUUCUUUUCGUUAUUUCAUUUUUGGGGGGAUUCGUUAAAACCCACCCCUUGAUGCAUGUUCAAGACAAUAGCAUUUCUCAAGGGGCAAAACAAGAGAUGACCUACAAAAAAAAGAUCCUCGUUUGGACCCAUGGUUCUGAAGUCCGUGCACUUCGACCCUACCUAAUUGUUCACUCAAGCACCACAUCACCUUGUGGCCGGCGGGUUAGGAGUAGUAACUACCGUGUGUCCCCAGGGCGCUAGGUGUCCAGGUUUAGUACAAUAUUGAUGCCAUCUUUCCAAGUGACGGUAUCUUGACAAGUGUUGCUCAGCACUGGUUUGGCUUGGCAGUGGCCAGGCAGCCCGCCCCGGAUCGAUCCCCGUUGGGGACGAUUGCUGGUGUCUCACCAGGGAUUGGCACCCGAAUAGCAUCCCUACACUUUCGUGCCACGCAAAGCAACGAACGAACAAAAACGAAAAUACUAGAAACUUGAGACUCUAGAAGAAUAGAAGAAGCAACGAACGAACAAAAACGAAAAUACUAGAAACUUGACACUCUAGAAGAAUAGAAGAAGCAACGAACGAACAAAAACGAAAAUACUAGAAACUUGAGACUCUAGAAGAAUAGAAUAAGCAACGGAAGUAACCAGAUCUGGAUAAGUGGCGUAUGAAGAAACCUUGGAAUAGAAGAAGAAGAUAUUGGAGGCUGAGCUUGGAAGACAAGAAGGAAAAAAAAAGAUGGUUAGAAGAGUAGAAGAAGCAAGAUGGUAGAAGGGUAUAAGAAGAAAACAUGAGUGCCAAGUUAAAAAAGUCAGAGGAUAGAAGAGUAGAAGAAGCAACAGAAGUGACUGGAUCCGGACAAGUGGCAAGAAACCUUAGAAUUAGAAGAAAGAAGAUAUUGAAGGGCUAUAUGAGCUUGGAAGACACCAAGGAAAAAUAUGGUAGAUGAGUAGAAGAAGCAAUCAUUAGUGCCAAGUAAAGUCUAAGGAUAGUUGUUGGAAUAGCUCUAGUCUCUUAGAGAAAGUUAAGAAUAGUUGUAAUAACAUGGUAAGGAGUAGUAUUUUGUUAGAGGUAGUUUAGAAAGAGGUGGAAUUUAAGAUCUGUUCAAUAGUGUCUUGCUAGUGUGGUGGAUGAAAUAACUAAGUCUGUAAUCCUGUUUAUCUCUGGUUUCAUUCCAGUAAUGGAAUUGGGAGCUAUGCUCCUUAAUUCAAAAUAAGAAGUGACGGUAUCUUUUCACAGUUGAACUUUUAUAAUGCCUCCCGUUCAAUUUGUGUCGUCUCAUAAAAGCCAUCUUGGAGCAUCCAAGAUACUUCAAAUGAGAAGCCGUUCCUAUUACCGAGGUGUGCCAAAUUUGCGGAUCAACUUAGACUAGUCAUAAAAGUAGUAACGUAGGUAGUAACAUAAAACUCAAUGCAAUGCCAACAAGAUAUCUUGAGUACAUGGCAUGUCAACGAAUGAGGAAGAGAAUCUUGUGAUAACUAGCUAUGUUACCAUAUAACAUCACAAACUCCAAAACAAGAUUAGUAUACAACCUAAUAAAUGGAACUUUGCAUGAUACUCGCCAUUAGUUACUACCCACUAUCAAGAUGGUAACAUAGACUAGAAACAUAGGCAUGACACUAGUCUAUGUCACUCCCCACAAUAACUAGUCUUAAUGAUAUGGGCCUUCGUCUAUUGGUCUGGGCUUGGUCAAUGGUUGCCGAACUGAGCUACACCAAUGAUAAUAGCUUGGGUUUGCAGAAUAUGGAAAGUUACCUAUUUGUCAGAAGAAAUUAUGUGUUUGGCUAUUUUGCAGAAAAUGACGUAUUCUCCAGAAAAUGAUGUAUCUUGUAGAAAAUGGAAAGUUAACCCUGUAAUUUUUUUUGUUUACACAUGUACAAAAAAAGUAUGUACAAAUCUAAAAGAAAAGAAAACAUAAAAAGUCAAAUAAAGUUACAUGUCCAAUCGGAAAAAUUUACAUAAGCAUUCCGUUUAAUCCUAAAUAUUAUCCAUCUAAGAUCCUCUUUGAAGAAAGCCCUUGCUGUGAAAAGACUUGGUCUCUUAUAUUCUUAAAUAUGUCAACAUUUCUGGUUUGCCCAAUAACCCAUGCACCAAGCCUAAUGAUUUCUAUGAAAAAAGGUUCAUGAGCUUGCAGAAUGUCUUUUAGUUUACAUUCCCGUUUCCACAUAUAAAUUCCCGAUCCCAAAAAUUACAUUUUUGUUUCAUCCUUUACAUUUUUGUUUCAUCCUUUCUACGCUGUUAUCAUCCCUACACAAUAGAAAUACUUAUGAUAUACAUACAUAAUGCAUAAUGGAUCAUCUAUUAGACACAUAGGAACAUCUCAGGCACUAGCACUUGAUGGCCUUUUGUCAAAUACAGAAAAUCCAAAUCAUCACGUCGCAUCAAUCCAUGUCGCCUCUCCUCCUUGCCUCCAUGGCCAGCCAGGAGAACCUUCACCGCACCACCAGUAAGCUCGACGGUAGCUAGCAACCUCAAGGUUAUUCAAGGAGGUGUUGCCCCUUUCUUCCACUACUUUCUUUGGCCAGAAGAGCAUCAGCGCAAAGAAGAGACCUAGGACGCCGGGGAUUUGACCUAACGUGGUGUUCUCCAGGUAGUACAAGUUAAUGACAAGUACUCGUUCCGUUUCAAAAUAUAAGAUGCUUUAGCUUUGUGAAGUGAGUGUAUCUAGACUCUUUUGAUGUUUAGGUUCACUCUGAACUAUACACUAAAGAUAUCUAGAUACAUUUGCUUCACAAAGCUAAAACGUCUUAUAUUUUGAAACGGAGGGAGUAGGUGUUAAAGGGGACGGCCAGAAUUGAGAGUGUAGGAAAGGGGCAUGUCAUUUCGUGUAGGAUGCGGUUGUGGGGAGGCGUGACGAAAGGGGUCCAACGUUACGUUAUUUGAUUAACAUGGGUGGAGUUAAAGAAAGAAUGAUUAGUUUAAGGCUGAAGUAGUUUCUCGUAGUUGGUUUAUGAGGCGUAUGAAUUGAGCCGACGGUUCAGAUCAAACGACAAAGAUUAGUCCCAUAGAUCCAACAAGACAUAAUCAUUAGAAGAAAAUGUAAUAAAACUAAUAGUAUCAGUAUAGGCCUAGUCCCAUCAAUUGCCAAAGCAACGCACAAAAUCCCCACGCAACUAUCUCCUGCGAGCACACCGCCGCCUCCACAUCCACCAGCCACUACGCCGCCGCCUCCACAUCCAGUCAUCCACCAGCCACCACGCCCCCACCUCCAUCUAGCCCAGGGCGACCACCCAUUCCACUGUCGAGCACUCUGCCGCCAGCUUGACAGCGUUCGUUACCUCGGCAACAUCGGACGCCUCAUCUUUGGAAGGUUGUGUCACUCUAUUGAAACCCUUGCUAUAAACCUAGCCGCCUUUGAUGGCAGCCCAGACUAUGCCCUGCUCGAUUUAUGGUUUCACUUACAGGUACGUGAGUGGUACUACUAAUUCUAAUUUCCUAGCAGACAUGAGCACCUAAUUAGAUGAGCCCUUAUGCAGCAAGAGACCCAGGAAAGCAUUCGUGAUGGAGAUUGGUCGUGCAACAUGAUGUUCUGGCUCUGCUUUGAAUUUCCUGCAUAUUUACCUUACUGACAAGCAUCACUGAAAUGGAAAUUAGAAUCAUCAAAUUAUGUUAGUUAUGAAGCAGGUUGAUGUUUGAAUAAUUUGCCAAUGUCAGUGACACAACUAGUACACAUGAAAAGCCCAACAACCAUUGGUGUAUGUAGAUGAUAUGACCUUCAACCUUUUUAGUAUUUGUUCCAUUUUCUGAAGUGUUGUAUCACUUAAUUCUGCGAAUCAUUUAUCAACCAAACCCAGGUAUCCAUUCUAAUUAUUUGUGUCAGUACCAAAGUAAUUGCAUGAAAAUAAUUAUUUGUUUUCCAUGGAAAAUAAUUUUUCAGCUGUAUUGUUUUGCCAAUUGUAUUUCUAGUAUCCUAUGCAUAUUAUUUACUGUCUCUUUUUCUUUAUAUACCAUGCAGUUUGUGAUUUCAGAAAACAAUCAAUCAAGUCUAUGAUACUCAUCUAUAUUCUGGUGAGUUAAAGAUCCAUAUGAAGUUUGUUGGGCAUCAUCUGAUCUUAUUAUGUGCCUUAUCUAGACUUGAUUAGCUCUAGUGUUUAUAUUAGUAUUCUUAAUGCUCAAGUUUGUGUGUUCGAUUUGUUGGAAAACAGAUGAAUGCAACAACUGAUCAGGUUCAAGAAAGAUGAAGCAAGAAAUGUUGUUUCCCAGGCUCUAAAUCUAAAGCUUCCUUUUGAUGAGAAAGAUUUGAUGGAGGAGAACCUAGAGGUGGAGCUGAUCAGGAGGCAGCUGGGUCUUGAGCAUGUCAGGUCCUCAUGAUAAGUCAAUUUUGACGUUAAAUGUGAACCUAUUUCUAAGACGUGUCAAUCACAAUUUUUUCUCAAGGACCAAAUUAGUUGCUGAAAUCUGCUGUUUUCCCAAAUCAUCUACUCUUCUUGGAGCUCUUUGUGUUAUCAUCGGUACUAGUACUUCUCAAGCAGAGCGAUAAUACUGAUAUAAAAAGGUACUUCUGCUUUUCAUUUGCACGAUACAUGAAGAAUAAUAAGAGGGAAAAAGUGCAAGUAACAGUUGCAUGAUCAUGCAAGUCUUUGUGAGCACCUCCAUUUGUACUAGGAAUGUCAUAAUUUUCUGAAGAGUAUUGACUUCGGAAAGCAGGAGCUAAAAACCUAUUUUAGCCUGUUUAUGCUAUCAACAUUCUUGCUGAUGUCCAUGUUCUGCUCGAGGAUAUCAAAGAGAAGAAACAAAGAAUCAAGUAAAUUUUGAACCCCNNNNNNNNNNNNNNNNNNNNNNNNNNNNNNNNNNNNNNNNNNNNNNNNNNNNNNNNNNNNNNNNNNNNNNNNNNNNNNNNNNNNNNNNNNNNNNNNNNNNGGGGGGUGCUCGGCGGCGAUGGAGCGGGGGAGGGUGUGGUGGGUCGUCGGCGGCAGUGGAGCGAGGGAGGGUGCGGGGGGUGCUCGGCGGCGGUGGAGCGCGGGCCGGGGAGGGCGCCAUUAGUAGUUUUGUAAAAAAGUAAAAUAAAUAAAUAUAUAUACUAAUGGCGCACCCGGUCAUAGUGCGCCAUUACUAGUUUAAACUAGUAAUGGCGCACUGUGAAACGGUGCGCCAUUAGUAGUUUUGCAAAAAAAAGAAAUAAAAAAAUACAGUAAUAGCGCACUUUCUGGCUGGUGCGCCAUUACUAGUUAGAACUAGUAAUGGCGCACUUCAACCUGAUGCGCCAUUAGUAUGUAUGGAAAAAUGGAAAAAAAUAAUACUAGUGGCGCACCUUGUGUUUGGUGCGCCAUUAGUGUCUUCCACACUAAUGGCGCAUCACCAACCGGUGCGUCAUUAGUAUAUAGUAGUGGCGCACUACUUACCUGGUGCGCCAUUAGUAUCAAUCCUAUCUAUAGCCCUUUUCCUAGUAGUGGGAAACCAUGAUUAUCUGUUGAUCAAUGAGCUAGUCAACUAGAGGCUCACUAGGGACAUGUUGUGGUCUAUGUAUUCACACAUGUAUCACUGUUUCCGGUUAAUACAAUUAUAGCAUGAACAAUAGACAAUUAUCAUGAACAAGGAAAUAUAAUAAUAAUCAUUUUAUUAUUGCCUCUAGGGCAUAUUUCCAACAUCAAAUUCAUACGGGUGGAUCCUCCGUCAACUAUGUCGCCCGCGACAACAACUGCAACACCAACAACCGUGGCAAGGGCAACUACUGCGACAAGGGUCGCGGCAACUCUGGUGACCGUGGUGACUACAACAACAACAACCGUGGCGGGUACCGUGGUGACUGCGGUGGUGGUGGCAAUCGUCAGAACGGUAAUCGUGGUGGUGACCGCGGUCACCAUGGCAGUGGCGGGGAUGCACGUCUGCAGUGCCAGCUCUGUCGGGGCCCUGGGCACUAUGCCUCGGAGUGCGCUUAGCGCUACAACCACACCUUCCAACCUCAACACUCCUAGAUGGUGGGUCUCGCUGCCGCUUCACCACCAUCCAUCCUCGGCGACCCUACCUGGUCCACUGACACGGGGGCUACCGAUCAUAUCACGUCGGAUCUGGACCGUCUCACCGUGAGGGAAAAGUACCCUGGACGGGACCACAUCCACACUCCCGACGGAUCAGGUUUGCACAUAGCUCAUCGUGGUCAUGCCCUUCUUCCUACACCCUCUGUCAAUCUUAAACUUCGCAACAUAUUACAUGUUCCCAAUGCCGACAAGAACCUUCUUUCUGUUAAUCGUCUUGCCGUUGACAAUCAUGCUUAUCUAAAAUAUUAUCCUACUCACUUUCUUAUGAAGGAUUUGAUAACCAAGAUGGUUCAUCUUCACGGCAGAUGUGAAAAUGGGCUCUAUCCCAUUCGGCCUUCACGUUCUCAUGUCUUGUCUUCAGUUAGGCUCUCUGCUGAAGAUUGACAUGCUAGACUCAGCCACCCGUCCACACAAGUUGUUCAUCAUGUUUUGGCGUCCAAUAAAUUAGCAUCGUCGAGUCGGGCUUUGACCCAUGUGUGUAAUGCUUGUCAACAGGGCAAAGCACAUCAGCUACCUUUUCCUAGAUCUUCGAAUGUUUCCUCGUUUUCAUUGGAACUUAUUUUCUCAGAUGUGUGGGGACCUGCCAAAACCUCCUCUGGUGGGUCCCAGUACUAUGUUUCAUUUAUUGAUGAUUGUUGUAAUUUUUUGUGGAUUUAUCUUCUCAAACAAAAGUAUGAUGUGUUUGAUGUAUUUCGUGAUUUUCUUGCCCAUGUUGAACGCCUCCUAUCUCGCAAAAUCCUAUGUGUUCAAUCAGACUGGGGUGGGGAAUACGAAAAACUUAGCAACACAUUUUUUCGGCAACUUGGCAUUGCUCACCACGUCUCUUGUCCACACACACACCAACAAAAUGGCUCGGCCGAAAGGAAGCACCGUCACAUUAUUGACAUGGGUAUCUCCUUAUUAUCGCAUGCGUCUAUGCCCCUCCGUUUUUGGGAUGAGGCGUACUUGUACGCAUGCUACCUUAUCAACUGACUACCUAGCCGCGUCAUUGGCAAUAUGAGUCCCAUGGAAAAAUUGUUUUCCACCAAGCCUGACUACGCAUCUCUUCGCACGUUCGGGUGUGCAUGUUGGCCUAACUUGCGCNNNNNNNNNNNNNNNNNNNNNNNNNNNNNNNNNNNNNNNNNNNNNNNNNNNNNNNNNNNNNNNNNNNNNNNNNNNNNNNNNNNNNNNNNNNNNNNNNNNNNNNNNNNNNNNNNNNNNNNNNNNNNNNNNNNNNNNNNNNNNNNNNNNNNNNNNNNNNNNNNNNNNNNNNNNNNNNNNNNNNNNNNNNNNNNNNNNNNNNNNNNNNNNNNNNNNNNNNNNNNNNNNNNNNNNNNNNNNNNNNNNNNNNNNNNNNNNNNNNNNNNNNNNNNNNNNNNNNNNNNNNNNNNNNNNNNNNNNNNNNNNNNNNNNNNNNNNNNNNNNNNNNNNNNNNNNNNNNNNNNNNNNNNNNNNNNNNNNNNNNNNNNNNNNNNNNNNNNNNNNNNNNNNNNNNNNNNNNNNNNNNNNNNNNNNNNNNNNNNNNNNNNNNNNNNNNNNNNNNNNNNNNNNNNNNNNNNNNNNNNNNNNNNNNNNNNNNNNNNNNNNNNNNNNNNNNNNNNNNNNNNNNNNNNNNNNNNNNNNNNNNNNNNNNNNNNNNNNNNNNNNNNNNNNNNNNNNNNNNNNNNNNNNNNNNNNNNNNNNNNNNNNNNNNNNNNNNNNNNNNNNNNNNNNNNNNNNNNNNNNNNNNNNNNNNNNNNNNNNNNNNNNNNNNNNNNNNNNNNNNNNNNNNNNNNNNNNNNNNNNNNNNNNNNNNNNNNNNNNNNNNNNNNNNNNNNNNNNNNNNNNNNNNNNNNNNNNNNNNNNNNNNNNNNNNNNNNNNNNNNNNNNNNNNNNNNNNNNNNNNNNNNNNNNNNNNNNNNNNNNNNNNNNNNNNNNNNNNNNNNNNNNNNNNNNNNNNNNNNNNNNNNNNNNNNNNNNNNNNNNNNNNNNNNNNNNNNNNNNNNNNNNNNNNNNNNNNNNNNNNNNNNNNNNNNNNNNNNNNNNNNNNNNNNNNNNNNNNNNNNNNNNNNNNNNNNNNNNNNNNNNNNNNNNNNNNNNNNNNNNNNNNNNNNNNNNNNNNNNNNNNNNNNNNNNNNNNNNNNNNNNNNNNNNNNNNNNNNNNNNNNNNNNNNNNNNNNNNNNNNNNNNNNNNNNNNNNNNNNNNNNNNNNNNNNNNNNNNNNNNNNNNNNNNNNNNNNNNNNNNNNNNNNNNNNNNNNNNNNNNNNNNNNNNNNNNNNNNNNNNNNNNNNNNNNNNNNNNNNNNNNNNNNNNNNNNNNNNNNNNNNNNNNNNNNNNNNNNNNNNNNNNNNNNNNNNNNNNNNNNNNNNNNNNNNNNNNNNNNNNNNNNNNNNNNNNNNNNNNNNNNNNNNNNNNNNNNNNNNNNNNNNNNNNNNNNNNNNNNNNNNNNNNNNNNNNNNNNNNNNNNNNNNNNNNNNNNNNNNNNNNNNNNNNNNNNNNNNNNNNNNNNNNNNNNNNNNNNNNNNNNNNNNNNNNNNNNNNNNNNNNNNNNNNNNNNNNNNNNNNNNNNNNNNNNNNNNNNNNNNNNNNNNNNNNNNNNNNNNNNNNNNNNNNNNNNNNNNNNNNNNNNNNNNNNNNNNNNNNNNNNNNNNNNNNNNNNNNNNNNNNNNNNNNNNNNNNNNNNNNNNNNNNNNNNNNNNNNNNNNNNNNNNNNNNNNNNNNNNNNNNNNNNNNNNNNNNNNNNNNNNNNNNNNNNNNNNNNNNNNNNNNNNNNNNNNNNNNNNNNNNNNNNNNNNNNNNNNNNNNNNNNNNNNNNNNNNNNNNNNNNNNNNNNNNNNNNNNNNNNNNNNNNNNNNNNNNNNNNNNNNNNNNNNNNNNNNNNNNNNNNNNNNNNNNNNNNNNNNNNNNNNNNNNNNNNNNNNNNNNNNNNNNNNNNNNNNNNNNNNNNNNNNNNNNNNNNNNNNNNNNNNNNNNNNNNNNNNNNNNNNNNNNNNNNNNNNNNNNNNNNNNNNNNNNNNNNNNNNNNNNNNNNNNNNNNNNNNNNNNNNNNNNNNNNNNNNNNNNNNNNNNNNNNNNNNNNNNNNNNNNNNNNNNNNNNNNNNNNNNNNNNNNNNNNNNNNNNNNNNNNNNNNNNNNNNNNNNNNNNNNNNNNNNNNNNNNNNNNNNNNNNNNNNNNNNNNNNNNNNNNNNNNNNNNNNNNNNNNNNNNNNNNNNNNNNNNNNNNNNNNNNNNNNNNNNNNNNNNNNNNNNNNNNNNNNNNNNNNNNNNNNNNNNNNNNNNNNNNNNNNNNNNNNNNNNNNNNNNNNNNNNNNNNNNNNNNNNNNNNNNNNNNNNNNNNNNNNNNNNNNNNNNNNNNNNNNNNNNNNNNNNNNNNNNNNNNNNNNNNNNNNNNNNNNNNNNNNNNNNNNNNNNNNNNNNNNNNNNNNNNNNNNNNNNNNNNNNNNNNNNNNNNNNNNNNNNNNNNNNNNNNNNNNNNNNNNNNNNNNNNNNNNNNNNNNNNNNNNNNNNNNNNNNNNNNNNNNNNNNNNNNNNNNNNNNNNNNNNNNNNNNNNNNNNNNNNNNNNNNNNNNNNNNNNNNNNNNNNNNNNNNNNNNNNNNNNNNNNNNNNNNNNNNNNNNNNNNNNNNNNNNNNNNNNNNNNNNNNNNNNNNNNNNNNNNNNNNNNNNNNNNNNNNNNNNNNNNNNNNNNNNNNNNNNNNNNNNNNNNNNNNNNNNNNNNNNNNNNNNNNNNNNNNNNNNNNNNNNNNNNNNNNNNNNNNNNNNNNNNNNNNNNNNNNNNNNNNNNNNNNNNNNNNNNNNNNNNNNNNNNNNNNNNNNNNNNNNNNNNNNNNNNNNNNNNNNNNNNNNNNNNNNNNNNNNNNNNNNNNNNNNNNNNNNNNNNNNNNNNNNNNNNNNNNNNNNNNNNNNNNNNNNNNNNNNNNNNNNNNNNNNNNNNNNNNNNNNNNNNNNNNNNNNNNNNNNNNNNNNNNNNNNNNNNNNNNNNNNNNNNNNNNNNNNNNNNNNNNNNNNNNNNNNNNNNNNNNNNNNNNNNNNNNNNNNNNNNNNNNNNNNNNNNNNNNNNNNNNNNNNNNNNNNNNNNNNNNNNNNNNNNNNNNNNNNNNNNNNNNNNNNNNNNNNNNNNNNNNNNNNNNNNNNNNNNNNNNNNNNNNNNNNNNNNNNNNNNNNNNNNNNNNNNNNNNNNNNNNNNNNNNNNNNNNNNNNNNNNNNNNNNNNNNNNNNNNNNNNNNNNNNNNNNNNNNNNNNNNNNNNNNNNNNNNNNNNNNNNNNNNNNNNNNNNNNNNNNNNNNNNNNNNNNNNNNNNNNNNNNNNNNNNNNNNNNNNNNNNNNNNNNNNNNNNNNNNNNNNNNNNNNNNNNNNNNNNNNNNNNNNNNNNNNNNNNNNNNNNNNNNNNNNNNNNNNNNNNNNNNNNNNNNNNNNNNNNNNNNNNNNNNNNNNNNNNNNNNNNNNNNNNNNNNNNNNNNNNNNNNNNNNNNNNNNNNNNNNNNNNNNNNNNNNNNNNNNNNNNNNNNNNNNNNNNNNNNNNNNNNNNNNNNNNNNNNNNNNNNNNNNNNNNNNNNNNNNNNNNNNNNNNNNNNNNNNNNNNNNNNNNNNNNNNNNNNNNNNNNNNNNNNNNNNNNNNNNNNNNNNNNNNNNNNNNNNNNNNNNNNNNNNNNNNNNNNNNNNNNNNNNNNNNNNNNNNNNNNNNNNNNNNNNNNNNNNNNNNNNNNNNNNNNNNNNNNNNNNNNNNNNNNNNNNNNNNNNNNNNNNNNNNNNNNNNNNNNNNNNNNNNNNNNNNNNNNNNNNNNNNNNNNNNNNNNNNNNNNNNNNNNNNNNNNNNNNNNNNNNNNNNNNNNNNNNNNNNNNNNNNNNNNNNNNNNNNNNNNNNNNNNNNNNNNNNNNNNNNNNNNNNNNNNNNNNNNNNNNNNNNNNNNNNNNNNNNNNNNNNNNNNNNNNNNNNNNNNNNNNNNNNNNNNNNNNNNNNNNNNNNNNNNNNNNNNNNNNNNNNNNNNNNNNNNNNNNNNNNNNNNNNNNNNNNNNNNNNNNNNNNNNNNNNNNNNNNNNNNNNNNNNNNNNNNNNNNNNNNNNNNNNNNNNNNNNNNNNNNNNNNNNNNNNNNNNNNNNNNNNNNNNNNNNNNNNNNNNNNNNNNNNNNNNNNNNNNNNNNNNNNNNNNNNNNNNNNNNNNNNNNNNNNNNNNNNNNNNNNNNNNNNNNNNNNNNNNNNNNNNNNNNNNNNNNNNNNNNNNNNNNNNNNNNNNNNNNNNNNNNNNNNNNNNNNNNNNNNNNNNNNNNNNNNNNNNNNNNNNNNNNNNNNNNNNNNNNNNNNNNNNNNNNNNNNNNNNNNNNNNNNNNNNNNNNNNNNNNNNNNNNNNNNNNNNNNNNNNNNNNNNNNNNNNNNNNNNNNNNNNNNNNNNNNNNNNNNNNNNNNNNNNNNNNNNNNNNNNNNNNNNNNNNNNNNNNNNNNNNNNNNNNNNNNNNNNNNNNNNNNNNNNNNNNNNNNNNNNNNNNNNNNNNNNNNNNNNNNNNNNNNNNNNNNNNNNNNNNNNNNNNNNNNNNNNNNNNNNNNNNNNNNNNNNNNNNNNNNNNNNNNNNNNNNNNNNNNNNNNNNNNNNNNNNNNNNNNNNNNNNNNNNNNNNNNNNNNNNNNNNNNNNNNNNNNNNNNNNNNNNNNNNNNNNNNNNNNNNNNNNNNNNNNNNNNNNNNNNNNNNNNNNNNNNNNNNNNNNNNNNNNNNNNNNNNNNNNNNNNNNNNNNNNNNNNNNNNNNNNNNNNNNNNNNNNNNNNNNNNNNNNNNNNNNNNNNNNNNNNNNNNNNNNNNNNNNNNNNNNNNNNNNNNNNNNNNNNNNNNNNNNNNNNNNNNNNNNNNNNNNNNNNNNNNNNNNNNNNNNNNNNNNNNNNNNNNNNNNNNNNNNNNNNNNNNNNNNNNNNNNNNNNNNNNNNNNNNNNNNNNNNNNNNNNNNNNNNNNNNNNNNNNNNNNNNNNNNNNNNNNNNNNNNNNNNNNNNNNNNNNNNNNNNNNNNNNNNNNNNNNNNNNNNNNNNNNNNNNNNNNNNNNNNNNNNNNNNNNNNNNNNNNNNNNNNNNNNNNNNNNNNNNNNNNNNNNNNNNNNNNNNNNNNNNNNNNNNNNNNNNNNNNNNNNNNNNNNNNNNNNNNNNNNNNNNNNNNNNNNNNNNNNNNNNNNNNNNNNNNNNNNNNNNNNNNNNNNNNNNNNNNNNNNNNNNNNNNNNNNNNNNNNNNNNNNNNNNNNNNNNNNNNNNNNNNNNNNNNNNNNNNNNNNNNNNNNNNNNNNNNNNNNNNNNNNNNNNNNNNNNNNNNNNNNNNNNNNNNNNNNNNNNNNNNNNNNNNNNNNNNNNNNNNNNNNNNCUGGUGAGAUUUAUUACAAAUCAAAUGACGACUCCUUCCUUUCCAGUUUAUAAGUCUUGCACGUGUAUCUUGGCUGCUAAUUUACCAAGUUAAUUACACGUGCAAGACUAAUAAACACGUACGGACGGAAGGAGAUAGUAUCUCCGAAGUGGAAGUAAGUACAUUUAAGGGUAUACUUCGAUAAUUGAUCGAAUCCCAUUGGUUGGAGUGAUCUUGUAGUCGCUGAACCCGGCUUCGGAGAAAAUCAAGCUCCACUCGUUUUCCUCUCGCUCCAUUCCAUCGGAGCCCAUCAUGUAGAUAUCUAACAAAACCUGCGCCUCUUUGGAAUGGUUGGGCUGAGUCACCGGAUAUCCCACCACCAUGUCGAUGAUUAUCACCUUUCCUCCGGCUUCUUUCGCUGGGAUCGCUUCCUUGCACCGGCGCAUUAUCUUAACGCAAUCUUCGUGUUUCCAGUCAUGCAAAAUCCACUGGAACCAAACAUACAUAUUAUAUCCCAUUAGCAUAGUAGACCAGCAGAAAAAAGAAGAACAUAUCCAAAAAUAAAAAUAAAAAUAAAAAAUUACCUUGAGUAGAACAGCAUCCGCAGGUGGGACAUACUCGAACAUAUUUCCGGCGACGAAGGUCAAAAUGUCGCUGGCGGGAGCCGCGGCGACGACGUGUGGGAGGUCCAGGACGCUGCACUUGAGGUGCGGGAACGCUCUCGCCACGGCCGACGCGGUGGCGCCAUGGUUGCCGCCGAUGUCCACCAGCGAGCUUUUCACUUCCCCGAACGCUCCGCCGUGCUCCUUCAACAGGACCUUCAUGGCGAUGCGGCUGUCCGCGGCCAUGCCGUCGUUGAACAAGCCGCCAUCGACCUUGGUGGUGUCCCAGAACGUGCAGCCGUUGGCCAGCUGGACGAGCGAGUGCGACUGUGCCGACUCUCCCUCUUGGCCUUGGGUAAACCACUCGGGCAUUUUGAGGAGAGAGGUCCAGCAUAACGUGUUGACGAUGGUGCCCACCAUCGGGGACAGGUUGUGCGGUGAUCUCUCGAUAAGGAGCCGGGAGACCCGCGUGAGCUUGUAAUACGCAGCGCCAUCACCGGCGUGGUCGUUGCUGCCUUUGCCUUGGACAAUGGAGAAUACCCCGGUGGUGGUGAGCACCCGCAUGACCCGCCGGAGGUUGGAGCGCUUCGUGGGGUGGAUCCCGGUGUCGGAGGCCAGCUCGGACAAGGUGGCGGUGCCGCCGCGGCGGUGGAUGGCGUCGGGGAUGCGCAGGUCCGUGGCGGCCUUGAGCGCCAGUGACUUGACGAAGGCGAGGCCGUGGUGGUAGAGCUCCAGCUGAGCUUGAAGUAACUCGUCGCUGCUCAUGGCGAGGUCUUGGUCUCGUUCAAUGUGCUGCGCGGCCGGCAUGGUGUAUGUGUAUGAUCGAUCGAGUGUGGUAUGCUAGCUGCUACCUGCUUCUUGCUUCUUCCUUACGUAGAGAAAACGUAGUACCUUCUUAUAGAUAUAGAUGCAUGCGCAUGGUUUCCUAGUAGCUAGCUUCCUUUUGCGGGUUUUUUUUUGUUCAGGGAAGCUUCCUUUUGCGGCUUGGUUUGAGGUUACUACUUCUAGUUGUAGCCUCCUCCUAUCCUCGCUGUGUGGACGUAGUUUCCCAUUCACCUUAGUAAACAAUUUGGACCUCUCAUUGAGAAGAUUAUAUUUCCACAACAGUUUCUUUUUGUUAUUUCAUUUUUAUGGGAAUUCGUUAAAACCCACCCCUUGAUGCAUGUUCAAGACAAUAGCAUUUCUCAAGGGGCAAAACAAGAGAUGACCUACAAAAAAAAGAUCCUCGUUUGGACCCAUGGUUCUGAAGUCCGUGCACUUCGACCCUACCUAAUUGUUCACUCAAGCACCACAUCACCUUGUGGCCGGCGGGUUAGGAGUAGUAACUACCGUGUGUCCCCAGGGCGCUAGGUGUCCAGGUUUAGUACAAUAUUGAUGCCAUCUUUCCAAGUGACGGUAUCUUGACAAGUGUUGCUCAGCAGUGGUUUGGCUUGGCAGUGGCCAGGCAGCCCGCCCGGGAUCGAUCCCCGUUGGGGACGAUUGCUGGUGUCUCACCAGGGAUUGGCACCCGAAUAGCAUCCCUACACUUUCGUGCCACGCAAAGCAACGAACGAACAAAAACGAAAAUACUAGAAACUUGAGACUCUAGAAGAAUAGAAGAAGCAACGAACGAACAAAAACGAAAAUACUAGAAACUUGACACUCUAGAAGAAUAGAAGAAGCAACGAACGAACAAAAACGAAAAUACUAGAAACUUGAGACUCUAGAAGAAUAGAAUAAGCAACGGAAGUAACCAGAUCUGGAUAAGUGGCGUAUGAAGAAACCUUGGAAUAGAAGAAGAAGAUAUUGGAGGCUGAGCUUGGAAGACAAGAAGGAAAAAAAAGAUGGUUAGAAGAGUAGAAGAAGCAAGAUGGUAGAAGGGUAUAAGAAGCAAACAUGAGUGCCAAGUUAAAGAAGUCAGAGGAUAGAAGAGUAGAAGAAGCAACAGAAGUGACUGGAUCCGGACAAGUGGCAAGAAACCUUAGAAUUAGAAGAAAGAAGAUAUUGAAGGGCUAUAUGAGCUUGGAAGACACCAAGGAAAAAUAUGGUAGAUGAGUAGAAGAAGCAAUCAUUAGUGCCAAGUAAAGUCUAAGGAUAGUUGUUGGAAUAGCUCUAGUCUCUUAGAGAAAGUUAAGAAUAGUUGUAAUAACAUGGUAAGGAGUAGUAUUUUGUUAGAGGUAGUUUAGAAAGAGGUGGAAUUUAAGAUCUGUUCAAUAGUGUCUUGCUAGUGUGGUGGAUGAAAUAACUAAGUCUGUAAUCCUGUUUAUCUCUGGUUUCAUUCCAGUAAUGGAAUUGGGAGCUAUGCUCCUUAAUUCAAAAUAAGAAGUGACGGUAUCUUUUCACAGUUGAACUUUUAUAAUGCCUCCCGUUCAAUUUGUGUCGUCUCAUAAAAGCCAUCUUGGAGCAUCCAAGAUACUUCAAAUGAGAAGCCGUUCCUAUUACCGAGGUGUGCCAAAUUUGCGGAUCAACUUAGACUAGUCAUAAAAGUAGUAACGUAGGUAGUAACAUAAAACUCAAUGCAAUGCCAACAAGAUAUCUUGAGUACAUGGCAUGUCAACGAAUGAGGAAGAGAAUCUUGUGAUAACUAGCUAUGUUACCAUAUAACAUCACAAACUCCAAAACAAGAUUAGUAUACAACCUAAUAAAUGGAACUUUGCAUGAUACUAGCCAUUAGUUACUACCCACUAUCAAGGUGGUAACAUAGACUAGAAACAUAGGCAUGACACUAGUCUAUGUCACUCCCCACAAUAACUAGUCUUAAUGAUAUGGGCCUUCGUCUAUUGGUCUGGGCUUGGUCAAUGGUUGCCGAACUGAGCUACACCAAUGAUAAUAGCUUGGGUUUGCAGAAUAUGGAAAGUUACCUAUUUGACAAAAGAAAUUAUGUGUUUGGCUAUUUUGCAGAAAAUGAUGUAUUCUCCAGAAAAUGAUGUAUUUUGUAGAAAAUGGAAAGUUAACCCUGUAAUUUUUUUUGUUUACACAAGUACAAAAAAAGUAUGUACAAAUCUAAAAGAAAAGAAAACAUAAAAAGUCAAAUAAAGUUACAUGUCCAAUCGGAAAAAUUUACAUAAGCAUUCCGUUUAAUCCUAAAUAUUAUCCAUCUAAGAUCCUCUUUGAAGAAAGCCCUUGCUGUGAAAAGACUUGGUCUCUUAUAUUCUUAAAUAUGUCAACAUUUCUGGUUUGCCCAAUAACCCAUGCACCAAGCCUAAUGAUUUCUAUGAAAAAAGGUUCAUGAGCUUGCAGAAUGUCUUUUAGUUUACAUUCCCGUUUCCACAUAUAAAUUCCCGAUCCCAAAAAUUACAUUUUUGUUUCAUCCUUUACAUUUUUGUUUCAUCCUUUCUACGCUGUUAUCACCCCUACACAAUAGAAAUACUUAUGAUAUACAUACAUAAUGCAUAAUUGAUCAUCUAUUAGACACAUAGGAACUUCUCAGGCACUGGCACUUGAUGGCCUUUUGUCAAAUACAGAAAAUCCAAAUCAUCACGUCGCAUCAAUCCAUGUCGCCUCUCCUCCUUGCCUCCAUGGCCAGCCAGGAGAACCUUCACCGCACCACCAGUAAGCUCGACGGUAGCUAGCAACCUCAAGGUUAUUCAAGGAGGUGUUGCCCCUUUCUUCCACUACUUUCUUUGGCCAGAAGAGCAUCAGCGCAAAGAAGAGACCUAGGACGCCGGGGAUUUGACCUAACGUGGUGUUCUCCAGGUAGUAAAAGUUAAUGACAAGUACUCGUUCCGUUUCAAAAUAUAAGAUGUUUUAGCUUUGUGAAGUGAGUGUAUCUAGACUCUUUUGAUGUUUAGGUUCACUCUGAAAUAUACACUAAAGAUAUCUAGAUACAUUUGCUUCACAAAGCUAAAACGUCUUAUAUUUUGAAACGGAGGGAGUAGGUGUUAAAGGGGACGACCAGAAUUGAGAGUGUAGGAAAGGAGCAUGUCAUUUCGUGUAGGAUGCGGUUGUGUCCAGACCUGCUUCAAGAAUUGGAGUGUUUGUGGGGAGGCGUGACGAAAGGGGUCCAACGUUACGUUAUUUGAUUAACAUGGGUGGAGUUAAAGAAAGAAUGAUUAGUUUAAGGCUGAAGUAGUUUCUCCUAGUUGGUUUAUGAGGCGUAUGAAUUGAGCCGACGGUUCAGAUCAAACGACAAAGAUUAGUCCCAUAGAUCCAACAAGACAUAAUCAUUAGAAGAAAAUGUAAUAAAACUAAUAGUAUCAGGAUAGGCCUAGUCCCAUCAAUUGCCAAAGCAAUGCACAAAAUCCCCACGCAACUAUCUCCUGCGAGCACACCGCCGCCUCCACAUCCACCAGCCACUACGCCGCCGCCUCCACAUCCAGUCAUCCACCAGCCACCACGCCCCCACCUCCAUCUAUCCCAGGGCGACCACCCAUUCCACUGCCGAGCACUCUGCCGCCAGCUUGACAGCGUUCGUUACCUCGGCAACAUCGGACGCCUCAUCUUUGGAAGGUUGUGUCACUCUGUUGAAACCCUUGCUAUAAACCUAGCCUCCUUUGAUGGCAGCCCAGACUAUGCCCUGUUCGAUUUAUGGUUUCACUUACAGGUACGUGAGUGGUACUACUAAUUCUAAUUUCCUAGCAGACAUGAGCACCUAAUUAGAUGAGCCCUUAUGCAGCAAGAGACCCAGGAAAGCAUUCGUGAUGGAGAUUGGUCGUGCAACAUGAUGCUCUGGUUCUGCUUUGAAUUUCCUGCAUAUUUACCUUACUGACAAGCAUCACUGAAAUGGAAAUUAGAAUCAUCAAAUUAUGUUAGUUAUGAAGCAGGUUGAUGUUUGAACAAUUUGCCAAUGUCGGUGACACAACUAGUACACAUGAAAAGCCCAACAACCAUUGGUGUAUGUAGAUGAUAUGACCUUCAACCUUUUUAGUCUUUGUUCCAUUUACUGAAGUGUUGUAUCACUUAAUUCUGCGAAUCAUUUAUCAACCAAACCCAGGUAUCCAUUCUAAUUAUUUGUCUCAGUACCAAAGUAAUUGCAUGAAAAUAAUUAUUUGUUUUCCAUGGAAAAUAAUUUUUCAGCUGUAUUGUUUUGCCAAUUGUAUUUCUAGUAUCCUAUGCAUAUUAUUUACUGUUUCUUUUUCUUUAUAUACCAUGUAGUUUGUGAUUUCAGAAAACAAUCAAUCAAGUCUGUGAUACUCAUCUAUAUUCUGGUGAGUUAAAGAUCCAUAUGAAGUUUGUUGGGCAUCAUCUGAUCUUAUUCUAUGCCUUGUCUAGAGUUGAUUAGCUCUAGUGUUUAUAUUAGUAUUCUUAAUGCUCAAGUUUGUGUGUUCGAUUUGUUGGAAAACAGAUGAAUGCAACAACUGAUCAGGUUCAAGAAAGAUGAAGCAAGAAAUGUUGUUUCCCAGGCUCUAAAUCUAAAGCUUCCUUUUGAUGAGAAAGAUUUGAUGGAGGAGAACCUAGAGGUGGAGCUGAUCAGGAGGCAGCUGGGUCUUGAGCAUGUCAGGUCCUCAUGAUAAGUCAAUUUUGACGUUAAAUGUGAACCUAUUUCUAAGACGUGUCAAUCACAAUUUUUUCUCAAGGACCAAAUUAGUUGCUGAAAUCUGUUGUUUUCCCAAAUCAUCUAGUCUUCUUGGAGCUCUUUGUGUUAUCAUCAGUACUAGUACUUCUCAAGCAGAGCGAUAAUACUGAUAUAAAAAGGUACUUCUGCUUUUCAUUGGCAUAAUACAUGAAGAAUAAUAAGAGGGAAAAAGUGCAAGUAACAGUUGCAUGAUCAUGCAAGUCUUUGUGAGCACCUCCAUUUGUACUAGGAAUGUCAUAAUUUUCUGAAGAGUAUUGACUUUGGAAAGCAGGAGCUAAAAACCUAUUUUAGCCUGUUUAUGCUAUCAACAUUCUUGCUGAUGUCCAUGUUCUGCUCGAGGAUAUCAAAGAGAAGAAACAAAGAAUCAAGUAAAUUUUGAACCCCGUUGAAGAAUUGAUUGGAGGGAGCUAGCUCUUUAGCUCAGUAUGGGCUAUAGUGUUCACCAUUUAUUAUUGCAAAUGAACCAAGUGGUUCACCUGUAUGUAAGCUUCCGCGCACCUUUGGAAGGAGCGGCAGUCCCUCAUGGAGUGCGUAGACCUCUUGACCCCAUCCCUGUCGGUGAAGCUUGUUGGAAAUAUGAGCAAAUUACUAUGAGUUUUAAUCCAAAUAAACAGAUGAUAAAUCAUGACAGCACUAGCAGAGAUUAAACUAAUCAUGCGAACUAGCAUAGUAGAUGAACAAAUGACAUCUAGGGCACAUACUAGAAACAUGAAUUCUACCACGAUCUCGAAUAGGAAGGAUAGAAUCACAUACGAUGCAGCGGGUGCAGCACUGCCGGCGUUGACGUUGUCGCCCAUGUCGUCGAGGAUGAGGUUGCCGAGGUCGGGGAAGAAGUCGUCGUUUGCGAAGUCGUCGCUGCCAGCAGUCGCGCAAGUGCGCUCCCUAAAAACCUGAUCGCCCCUCUCCCAUACAGGAUCACGAGAGGCGGGGUUCCGGAGGCCUACUAUCCCUUCUCCCUGUGCACGCCGAAAGGAGGGAUGGAGAAGACUAGCUUGGCGGCGCAAUGAUCUGGAACGGUGGUGAGAAACCAUACGAAGCGGCGGCUACUAGAGUAGAUGUCUGCCUGACUAUAUAGUGCGGGCCGGGUAGGUCGUGGGAGUAAACCCCACGUCCGAGUCGUCACGAUCCAAAAGAAUCAGAAACGGUUCAGUAAUUAACUCGUCUGUUGAUUAUUAAUUAAUGACUCAUUAAUUUUUCCCGAGCAGCAAAAAUAUAGACAACGUACAUAGCUCUGUCCUUGGCUCGGCUCAACCCCGCAACCCGCGGCACGGUGCGGCAUGGGUUCCAAUCUUGAUGUGGACUCCUGUCGCCUCUGAUAACGGCAACGCACUAGAGACAUGGAGUGGAUGAGAUGUCGAUGAGGCGGGUGUCGACGAAAUCUUCGGCGCGAGGGGACGAGAUCCUCCGCGGUCCACCCGACGAUGGGGGUGAUGCUGGUGCAGGGGCUGGCAUGACCAGCGUAUCCAUACCCGACGUGAUCGGAGUACGAAGUUGAACGGACCCGAUGAUGUUGAUGUGGAAGCGGAGGCUCCUGAAAGUCAGAUCGAUACCCUCGUGGAGGGUGCUGAACACGGUGCAUUGCGCCAGGGUGUGUGGCAUGAACUCGAGGGAGCCGAAGAAGAUCUGCUCCGCAAGAGUCGACGAACCGCCAUUCGUCAAGAUGAGGAUCAGAGACUCCAUGGGUCAAGUAGACGAAAUUCCCACAGACGGCGCCAAUUGACGAGGGAGUACCUCGGCAAUGCCCACAGUUGUGGACUUAGGAUUUUGAUGAAUCAUGUCUACCGGUGGAAUCGACGAUCUAAACAUGAGGUGUGAAACACAAGACACAGAUUUACCCAGCUUCAGGCCUUUGUAAAGGAAACCCUACGUGCUGCUUGUUGGAUCUUUAUAUUGAUGGAGUGUACAAAGUCGUCGAGAUCGGAGACUAGGGUUAGCCCUUGCGCGUGGCCAAGGCUAGAUCAAUCAUGAGGGUGGUAGUGAGGUUUGUGUGCGUUAUUGUUGUGCCGACCUCGUACCCCUCUCCCAGCCUUUAUAGACUAGGUUGGGUCUCGAGUUCGUAUCAGGAUUGGUUUACAUCAUGGUAAGGGGCCCCUAUCUACUUACAAUAGCACUUCCUUACGGAUCACGUCAUGUCCGUGGACUUCCUGGGCUCCAAGCGUGCCGAUGACCUGGACCUCGAUUCCUUCCGGGCCGCGGGCCUCCUGAUAUCCGAUACCAGAUAUCCUUAUGGUGGGCAUCCGCACGGUCAUGCCCACAACAAUCAUCCAAAUUAUCAUGCCUAUCUUAAUGGCUACAAAGAAAGAGCUUUUGGGAGACAACCCAUUAUAUUUUUUCUUUCAGUUUAUUUUUGUUUCUUUGAGUCUUGGAAGUUAUUACCUCUAUAAUAACCUCUCCUUAUCCUUUUUGUUUCGUUUUUGUGCCAAGAAUAGCCUCUAAUGGGAGGAAAGUGAGAUUUGGGGAAGUUGUUGUCCCGAAACUGAUUUUGUACUGUCACCAAAAAAAAUAAUUCUCUUAGCCAGUACGUCAGAUUGAUCUGAAAUGUUUUAUGCCCAUGCCCCAGGUUGUUACCCAACUUUCAUUAGUUUUGCACUUCUCGAUUUCAGCAACAGAAGAUUUUUGAGAAAUCGGUAUUUACUUGCAGUUUUGUUUUGACAGAUUUUGCUGUUAUUUGCACUUGCCUCUUAAAACUUUUUUUUGGUUCUUCUUGAUCACUAGAGCUUUUAAAAGAAGUUGCUACAAUAGCUAAUGUUUUAAUGGAUGUUUUACUUCAGUUGAACUGAACCAAAGGAUUACUAUCUUGCAUACAUUAAUGUUGCUAAUGAAGAUUGUGUGAAGUUUUGUAUGAAGGAAGUUUUCAAGUGUAGGGAGAGAAUGAUGUGAUGAGAUGAAGUAUGGACAAAAUCUCGAGCUUGGGCAUGCCCCAUGUCACCCCAAGAAAUAUCCAAGAGGUACAAGCAUCCAAGCUUGGGGAUGACCAAGGCAUCCCCUUCUUCGUCAACCAAAUUUCAGGUCUUCUUUCAAGACGCUAUAUUUUUAUUGCUUCAUAUACUAUGUGUUGUUCUUGGAGCGUUAGUUGUUUUAGUUUUUGUUUAGUUUCGUUUUGGUUGCUGUAAUAAAUUCUUGGAUCCUAGUAUUCUUGUGUGGGAGAGAGACACGCUCCGUUUUCAUUGCCUAGAACAAUCUAGUUUUCACUCUUAUUGUUCUACGAGUGUUCUCUUCUACUAGUACUGCGUUUAGCUUUAGUUUUCCUUUCGUUUUUGUUCAGAACUUGCCAGUUCUUUUUAGUUAGGUGUGGUGAGCUCUCUGAUCUUUGUUUAUUAUUAGCUAUGAGAGUUGUUUCAAAUAAGUUUAUUGAUGUUGGAGAAGAGUAGAAUGUUUCAUGCUUAUAUUGGUACAAAAAAAAGCUUGUUUAGACUGUGGCUUAGACUUUAUCAUGUCAUGUUAGAUAUUUCGUUGAAUUUAUGCUUAGUGGUUAUUGUUUUAGCAUGACUUGUUUCUUGAGAUUGCUUAAUGUGCCAUUGAAAGAAUCAUGUGUUGUUUUUAUCAUACAAAAGCAUAAUAUUGUGGUAUUCUCCUUUGUUGCUUUAUUUGGGUUGACUUGGCACAUGCUUACACCAUGUUAUGACUAUGAACCAGGCACCUUGCGCUUAUUCCUAUUCAGUUGAGAUCAUGAUCUUUUGUUUAUGGAUGCCUAGUGAUACGUCUUCGUCGUAUCUAUAAUUUUUGAUUGUUCCAUGCUAAUAUUCUUCAACUUUCAUAUAUUUUUGGCAAGUUUUUAUACUAUUUUUGGGACUAACAUAUUGAUCCAGUGCCCAGUGCCAGUUCCUGUUUGUUUCAUGUUUUAUGUUUCGCAGAAAACCAAUAUCAAACGGAGUCCAAACAGGAUAAAAACGGAUGGAGAAUUAUUUUGGAAUAUUUGGGAUUUUCCAGAGGAAGAAUCAAUGUGAAACAGUGUCCGAGGUGGCCAGGAGAUAGGGGGGCGCGCCCUCCCCCCUAAGCGCUCCUGGCACUCUCCUAGGCCACCCAUAAGGCAGUUGACGCUCUUCUUUUGCCGCAAGAAAGCUAAUUUUAAGAGAAAAAUCUGGGCGAAAGAUUCACCCCAAUCGGAGUUAAGGAUCUCCAGAUAUAAAAGAAACGGUGAAGGGGCAGAAUCUGAGAACGCAGAAACAGAGAGAUAGAUCCAAUCUCGGAGGGGCUCUCGCCCCUCCCAAGCCAUGGGAGCCAAGGACCAGAGGGGAAACCCUUCUCCCAUCUAGGGAGGAGGUCAAGGAAGAAGAAGAAGAAGAAGGGGGGCUCUCCCCCCUUGCUCCCGGUGGCGCCGGAAUGCCGCCGGGGGCCAUCAUCAUCACCGCGAUCUUCACCAACACCUCUGGCAUCUUGAUCAACGUCGCCAUCACCUUCCCCCAUCUAUAUUCAGUGGUCCACUCUCCCGCAACCCGCUAUACCCUCUACUUGAACAUGGUGCGUUAUGCUUCAUAUUAUUACGCAAUGGUGUGUUGCCAUCCUAUGAUGUUUGAGUAGAUUUCCAUUGUCCUAUCGGUGAUUGAUGAAUUGCUAUGAUUGGUUUGAGUUGCAUGCUUUAUUAUUGGUGAUGUCCUAUGGCGCUCUCCGUGUCGCGCAAGCGUGAGGGAUCCCCGCUGUAGGGUUUGCAAUAUGUUUAUGAUUUUCUUAUGGUAGGUGGCGUGAGUGACAGAAGCACAUACCCGAGUAAGUAGGUUGUUCGCGUAUGGGAUAAAGAGGACUUGAUACUUUAAUGCUAUGGUUGGGUUUUACCUUAGUGAUCUUUAGUAGUUGUGGAUGCUUGCUAGAGUUCCAAUCAUAAGUGCAUAUGAUCCAAGUAGAUAAAGUAUGUUAGCUUAUGCCUCUCCCUCAAAUAGAAUUGCAAUAGUGAUUACCGGUCUAGUAAUGUAGUCAAUUGCUUAGGGACAAUUCCAAAACUCCUACCACCACUUUUCCACACUCGCUAUAUUUAUUUUAUUGCUUCUUUAUCUAAACAACCCCUACUUUUUAUUUACGUGUUCUUUAUUAUCUUGCAAACCUAUCCCAACAGCACCUACAAAGUACUUCUAGUUUCAUACUUGUUCUAGGUAAAGUGAACACUAGGCGUGCGUAGAGUCGUAUCAGUGGCAGAUAGGGCUUGAGAGAGUAUUUGUUCUACGUUUAUCUCCUCGUUGGGUUCGACACUCUUACUUAUCGAAAGAGGCUACAAUUAUCCCAUAUACUUGCGGGUCAUCAAGGCCUUUUUCUGGCGCCGUUGCCGGGGAGUCAUAGCGUGGGGUGAAUAUUCUUGUGUGUGCUUGUUUGAUUUAUCACUAAGUAAUUUUUAUUUACUGUUCUUAGUUGUUCUCUAUCUUUAGUUAUGGAUAUGGAACACGAAAUACCAAAACAAUUAGGUGUACUUCAUACUCAUGGAGAUGGGGAACCUCCUAAAACCCUCAAUGCUCGUUAUGUGAAAGACAUUAUGUACUACUUUAAUAAUCCUGAGAAAAACCCAUUCAAUUAUGUUAUGGGAGACACGUUGGAUCAACGUGAAUACUUUAGGGAUUAUCGCUUGACACAAAAAGGGAAACUAUUAUGGGAUCAAAAUAAUAUGUUGCGUUGGUAUGCUCGGGAUUUAUGCUUGAGAUAUGAUAUUACUUGUUGCUCUAGGAUGAAGGCUCCACACCUUCCCCUUUCAUGCAAACCUUAGCUUCUUAUGCUAGAGGUAUGUAUGAUUACUAUGAUGUUGAACAAAUUGAAGAAUUUGUUGCUUUUAAGGCUGCCUAUGAAAUUGAAUCUUUGUUUGAAAAGUAUGAAGCUUUAUAUGAUGAUGUUUAUAGGCCUAAAAAUUAUGCUAUAUUGAAAUAUUUCUACGAAAAUUAUGAAUACAAUUACAAUUUUAAUGCAUUUGUUGAGAAAGUCUCCGCUGUCCAAGAAGAGACUAAUAUUUUGCAGGAAGCUAUGGAAGAAGAAAUUGAUGAAACUGUGAGCCCAUUGGAUGAAAAAGAUGAUGAGGAGAGCGAAGAACAAAAGGAGGAAGAGCGGAUUGAUCACCCGUGCCCACCUUCUACUGAGAGUAACUCUUCAACUCAUACAUUGUUUAAUUCCCCUUCGUGCUUACCAAAGGAUGACUGCUAUGAUGAUUGCUAUGAUCCCGUUGAUUCUCUUGAAAUAUCCAUUUUUGAUGAUACUUGCUUGCUUGUGGCCCAGAUGCCAAUAUGAAUUAUGCUUAUGGAGAUGAACUUGCUAUAGUUCCUUAUGUUAAACAUGAAAUUGUUGCUAUUGCACCCACACAUGAUAGUGCUAUUAUCUUUUUGCAUUCUCCCGACUACACUAUAUUGGAGAAGUCUGUUCUUAUUAAGGAUUAUAUUGAUGGGCUGCCUUUUACCAUUACAUGAUAAUUUUGAUGAAUGUGAUAUUCAUGUGCUUGCUGCUCUACUUGCAAUUAUUAUGAGAGAGGAACUAUAUCUCCACCUCUCUAUGUUUCCAAUAUGAUAAAAUUGCAAGAAACUACUUAUACUAUGUGUCGGCCUUUACUAUGUGUGCAUCAAUUGUUCUUUUAUGACAUGCCGAUGCAUAGAAAGAUAGUUAGACUUCGUUUUUGCAUGAUAUAUGUUACUUUGUGCUCACUACUAAAUUACAAAUCAUUGUUAAUUAAAAUUGUCUUUGAUAUACAUUGGGAUCUGGGUGGAUUCAUUAUUUGAGCACUAUAUGCCUAGCUUAAUGGCUUUAAAGAAAGCGCUGCCAGGGAGACAACCUGGAAGUUUUAGAGAGUCAUUUAUUUCUGUUGAGUUCUUUUAUAUAGUUUAAAAAAAGAGGGGAACCUAAAAACUUUUCAAAAAGGAAAGUGAAAGUGAGAGAGACAAGCAUUGUUGAAGUGGGAGAGCUCCUUGAACUUUGUUCAUGCUCACGGAAACUUUGUGAAUCUUGAUUACAGAAACUUUUCAUCAAAAAUAAUUAUCCCCUUGUACAAUUCCAUUGUAUAUAAAAAUAAUGUGCCAAGGUUUGCCUUUAGGAUGUUUACAAUGCUUGUUGGUUUGUACGGUGCAGGACAGAAACUUUGGCUGUAGUGCUUGAUUUUACAUUUUUUGCUGGAACAUCAAAUGGUUCUGAUUCCUUUUGCACUGUCUUUCUGUACACCUUUGUUAUGUUUCCUAAUUUUGGUAGAUUUUUUGGGGUACCAGAAUUAUGGUGAAUGUUCAGAUUUCUACAGACUGUUCUGUUUUUGACAGAUUCUGUUUUUGAUGCAUAGUUUGCUUGUUUUGAUGAAUCUAUCAAUUUAUAUCAGUGGAUUAAGCCAUGGAAAAGUUAUAUUACAGUAGACACAAUGCAAAAACAAAAUAUGAAUUGGUUUGCAACAGUACUUAGAGUGGUGAUUUGCUUUAUUAUACUAACGGAUCUUACCGAGUUUUCUGUUGAAGUUUUGUGUGGAUGAAGUGUCUAAUCGAGGAGGUCUCGAUAUGAGGAAAAGGAAGAGAGGCAAGAACUCAAGCUUGGGGAUGCCCGAGGCACCCCAAGUAAAUAUUUAAGGAGACUCAAGCGUCUAAGAUUGGGGAUGCCCCGGAAGGCAUCCCCUCUUUCUUCAACAAGUAUUGGUGUGUUUUCGGAUUCGUUUCGUUCAUGCGAUAUGUGCAAGUCUUGGAGCGUCUUUUGCAUUUAGUUUUCAUUUUCCUUUAUGCACCAGGCUGGUAUGAGAUAGUCCUUGGUUGAUUUAUAUAAUUCUCAUUUCACUUCACUUAAAUCUUUUGAGUGUGGCUUUAUAGAAUGCUUCAUGUGCUUCACUUAUAUCAUUUGAAGUUUGGAUUGCCUGUUUCUCUUUACAUAGAAAACCGCCAUUUGUAGAAUGCUCUUUUUGCUUCACUUAUAUUUGUUAGAGCAUGGACAUAUCUUUUUUAGAAAGAAUUAAACUCUCUUGCUUCACUUAUAUCUAUUUAGAGAGAUGACAUGAAUUGAUCAUUCACAUGGUUAGUCAUAAAAUACUACAUAAACUUGUAGAUCGCUGAAUAUGAUAUGUUUGAUUCCUUGCAAUAGUUUUGUGAUAUAAAGGUGGUGAUAUUAGAGUCAUGCUAGUGGGUGGUUGUGGAUUGUAGAGACACUUGUGUUGAGGUUUGCAAGUCCCGUAGCAUGCACGUAUGGUAACCGUUGUGUGACAAAUUUGAAGCAUGGGGUGUUUCUUUGAUUGUCUUCCUUAUGAUUGGCGGUCGGGGACGAGCAAUGGUCUUUUCCUACCAAUCUAUCCCCCUACGGGCAUGCAUCGUAGUACUUUGCUUCGAGGGCUAAUAAACUUUUUUCAAUAAGUAUAUGAGUUCUUUAUGACUAAUGUGAGUCCAUGGAUUAUACGCACUUUUACAUUUCCAUCAUUGCUAGCCUCUUCAGUACCGUGCAUUGCCCUUUCUCACCUCAAGAGUUGGUGCAAACUUCGCCGGUGCAUCUAAACCCCGUGAUAUGAUACGCUCUAUCACACAUAAGCCUCAUUAUAUCUUCCUCAAAACAGCCACCAUACCUACCUAUCAUGGCAUUUCCAUAGCCAUUCCCAGAUAUAUUGCCAUGCAACUUCCAUCAUCAUCACAUACAUGACUUGAGCAUUUAUUGUCAUAUUGCUUUGCAUGAUCAUAAGAUAGCUAGCAUGAUGUUUUUAUGGCUUAUCUAUUUUUUGAUGUCAUUGCUACGCUAGAUCAUUGCACAUCCCGGUACACCGCCGGAGGCAUUCAUAUAGAGUCAUAUAUUUGUUCUAGUAUCGAGUUGUAAGUAAAUAAAAGUGUGAUGAUCAUCAUUAUAGAGCAUUGCCCCAUAAAAAAAGAAAAAGGAAAGGCCAAAGAAGCCUAAAUAAAAAAGGGGGCCAAAGAAGAACACCGAAAAAGAAAAAAAAAGAAAAAAAGAAAGAAAAAAGAAAAAGAAAAGGGGCAAUGUUACUAUCCUUUUACCACACUUGUGCUUCAGAGUAGCACCAUGUUCUUCAUAUAGAGAGUCUCAUAUGUUGUCACUUUCAUUUACUAGGGGGAAUUUUCAUUAUAGAACUUGGCUUGUAUAUUCCAAUGAUGGGCUUCCUCAAAUUCCCUAGGUCUUCAUGAGCAAGCAAGUUGGAUGCACACCCACUUAGCUUUCAGUUUGAGCUUUCAUACACUUAUAGAUCCUAGUGCAUCCGUUGCAUGGCAAUCCCUACUCCUCGCAUUGACAUCAAUUGAUGGGCAUCUCCAUAGCCCGUUGAUUAGCCGCGUCGAUGUGAGACUUUCUCCCUUUUUGUCUUCUCCAUAUAAACCUCCACCAUUAUAUUCUAUUCCACCUAUAGUGCUAUAUCCAUGGUCUGCGCUCAUGUAUUGAGUGAGGGUAGAAAAAGCUGAAGCGCGUUAAAAAGUAUGAACCAAUUGCUCGGCUUGUCAUUGGGGUUGUGCAUGAUGGGAGCAUUUUGUGUGACGAAAAUGAAGCAUGGCCAAACUAUAUGAUUUUGUAGGGAUAAGCUUGCUUUGGCCUUGUUGCUUUGAAAAGACAUGAUUGCUUUAUUAGUACGCUCAAAGUAUUAUUGUUUUUUAUGUCAAAUGAUAGACUAUUUCUUUGAAUCACUCGUAUCUUAAUAUUCAUGCCAUGAUUAGACAUAUGAUCAAGAUUAUGCUAGGUAGCAUUCCACAUCAAAAAUUAUCUUUUUUAUAAUUUACCUACUCGAGGACGAGCAGGAAUUAAGCUUGGGGAUGCUGAUACGUAUCCGUAGUAUCUAUAAUUUUUGAUUGUUCCAUGCCAAUAUUCUUCAACUUUCAUAUAUUGUUGGCAACUUUUUAUACUAUUUUUGGGACUAACAUAUUGAUCUAGUGCCCAGUGCCAGUUCCUGUUUGUUGCAUGUUUUAUGUUUCGCAGAAAACCAAUAUCAAACGGAGUCCUAAUGGGAUAAAAAUGGACGGAGAAUUAUUUUGGAAUAUUUGGGAUUUUUCGGAGGAAGAAUCAAUGCGAAACAGUGUCCGAGGUGGCCAGGAGAUAGGGGGGCCCGCCCUUCCCCCUGGGCACGCCUGGCACUCUCCUGGGCCACCUGUAAGGCGGUUGACGCUCUUAUUUUGCUCCAAGAAAGCUAAUUUUAUGAGAAAAAUCUGGGCAAAAGAUUCACCCCAACCGGAGUUACGAAUCUCCAGAUAUAAAAGAAACGGUGAAGGGGUAGAAUCUGAGAACGCAGAAACAGAGAGAUAGAUCCAAUCUCGGAGGGGCUCUCGCCUCUCCCAAGCCAUGGGAGCCAAGGAACAGAGGGGAAACCCUUCUCCCAUCUAGGGAGGAGGUCAAGGAAGAAGAAUAAGAAGGGGGCUAUCUCCCCCUUGCUUUCGGUGGCGCCGGAACGCCGCCGGGGGCGAUCAUCAUCACCGCGAUCUUCACCAACACCUCUGCCAUCUUCAUCAACAUCUCCAUCACCUUCCCCCAUCUAUAUUCAGUGGUCCACUCUCUCGCAACCCACUGUAUCCACUACUUGAACAUGGUGCUUUAUGCUUCAUACUAUUAACCAAUGAUGUGUUGCCAUCCUAUGAUGUCUGAGUAGAUUUCCGUUGUCCUAUCGGUGAUUGAUGAAUUGCUAUGAUUGGUUUGAGUUGCAUUCUUUAUUAUUGGUGUUGUCCUAUGGUGCUCUCCAUGUCGUGCAAGCGUGAGGGAUCCCCGCUGUAGGGUUUUCAAUAUGUUCAUGAUUUGCUUAUGGUGGGUGGCGUGAGUGACAGAAGCAUAGACCCGAGUAAGUAGGUUGUUUGCGUAUGGGAUAAAGGGGACUUGAUACUUUAAUGCUAUGGUUGGGUUUUACCUUAAUGAUCUUUACUAGUUGUGGAUGCUUGCUAGAGUUCCAAUCAUAAGUGCAUAUGAUCCAAGUAGAGAAAGUAUGUUAGCUUAUGCCUCUCCCUCAAAUAGAAUUGCAAUAGUGAUUACCGGUCUAGUAACGUAUUCAAUUGCUUAGGGACAAUUCCACAACUCCUACCACCACUUUUCCACACUCGCUAUAUUUAGUUUAUUGCUUCUUUAUCUAAACAGCCCCUACUUUUUAUUUACAUGUUCUUUAUUAUCUUGCAAACCUAUCCCAACAACACCUACAAAGUACUUCUAGUUUCAUACUUGUUCUAGGUAAAGCGAACACUAAGCGUGCGUAGAGUCGUAUCAGUGGAAGAUAGGGAUUGAGAGAGUAUUCGUUCUACCUUUAGCUCCUCGUUGGGUUCGACACUCUUACUUAUCGAAAGAGGCUACAAUUAUCACGUAUACUUGCGGGUGAUCACCUAGCGGUGUGAAAUAAAUGGGAAACUUGUAAGUUCAUGGAGUUUGUAUAUGAGUUAGAGAAACGCCUGGGCAUACAACCCAAGCCAUGCAUAAUUCAUGGUGGAAAUUUACAACAUAACCAUAGUGAGCAUUCUAUGGAGAAUCUUCAAUAAAAAAAACUAUGCCCAUGGUAAUAAAAGGAUUGCUGAGAUGCUCAUUGUCUGUUGCCUUGUCAUUUUGGUAUGGGAUAGCUCUUGUGUCAUGGGGCAAGGGGUACACCAUUGGCGGUUAUCUAUGAUACAUGUAUACUUACAAUGACAAGAACUUAUUUGGGACCUAAGUUGAGUAGCAUGAGGUUUAGGUACUCGUAUUCAAGGGGCAUGAGGCUUUCAACUUGUGAUUUGUCAAGCAUACAACUCAUAUUUGCCCUCACUUUAACCUUAACCAUUCAAGAUGCGUAUGAUAGGGGCGAUGAGAGCUCAAAUCUAAUGAGGACCAUAAUUUUUGGAAGCUUUAUAAAACUUAUUAAUCCCUACUUACCUCUACGAAUGGCCUUUCUUUUACUUUUUUGUUGAGUCUUCAUCUUCUAUCUUUAUGCACCAACUAAGAGAGCAUAGUUGUCAUUCUGAGUAUAAUGUGCAUUGUCCCAAAACUUGUUGAUUGAUUCAUGAUUAUGGUAUUGCUUAUUCUCAAAUUAUUUGUAUCUAGUCACCCUUUUGAACUUUGAAGGUGUCCUAUACAUUUAUGUUUUGCUACUCCAUGAAGGACAAGCUAAAUACCACUUUGCUAUGUUUUCUCUGUGUGCGAAACAAACAAAUGUCUUUCAAAGCAUUAUUCAUGAUCUUUUGUUUAUGUUGCCUUUCAUGUAGUAACAUAGUUGCUAUGUUCUAUUGUUAGAAAUAUAUCUUUCAUACAUAUGUUUAGAGUACUUUGAUCCCAGCUUAUAAUGUUUUACAAUGAUGAUGAUCAAGAAUGUAUUGGCUUCAUGUCACCUCAAAAAUUAUUUUUGUUAUCACUUACCUACUCGAGGACGAGCAGGAGUUAAGCUUGGGGAUGAUGAUACGUUGCAAACGUAUCUAUAAUUUUUGAUGCUCCAUGCUUGUUUUACACCAAUUACUUUAUGUUUUGUUUACACUUUGUGGCAUUUUUAUGUAUUUUCUGGAACUAACCUAUUGACAAGAUGCCACAAUGCCAGUUCCUUGUUUUCUGCUGUUUUUGUGUUUUAGAGAAAUUAGUAAAGAAAUAUUCUCACAAUUGGACAAAACAAACGCCAAAGUUACUAUUUUUCUCGAUACGACACAGAGUCCAAAGCAGAGACGAAGGAGGGCACUAAGGCGGCCACACCAUAGCCAGGCGAGGGCCCACCUCUAGCCGCACGGCCCUAGGGUGUGGGCCUGUCGGGCGUCCACCGACAUUUCCCUUCCGCCUAUACAAUGCCCCCGAGGCGAAAACUCUAAAUAAUUAAGCCUCCGUCCAUGAAAAGUUCCGCCGCGCCGCCACCAUCAAAGACGAGAUUCGGGGGAUAGAAGUCUCUGUUCCGGCACCCUACCGGGAUGGGGAAUUGCCUCCGGAGCCAUCUCCAUCAACUCCACCGCCAUCUUCAUUGCCGUUGCUAACUCCCAUGAUGAGGAGGGAGUAGUUCUCCCCCGAGGCUGAGGGCUCUACCGGUCGCUAUGUGGUUUAUCUCUCUCUCCCAUGGUGUGAUCUUUAUGUGAUCAUGAGCUUUGUAAUCUGGUUGAUUUAGUAGAUGUUACUCUCAUCUAUUAUGCUACUCAAGUGCUUUUAUUAAUGUGAUCUCCGGAGACACCUUGUCCCACGGUGUGAAGGUGACAGUGUGCGCACCGUGUGUGGCUCUUAGGCUAAAGAUUACAGAAAUACUUAUCAUGAGUUAUAAUUUGAGUUGGAUGUAUCUAUGAAAUUGUGGUGUUUGUUUGGAACCAUCUAGAGCUCAAGGUGACAGUGUGGAGUUACCUAGAUGGGGAAUGCGAACUUUAAGGUGUGCUUUUAUAGCCCUACGUGGUGAAUUGGUGUUCGUUAUCCAACCGGAGAGUAGUUCAGAGUAGCAUAGUGAAGAGAAGAUGUUUAUGUGUUCAAUUAUGAUAUCAUUGUUGAGAGUGUCCACUAGUAAAAGUAUGAUCCCUACGUUUUGUUUCUAAGCAUUGAAACACCGUUUACAACCAGUUCUGCUACAUGUUUGCUUGCUGCCAUUUUUAUUUCAGAUUGCAAUUACCACUUAUAAUAAUCCAUAUACUUGUAUUUCACUAUCUCUUCACCGAACUAGUGCACCUAUACACCUGACAAGUGUAUUGGGUGUGUUGGGGACACAAGAGAGUUCUUGUAUCUUAAUUGCAGGGUUGCUUGAGAGGGAUAUCUUUGACCUCUUCCUCCCUGAGUUCGAUAAACCUUGGGUGAUUCACUUAAGGGAAACUUGCUACUGUUCUACAAACCUCUGCACUUGGAGGCCCAACACUGUCUAUAAGAAUAGAAGCGUGCGUAGACAUUAAGCUUUUUUCUGGCGCCGUUGCCGGGAGGUAAGGUAAAAGGAACUCACAUCCUCUGGCUACUAAGCUAUCUUCUAGUACUGUUGCUGGUGUGUGAGUGUUCAAAGUUAUUUCCUUUAGAUUCUGCAAUUAUAUCUUUUUGUUUCUUGUUUUUAUUUUCACUAGUUAGGCUUAACGGAAAACAACAACAAAAUUAGAGAGCUUUAUAGUAUUUUUCCUGAGUUAGGACAUGAAGUGUUUGAAGAGAAAAUUAAAAAACCUAUGGAACUUGAUUUGCAAGCUAAUAGAAAUGUUAUUAGUAUGAAUUAUUUGAACACCAUUAUUGCUAAUGCUAUGGAAAAGUCUAAGCUUGGGGAAGCUGUUUUUUAUGAAAAUGGUCUCUUUAGUUCCCCAGCUUUAGAGGAGAAUUUUUUCUCUGAUGAUACUUUAUCUCCCAUAUGUGAUAAUUCUAAAGAAGAGGUACCUAUGAUUUGGGCCAUAAGGGAGCGGCACAUGAAGGAGGCUCUGGGGUAUUGCUGCAUGGAGCGAGCGGACCAUAGGUGCUCCCGUGCGUGGUGGUUUAGGCCACGUUUGAGCGGCACAUAGGUUUUGCCCACCGAUCACGAGCGACGAGGAGCCAGCGAGCGACCACGUCAGAUCUGAUUUUUAAAUCAGAACGUUUCUAAAUUACAAAUAAAUUUGAUAAUCUGAAUGCUUUUCCAAUUCGAAACAUUUUGAAAAAUAUGAAUACUAUUUUUCCUUUUCUUUUUCUAGUGUUUUCAAAAUCAGAACGGUUUUAAAAUUUGAAUGAUUUAAAAUUGAACAAGUUUAAAAUUUGAACAAAUUUCUACAUUAAUAUUGUUCAUAAUCUGAAAAUUUACGAAAUCUGGAUAAUUUGAGCAACUCUAAAAUUGAACGAUUUUAGAUUCUGAACGAUUUUUAAAUUUGAACGAUUUUCAAAUUUGAAAUUUUUUCAAAAUUUGAAACAUUUUCAUAAUCUGAACGUUUUGAACAAUCUGAACAUUUUUAAAAUUCGAACAUCUUUAGAAUCUAAACAGAAAAAGCAGGAAAAAGGGAAAAAUAAAAGAAACAUAGCGAAAACCAAUCGAAAAACCGCAGCAAAAAAGUGAAAGAACCGUGCAGAGAAACCCGAAAAAACCAGCCCCGGAUUUUCUGUUGAUUUACCUAUAUGGGUUGGCCAAAUAGCGCAAGGUUGCCUGUCGCAGCUAUAUAUCACAAUGAGCGAUGUAUAAGGAUCCCCGAUACUACCGUAGCGAAUCGAGCAUAUCAUCACCAUCGAGACGUUGACGCUCCAAAAAAUACAUUUUAUUUCCAUCAUUGCGUUUUAAUGUUGUUUCUACGUAGUACAGAAGAUAUCUUUUUUUAUAGACAAUACCAUGAUAUAUCAUAGUAGGAAAUAGUAUAUGGUACAGAUACAUAAGCUGUCUCCGGCGAUUAUAAAAUAAGCAAGCACACAUCAACAAACAAGAUAACUCUUUUAUACGUGAUAAGCAACCUCAAACCAAUAAACAGUACAUCUAUUUCAUUCAGUACAACGGCAUAAGAUUUUUUAUUCUUAACAGGUUUUACGAAUUUAGUGCUCAUAUGCAGGAGUAAUUGUUCCGGGGAGCCAAACCGCAAUGUCAUGCAACCUCCACAAUGCAUGAAAUUUCUAUCUUCUUGUGGUGACGUAAUUUACUCCACCCAAGAUUCUUCUUAACAAUCGAUACUACAUAUAUUUAAAAUAGUUCAUGGACACUACAGGAAACGGGCAAUAGGCCGACGGCCCGACGCCGUCGGCAUAGGCCAAAUAACCCGCGCCACAGGCUAUAGUCGAGGGCGGCCGUGGGCGUAUCGCCCUCGGGUCCUUCAGGUAUCUGCGUACAGGUAUUUGUCGUUGGCGUAGAGGAUGCCCUCGAUGUAGACUUGGCAGGCCCAUCGCUAACAGAUGACGGCCGUUAGACGUCGAACAGGCUACACCGACGGCUUUGCCCUCGGGCUAGAUUUUCGAUUUUUUUCCAACUUUUUUCCAAAAAAAAAUUCAAUUUUUUUUUCAGACUUGUUAAUUUCACAACGGACAUUUUUAACUCUCAGCACGUUUAAUGUAAAAUCAAAUUGCACUUGUGGUCAAACUUCCCGCUCGGCCACCCAUCCUCACACUACUCCAACCCCAACACGCUUAACUUCUCCAUUCCUUCCGGAUGACCUAUCAAGAAAGAAAUCAUAUCUUAGUGAUAAUAGUACCAUAUCAAUCAUAUUAACCCUUGGACUGUGGUGUCACACCUUUUUAUUUUUGAAUUCCAUACAAAUACUUAAAUACACAAUAAUGAAUAAGUAAUAAUAAUAAUAUUUUUCAAUUCAAAUAAAAUAAAAUAAUUAAUAUUUUUCUUUUUCUAUUUAAUAUGGAAUAUUUAAUAUCUUUAAAUCCUUAAAUCUGAAUUUGACAAAUAAUAUGUCUAAACCUAUCAAAAAAUGAGGAGAAUCCAAAUAUAACAUCCAUAUCGUCUUGUGAAUCUAAAAAAAUGAUAUUUCCAAAAAAAAAUCAUGAGCAUAAGAUCAUGUAUGUGUAGUUCAAAUUGACCAUAGUUCAAAUCGAGCAUUAGGUACAUGUAUUUUUUUAAAUAUAUGUAGACCAUGUAUAUCGACUUGAAUCAUUAGUAUGUGACAUAAGAAGAUUAUGUGGGCAGGUUUUUCAUAUUUUUUGAAUUUUUUAUGCUGAUUUCAUUUUUUUCUGAAAUGUGUAAUAUUUAAGUGUAUAUAGAGAGAUCUUAUUCUUCUGCAAAUUUGAUAUAUUAUUUGUAUUUAUCUUAAUUAUAAUGAUUCAGUUAUGAUUUUUCUAAAAUUAAUAUGAUAAAAUGGAAAAUAGCUAUGCCGGCGGCAUUGCCGUCGGCAUUGCCGGCGGCGUAGCUUCAAAACCUAUGCCGAGGGCUUUGCCCUCGGCGUGGACCGUCCGCCUUGACGCGGUCGUAACACUGUUAGCCUGGGUUGGCCUACACCGAGGCUGGCAUAUACCCCGAGGGCAGCUGUCGGCCCAGACAUGGGUACACCGAGGGCCUAUCCUAUGCCAAGGCCGGGCGGGCGGGCGGGCUGGAUUGCCAGCCCUCUACGCCGACGGCCCCGAUGUUUUCCGUCGGCGUAGAGGCUGGCCGUCGGCUCCAGACAUCAGUCCUGUAGUGGGUGAAGAUACACAAGCUGUUUUCAGCGAUUAUAAAAUAAAGUACAUAUAAGAAUAUGAGCAAAUCUACGAGGUCUUUAAACUCUUCUUUUACAUCACAGGCAGCCAAAUUGACAUGCCAUAAAUACCAAACGAUAGGCUCGUAAAUACCGACGAUGGUUCUCCCAUAUUUUUAAAUCUAAGCCGCAAUGCCAUGGCUACGUGCAUGCGCGCAACCAUUAAACUAAUCACCCGACAUCAGCGAGAGCAACAACACCAGUAUUCCAGGGAAAAAGAGACCGAACAGCCUGGUCGACAUCGCUAGAGUGCCGAAAGUACGAAUCACCAUUGUCGAUGGUGUAGCAUCUGGGAUAAAUAUUACAAGGACUAGUUCAAUGCCCGUGCGUUGCAACGGCCUCUAAAAUAUUUUAUUUCUGCACAUGUAAGCAUAAUACAUCUCAAUAUUUUGUCGCAUAUAGAAAGAUAGAGAAAUAUAGUAUUCAAGAAACUAUAGAAUUAUACAUUUUGAUGUGAUUGGACAAAAAGUUAUAGUUUGAUUUCUAUGCAUAGUAAUAGAAAACCCAUAUACUCAUCUUAUUCUUAGUUAGGUGUGUUAAACUAUAUAGUUAUCACAUACGGUUAGUAUCUUGGAUUGUAGUUAUCUUGUAUAACAACCUGUACUUAUCCUCCUGUAAACCCUAGCGGCAGCCCUAGAGGCGCCCUAUAUAAUGAUCCUGAGACCACCGCAUUAGGUGUGUCGAUCCAAUCUCUUCUCUCUUUGUUUCACAAGGUAUCAGGCCAUCUCGCAUAACUGCUCGAUGGGUUCUCCUUCCUCCGGCGCCAUGACUUCCUCGACCCUGGCUUCUCUGCCCAUGCCCUCUGGGCUCUCGGCGGCGACAUCUUCCGCUGUUCCCCAACCCUCUGCUAGCCUCAUUACUGCCAAGCUUACCCCCUCCAACUUCCUCCUCUGGAAAGCACAGAUCCUUCCUCCCCUUUGCAUCGCCGGUAUCACUUGGCUAUGUCGACAGCACCACCCCUACUCCUCCUUGCAUCCUCCCAGCUCAUGACAAGGGGGGGGGGGCGCUCCUAACCCGGAGUAUGCUGCCUGGUUCCGUCAGGAUCAGAUCAUCCUGAGCUAUCUUCUUGCCUCGCUCACCGAUGAUGUGCUUCAGCAGGUCCAUCUGGGCGCACCUCGGGGAGAUGUAUGUUACCCACUGCCGUGCCAGUGUGGUGCAGAUCAAGAUGGACAUGAUGAACUUCCGCAAGGGCAACCUCUCCAUGGUGGACUAUAUCGCCAAGAUCCGCUCCAAUGCAGAUCAGCUCGCCGCCGCGGGCCGUCCCAUGUGCCAGGAGGACAUCAUCACCGCCUUCAUCACCGGGCUCGACAACGAGUACGAGCCCCUCAUCACUGCCAUCAUGACUCGCAUCAACGUCAUGACCUUGGGAGAACUCUACUCCCAUGCCAUCUCCUUCGAAAGCCGCCGCGAGUACCACGCGGCUCGUCUUCAACUGUUGGGGAUCGUAGCAGAAAUUUAAAAUUUUCUACGCAUCACCAAGAUCAAUCUAUGGAGUCAUCUAGAAACGAGAGAGAGAGAGAGAGGAGUGCAUCUACAUACCCUUGUAGAUCGUGAGCGGAAGCGCUCAAGAGAACGGGGUUGAUGGAGUCGUACUCGUCGUGAUCCAAAUCACCGAUGAUCCUAGCGCCGAACGGACGGCACCUCCGCGUUCAACACACGUACGGAGCGGAGACGUCUCCCGCGCCUUGAUCCAGCAAGGAGGAGGGAGAGGUUGAGUAAGAGGGCUCCAGCAGCAGCACGACGGCGUGGUGGUGAUGGAGAGGCAGUACUCCGGCAGGGCUUCGCCAAGCUAUGACGGAGGAGGAGAGGUGUUGGGGAGGGGAGGGGCUGCGCCUUGGAGGUGUGUGUGCAGCCCUCCCCUCGCCCCUCUAUUUAUAGGGGGAGGAGGAAGGGGGCCGGCCCCCUCUAGAUGAGAUCUAGAGGAGGGGGCGACGGCCAAGGGGGGAGGNNNNNNNNNNNNNNNNNNNNNNNNNNNNNNNNNNNNNNNNNNNNNNNNNNNNNNNNNNNNNNNNNNNNNNNNNNNNNNNNNNNNNNNNNNNNNNNNNNNNNNNNNNNNNNNNNNNNNNNNNNNNNNNNNNNNNNNNNNNNNNNNNNNNNNNNNNNNNNNNNNNNNNNNNNNNNNNCCCUCUAAGGGCUGGUUCCCUUCCCUCUACGGCCCAUGAGGCCCUCCGGGAGAGGUGGCCCCUCCCGGUGGACCCCUGGAACCCUUCCGGUGGCCCCUAUACAAUACCGGUAUGCCUCCGAACUUUUCCGGUGACAGUAUUAAAACUUCCCAUAUAUAAAUCUUCACCUCCAGACCAUUUCGGAACUCCUCAUGACGUCCGGGAUCUCAUCCGGGACUCCGAUCAACAUUCGGUAAUCACAUACAAGUCUUCCUAAUAACCCUGGCGUCACCGAACCUUAAGUGUGUAUACCCUACGGGUUCGGGAAUCACGCAGACAUGACCGAGACAGCUCUCCGGCCAAUAACCAACAGCGGAAUCUGGAUACCCAUGUUGUCCCCCACAUGUUCCUCGAUGAUCUCAUCGGAUGAACCACGAUGUCGAUGAUUCAAGUAAUCCCGUAUAUAAUUCCCUUUGUCACACGGUACGUUACUUGCCCGAGAUUCGAUCAUCGGUAUCACAAUACCUCGUUCAAUCUCGUUUCCGGCAAGUCACUUUACUCAUUCCAUAAUGCAUGAUCCCGUGACCAACCACUUGGUCACACUGAGCUCAUUAUGAUGAUGCAUUACCGAGUGGGCCCGGAGAUACCUCUCCGUCAUACGGAGUGACAAAUCCCAGUCUUGAUUCGUGCUAACCCAACAGACACUUUUGGAGAUACCUGUAGUGCACCUUUGUAGUCACCCAGUUAUGUUCUGACGUUUGGUACACCCAAAGCACUCCUACGGUAUCCGGGAGUUACACAAUCUCAUGGUCUAAGAAACCGAUACUCGACAUUAGAAAAGCUUUAGCAAACGAACUACACGAUCUUGUGCGAUGCUUAGGAUUGGGUCUUGUCCAUCACAUCAUUCUCCUAAUGUUGUGAUCACGUUAUCACUGACAUCCAAUGUCCAUAGUCAGGAAACCAUGACUAUCUAUUGAUCAACGAGCUAGUCAACUAGAGGCUCACUAGGGACAUGUUGUGGUCUAUGUAUUCACACAUGUAUCACUGUUUCCGGUUAAUACAAUUAUAGCAUGAACAAUAGACAAUUAUCAUGAACAAGGAAAUAUAAUAAUAAUCAUUUUAUUAUUGCCUCUAGGGCAUAUUUCCAAUAGUCUCCCACUUGCACUAGAGUCAAUAAUCUAGUUACACUGUGAUGAAUCGAACACCCAUGGAGUUGUUGUGUUGAUCAUGUUUUGCUUGCGGAAGAGGUUUAGUCAACGGAUCUACGACAUUCAGAUCCGUAUGCACUUUGCAAAUAUCUAUGUCUCCAUCUUGAACAUUUUCACGAAUGGAGUUGAAGCGACGCUUGAUGUGCCUGGUCUUCUUGUGAAACCUAGGCUCCUUGGCAAGGGCAAUAGCUCCAGUGUUGUCACAGAAGCGAGUGAUCGGCCCCGAUGCAUUGGGAAUAACUCCUAGGUCAGUGAUGAACUCCUUCAUCCAGAUUGCUCCAUGCGCUGCCUCUGAGGCUACCAUGUACUCCGCUUCACAUGUAGAUCCCGCCACGACGCUCUGCUUGCUGCUGCACCAGCUUACUGCCCCACCAUUCAAAAUAUACACGUAUCCGGUCUGUGACUUGGAGUCAUCCAGAUCUGUGUCGAAGCUAGCAUCGACGUAAUCCUUUACGACGAGCUCUUCGUGACCUCCAUAAAUGAGAAACAUAUCCUUAGUCCUUUUCAGGUACUUCAGGAUAUUCUUGACUGUUGUCCAGUGUUCCAUGCCGGGAUUACUUUGGUGUCUUGCAACCAAACUUACGACAAGGUUUACAUCAGGUCUGGUCCACAGCAUGGCAUACAUAAUAGACCCUAUAGCCGAGCAUAGGGGAUGACACUCAUCUUUUCUCUAUCUUCUGCCGUGGUCGGGCAUUGAGCCGAGCUCAAUUUCACACCUUGCAACACAGGUAAGAACCCCUUCUUGGACUGAUCCAUAUUGAACUUCUUCAAUAUCUUAUCAAGGUAUGUGCUUUGUGAAAGACCCAUGAGGCGUCUCGAUCUAUCUCUAUAGAUCUUGAUGCCUAAUAUGUAAGCAGCUUCUCCAAGGUCCUUCAUUGAAAAACACUUGUUCAACUAGGCCUUUAUGCUGUCCAAAAGUUCUAUAUCAUUUCCCAUCAAAAGUAUGUCAUCCACAUAUAAUAUGAGAAAUGCUACAGAGCUCCCACUCACUUUCUUGUAAACGCAGGCUUCUCCAUAAGUCUGCAUAAACCCAAACGCUUUAAUCAUUUCAUCAAAGCAAAUGUUCCAACUCCGAGAUGCUUGCACCAACCCAUAAAUGGAUCGCUGGAGCUUGCAUACCUUGUUAGUAUUCUUAGGAUCGACAAAACCUUGCGGCUGCAUCAUAUACUAUUCUUCCUUGAGAUAGCCAUUAAGGAAUGCCGUUUUAACGUCCAUUUGCCAUAUCGCAUAAUCAUAGUAUGCGGCAAUUGCUAACAUGAUUCGGACGGACUUCAGCUUUGCUACGGGAACUUGUCGUAGUCAACUCCUUGAACUUGUCUCAUCGUAGUCAACUCCUUGAACUUGUCGAUAACCUUAGCGACAAGUCGAGCCUUAUAGAUGGUAAUAUUACCAUCCGCGUCCGUCUUCUUCUUAAAGAUCCAUUUAUUUUCUAUCGCUCGCCGAUCAUCGGGCAAGUCUGUCAAAGUCCAUAAUUUGUUUUCAUACAUGGAUCCUAUCUCGGAUUGCCAUCGCUUCUUCAUAGUUCGAAGGUUCACCGUUAUCUAGCAACAUGAUUUCUAGGACAGGGUUGCCAUACCAUUCCGGGGUGGAACGUGUCCUUGUGGACCUAGGAAGUUCAGUAGAAACUUGAUCCGAAGUACCUUGAUCAUCAUCAUUAACUUCCUCUCUAGUCGGUGCAGGCACAACAGGAACAUCUUCCUGAGCUGCGCUACUUACCGGUUCAAGAGGCAGUACUUCAUCGAGUUCUACUUUCCUCCCACUUAUUUCUUUCGAGAGAAACUCUUUCUCCAGAAAGGACCCGUUCUUGGCAACAAAGAUCUUGCCUUCGGAUCUAAGGUAGAAGGUAUACCCAAUGGUUUCCUUAGGGUAUCCUAUGAAGACGCAUUUUUUCGACUUGGGUUCGAGCUUUUCAGGUUGAAGUUUCUUGACAUAAGCAUCACAUCCCCAAACUUUUAGAAACGACAGCUUAGGUUUCUUUACAAACCAUAAUUCAUACGGUGUCGUCUCAACGGAUUUAGACGGUGACCUAUUUAAAGUGAAUGUAGCUUUCUCUAAAGCGUAUCCCCAAAAUGAUAGUGGUAAAUCGGUAAGAGACAUCAUAGACCGCACCAUAGCCAAUAGAGUGCAAUUACGAUGUUCGGACACACCGUUACGCUGAGGUGUUCCAAGCGGCGUGAGUUGUGAAACAAUUCCACAUUUCCUUAAGUGUGUACCAAACUCGUGACUUAAAUAUUCUCCCCCACGAUCUGAUCGUAAGAACUUUAUUUUUCUAUCACGUUGAUUCUCUACCUCAUUCUGAAAUUCCUUGAACUUUUCAAAGGUCUCAGACUUGUGUUUCAUCAAUUAACACAUACCCAUAUCUGUUGGGGAACGUAACAGAAAUUCAAAAUUUUUCUACGUCUCACCAAGAUCUAUCUAUGGAGAGACCAGCAACGAGUAGAAAGAGAGUGCAUCUACAUACCCUUGUAGAUCGCUAAGCGGAAGCGUUCAAGUGAACGGGGUUGAUGGAGUCGUACUCGUCGUGAUUCAGAUCACCGAUGAUCCUAGUGCCGAACGGACGGCACCUCCGCGUUCAACACACGUACAGCUCGACGAUGUCUCCCACGGCUUGAUCCAGCAAGGAGAGAGGGAGAGGUUGAGGAAGACUCCAUCCAGCAGAAGCACAACGGCGUGGUGGUGAAGGAGGAGCGUGGCAAUCCUGCAGGGCUUCGCCAUGCACCUACGGGAGAGGAGGAGGUGUCACGGGAGGGAGGGAGGCGCCAAGGGCUCAGGUAUGGAUGCCCUCCCUCCCCUCCACUAUAUAAAGGGGCAGGGGAGAGGGGGGAGGCGCAGCCUUGCCCCUUCCUCCAAGGAAGGGGUGCGGCUAAGAGGGGGGGAGGAGUCCAUCCUCCCCAAGGCACCUCGGAGGUGCCUUCCCCCUUUAGGACUCUCCCCUUUUUUCUAUAUCUUGGCGCAUGGGCCUCUAGGGGCUGGUGCCCUUGGCCCAUGUAGGCCAAGGCGCACCCCCUACAGCCCAUGUGCCCCCCCGGGGCAGGUGGCCCCACCCGGUGGGCCCCCGGGACCCUUCCGGUGGUCCCGGUACAAUACCGAUGACCCCGAAACUUGUCCCGAUGGCCGAAACAGGACUUCCUAUAUAUAAAUCUUUACCUCCGGACCAUUCCGGAACUCCUCGUGACGUCCGGGAUCUCAUCCGGGACUCCGAAACAACAUUCGGUAACCACAUACAAACUUCCUUUAUAACCCUAGCGUCAUCGAACCUUAAGUGUGUAGACCCUACGGGUUCGGGAGACAUGUAGUCAUCACCGAGAUGUUCUCCGGUCAAUAACCAACAGCGGGAUCUGGAUACCCAUGUUGGCUCCCACAUGUUCCACGAUGAUCUCAUCGGAUGAACCACGAUGUCAAGGACUCAAUCAAUCCCGUAUACAAUUCCCUUUGUCUAGCGGUAUGGUACUUGCCCGAGAUUCGAUCGUCGGUAUACCGAUACCUUGUUCAAUCUCGUUACUGGCAAGUCUCUUUACUCGUUCCGUAACACAUCAUCCCGUGAUCAACCCCUUGGUCACAUUGUGCACAUUAUGAUGAUGUCCUACCGAGUGGGCCCAGAGAUACCUCUCCGUUUACACGGAGUGACAAAAUCCCAAUCUCGAUUCAUGCCAACCCAACAGACACUUUCAGAGAUACCCGUAGUGUACCUUUAUAGCCACCCAGUUAUGUUGUGACGUUUGGCACACCCAAAGCACUCCUACGGUAUCCGGGAGUUGCACAAUCUCAUGGUCUAAGGAAAUGAUACUUGACAUUAGAAAAGCUUUAGCAUACGAACUACAUGAUCUUGUGCUAGGCUUAGGAUUGGGUCUUGUCCAUCACAUCAUUCUCCUAAUGAUGUGAUCCCGUUAUCAACGACAUCCAAUGUCCAUGGUCAGGAAACCGUAACCAUCUAUUGAUUAACGAGCUAGUCAACUAGAGGCUUACUAGGGACAUGGUGUUGUCUAUGUAUCCACACAUGUAUCUGAGUUUCCUAUCAAUACAAUUCUAGCAUGGAUAAUAAACGAUUAUCAUGAACAAGGAAAUAUAAUAAUAAUCAAUUUAUUAUUGCCUCUAGGGCAUAUUUCCAACAGUCUCCCAGUUGCACUAGAGUCAAUAAUCUAGUUCACAUCGAUAUAUGAUUAACACUCAAGGUCACAUCCCCAUGUGACUAACACCCAAAGAGUUUACUAGAGUCAAUAAUCUAGUUCACAUUUACCAUGUGAUUAACACUCGAUGAGUUCUGGGUUUGAUCAUGUUAUGCUUGUGAGAGAGGUUAUAGUCAACGGGUCUGAACCUUUCAGAUCCGUGUGUGCUUUACAAAUCUCUAUGUCAUCUCCUAGAUGCAGCUACCACGUUCUAUUUGGAGCUAUUCCAAAUAACUGUUCUACUUGGAGCUAUUCUAAAUUGUUUCUCCAUUAUACGUAUCCGGUAUCUCUACUCAGAGCUAUCCGGAUAGGUGUUAAGCUUGCAUCGACGUAACCCUUUACGACGAACUCUUUUACCACCUCCAUAAUUGAGAAAAUUCCUUAGUCCACUAGUUACUAAGGAUAACUUUGUCCGCUGUCCUGUGAUCCAUUCUUGGAUCACUCUUGUACCCAUUGACCGACUCAUGGUAAAGCACACUUCAGGUGCGGUACACAGCAUAGCAUACUGUAGAGCCUAUGUCUUAAGCAUAGGGGACGACCUUCGUUCCUUUCUCUCUAUUCUGCCAUGGUCGAGCUUUAAGUCUUAACUUCAUACCUUACAACUCAGGCAAGAACUCCUUCUUUGACUGAUCCAUCUUGAACACCUUCAAGAUCACGUCAAGGCAUGUGCUCAUUUGAAAGUACUAUUAAGCGUUUUGAUCUAUCCUUAUAGAUCUUGAUGCUCAAUGUUCAAGUAGCUUAAUCCAGGUUUUCCAUUGAAAACACUUUCCAAAUAACCCUAUAUGCUUUCCAGAAAUUCUACAUCAUUUCUGAUCAACAAUAUGUCAACAACAUAUACUCAUCAGAAAUUCCAUAGUGCUCCCACUCACUUCUUUGGAAAUACAAGUUUCUCAUAAACUUUGUAUGCACCCAAAAUAUUUGAUCAUCAUCAAAGCAUACAUUCCAACUCCGAGAUGCUCACUCCAGUCCUCAGAAGGAUUGCUGGAGCUUUGCAUACUUAUUAGCAUAUUUCAGGAUAGACAAAACCUUCCAGUUGUAUCACAUACAACCUUUCCUCAAGAAUCGUCGAGGAAACAAUGUUUUGACAUCCUAUCUGCAAGAUUUUAUAAAUAAUGCAGUAAUUGCUAAUAUAAUUCCAACAGACUCUUAGCAUCGCUACGAGUGAGAAAGUCUCAUCGUAGUCAACUCCUUGAACUUGUCGAAAAACAUCUUAACGACAAGUCGAGCUUUCUCAAUGGUGACACUUACCAUCAUUGUCUGUCUUCCUUUCAAAAUCCAUAUGUACCUAACAGCCUUACGACCAUUAAGUAGUUCUUCCAAAGUCUACACUUUGUUUUCAUACAUGGAUCCUCUCUCGGGUUUUAUGGCCUUGAGCCAUUUAUCGGAAUCCGGGCCCACCAUCGCUUCUCCAUAGCUCGUAGUUCAUUGUUGUCUAGCAACAUGACUUCCAAGACAGGAUUACGUACCACUGUGAAGUAGUACGCAUCCUUGUCAUCCCACGAGGUUUGGUAGUGACUCGAUCCGAAGUUUCAUGAUCACUAUCAUAAGCUUCCACUUCAGUUGGUGUACGUGCCACAGGAACAACUUCCUGUGCCCUGCUACACACUUGUUGAAGUGACGGUUCAAUAACCUCAUCAAGUCUCCACCAUCCUCCCACUCAACUUUUCGAGAGAAACCUUUCCUCGAAAAAGGACCCGAUUCAAGAAACAAUCCCUAUUGCUUUCGGAUCUGAAUUAGGAGGUAUACUCAACUGUUUUGGGUGUCCUAUGAAGAUGCAUUUUAUCUGCUUUGGGUUCGAGCUUAUCAACCUGAAACCUUUUCACAUAAGCGUCGCAGCCCCAAACUUUCAAGAAACGGCAACUCAGGUUUCUCCAAACCAUAGUUCAUACGGUGUCGUCUCACCGAAAUUAUGUGGUGCCCUAUUUAAAGUGAAUGUGGUUGUCUCUAAUGCCUAACCCAUGAACGAUAGUGGUAAUUCAAUAAGAGACAUCAUGGUACGCACCAUAUCCAAUAGGGUGCAACUAUGACGUUUGGACACACCAUCACACUAUGGUGUUCCAGGCUGUAUCAGUUGUGAAACAAUUUCCACAAUGUCUUAAUUCUGUGCCAAACUCGUGAUUCAGAUAUUCAUCUCUAUGAUCAUAUCAUAGAUCUUUUAUCCUCUUGUCACGACGAUCUUUCAACUUCACACUAAAAUUACUUGAAUCUUUCAAUAAUUCAGACUCGUGAUUCAUCAAGUAAAUAUACUCAACAUCUACUCGAAUCAUCUUUGAAGUAAGAACAUAACGAUAUUCACUGCAUGCCUCAGCACUCAUUGGACUGCACACAUCAAAAUGUGUUACUUCCAACAAGUUGCUAUCUUGUUCCAUCUUACUGAAAACGAGGCUUUUCAGUCAUCUUGCCCAUGUGGUAUGAUUUGCAUGUCCCAAGUGAUUCAAAAUCAAGUGAGUCAAAACGGUCCAUUUGCAUGGAGUUUCUUCAUGCAUAUACACCAAUAGACAUGGUUCGCAUGUCUCAAACUUUUCAAAAACGAGUGAGUCCAAAGAUCCAUCAAUAUGGAGCUUCUUCAUGCGUUUUAUACCGAUAUGACUUACGUGGCAGUGCCACAAGUAGGUGGUACUAUCAUUACUAUCUUUUGGCAUGAACAUGUGUAUCACUACGAUCGAGAUUUAAUAAACCAUUCAUUUUAGGUGUAAGACCAUUGAAGGUAUUAUUCAAAUAAACAGAGUAACCAUUAUUCUCCUUAAAUGAAUAAUUCGUAUUGCGAUAGACGUAAUCCAAUCAUGUCUGUGCUCAACGCAAACACCAAAUAACAAUUAUUUAGGUUUAACACCAAUCUCUUUGGUAGAGGGAGUGUGAGAUGCUUGAUCAUAUCAAGCUUGGAAAAACUUCCAACACAUAUCGUCAGCUCACCUUUAGCUAGUCUCCGUUUAUUCCGUAGCCUUUUGUUUCGAGUUACUAACACUUAGCAACCGAACCGGUAUCUAAUACCCUGGUGCUACUAGGAGUACUAGCAAAGUACACAUUAACACAAUGUAUAUCCAAUAUACUUCUAUCGACCUUGCCAGCCUUCUUAUCUACCAAGUAUCUAGGGUAAUUCUGCUCUAGUGGUUGUUCCCCUUAUUACAGAAGCACUUAGUCUCGGGUUUGGGUUUUACCUUGGGUUUCUUCACUAGAGCAGCAGCUGAUUUGCCGUUUCAUGAAGUAUCCCUUCUUGCCCUUGCCCUUCUUGAAACUAGUGGUUUCACCAACCAUCAACAAUUGAUGCUCCUUCUUGAUUUCUACUUUCGCGGUGUCAAACAUCGCGAAUACCUCAAGGAUCAUCAUAUAUAUCCCUGAUAUGUUAUAGUUCAUCACGAAGCUCUAACAGCUUGGUGGCAAUGACUUUGGAGAACCAUCACUGUCUUAUCUGGAAGAUCAACUCCCACUCGAUUCAAAUGAUUGUUGUACUCAGACAAUCUGAGCACAAGCUCAACAAUUAAGCUUUUCUCCUUAGUUUGCAGGUUAAGAAAGUCAUCGGAGGUCUUAUACCUCUUGACAUGGGCACGAGCCCGAAAUCCCAAUUUCAGCCCUCAAAACAUCUCAUAUGUUUCGCGAUGUUUCAAAAACGUCUUUGGUGCCUCAACUCUAAACCGUUUAACUGAACUAUCACGUAGUUAUCAAAACGUGUAUGUCAGAUGUUCGCAACAACCACAGACAACGUUCGAGGUUCAGCACACUGAGCGGUGCAUUAAGGACAUAAGCCUUCUAUGAAGCAAUGAGGACAAUCCUCAGUUUACGGACCUAGUCCGCAUAAUUGCUACUAUCAACUUUCAACUAAUUUUUCUCUAGGAACAUAUCUAAACAGUAGAACUAUAGCGUGAGCUACGACAUAAUUUGCAAAAACCUUUUGACUAUGUUCAGGAUAAUUAAGUUCAUCUUAUGAACUCCCACUCAGAUAGACAUCCCUCUAGUCAUCUAAGUGAUUACAUGAUCCGAGUCAAACUAGGCCGUGUCCGAUCAUCACGUGAGACGGACUAGUCAUCAUCGGUGAACAUCUUCAUGUUGAUCGUAUCUUCUAUAGGACUCAUGUUCGACCUUUCGGUCUCCGUGUUCCGAGGCCAUGUCUGUACAUGCUAGGCUCGUCAAGUUAACCCUAAGUGUUUCGCGUGUGUAAAUCUGUCUUACACCCGUUGUAUGUGAACGUUAGAAUCUAACACCCGAUCAUCACAUGGUGCUUCGAAACACGAACUGUCGCAACGGUGCACAGUUAGGGGAGAACACUUCUUGAAAUUGUUGUAAGGGAUCAUCUUAUUUACUACCGUCGUUCUAAGCAAAUAAGAUGUAUAAACAUGAUAAACAUCACAUGCAAUCAAAUAGUGACAUGAUAUGGCCAUCAUCACUUUGCUCCUUUUGAUCUCCAUCUUCGGGGCUCCAUGAUCAUCAUCGUCACCGGCAUGACACCAUGAUCUCCAUCAUCAUGAUCUCCAUCAUCGUGUCUUCAUGAAGUUGUCACGCCAACGACUACUUCUACUUCUAUGACUAACGCGUUUAGCAAUAAAGUAAAGUAGUUUACAUGGCGUUCUUCAAUGACACGCAGGUCAUACAAAAAAUAAAGACAACUCCUAUGGCUCCUGCCGGUUGUCAUACUCAUCGACAUGCAAGUCGUGAAUCCUAUUACAAGAACAUGAUCAAUCUCAUACAUUACAUAUAUCAUUCAUCACAUCCUUUUGGCCAUAUCACAUCACAUAGCAUACCCUGCAAAAACAAGUUAGACGUCCUCUAAUUGUUGUUUGCAUGUUUUACGUGGCUGCUAUGGGUUUCUAGCAAGAACGUUUCUUACCUACGCAUGAACCACAACGUGAUAUGCCAAUUGCUAUUUACCCUUCAUAAGGACCCUUUUCAUCGAAUCCGAUCCGACUAAAGUGGGAGAGACAGACACCCGCCAGCCACCUUAUGCAACUAGUGCAUGUUUGUCGGUGGAACCGGUCUCACGUAAGCGUACGUGUAAGGUUGGUCCGGGCCGCUUCAUCCCACGAUGCCGCCGAAUCAAGAUAAGACUAGUAACGGCAAGCAUAUUGAACAAUAUCGACGCCCACAACUACUUUGUGUUCUACUCGUGCAAAGAAUCUACGCAAUAGACCUAGCUCAUGAUGCCACUGUUGGGGAACGUAGCAGAAAUUCAAAAUUUUCCUACGUCUCACCAAGAUCUAUCUAUGGAGAGACCAGCAACGAGUAGAAAGAGAGUGCAUCUACAUACCCUUGUAGAUCGCUAAGCGGAAGCGUUGAAGUGAACGGGGUUGAUGGAGUCGUACUCGUCGUGAUUCAGAUCACCGAUGAUCGUAGUGCCGAACGGACGGCACCUCCGCGUUCAACACACGUACAGCUCGACGAUGUCUCCCACGCCUUGAUCCAGCAAGGAGAGAGGGAGAGGUUGAGGAAGACUCCAUCCAGCAGCAGCACAACGGCAUGGUGGUGAAGGAGGAGCGUGGCAAUCCUGCAGGGCUUCGCCAAGCACCUACGGGAGAGGAGGAGGUGUCACGGGAGGGAGGGAGGCGCCAAGGGCUCAGGUAUGGAUGCCCUCCCUCCCCUCCACCAUAUAUAGGGGCAGGGGAGAGGGGGGAGGCGCAGCCUUGCCCCUUCCUCCAAGGAAGGGGUGCGGCUAAGAGGGGGGGAGGAGUCCAUCCUCCCCAAGGCACCUCGGAGGUGCCUUCCCCCUUUAGGACUCUCCCCUUUUUUCUAUAUCUUGGCGCAUGGGCCUCUAGGGGCUGGUGCCCUUGGCCCUGUAGGCCAAGGCGCACCCCCUACAGCCCAUGUGGCCCCCCGGGGCAGGUGGCCCCACCCGGUGGGCCCCUGGGACCCUUCCGGUGGUCCCGGUACAAUACCGAUGACCCCGAAACUUGUCCCGAUGGCCGAAACAGGACUUCCUAUAUAUAAAUCUUUACCUCCGGACCAUUUCGGAACUCCUCGUGACGUCCGGGAUCUCAUCCGGGACUCCGAAACAACAUUCGGUAACCACAUACAAACUUCCUUUAUAACCCUAGCGUCAUCGAACCUUAAGUGUGUAGACCCUACGGGUUCGGGAGACAUGUAGUCAUGACCGAGAUGUUCUCCGGUCAAUAACCAACAGCGGGAUCUGGAUACCAUGUUGGCUCCCACAUGUUCCACGAUGAUAUCAUCGGAUGAACCACGAUGUCAAGGACUCAAUCAAUCCCGUAUACAAUUCCCUUUGUCUAGCGGUAUGGUACUUGCCCGAGAUUCGAUCGUCGGUAUACCGAUACCUUGUUCAAUCUCGUUACCGGCAAGUCUCUUUACUCGUUCCGUAACACAUCAUCCCGUGAUCAACCCCUUGGUCACAUUGUGCACAUUAUGAUGAUGUCCUACCGAGUGGGCCCAGAGAUACCUCUCCGUUUACACGGAGUGACAAAAUCCCAAUCUCGAUUCGUGCCAACCCAACAGACACUUUCAGAGAUACCCGUAGUGUACCUUUAUAGCCACCCAGUUACGUUGUGACGUUUGGCACACCCAAAGCGCUCCUACGGUAUCCGGGAGUUGCACAAUCUCAUGGUCUAAGGAAAUGAUACUUGACAUUAGAAAAGCUUUAGCAUACGAACUACAUGAUCUUGUGCUAGGCUUAGGAUUGGGUCUUGUCCAUCACAUCAUUCUCCUAAUGAUGUGAUCCCGUUAUCAACGACAUCCAAUGUCCAUGGUCAGGAAACCGUAACCAUCUAUUGAUUAACGAGCUAGUCAACUAGAGGCUUACUAGGGACAUGGUGUUGUCUAUGUAUCCACACAUGUAUCUGAGUUUCCUAUCAAUACAAUUCUAGCAUGGAUAAUAAACGAUUAUCAUGAACAAGGAAAUAUAAUAAUAAUCAAUUUAUUAUUGCCUCUAGGGCAUAUUUCCAACAAUAUCUACUCAAGUCAUCAGUGAGGGUGAGAACAUAACGAUAGCCUCCGCGAGCCUCAACGCUCAUUGGACCGCACACAUCAGUAUGUAUGAUUUCCAAUAAGCUGGUUGCUCGCUCCAUUGUUUCGGAGAAUGGAGUCUUGGUCAUUUUACCCAUGAGGCAUGGUUCGCACGUGUCAAAUGAUUCGAAAUCAAGAGACUCCAAAAGUCCAUCUGUAUGGAGCUUCUUCAUGCGUUUGACACCAAUGUGACCAAGGCGGCAGUGCCACAAGUAUGUGGGACUAUCGUUAUCAAUCUUACAUCUUUUGGUAUUCACACUAUGAAUGUGUGUAACAUCACGUUCGAGAUUCAUUAAGAAUAAACCAUUGACCAGUGGGGCAUGUCCAUAAAACAUGUCUCUCAUAUAAGUAGAACAACCAUUAUUCUCGGAUUUAAAUGUGUAGCCAUCUCGUAUUAAACGAGAUCCAGAUACAAUGUUCAUGCUCAAAGCUGGCACUAAAUAAAAAUUAUUGAGGUUUAAAACUAAUCCCGUAGGUAAAUGUAGAGGUAGUGUGCCGACGGCGAUCACAUCGACCUUGGAACCAUUCCCGACGCGCAUCGUCACCUCGUCCUUCGCCAGUCUCCGCUUAUUCCACAGCUCUUGUUUUGAGUUACAAAUAUGAGCAACCGCACCGGUAUCAAAUACCCAGGAGCUACUACGAGUACUGGUAAGGUACACAUUGAUAACAUGUAUAUCACAUAUACCUUUGGUGUUGCCGGCCUUCUUAUCCGCUAAGUACUUGGGGCAGUUCCGCUUCCAGUGUCCGCUUCCCUUGCAAUAAAAGCACUUAGUCUCAGGUUUGGGUCCAUGCUUUGGCUUCUUCCCGGCAACUGGCUUACCGGGUGCGGCAACUCUCUUGCCGUCCUUCUUGAAGUUCUUCUUACCCUUGCCUUUCUUGAAACUAGUGGUUUUAUUGACCGUCAACACUUGAUGUUGCUUUUUGAUUUCUACCUCCGCUAAUUUUAGCAUUGAAAUUACCUCAGGAAUAGUUUUCACCAUCCUCUGCAUAUUGUAGUUCAUCACAAAGCUCUUGUAGCUUGGUGGGAGCGACUGAAGGAUUCUGUCAAUGACCGCGUCAUCCGGGAGGUUAACUCCUAGCUGAGACAAUCGGUUGUGCAACCCAGACAUUUUGAGUAUGUGCUCGCUGACGGAACUAUUCUCCUCCAUCGUACAACUGUAGAACUUGUCCGAGACUUCAUAUCUCUCGACCCGGGCACGAGCUUGGAAAACCAUUUUCAGCUCUUGGAACAUCUCAUAUGCUCCGUGUUGCUCAAAACGCUUUUGGAGCCCAUGUUCUUAGCUGUAAAGCAUGCCGCACUGAACCAGGGAGUAAUCAUCACUAUGCGACUGCCAGGCGUUCAUAACGUCUUGAGUUGCUGGGAAAACGGGUGCUUCACCUAGCGGUGCAUCUAGGACAUAUGCUCUUUUGGCAGCUAUGAGGAUGAUCCUCAAGUUCCGGACCCAGUCCGUGUAGUUGCUGCCAUAGUCUUUCAGCUUGGUUUUCUCUAGGAACGCGUUGAAGUUGAGGACAACAUUAGCGUGGGCCAUUUGAUCUACAAGACAUAUUGCAAAAGUUUUAGACUAAGUUCAUGAUAAUUAAGUUCAUCUAUUCAAAUUAUUUAAUGAACUCCCACUUAGAUAGACAUCCCUCUAGUCAUCUAAGUGAUCCAUGAUCCGAGUCAACUAGGCCGUGUCCGAUCAUCACGUGAGACGGACUAGUCAUCAUCGGUGAACAUCUUCAUGUUGAUCAUAUCUUCUAUAUGACUCAUGUUCGACCUUUCGGUCUCUUGUGUUCCGAGGCCAUGUCUGUACAUGCUAGGCUCGUCAAGUCAACCUAAGUGUUUUUGCAUGUGUAAAUCUGUCUUACACCCGUUGUAUGUGAACGUUAGAAUCUAUCACACCCGAUCAUCAUGUGGUGCUUCGAAACAACGAACUUUCGCAACGGCACACAGUUAGGGGGAACACUUUCUUGAAAUAAUUAUGAGGGAUCAUCUUAUUUAGUACCAUCGUUCUAAGCAAAUAAGAUGCAAAAACAUGAUAAACAUCACAUGCAAUCAAAUAGUGACAUGAUAUGGCCAAUAUCAUUUUGCUCCUUUUGAUCUCCAUCUUCGGGGCGCCAUGAUCAUCAUCGUCACCGGCAUGACACCAUGAUCUCCAUCAUCGUGAUCUCCAUCAUCGUGUCUUCAUGAAAUUGUCACGCCAACGAUUACUUCUACUACUAUGGUAAAGUAAAGUAAUUACAUGGCGUUAUUCAAUGACACGCAGGUCAAAAAAUAAUUAAGACAACUCCUAUGGCUCCUGCUAGUUGUCAUACUCAUCAACAUGCAAGUCGUGAUUCCUAUUACAAGAACAUGAUCAAUCUCAUACAUCACAUAUAUAUCAUUCAUCACAUCCUUUUGGCCAUAUCACAUCACAAGGCAUAUGAUGCAAAAACAAGUUAGACGUCCUCUAAUUGUUGUUGCAUGUUUUUACGUGCCUGUAAUAGGGUUCUAGCAAGAACGUUUCUUACCUAUGUCAAAACCACAACGUGAUAUGCCAAUUUCUAUUUACCCUUCAUAAGGACCUUUUUCAUCGAAUCCAAUCCGACUAAGGUGGGAGAGAUAGACACCCGCUAGCCACGUUAUGCAACUAGUGCAUGUCAGUCGGUGGAACCUCUCUCACGUAAGCGUACGUGUAAGGUUGGUCCGGGCCGCUUCAUCCCACGAUGCCGCCGAAAUAAGAUAAGACUAGUAGUGGCAAGUAAAUUGACAAAAUCUACGCCCACAACAAAAUUGUGUUCUACUCGUGCAUAGAAACUACGCAUAAACGUGGCUCUGAUACCACUGUUGGGGAUCAUAGCAGAAAUUUAAAAUUUUCUACGCAUCACCAAGAUCAAUCUAUGGAGUCAUCUAGCAACGAGAGAGAGAGAGAGGAGUGCAUCUACAUACCCUUCUAGAUCGUGAGCGGAAGCGUUCAAGAGAACGGGGUUGAUGGAGUCGUACUCGUCAUGAUCCAAAUCACCGAUGAUCCUAGCGCCGAACGAACAACACCUCCGCGUUCAACACACGUACGGAGCGGAGAUGUCUCCCGCGCCUUGAUGCAGCAAGGAGGAGAGAGAGGUUGAGGAAGAGGGCUCCAGCAGCAGCACGACAGCGUGGUGGUGAUGGAGAGGCAGUACUCCGGCAGGGCUUCGCCAAGCUAUGAUGGAGGAGGAGAGGUGUUGGGGACGGGAGGGGCUGCGCCUUGGAGGUGUGUGUGCAGCCCUCCCCUCGCCCCUCUAUUUAUCGGGGGAGGAGGAAGGGCGGCAGCCCCCUCUAGAUGAGAUCUAGAGGGGGGAGGGGGCGACGNNNNNNNNNNNNNNNNNNNNNNNNNNNNNNNNNNNNNNNNNNNNNNNNNNNNNNNNNNNNNNNNNNNNNNNNNNNNNNNNNNNNNNNNNNNNNNNNNNNNNNNNNNNNNNNNNNNNNNNNNNNNNNNNNNNNNNNNNNNNNNNNNNNNNNNNNNNNNNNNNNNNNNNNNNNNNNNNNNNNNNNNNNNNNNNNNNNNNNNNNNNNNNNNNNNNNGGGGGGGGGGGACUUGCCCCCCAAGCAAGGGGGGGCGCCCGCUUUAGGGUUUCCCCCCAACCCUAGGCGCAUGGUCACAAGGGGGGAUGCGUCGAGCCCUCUAAGGGCUGGUUCCCUUCCCUCUACGACCCAUGAGGCCCUCCGGGAGACGUGACCCUCCCGGUGGACCCCCGGAAUCCUUCCGGUGGCCCCGGUACAAUACCGGUAUGCCCCCGAACUUUUCCGGUGACCGUAUUACAACUUCCCAUAUAUAAAUCUUCACCUCCGGACCAUUCCAGAACUCCUCAUGACGUCCGGGAUCUCAUCCGGGACUCCUAACAACAUUAGGUAAUCACAUACAAGUCUUCCUAAUAACCCUAGCGCCACCGAACCUUAAGUGUGUAGACCCUACGGGUUCGGGAAUCACGCAGACAUGACCGAGACAGCUCUCCGACCAAUAUCAACAGCGGGAUCUGGAUACCCAUGUUGGCUCCCACAUGUUCCACGAUGAUCUCAUCGGAUGAACCACGAUGUCGAGUAUUCAAGUAAUCCUGUAUACAAUUCCCUUUGUCACACGGUACAUUACUUGCCCGAGAUUCAAUCAUCGGUAUCCCAAUACCUUGUUCAAUCUUGUUUCCAGCAAGUCACUUUACUCGCUCCAUAAUGCAUGAUCCCGUGACCAACCACUUGGUCACAUUGAGCUCAUUAUGAUGAUGCAUUACCGACUGGUCCCAGAGAUACCUCUCCGUCAUACGGAGUGACAAAUCGCAGUCUUGAUUCGUGCCAACCCAACAGACACUUCCGGAGAUACCUGUAGUGCACCUUUAUAGUUACCUAGUUACGUUGCGACGUUUGGUACACCCAAAGCACUCCUAUGGUAUCCGGGAGUUACACAAUCUCAUGGUCUAAGAAACUGAUACUUGACAUUAGAAAAGCUUUAGCAAACGAACUACACGAUCUUGUGCUAUGCUUAGGAUUGGGUCUUGUCCAUCACAUCAUUCUCCUAAUGAUUUGAUCCCGUUAUCAAUGACAUCCAAUGUCCAUAGUAAGGACACUACUAGGAAAAGGCCUACUAAUCGCGCACCGGUUUUGCCUACUAAUGGCGCACUACCGGUGCGCCAUUAGUAUCACGCCACUAGUAUUUUUUACUAAUGGUGCACCACUGGUGCGCCAUUAGUAUCUGGUAUACUAAUGGCGCACCAUGCAGUGCGCCAUUAGUUUUGCCCACAGUGCGCCACUAGUGUCUUCUAUACUAAUGGCGCACCACAUGGUAGUGCGCCAUUAGUAACAAUUUUUUUAUUUUUUUUCUUACUCUCAGGUCACUAUUUCACCUAUGAGAUAUCCAACACAUAUAUAUACAACAAGCAUCCAUAUAACAAUCAUAGCCAACACACAAGUUCCAUCAUAUAUACAUACAUAGCCAACACACAAGUUCCAUCAUAUAUACAUACAUAGCCAACACAUAAUUCCAUCGUUACAUAUUACAAAAGUUUCACAUUGUUCAUCCAACACCGUUAUCAAUUCACAAAAGUUUCACAUUGAUACAAAAUAAAAACACAAAUGGAAAAGAAGCACUCCAUCCAGGCAGUGGAGGCAGUGGGAUGUAGUCUUCUACCACAAUUGGCGUGGUCAUGUCGCCCAGCUGUGGGAUCGCCGGCGCCACCACCGGUGCGUGGUCAUUGUCAGGCACCACCACCAUCGCGAGGCCACCUUCAGGCACGACCAUCGCUAGGUCAUCCUCAGCCAGCUCCAUCUCUUGCCCAUGGUCAUCCACCACCAUCUCUUGCCCAUGGUCAGCCAACACCAUCUCUUGCCCUUGGUCAGCCACCACCAGUGCUAGGUCAUCCUCAGCCUGAUGCCCAUCGUCAUCCUGCAGCUCCUCAUCCCCACUCUGCUCCUCUUCUCCCGCACUCCAGUCCGGAUCAUCCUUCUUGUUGUCUAUGCUGCUACCAGAAUCGCUGCUGCUUUCGCUACAGCUAGAAUCGCUGCUGCUUUCGCUACAGCCAGAAUCAAUAUUUUGUCUCGAGGCAGAAAGAUACCAUGUUUACUAAAUGCAUAUUGCUUAAUCCCUGUAACCCAUGACCAUUGUAGGAGUAAGCUUGUCGGUAAGCUUUUCUAAUACAGUUUGGGCCCAAGCAAAGUCACUGUCGCUAAGCCAACACUCAAAAGAUAAUAACAACCAUAAGGAUAUGUCAUGCGUGAAUACAUUGAAAAGUGAUGUCAAAAGGCAGGCAUAAGGGUCUGGUUAGUUGAGUCAUCAAAUGAUGAAGCUCCAAUAGAACAAUUGAAUAAGAAAAGGGGAGAUGCCUUAUGGCAGCACGUUUUCCAAAUUACUACAUCCACUUGCAGAGCAAUAUGCAGUGACAGGCAGGCAUAAGCAUGACAUGGCUUGAGCCAAAAAUAAUUAAAUAUUUCAAGCUAAAAGAGAGUAGACAAUGUGAAAUGACAGUAUCCUUGCUUACAACUAGUCCCUGGAAGUUGGUAUAGUAUGGUACCGGGCAAUCAACGCAGACAUAUUAACAAACAAGCAACAUAAGAAGAACAAACACUAAAAUACACGGGACAUAGCUUGAACAAUUAAUUAUUUGUCAACCUAGAAAAGCAAUACUGUCAAAUGACAGCAUCAUCUCAUACAGCUAGCCCUGUAAGUUACAACAAAAUGGUACUAGAUAGAUUAACCAAUGUGCAACUUAAGACAGACCAUCACUAAAAUGUAAAAUCAAUGUAUGCAAUCAAACUCUAUUCUUCCUUUAAAGUCAAAUGGUACUAGACAGAUUAACCAAUGUGUAACUUAAGACUUUAGGAUUCUCACAAUCUGUCAAUGUAGUACAUGCCAACAGGUGUACAAGGUGGCGACGAGGCGGACGGUGGGGAGGCGGGGAGCUUCGGACUUGCGGGCGGGGCUGACGGCGGGGAGGAGGGCGGAGGGGAGGUGNNNNNNNNNNNNNNNNNNNNNNNNNNNNNNNNNNNNNNNNNNNNNNNNNNNNNNNNNNNNNNNNNNNNNNNNNNNNNNNNNNNNNNNNNNNNNNNNNNNNNNNNNNNNNNNNNNNNNNNNNNNNNNNNNNNNNNNNNNNNNNNNNNNNNNNNNNNNNNNNNNNNNNNNNNNNNNNNNNNNNNNNNNNNNNNNNNNNNNNNNNNNNNNNNNNNNNNNNNNNNNNNNNNNNNNNNNNNNNNNNNNNNNNNNNNNNNNNNNNNNNNNNNNNNNNNNNNNNNNNNNNNNNNNNNNNNNNNNNNNNNNNNNNNNNNNNNNNNNNNNNNNNNNNNNNNNNNNNNNNNNNNNNNNNNNNNNNNNNNNNNNNNNNNNNNNNNNNNNNNNNNNNNNNNNNNNNNNNNNNNNNNNNNNNNNNNNNNNNNNNNNNNNNNNNNNNNNNNNNNNNNNNNNNNNNNNNNNNNNNNNNNNNNNNNNNNNNNNNNNNNNNNNNNNNNNNNNNNNNNNNNNNNNNNNNNNNNNNNNNNNNNNNNNNNNNNNNNNNNNNNNNNNNNNNNNNNNNNNNNNNNNNNNNNNNNNNNNNNNNNNNNNNNNNNNNNNNNNNNNNNNNNNNNNNNNNNNNNNNNNNNNNNNNNNNNNNNNNNNNNNNNNNNNNNNNNNNNNNNNNNNNNNNNNNNNNNNNNNNNNNNNNNNNNNNNNNNNNNNNNNNNNNNNNNNNNNNNNNNNNNNNNNNNNNNNNNNNNNNNNNNNNNNNNNNNNNNNNNNNNNNNNNNNNNNNNNNNNNNNNNNNNNNNNNNNNNNNNNNNNNNNNNNNNNNNNNNNNNNNNNNNNNNNNNNNNNNNNNNNNNNNNNNNNNNNNNNNNNNNNNNNNNNNNNNNNNNNNNNNNNNNNNNNNNNNNNNNNNNNNNNNNNNNNNNNNNNNNNNNNNNNNNNNNNNNNNNNNNNNNNNNNNNNNNNNNNNNNNNNNNNNNNNNNNNNNNNNNNNNNNNNNNNNNNNNNNNNNNNNNNNNNNNNNNNNNNNNNNNNNNNNNNNNNNNNNNNNNNNNNNNNNNNNNNNNNNNNNNNNNNNNNNNNNNNNNNNNNNNNNNNNNNNNNNNNNNNNNNNNNNNNNNNNNNNNNNNGUCGUCGGUGGCAGUGGAGCGAGGGAGGGUGCGGGGGGUGCUCGGCGGCGGUGGAGCGCGGGCCGGGGAGGGCGCCAUUAGUAGUUUUGUAAAAAAGUAAAAUAAAUAAAUAUAUAUACUAAUGGCGCACCCGGUCAUAGUGCGCCAUUACUAGUUUAAACUAGUAAUGACACACUGUGAAACGGUGCGCCAUUAGUAUUUUUGCAAAAAAAAGAAAUAAAAAAAUACAGUAAUAGCGCACUUUCUGGCUGGUGCGCCAUUACUAGUUAGAACUAGUAAUGGCGCACUUCAACCUGAUGCGCCAUUAGUAUGUAUGGAAAAAUGGAAAAAAAAUAAUACUAGUGGCGCACCUUGUGUUUGGUGCGCCAUUAGUGUCUUCCACACUAAUGGCGCAUCACCAACCGGUGCGCCAUUAGUAUAUAGUAGUGGCGCACUACUUACCUGGUGCGCCAUUAGUAUCAAUCCUAUCUAUAGCCCUUUUCCUAGUAGUGGGAAACCAUGACUAUCUGUUGAUCAAUGAGCUAGUCAACUAGAGGCUCACUAGGGACAUGUUGUGGUCUAUGUAUUCACACAUGUAUCACUGUUUUCAGUUAAUACAAUUAUAGCAUGAACAAUAGACAAUUAUCAUGAACAAGGAAAUAUAAUAAUAAUCAUUUUAUUAUUGCCUCUAGGGCAUAUUUCCAACAUCAACUUCAUACGGGUGGAUCCUCCGUCAACUAUGUCGCCCGCGACAACAACUGCAACACCAACAACCGUGGCAAGGGCAACUACCGCGACAAGGGUCGCGACAACUCUAGUGACCGUGGUGACUACAACAACAACAACCGUGGAGGGUACCGUGGUGACUGCGGUGGUGGUGGCAAUCGUCAGAACGGUAAUCGUGGUGGUGACCGCGGUCACCAUGGCGGUGGCGGGGAUGCACGUCUGCAGUGCCAGCUCUGUCGGGGCCCUGGGCACUAUGCCUCGGAGUGCGCUUAGCGCUACAACCACGCCUUCCAACCUCAACACUCCUAGAUGGUGGGUCUCGCUGCCGCUUCACCACCAUCCAUCCUCGGCGACCCUACCUGGUCCACUGACACGGGGGCUACCGAUCAUAUCACGUCGGAUCUGGACCGUAUCACCGUGAGGGAAAAGUACCCUGGACGGGACCACAUCCACACUCCCGACGGAUCAGGUUUGCACAUAGCUCAUCGUGGUCAUGCCCUUCUUCCUACACCCUCUGUCAAUCUUAAACUUCGCAACAUAUUACAUGUUCCCAAUGCCGACAAGAACCUUCUUUCUGUUAAUCGUCUUGCCGUUGACAAUCAUGCUUAUCUAAAAUAUUAUCCUGCUCAUUUUCUUAUGAAGGAUUUGACAACCAAGAUGGUUCAUCUUCACGGCAGAUGUGAAAAUGGGCUCUAUCCCAUUCGGCCUUCACGUUCUCAUGUCUUGUCUUCAGUUAGGCUCUCUGCUGAAGAUUGACAUGCUAGACUCAGCCACCCGUCCACACAAGUUGUUCAUCAUGUUUUGGCGUCCAAUAAAUUAGCAUCGUCGAGUCGGGCUUUGACCCAUGUGUGUAAUGCUUGUUAACAGGGCAAAGCACAUCAGCUACCUUUUCCUAGAUCUUCGAAUGUUUCCUCGUUUUCAUUGGAACUUAUUUUCUCAGAUGUGUGGGGACCUGCCAAAACCUCCUCUGGUGGGUCCCAGUACUAUGUUUCAUUUAUUGAUGAUUAUUGUAAAUUUUUGUGGAUUUAUCUUCUCAAACAAAAGUAUGAUGUGUUUGAUGUCUUUCGUGAUUUUCUUGCCCAUGUUGAACGCCUCCUAUCUCGCAAAAUCCUAUGUGUUCAAUCAGACUGGGGUGGGGAAUACGAAAAACUUAGCAACACAUUUUUUCGGCAACUUGGCAUUGCUCACCACGUCUCUUGUCCACACACACACCAACAAAAUGGCUCGGCCGAAAGGAAGCACCGUCACAUUAUUGACAUGGGUAUCUCCUUAUUAUCGCAUGCGUCUAUGCCCCUCCGUUUUUGGGAUGAGGCGUACUUGUACGCAUGCUACCUUAUCAACUGACUACCUAGCCGCGUCAUUGGCAAUAUGAGUCCCAUGGAAAAAUUGUUUUCCACCAAGCCUGACUACGCAUCUCUUCGCACGUUCGGGUGUGCAUGUUGGCCUAACUUGCGCCCGUAUAACACUCAGAAACUUGCGUUUAGAUCACAAUAGUGUGUGUUUGUCGGGUACAUCAUUCAUCACAAAAGAUAUAAAUGUCUUCACGUACCUACCGCUCGUNNNNNNNNNNNNNNNNNNNNNNNNNNNNNNNNNNNNNNNNNNNNNNNNNNNNNNNNNNNNNNNNNNNNNNNNNNNNNNNNNNNNNNNNNNNNNNNNNNNNNNNNNNNNNNNNNNNNNNNNNNNNNNNNNNNNNNNNNNNNNNNNNNNNNNNNNNNNNNNNNNNNNNNNNNNNNNNNNNNNNNNNNNNNNNNNNNNNNNNNNNNNNNNNNNNNNNNNNNNNNNNNNNNNNNNNNNNNNNNNNNNNNNNNNNNNNNNNNNNNNNNNNNNNNNNNNNNNNNNNNNNNNNNNNNNNNNNNNAAACCUCCUCUGGUGGGUCCCAGUACUAUGUUUCAUUUAUUGAUGAUUGUUGUAAUUUUUUGUGGAUUUAUCUUCUCAAACAAAAGUAUGAUGUGUUUGAUGUAUUUCGUGAUUUUCUUGCCCAUGUUGAACGCCUCCUAUCUCGCAAAAUCCUAUGUGUUCAAUCAGACUGGGGUGGGGAAUACGAAAAACUUAGCAACACAUUUUUUCGGCAACUUGGCAUUGCUCACCACGUCUCUUGUCCACACACACACCAACAAAAUGGCUCGGCCGAAAGGAAGCACCGUCACAUUAUUGACAUGGGUAUCUCCUUAUUAUCGCAUGCGUCUAUGCCCCUCCGUUUUUGGGAUGAGGCGUACUUGUACGCAUGCUACCUUAUCAACUGACUACCUAGCCGCGUCAUUGGCAAUAUGAGUCCCAUGGAAAAAUUGUUUUCCACCAAGCCUGACUACGCAUCUCUUCGCACGUUCGGGUGUGCAUGUUGGCCUAACUUGCGCGCGUAUAACACUCAGAAACUUGCGUUUAGAUCACAAUAGUGUGUGUUUGUCGGGUACAUCAUUCAUCACAAAAGAUAUAAAUGUCUUCACGUACCUACCGCUCGUGUGUAUAUAUAUAUAUAUAUAUAUAUAUAUAUAUAUAUAUAUAUAUAUAUAUAUAUAUAUAUAUAUCACGAGAUGUUAUCUUUGAUGAACAAAAUUUUCCUUUUACCAAUGACCAACCCUCUCCAAUACCGCCUCGCGUUGCUGAACAUGCAAUCCUUUUAUUUCCACAUGACCACAUGAACUAUGGUGCAUCUGUUUCUCGAACUAAUCUGGAUGCAGGUACCGAUUCGGUGCAGCAAAACCCAUCUCCGGACUCCCAGGCAGAUCCUGUCUCCCAAUCCGCCGCCGCAUCAGCCUAGGAUCACAAGGUGUGUCGAUCCAAUCUCUUCUCUCUUUGGUUCACAAGGUGUCCGUGGGAUGUAUGAAAUAAAACCAUAAAUUUACACACUAUUGUAUCGAUUGAGAACUCAAGAGCAAAGCCCGUUUCCAACCUCGACUCGGCAAACGUGGUUUCUUACCCAUCAUGCUUCUCUCACCAACGACCACCAUGAAGCCAUUGCUUUUCUCUCCAUGAUCUUUGGUCCUUCUCCACCAGCAAUGUGAAACAAAGGCAAUAUGACAGCUUCAUACUCCAUGGUCUUUCUUUUGAGCUUCAAGGUAGUAUGAUAGUAUAAUCAGUGUACAGUACUGUCCAAGACCGAACCAAACUGGUUCAUAUAGCUGUAAAAAUCUCUUGUGAUCAACAACAAAACUAAUGCUAAUAUUCAGGAUUUCAAACUUGAAGCAUUUGGAGAUCAACAAAGAAAAAAGUCAAAUUGACGGCAUGCUUUUAAAUAAAGAUCAUGCAACUUUACAAGACUUUCAUCUCAAUAAAACCAUAUCAGUUGCACAUGCAGAUGAGAGAAAUGGGAAAUACUCUAUUUCAUUCAAGGGUUGUAGUAUGUCAAUUAUUAAAAUGCAAGCACAUUAUAAGUCACAAACCUCCAACGCGCAGAUAAUUUCGGAAAUGCCUAAACCUUAGAUAAUUUGGGAAAGGAGGGUGGCUACAGUCCCCUUGGCUGAUAUACAUAGGUCUAGCUGUAACAUCUUUGGGCAAAGCAUCAUUUGCAACUGGUAACCACAGAAUAUGUAUUUGGCGCUCCUACCGAAGAAAAGAAAAGAAAAGGAUUUAAAAGUGAAUGCCGCCUUCAUAGGUCACAAACCUCGGAUUGUCAACAUCUUCUUGUGAAUGUACACAUAUUUGAAAUACUUGAAGCGGCUGGGAUAAUGUUCUUAAAAAUGGGUUGCUUCAGAGAUAAGAAACUAGUACUGCAGUCAGACCAAAAGGAAAUUCAAGGGCACAAAAUACUUCCAGCAGGCCUUUGCAAAUUGGCAAUUAAUUAAAAAAAGGUGAUGUAUUGGCACAAACACAUGAUGCAGAAGUUUAAUUCAAGGACGGGGAAGUAAGAAUAAGGCCACGUACGUACUAACGAAAGAGGGGAUCAAGGACGAGCUGUAAAAUCCAAAUGAAAAUAUCAAUACAUAAUGAACAGCACCAUUGCGUUGAAAUACCACAAGUCGCUGCUAGUAAGAUUACAUAUGCCGGCUCUCUUGGACAACAAAGCCUAACUCAGGAUUCGACUACGCACGAUUAAUUUGUUGUGUUUGACGUUCCUCUUCCUCUCUUUUUUUUUUGCGAUUAAGUUGCUGCUACACUAAUGUCAAAAAAUGUCUUACAUUAUGGGACUGAGGGACCAAGACAGCUUAAUAAUUAAUUAAUGGUCACACUCCAACUGCUGGACCGGCUAGCUAAACGGACACGCUGGAUGAUAUGUUAUCACGUUCCCCCAUGAACUCCAAAUCUGGCGAAACCACCUACCGUCGCACGAGGGAAGGCGCCGCCGGUCGUGGAACACGCGGUCUGCAGGUCACAUCGGUCCACGCCUUGUUGGGUUCACGCGGUCCAGACGCCAUGCACGCCAAGUAAUUGAGAAAGAGAGAGCCAUGCACGCACGCGAAGCACGCUGCCCUGUGACUAAACAACGAAUAAUGGGCUCGUCCUUGUCCAUAGCCAGGCUUCGAAUGGGUUUGUUAUAGAGCUACUGCUGCUGGAGAUGAUCAAAGAAAGACAAGUCUUCGUAGUAGGCACGUGCCGUUGUUGGUCUAGUCCCGGCCACACCGUCAAUGUAUCAGCUAGCGUGAAGCAUCGAUACUUUAUACGUCCAAACAAAUGCACUAGUAGUAUGGUCUUUGCAUGCUUGGUGCUGCUGCAUGUGGGCUGUGGAGGUUUUUGAGCAUACUGUCUGCAUGCAUGCAUCUUGAUAAUAACAAUCCAAUCCAAUCCAAUCCUAUGGUCUUUGCAUGCUUGGUACAGUGCCUACCAAUCCAAUCCUACUGUCUGCAUGCAUGCAUGCAUCUAAAUGCGGCGGGCGUCCUGUGGGUCACGAGGAGCGUGACCAGACCGCGUGUUCCACCAAAAAAAAAACAAAAAAAAAAUGAUACGGGCCCUCGUCGAACACGGUGCCCUGUCCACCUCCGUACCAAAAGAUAAAUCCGCACUCGUUUUUACUGUUUUUUUACCAAGAUUUAUUUUAAAUCUCUACUUUUAAUGGACGAGUUGGUGAAUCGUCUCUGCGGUUUAUUUUCGCUGGGUUUUUUUCGUCUCUCUUCCCACCACCCCCUCCCAACACCCACUAAUCCACUGAAUAGUCAUCACAUUUUAUCAUGCAAUCAGAAAGCCGUGGUGUUCACAACAUUUUGGACAAGUGGGAUAGUUAUUUCAUGCUAACAACUCAUUGAGACCGGACUAUGCACUUGCAGAGUAAAGACUCUAUAGCUACGACAAAUAAUUUGGAUCGGCGGGAGUAGAACAAAUACACGUGUAAAUGUUUGGUAACUGCAGAGGAAAUGAUAAUAUAUGUAAAGAAAAGAACAAUUUAUGUAGAUUUCAUAGGAUUGGUACACUGAGUGGAAAAAAUGAAAUAAACUAAAGAGAAGCAAAUUUGAAAAAUCUAUAAACAAAAAGUAAAACUUAAAUGCAAUAAUACAGAGAGUUCCUGGUGAGAUUUAUUACAAAUCAAAUGACGACUCCUUCCUUUCCAGUUUAUAAGUCUUGCACGUGUAUCUUGGCUGCUAAUUUACCAAGUUAAUUACACGUGCAAGACUAAUAAACACGUACGGACGGAAGGAGAUAGUAUCUCCGAAGUGGAAGUAAGUACAUUUAAGGGUAUACUUCGAUAAUUGAUCGAAUCCCAUUGGUUCGAGUGAUCUUGUAGUCGCUGAACCCGGCUUCGGAGAAAAUCAAGCUCCACUCGUUUUCCUCUCGCUCCAUUCCAUCGGAGCCCAUCAUGUAGAUAUCUAACAAAACCUGCGCCUCUUUGGAAUGGUUGGGCUGAGUCACCGGAUAUCCCACCACCAUGUCGAUGAUUAUCACCUUUCCUCCGGCUUCUUUCGCUGGGAUCGCUUCCUUGCACCGGCGCAUUAUCUUGACGCAGUCUUCGUGUUUCCAGUCAUGCAAAAUCCACUGGAACCAAACAUACAUAUUAUAUCCCAUUAGCAUAGUAGACCAGCAGAAAAAAGAAGAACAUAUCCAAAAAUAAAAAUAAAAAUAAAAAAUUACCUUGAGUAGAACAGCAUCCGCAGGUGGGACAUACUCAAACAUAUUUCCGGCGACGAAGGUCAAAAUGUCGCUGGCGGGAGCCGCGGCGACGACGUGUGGGAGGUCCAGAACGCUGCACUUGAGGUGCGGGAACGCUCUCGCCACGGCCGACGCGGUGGCGCCAUGGUUGCCGCCGAUGUCCACCAGCGAGCUUUUCACUUCCCUGAACGCUCCGCCGUGCUCCUUCAACAGGACCUUCAUGGCGAUGCGGCUGUCCGCGGCCAUGCCGUCGUUGAACAAGCCGCCAUCGACCUUGGUGGUGUCCCAGAACGUGCAGCCGUUGGCCAGCUGGACGAGCGAGUGCGACUGUGCCGACUCUCCCUCUUGGCCUUGGGUAAACCACUCGGGCAUUUUGAGGAGAGAGGUCCAGCAUAACGUGUUGACGAUGGUGCCCACCAUCGGGGACAGGUUGUGCGGUGAUCUCUCGACAAGGAGCCGGGAGACCCGCGUGAGCUUGUAAUACGCAGCGCCAUCACCGGCGUGGUCGUUGCUGCCUUUGCCUUGGACAAUGGAGAAUACCCCGGUGGUGGUGAGCACCCGCAUGACCCGCCGGAGGUUGGAGCGCUUCGUGGGGUGGAUCCCGGUGUCGGAGGCCAGCUCGGACAAGGUGGCGGCGCCGCCGCGGCGGUGGAUGGCGUCGGGGAUGCGCAGGUCCGUGGCGGCCUUGAGCGCCAGUGACUUGACGAAGGCGAGGCCGUGGUGGUAGAGCUCCAGCUGAGCUUGAAGUAACUCGUCGCUGCUCAUGGCGAGGUCUUGGUCUCGUUCGAUGUGCUGCGCGGCCGGCAUGGUGUAUGUGUAUGAUCGAUCGAGUGUGGUAUGCUAGCUGCUACCUGCUUCUUGCUUCUUCCUUACGUAGAGAAAACGUAGUACCUUCUUAUAGAUAUAGAUGCAUGCGCAUGGUUUCCUAGUAGCUAGCUUCCUUUUGCGGGUUUUUUCUUGUUCAGGGAAGCUUCCUUUUGCGGCUUGGUUUGAGGUUACUGCUUCUAGUUGUAGCCUCCUCCUAUCCUCGCUGUGUGGACGUAGUCUCCCAUUCACCUUAGUAAACAAUUUGGACCUCUCAUUGAGAAGAUUAUAUUUCCACAACAGUUUCUUUUCGUUAUUUCAUUUUUAUGGGGAUUCGUUAAAACCCACCCCUUGAUGCAUGUUCAAGACAAUAGCAUUUCUCAAGGGGCAAAACAAGAGAUGACCUACAAAAAAAAGAUCCUCGUUUGGACCCAUGGUUCUGAAGUCCGUGCACUUCGACCCUACCUAAUUGUUCACUCAAGCACCACAUCACCUUGUGGUCGGCGGGUUAGGAGUAGUAACUACCAUGUGUCCCCAGGGCGCUAGGUGUCCAGGUUUAGUAUAAUAUUGAUGCCAUCUUUCCAAGUGACGGUAUCUUGACAAGUGUUGCUCAGCACUGGUUUGGCUUGGCAGUGGCCAGGCAGCCCGCCCGGGAUCGAUCCCCGUUGGGGACGAUUGCUGGUGUCUCACCAGGGAUUGGCACCCGAAUAGCAUCCCUACACUUUCGUGCCACGCAAAGCAACGAACAAACAAAAACGAAAAUACUAGAAACUUGAGACUCUAGAAGAAUAGAAGAAGCAACGAACCAACAAAAACGAAAAUACUAGAAACUUGAGACUCUAGAAGAAUAGAAGAAGCAACGGAAGUAACCAGAUCUGGAUAAGUGGCGUAUGAAGAAACCUUGGAAUAGAAGAAGAACACUAGUGCAGAACCGGCCUUUAGUGCCGGUUCGUAACGGCCUUUAGUGCCGGUUCUACAACCGGCACUAAAGAGUGGGGACUAAAGGUCCCUCCUCCUUUAGUAUCGGUUUGUCAUGAACCGGCGCUAAAGUGCGAACACGUGGCACGAGCCAGGCCCGGGUGCGCGUAGGGGCUUUAGUACCGGUUGGUAAUACCAACCGGUACUAAAUGUUUGUGUUUUUUUUUAUUUUCCAUUACUUUUUUUGUUUGCUGGUAUUUCACGAUACUACAAAUUGUACACGUUAUGCAUAUAUAUAAAUAGAUUUUCUUGUACGUAUAGAACCGCAUAUAUAGGGUCGAGUGAACAAUUUGGUGAAGCCAUCGCACCAUCACUUGCUCACGCAACCGGGCCUCCUCUCGCAGCCGCUCCCGCUCAUAGCAGCCCGUCCUCAGUCUCAGGNNNNNNNNNNNNNNNNNNNNNNNNNNNNNNNNNNNNNNNNNNNNNNNNNNNNNNNNNNNNNNNNNNNNNNNNNNNNNNNNNNNNNNNNNNNNNNNNNNNNNNNNNNNNNNNNNNNNNNNNNNNNNNNNNNNNNNNNNNNNNNNNNNNNNNNNNNNNNNNNNNNNNNNNNNNNNNNNNNNNNNNNNNNNNNNNNNNNNNNNNNNNNNNNNNNNNNNNNNNNNNNNNNNNNNNNNNNNNNNNNNNNNNNNNNNNNNNNNNNNNNNNNNNNNNNNNNNNNNNNNNNNNNNNNNNNNNNNNNNNNNNNNNNNNNNNNNNNNNNNNNNNNNNNNNNNNNNNNNNNNNNNNNNNNNNNNNNNNNNNNNNNNNNNNNNNNNNNNNNNNNNNNNNNNNNNNNNNNNNNNNNNNNNNNNNNNNNNNNNNNNNNNNNNNNNNNNNNNNNNNNNNNNNNNNNNNNNNNNNNNNNNNNNNNNNNNNNNNNNNNNNNNNNNNNNNNNNNNNNNNNNNNNNNNNNNNNNNNNNNNNNNNNNNNNNNNNNNNNNNNNNNNNNNNNNNNNNNNNNNNNNNNNNNNNNNNNNNNNNNNNNNNNNNNNNNNNNNNNNNNNNNNNNNNNNNNNNNNNNNNNNNNNNNNNNNNNNNNNNNNNNNNNNNNNNNNNNNNNNAUAUAUAUAUAUAUAUAUAUAUAUAUAUAUAUAUAUAUCAUCGAAUGUCUCACAACCAACACCAUUAUUCACACAUACACAUGUAUACAUAUACAAUUUCUCCUACAUAUGUUGCCUUGGUGCCUCCGGAGCACGAUGACAAGUGGUUCAUGGGGGCGGUAGCGGGUAAUAGUAUUCUCCUUCGGGAUUUAUGACCUGGUCGAGCAAAAAUCCGGCUAUUUCCUCUUGAAGUGCUAGUAUGCGGUCCGAUGGUAGGAGCUUAUCCCGUCUCUGAACUGUUAAGAAGGAGAUCAAUAUGCAUGUGUGUUAGUUGUGUGACUAGAUAUCGAUAAUGGUGUGAAUAGUGUUCUGACAAACGUACCCAGUCCUGUCUAUCAGAUUUGCUCCUUUCGGACGUCAUCAUGCGAAUGUUCUCGCAAACGUAGAAUGCACACAAAUUAUUCCCCGACGCCUGCUUCAGGGCCUUUACGAGAAUGAAAUUGAAUCAGAUAAUGAUUAAUUAAUCAAGCAUGAUAAUUAAUUAAUGAUAUUGAAACAAGAAUUAAAGACAUGGUAGCUAGCUAGUACUACUUAAUUACUUACCUUUGGUCGAUGCCAAAACAACUUUUGUUUCCAUUCGCCUGGAGUCACCGCGAUGAACUUUGCCCAUGCCCUGCCCGCCAGGAAAGAAAAUUAAUAAAGGGGUUAUUAAAUAGUUCAUAUCAGAAAAUGACAAACUAAUAAUAGGCCGAGAUAUAUAUAGUUAAUAAUGAUUGAAAUUACCUGUUGACUAUCCCCUUCACGAUGGUGAAGUCACUUUCUUCUUUAGUUAGCGAGUCCGGUAAUUCAACUUUUCCUUCCUCAACUUUAAUGUCUAUCAAGACCCAGUGCCAACUGCAUGCGCACACAUUUGCAUGUCUUAAAUAAGCGGGCAUGUGCAUAAAAUUAAUCAACUACCGUAAACCGUAUACACUUAAUUAUUAAUAUCUAGCUAGAUAGUAAGCAAAAACAGAAUUUGUAGUACAAAACAGUGUGACUCACGGGAAAUUGUAAGGAAGUAGUAUAUCUUCAUUGCUAUUGAGGCGCUUCAAGAACUCUACCAUGCUUUCCUCUACACCUGCUUGAUAAAAUGGAUACUUCCAUAUGUCCUCAUUAAUGGUAUUUGGGUCAAUGAACCCAAUGCCAUAGCAUCCAAAUUUUUUCAUUUCAUACUUCUUCAUCCUGCAUAUAAUACCACAGAAAAGAAUAUAGUGAGGAUAAUUACAUGUAAUGAUUGAUCAAAAUUAUCACUACAUAAUUAGCUUGAGACUUAAAUUACAAAAAGAAAUCACUUACAGACAAUAGCAACUGACAUAGACUUGUCGAGUGCGUCUUGAUUGAAUAACUGAUAUAGUUCUGAAUACUCAAUGGACAGAGCUUUCUCAUGGUAAUAAUGCUCCUUCUUGACAUUCACCAUGAGGGACACUUGAUUGGAAAUCUUGGUCAUGUUCAUGUACCAUUGAUGCAAUUCAUACAUUCUCGUUGGGAGGUCCUUGACCUUGUCUGGAUGGACCAAAGGUUGGCCCCAGGCAUAUUUCCAUUUUAUUUCCGAUUCUUUAAGCGGAGACAUGGGCUCGAUUUCGAGGAGUUGUCCAACAGAGAUCUUGAGCAUUUCAGCCUGCAUUAUAUGCUCCUCCGUUAUUACCACAUCGCCCUGCUAGGGAACGCUAACGGUUUGCCCGCAAUAAUAUUUGGCGUGCAUACUCCUCUCAUGUGUUGUUGGCACAACAAGCGGGGGGAUCUCUUGCGCCGCCUGUUCUCCCAGCUGGGGAACAGUUUUCCCGCAUUUUUUGCCAGCUGCUUGUUGGCUCAAGUUCGAGCUCGCUUCCUUCCGUAGCCGUGCUCGAUGUAGCUUUCUGAUUUGACGCUGAUAGUUUGAGUCAACAGGCUUGGGAGCUGGUGCUCUAGCCAUAUGAAUGAAGUGGUCAAUCAUUUUCUCAGGCACUUUCUCCUUUGGCGGCGGUGCCGGUUUCGGUCCAAAAUGGGCAUCCACUUGGGCCUGCACUAUGGCUGCGUUUUGCUCCUCGGUCAUGUCGUAAGGCCUCUGAGGAAGAGGAGUGAGGCUUGGACCAUAUUUAUAUCGCUUGUCUCCGCCUGUACUUCCUGAACAACCUCGACUCGUACCGCUACGCACCAAAGCUGUGGCAUGUCUCUUCUGUGAUUGCUGAGACGGCGGAGACGGCUGACGUGGAGUUGGACCAGGAGAAGUGGGCUGACGAUGUGCCGGACUUGAAGCAGGAGGUGUGGCCUGACACGGUGCCGGACUUGAAACCGGAGAAGUGGCAUGACGUUGUGCCGGACUUGAAACCGGAGGAGUCAUCUCACGCGUUCGGGGACUUGGAGGUCGUGGCGGACUUCGAGGAGGAGUCGUCUCACGCGUUCGUGGACUUGGAGGAGCGGGAGUCUGUUGACUCGGUGGCGGACUUCGAGGACUCGGCAGACGACGCGGUGUCGGUGGACUUCGAAAGAUGAUGCAAUCAUUUCUCCAUAGGAUGAUACGAUGCAUGGCCUGUCCUAGUGUGCGCUCGUCUUCACCUCCAGGAAUGUCAAGCGUUAGCCCCGAAUAUGGGUCCACCACUUCAUCAACCAUGACACGAGCAUAGCCCUCUGGAAUCGGGAUGCAAUGGUAGGUUGCUUCGGGGGUAACUGGAAAAGCGACGCCGUCCGCCACCUUCAUGGAUAUGUUCUUCAUUUUGGAGUGUAGCUCACAGUUAGUGUUCUCUAUGAUGUCAUCCAUAGGGUAUGUAUCCAGCAGUGUGUCGCCCGGGGCAGAACCAACGCUGCUUCUCGGCAUGGAUGGGAUGGUGCUAUCCAAUGCUGGACGAUCAUCCGCUUGCUGCUGCCGCUGCUGAGACCCCCUUUCCUGGCUAAGUGAGUCGAUCUGCUGCUGCUGCUGAUGGAAUUUUAGUGCCAGGUCCGCGUGCCUUGCUUCUAGGCCUUGAAGACGUUCUGCGUCCUGCUUCCUCUGCUCCUCCUCCAGCUUCCUCUUCUUCUCCUCCUCCAUCUUCUUUCUUGCACGGGACCUGUAGUCGUCAUUCCAGUCCGAAAAGCCCUCAUACCAGGGAAUAACACCCAUGCCUCGUGUUCUUCCCGGGUGUUCAGGAUUUCCCAGGGCACACAUAAGCUCGUCGUUCUCUCUGUUGCGCGUGAACACCCCCGCUCGAGCUUCUUCUAUUGCGUCAAGUAUCUUUUGUUCGGCUCCUUUUAGACUUGCCUUCUUUGAAACGAGGCCUGUCUUUGGGUCCAACGCCCCCCCAUGCGCAUAGAACCAAGUUCUGCACCUGGGGGGCCAGCUCCUAGUAAUCGGAGUGACCCCUGCACCCUCCAUCUCUUGCUCAGACUUAUCCCACUUAGGCAAUCCCACUGCGUAGCCACCUGGACCCAGCCUAUGGAACUGCGUCUUUCUUGCGGCAUUUGCCUUGUUUUUCAUCGACCAUUCCUUAGAUAAUUCUGAAUCCUUGAAGGUCACGAAAUCGUCCCAGUGUUCUCUUUGCUUCUCUAGUGUUCCCUUGAAAUCUGGAGUCUUCCUUUCAUUAGCGAGGUAGUUGGCCCAUACAGUUUUCUUGUGGGUGUUGAAUGCAAUUGCCAUCUUCUUAAGAGCAGCGGCCUUGACUUUCUCCACAUCUGCUUUAGUGAAAUGAUCUGGUAGGGUGAAAUGUUCCAUUAGAGAUUUCACCAAGUCUUCUUUGGCUCUGCCAUCGACCCAAGUAACACCUAGACGUUUAGUUUUUGGCUCUUUCCAUUCUUGAAUGGAGAUCGGGAGUUUGUCCUUCACAAGAACUCCGCACUAAUGAGUCCACUUAUCCGCAACGUUCUUAGGCGUGAGGGGUUCGCCACUAAUUUUGGUGGAUUCGAUGUGGUCCUUUACACCAUCCUUCAACAAUCUGCCCGGGCCUCGCUUUGUCUUGCUGUAUGUAGAAGCAGAUUUGCUCGAUCCGGAGGGCUGAAAGAAGAAAGAUCGAUUCGUUAAUAUAUCUUCAAUAAAAAAACAUGUGAUGAUCACCAGGAUGCAUGCUUAUAUAAAUAUAUACCUCGCCGGAAGUCUUUGUUAUUUGAAGAUCAGCAUUGUCUGUGUCAUCACUAACAUUGUCUGUGUCAUCAUAAUCAUAGUUCAUGACUUCAUCAGCUCUGUCGUCGAGAUCGAAUAUCUUUCCGUCACCCUCUCCGGUAUUGUUCAAAUAUUGGGAGCCGUCAUCAUUCAAAUCAUCUAGCCUCUGAGGGCUGCGUAUGAUGUCGAACAAUUCCUCUUCUCUCUCUCUGCCGGUAUUGUCCGCCAUAGCUUUUACUUUACUAAUUAAUACAGAAGAAAUAUAAAACAAUUUAGUAUUCAAAUUACAAUGCAUGGCUGCAAUUAAUCAAUAAGGAAAAACUGAAUCUCGAAUACAUUGUCUCGAAUAUAUAAUCUCGAAUACAUCAUCGCCUUAACAUAUAUAAUCUCGAAUACAUCGUCUCGAAUAUCAUAUAUCGAAUACAUCACUGGCUAGGUACCUAAUAAAGAUCGAGUACUAUAGAAGAAUCUAGGGCGCCACUCGCGGUUCCUGGGGCGCGGGCGGUGCACACCCAAAGAGAAGGAACCAUCACAGGAUCAUAUCUCCGGUCAUCUGCCCAAAGAACCCGCCAAGUAGUGGAGAACCUGACGUCGUCCAUAGCAGCCAUGUACCGAUGGACCUGCUCAUCUUCCUCCCUGACACGGCGACGCACCACCUCCGGCGGGGCCGACUACCUCUGCACCGAAUGUGGCCCACGCGAACGCCACCAAAGAAGAUCAGGGUCGACGACGGGACCCGAGGUCGGGUUCCUCACCAAGCGGCGCGCCCCUCCAGGUAGCACCUCCCAGUGCCAGCCCGGCGGAGCCCAGUCCCGGACAUGGGUCCUCUGAAGCAUGACGUCGUCGCGAACGGGUCGACGGCGAGGAUGCGGGCCGGGCAUAUCGUCGAGAACAAAUACUAUAUGCCCGCAAAAAGUAACAUUUUUUAAAUGAUUGGAUUGUGAUAACUAAAAUUCUAUAUAUAUGCAAAUUCUAACAAUUUGACAUUAAUCUAAUUCAUCUAACUAAAACUAAUUCUAAAAUUUCCUGAUUAUAUAACUAACAUUUCUAUAACAUUUCUAAUUUUUAUAUAACUAAAAAAUAGAUAAAUUGCUAACAUUUUUAUAAAUAUUUCUAUAACUAAAAACAGAAAACAUUUAUAACAUUUCUAUAUAACUAACAUUUCUAAUAUUUAUAUAACUAAAAAACAGAAUAAUUUCCUAACAUUUCUAUAACUAAAAAACAGAAUUUUUUUAACAAAACAAACUAAUAAUGUGUGUGUGUGUAGUGUGUGUGUGUGUGUGUAGUGUGUGUGUGUGNNNNNNNNNNNNNNNNNNNNNNNNNNNNNNNNNNNNNNNNNNNNNNNNNNNNNNNNNNNNNNNNNNNNNNNNNNNNNNNNNNNNNNNNNNNNNNNNNNNNNNNNNNNNNNNNNNNNNNNNNNNNNNNNNNNNNNNNNNNNNNNNNNNNNNNNNNNNNNNNNNNNNNNNNNNNNNNNNNNNNNNNNNNNNNNNNNNNNNNNNNNNNNNNNNNNNNNNNNNNNNNNNNNNNNNNNNNNNNNNNNNNNNNNNNNNNNNNNNNNNNNNNNNNNNNNNNNNNNNNNNNNNNNNNNNNNNNNNNNNNNNNNNNNNNNNNNNNNNNNNNNNNNNNNNNNNNNNNNNNNNNNNNNNNNNNNNNNNNNNNNNNNNNNNNNNNNNNNNNNNNNNNNNNNNNNNNNNNNNNNNNNNNNNNNNNNNNNNNNNNNNNNNNNNNNNNNNNNNNNNNNNNNNNNNNNNNNNNNNNNNNNNNNNNNNNNNNNNNNNNNNNNNNNNNNNNNNNNNNNNNNNNNNNNNNNNNNNNNNNNNNNNNNNNNNNNNNNNNNNNNNNNNNNNNNNNNNNNNNNNNNNNNNNNNNNNNNNNNNNNNNNNNNNNNNNNGGGGACGGCGUCGAUCGGGGCAGGGCGGCGCGACGGAGAGAGGAAACAGAGGGAAGAAACAGAGGGAAACUGAAUUUUUUGAAGUGUUGUAUAUAUAUAGGAUGGACCUUUAGUAUCGGUUGGAGCCACCAACCGGUACUAAAGGUCUGUUUUGACCAGGCCAAGCGGCGGGAAGCGCACCCCCUUUAGUACCGGGUGGUGGCUCCAACCGGUACUAAAGACCCCCCCCCCCUUUAGUACCAGUUGGUGCCACGACCCGGUACUAAAGGGGUGCGCUGGCGCAGUGCGGUGCGGCAAGUUUAGUCCCACCUCGCUAGUCGAAGGGCUACCGCACUGGUUUAUAAGCCCAGUGCGGUAGCUCUCUCGAGCUCCUCUCCUAAGCAGGCCUACUAGGCCUACCAAUUCAUUGCUGCCAUGUGGGCCUACUGGGCCUUUGCGGGCCUGCAUCCUGGCCCAACAAAAGGUUGAGUUUCUAGUCGUAUGCAGGCUGCUUUGGCUCAGUAGGCGGGCUUUUUUAUUUUCUUAAUUUUUUUGCUUUUUUGUUUUAUUUAUUUUUGAGUUAUUUUUUGCUGUAUUUAGAGUUUCUUUGUGAAUAUUUUUGCUUUAGGUACAAAAAUUUAUAAACUUUGAUCUGUUAGUGCCGGUAGUUUUCAAAUUUGAAUAGUUUAAAUUUUGAAUUAUUUGAAAUUUGUGUGAACCACUAGUUUGUGAAUAACAUAACUUUGAAAAAAGAUUUUUUAGUGAUUCUUUUUUUCUUAUGUUUAAUAUUAGUGUGUUUUAUCAUUAUAUUCAAUUUGGUAAUGCUUAGGUUAUUUAAAAAAUGAAAUGCCUUUGUAACAUUUCAGUUUUCGUCGGAAACCCUGAUACUUCGAAAAAGAUUGUCCAUUUUGUACACGAAGUGUAUCCAGUUUUUGUCGUAACCCUCUCUACUUUUUUGCAUAUGCUAUUUGUAUGAAAUUAUGAUACCAUGCCAACUUUCAACCUUUUCUGAGUUCAUUUCAAAUGCUUUUCAAUUUCAGGGUCAUUUAGCUGGAAAAAAAAUCAGUAAAUGCAUGAAAAGAAUUUGUUUGCACAUAAAAUUUCUUCGCGUUUCAAAUGCCAAAACACAUAAUUAACUAACUAUUAUAGACAUUGCCUCCUGGGUGUGAAACAGAGAAGAAAGUGAUGAUAGUGAAGCCGAUCACAUCCCAGAUCUUUGGGUGUGAAACUUUUUCUUCUCGUUUGUCCCUUUGUGCCGUAGCCAUGGAAAAUCUUCAUCAUUUAACUGGAUGCUCGGGUCAAUAUUCACUGUGAGUGGAGCAAUUUCAUCAAACUUUUCAUAAUCUUCUGACAUGUCUGUCUUGUCAUCCACUCCCACGAUGUUUCUUUUUCCUGAAAGAACUAUGUGGCACUUUGGCUCGUUGUAUGAUCCAUUCGCUUCCUUAUCUUUUCUUUUUCUCGGCCUGGUAGACAUGUCUUUCACAUAGAAAACCUGUGCCACAUCAUUGGCUAGGACGAAUGGUUCGUCUGCAUACGCAAGAUUGUUGAGAUCCACUGUUGUCAUUCCGUACUGCGGGUCUUCCGUUACCCCGCCUCGUGUCAUAUUGACCCAUUUGCACCGAAACAAAGGGACCUUCAAAUCACCUGAUCCAUAGUUAAGUUCCCAUAUGUCCUCUAUGUAACCAUAAUAUGUUUCCUUUCCCGUGUUGGUUGUUGCAUCGAAGCGGACACCACUGUUUUGGUUGGUGCUCUUCUUAUCUUGGGCGAUCGUGUAAAAUGUAUUCCCAUUUAUCUGGUACCCUUUGAAAGUCAUUAUAUUCGAAGAUGGUAACUGGGACAGCGAGUACAGGUUAUUUUGAAUAUCACCAUCAUUCAGGGCACGUUUCUGCAACCAACCGGCGAAAGUCCUCGUUUGUUCACGUGUAAUCCAGUCCUCAAAAUUCUCCGGGUGUUUGGACUGUAGAAAAUUCUUGUGUUCCUCCAUAUACGGAGCCACCAAGGCGGAAUUCUGUAGAACUAUGUAUUGUGCUUCAGUGAGAGAAUGCCCGUCCAUACAUAUUAUUUGAUGCCCUCCUAGUGUGCCUUUUCCUUCCAGUCUGCCCUUAUGCCGCGAUUCAAGAACACCAAUCGGCUUAAGGUUAGGAAUAAAGUCAAUACAAAACUCAAUGACCUUCUCGUUUUCAUGGCCCUUCGAGAUGCUUCCUUCUGGCCUAGCACGGUUAUGAACAUAUUUCUUCAAGACUCCCAUGAACCUUUCAAAGGGGAACAUAUUGUGUAGAAAUACAGGACCCAAAACGUUAAUCUCUUCGCAAAGGUGAACUAGGACGUGCGUCAUGAUGUUGAAGAAGGAUGGUGGGAACACCAACUCGAAACUGAUAAGACAUUGCACCAAAUCAUUCUGUAACCUUGGUAUGAUUUCUGGAUUGAUUACCUUCUGAGAGAUUGCAUUGAGGAAUGCACAUAGCUUCACAAUGGCCAAUCGAACGUUUUCCGGUAGAAGCCCCCUCAAUGCAACCGGAAGGAGUUGCGUCAUAAUCACAUGGCAGUCAUGAGACUUUAGGUUCUGGAACUUUUUGUCUGCCAUAUUUAUUAUUCCCUUUAUAUUCGACGAGAAGCCAGACGGUACCUUCAUGCUGAGCAGGCAUUCGAAGAAGAUUUCCUUCUCUUCUUUGGUAAGAGCGUAGCUGGCCUGACCCUGAUGUAUGUCGUCUUUUCCGUGCAUAUGUUGCUGGUCCUCCCGUGCCUCUGGUGUAUCUUUUGUCUUCCCAUACACGCCCAAAAAGCCAAGCAGGGUCACGCAAAGAUUCUUCGUCUCAUGCAUCACGUUGAUUGCGGAGCGGACCUCUAGGUCUUUCCAAUAUGGCAGCUCCCAAAAUAUAGAUUUCUUCUUCCACAUGGGUGCGCGUCCGUCAGCGUCCUUUGGAACAGGUUGUCCGCCAGGACCCUUUCCAAAGAUUACCUUCAAAUCCUUGACCAUAUCAUGUACAUCAUCACCAGUACGGUGGCGAGGCUUCGUCCGGUGAUCCGCCUGACCUUUGAAAUGCUUGCCUUUCUUUCUUACGGGAUGCCUGCUCGGAAGAAAUCGAUGAUGUCCCAGGUACACAUUCUUCUUACAACUAUUCAAAUAUAUACUGUCGGUAUCAUCCAAACAGUGCGUGCAUCCGCGGUAUCCCUUGUUUGUCUGUCCUGAAAGGUUACUGAGAGCAGGCCAAUCAUUAAUGGUCACGAACAAUAACACCUUUAGGUCAAAUUCUUCCCCCAUGUGCUCAUCCCACGCACGUACAACUGUUCCAUUCCACAGUUGUAAGAGUUCUUCAACUAAUGGCCUUAGGUACACAUCAAUGUCGUUGCCGGGUUGCUUAGGGCCUUGGAUGAGCACUGGCAUCAUAAUGAACUUCCGCUUCAUGCACAACCAAGGAGGAAGGUUAUACAAACAUAGAGUCACAGGCCACGUGCUAUGGUUGCUGCUCUGCUCCCCAAAAGGAUUAAUGCCAUCUGCGCUUAGACCAAACCAUACGUUCCUUGGGUCACCUGCAAACUCCUCCCAGUACUUUCUCUCGAUUUUUCUCCACUGCGAACCGUCAGCGGGUACUCUCAACUUUCCAUCUUUCUUACGGUCUUCUGCGUGCCACCGCAUCGCCUUCGCAUGCUCUUUGUUUUGGAACAAACGUUUCAACCGUGGUAUUAUAGGAGCAUACCACAUCACCUUGGCAGGAAUCUUCUUACUGGGGUGCUCACCUUCGACAUCACCAGGGUCAACGCGACUGAUCUUAUAACACAAUGCACCGCAUACCGGGUAAGCAUUCAAAUCCUCGUACUCACCGCGGUAGAGGAUGCAAUCAUUAGGGCAUGCAUGUAUCUUUUGCACCUCUAACCCUAGAGGGCAGACAGCCUUCUUUGCUUCAUACGUACUCUCGGGCAAUUCGUUGUCCUUUGGAAGCAUAUUCUUUAUCAUUACCAACAACUUUCCAAAUCCCUUGUCAGAUACACCAUUCUUUGCCUUCCAUUGCAGCAAUUCAAGUGUGGUGACCAACUUUUUUUUGUCAGCUUCGCAAUUCGGGUACAACAAUUUCUUGUGAUCCUCUCACAUGCACUGCAACUUCGUCCUCUCCAGAUCACUUGCACAGUUUCUCUUUGCAUCGGCAAUGGCCCGACCUAGAUCAUCAGUGGGCUCAUCUGAUGCCUCUUCUUCAACUUCUUGCUACAUUGCCGGCUCAGCUUCUUCCCCCAUUGUUGUAUCAUUGUAUUCAGGGAACCCAUGGCCAGGAUAGCCGUCGUCGUCCUCUUCUUUUUCAUUGUCUUCCAUUAUAACCCCUAUUUCUCCGUGCUUGGUCCAAACAUUACAGUGGGGCAUGAAACCGGACUCAAAUAGGUGGACGUGAAUGGUUCUUGACGUAGAGUAACUGUGACCAUUCUUACAGCCAGCACAUGGACAAGGCAUAAAACCAUCCGCCUGCUUGUUUGCCUCAGCGGUAAGCAGAAAAGUAUGCACACCAUUAAUGAACUCGGGAGAGCAUCUGUCAUCAUAUAUCCAUUGUCGGCUCAUCUUCAUUACACAACACCGAAUAGACCAAAUUAAUACAAGUUCAUACAUAAAGUUCAUAUACAACACUUAAUUAAAUGCAACAUACAAAUUACUCUCUAGCUAAAGAAUUUAAAUGCAACAACAAAUGUGAUGAAGAUCGCAAUUAAGGUAACAAUUGAUCCAACAUCAUAAUGAUACCAAGCCACACUAUCAAUGGCAUAUUUUCUAAUCUUUCUAAUCUUCAACCUCAUUCGACGACAUCGGCAACAUGCAACUCCAAUUCCAUCUUCUCCACCUCAAUUCUUUUCAAUUUUUCUUUCAAAUACUCGUUUUCUCUUUCAACUAAAUUUAACCUCUCGACAAUAGGGUUGGUUGGAAUUUCCGAUUCACAUACCUCCUAGAUAAAAAUAUCUAUGUCAACUUGAUGGGCAUAAUUGGUCAUAAACAAGAAAUGCAACAACUAGUUUUAAAUGAGAAUAUACCACAUCCGAAUCAUAACAAGGACGAGGGCCGACGGGGACGGAUAUCAAAACCAUGGCACUAUGUAUAACAAACAACGUCUGGGUAAGAUAAUUAUACGAGUAACUAUAUAUCUAAAUCACACAAACAUCAAUUUGGUAAUGUAAAACAUUCAUGAACAAGAGCCUCACCACAAGGUGGUGCCGGCGACGGGACGGUGCAGGCGAUCGACGGUGGUUACGACGGAGAUUUAGCAGGCACUAAGUAAACCACACCUACAUAUGCAAACUAAGUGUUAUUUUUGACCUCAAAUUGCAUAUAAAUCAAAUACUAGCAAAUAUAAUUCCUCCCAAAUUAAUCACUAUACAAAGCAUUGCAAGAGCUAAUCUAGCAAUGAGAGUUGAAAGGACAAAGUUGCUAACCUUUGUGAUCAUUUGAAUGGAUGGGGGCCUUCAAAUCUUGACAAAUUUUGGGCAAAAUUUGUGAGGAGCUCGAGGAAGAGAGGGGAAGAACAGAGGAAGUGAGGGGAAAGGGGAAGAACAGAGUGGCUCGGGUGGACGAAGGGUUUAUGUAGGUCGACCUUUAGUACCGGUUCGUGCCACGAACCGGUACUAAAGGUGCUAGAGGGGCCCCAGACUGACAACACCCUGCCAACACUCUCUUUAGUACCGGUUCGUGGCACGAACCGGUACUAAAGGUUCGCCAUGAACCGGUACUAAUGAGAACGGCUGGCUAGCCGUUGGAACCGGCACUAUUGGACACAUUAGUGCCGGCUCAAAAUCAAACCGGCACUAAUGUGUCUCAUAUUAGGUCCGUUUUCUACUAGUGGAAGAUAUAGGAGGCUGAGCUUGGAAGACAAGAAGGAAACAAAAAGAUGGUUAGAAGAGUAGAAGAAGCAAGAUGGUAGAAGAGUAUAAGAAGCAAACAUGAGUGCCAAGUUAAAAAAGUUUGAGGAUAGAAGAGUAGAAGAAACAACGGAAGUGACUGGACCCGGACAAGUGGCAAGAAACCUUAGAAUUAGAAGAAAGAAAAUAUUGACGGGCUAUAUGAGCUUGGAAGACACCAAGGAAAAAUAUGGUACAUGAGUAGAAGAAGCAAUCAUUAGUGCCAAGUAAAGUCUAAGGAUAGUUGUUGGAAUAGCUCUAGUCUCUUAGAGAAAGUUAAGAAUAGUUGUGAUAAUAGUUGUAAUAACAUGGUAAGGAGUAGUAUUUUGUUAGAGGUAGUUUAGAAAGAGGUGGAAUUUAAGAUCUGUUCAAUAUGUCUUGCUGGUGUGGUGGAUGAAAAUACUAAGUCCGUAAUCCUGUUUAUCUCUGGUUUCAUUCCAGUAAUGGAAUUGGGAGCUAUGCUCCGUAAUUCAAAAAAUGAAGUGAUGGUAUCUUUUCAUAGUUGAACUUUUAUAAUGCCUUCCUUUCAAUUUGUGUCGUCUCAUAAAAGCCAUCUAGGAGCAUCCAAGAUACUUCAAAUGAGAAGCCGUUCCUAUUACCGAGGUGUGCCAAAUUUGCUGAUCAACUUAGACUAGCCAUAAAAGUAGUAACGUAGGUAAUAACAUAAAACUCAAUGCAAUGCCAACAAGAUAUCUUGAGUACAUGGCAUGUCAACGAAUGAGGAAGAGAAUCUUGUGAUAACUAGCUAUGUUACCAUAUAACAUCACAAACUCCAAAACAAGAUUAGUAUACAACCUAAUAAAUGGAACUUUGCAUGAUACUAGCCAUUAGUUACUACCCACUAUGAAGGUGGUAACAUAGACUAGAAACAUAGGCAUGACACUAGUCUAUGUCACUCCCCACAAUAACUAGUCUUAAUGAUAUGGGCCUUCGUCUAUUGGUCUGGGCUUGGUCAACGGAUGCCGAACUGCUCUACACCAAUGAUAAUAGCUUCGGUUGCAGAAUAUGGAAAGUUACCUAUUUGACAGAAGAAAUUAUGUGUUUGGCUAUUUUGUAGAAAGUGAUGUAUUCUCCAAAAAAUGAUGUAUUUUGUAGAAAAUGGAAAGUUAACCCGGUAAAUUUUUUAUUAAUUUUUUGUUUACACACGUACAAAAAAAGUAUGUGCAAAUCUAAAAGAAAAUAAAACAUAAAAAAGUCAAAUAAAGUUACAUGUCCAAUCAGAAAAAUUUACAUAAGCAUUCCGUUUAAUCCUAAAUAUUAUCCAUCUAAGAUCCUCUUUGAAGAAAGCCCUUGCUAUGAAAAGACUUGGUCUCUUAUAUUGUUACAUAUGUCAACAUUUCUGGUUUGCCCAAUAACCCAUGCACCAAGCCUGAUGAUUUCUAUGAAAAAACGUUCUUGAGUUUGCAGAAUGUCUUUUAGUUUACAUUCCUGUUUCCACAUAUAAGUUCCCGAUCCCAAAAAUUACAUUUUUUUCAUCCUUUCUAGCUGUUAUCACCCCUACAACAAUAGAAUACUUAUCAUAUACAUACAUAAUGCAUAUUUGAUCAUCUAUUAGACACAUAGGAACAUCUCAGGCACUAGCACUUGAUGGCCUUUUGUCAAAUACAGAAAAUCCAAAUCAUCACGUCGCAUCAAUCCAUGUCGCCUCUCCUCCUUGCCUCCAUGGCCAGCCAGGAGAGCCUUCACCGCACCACCAGUAAGCUCGACGGUAGCUAGCAAUCUCAAGGUUAUUCAAGGAGGUGUUGCCCCUUUCUUCCACUACUUUCUUUGGCUAGAAGAGCAUCAGCGCGAAGAAGAGACCUAGGACGCCGGGGAUUUGACCUAACAUGGUGUUCUCCAGGUAGUACAAGUUAAUGACAAGUACUCGCUCCGUUUCAAAAUAUAAGAUGUUUUAGCUUUGUGAAGUGAGUGUAUCUAGACUCUUUUGAUCUUUAGGUUCACUCUGAACUAUAAACUAAAGAUAUCUAGAUACAUUUGCUUCACAAAGCUAAAACAUCUUAUAUUUUGAAACGGAGGGAGUAGGUGUUGAAGGGGACGGCCAGAAUUGGGAGUGUAGGAAAGGAGCAUGUCGUUUCGUGUAGGAUGCGGUUGUGUCCAAGCCUGCUUCAAGAAUUGAAGUGUUCGUGGGGAGGCGUGACGAAAGGGAUCCAACGUUAUGUUAUUUGAUUAACACGUGUGGAGUUAAAUAAAGAAUGAUUAGUUUAAGGUUGAAGUAGUUUCUCCUAGUUGGUUUAUGAGGCGUAUGAAUUCAGCCGACGGUUCAGAUUAAACGACAAAGAUUAGUCCCAUAGAUCCAACAAGACAUAAUCAUUAGAAGAAACUGUAAUAAAACUAAUAGUAUCAGGAUAGGCCUAGGCCCAUCAAUUGCCAAAGCAACGCACAAAAUCCCGACGCAACUAUCUCCUGCGAGCACACCGCCGCCUCCACACCCACCAGCUACCACGCCGCCGCCUCCACAUCCAGUCAUCCACCAGCCACCACGCCCCCACCUCCAUCUAGCCCACGGCGACCGCCCAUUCCACUGUCGAGCACUCUGCCGCCAGCUUGACAGCGUUCGUUACCUCAUCAACAUCGGACGCCUCAUCUUUGGAAGGUUGUGUCACUCUGCUGAACCCCCUACUGUAAACCUAGCCUCCUUUGACGGCAGCCCAGACUAUGCCCUGUUCGAUUUAUGGUUUCACUUACAGGUACAUGAGUGGUACUACUAAUUCUAAUUUCCUAGACGACAUGAGCACCUAAUUAGAUGAGCCCUUAUCCAGCAGGAGACCCAGGAAAGCAUUCGUGAUGGAGAUUGGUCGUGCAACAUGAUGCUCUGGCUAUGCUUUGAAUUUCCUGCAUAUUUACCUUACUAACAAGCAUCACUGAAUGGAAAUUAGAAUCAUCAAAUUAUGUUAGUUAUGAAGCAUGUUGAUGUUUGAACAAUUUACCAAUGUCGGUGACACAACUAGUACACAUGAAAAGCCCAACAACCAUUGGUGUAUGUAGAUGAUAUGACCUUCAACCUUUUUAGUCUUUGUUCCAUUUACUGAAGUGUUGUAUCACUUAAUUCUGCGAAUCAUUUAUCAACCACACCAAGGUAUCCAUUUUAAUUAUUUGUGUCAGUACCAAAGUAAUUGUAUGAGAAUAAUUAUUUGUUUUCCAUGGAAAAUAAUUUUUCAUCUGUAUUGUUCUGCCAAUUGUAUUUCUAGUAUCCUAUGCAUAUUAUUUACUGUCUCUUUUUCUUUAUAUACCAUGCAGUUUGUGAUUUCAGAAAACAACCAAUCAAGUCUGUGAUACUCAUCUAUAUUCUGGUGAGUUAAAGAUCCAUAUGAAGUUUGUUGGGCAUCAUCUAAUCUUAUUAUGUGCCUUGUCUAGAGUUGAUUAGCUCUAGUUUUUAUAUUAGUAUUCUUAAUGCUGAAGUUUGUGUGUUCGAUUUGUUGGAAAACAGAUGAAUGCAACAACUGAUCAGGUUCAAGAAAGAUGAAGCAAGAAAUGUUGUUUCCCAGGCUCUAAAUCUGAAGCUUCCUUUUGAUGAGAUAGAUUUGAUGGAGGAGAACCUAGAGGUGGAGCUGAUCAGGAGGCAACUGGGUCUUCAGCAUGUUAGGUCCUGAUGAUAAGUCAAUUUUGACGUUAAAUGUGAACCUAUUUCUAAGACUUGUCAAUCACAAUUUUUUCUCAAGGACCAAAUUAGUUGCUGAAAUCUGCUGUUUUCCCAAAUCAUCUACUCUUCUGGGAGCUCUUUGUGAUAUCAUCGAUACUAGUACUUCUCAAGCAGAGCAAUAAUACUGAUAUAAAAAGGUACUUCUGCUUUCCAUUUGCACGAUACAUGAAGAAUAAUAAGAGGUAGAAAGUGCAAGUAACACUUGCAUGAUCAUGCAAGUCUUUGUGAGCACCUCCAUUUGUCCUAGGAAUGUCAUAAUUUUCUGAAGAGUAUUCACUUCGGAAAGCAGGAGCUAAAAACCUAUUUUAGCCUGUUUAUGCUAUCAGCAUUCUUGCUGAUGUCCAUGUUCUGCUCGAGGAUAUCAAAGAGCAGAAACAAAGAAUCAGGUAAAUUUUGAACCCCGUUGAAGAAUUGAUUGGAGGGAGCUAGCUCUUUAGCUCAGUAUGGGAUAUAGUGUUCACCAUUUGUUACUGCAAAUGAACCAAGUGGUUCACCUAUAUGUAAGCUUACGCGCACCUUUGGAAGGAGCGGCAGUCCCUCAUGGAGUGCGUAGACCUCUUGACCCCGUCCCUGUCGGUAAAGCUUAUUGGAAAUAUGAGCAAACUACUAUGAGUUUUAAUCCAAAUAAACAGAUGAUAAAUCAUGACAGCACUAGCAAAGAUUAAACUAAUCAUGUGAAAUAGCAUAGUAGAUGAACAAAUGACAUCUAGGGCACAUACUAGAAACAUGAAUUCUACCACGAUCUCGAAUAGGAAGGAUAGAAUCACAUACGGUGCAGCGGGUGCAGCACCGCCGGCGUUGACGUUGUCGCCCAUGUCAUUGAGGAUGAGGUUGCCGAGGUUGGGGAAGAAGUCGUCGUUCGCGAAGUCGUCGCUGCGAGCAGUCGCGCAAGUGCGCUCCCCAAAAACCUGAUCGCCCCUCUCCCAUACACGAUCAUGAGAGGCGGGGUUCCAGAGGCCUGCUGUCCCUUCUCCCGGUGCACGCCGAAAGGAGGGAUGGAGAAGACUAGCUUGGCGGCUCAAUGAUCUGGAACGGUGGUGAGAAACCAUACGAAGCGGCAACUACUACGGUAGACGUCUUCCUGACUAUAUAGUGCGGGCCGGGUAGGUCGUGGGAGUUAACCCCACGUCCGAGUUGUCACGAUCCAAAAGAAUCGGAAAUGGUUCAGUAAUUAACUCGUCCAUUGCUUAUUAAUUAAUGACUCAUUAAUUUUUCCCGAGCAGCAAAAAUAUAGACAACAUGCAUAGCUCUGUCCUCGGCUCGCCUCAAUCCUGCAACCCGCGGCGCGGUGCGGCGUCGGCUUCGAUCUCGACGUGGACUCCUGUCACCUCCGAUAACGGUAGCGCACUUGAGACAUGGAGUGGAUGAGAUGUCGAUGAGGCGGGUGUCGACGAAAUCUUUGGCACAAGGGGACGAGAUCCUCCGCGGUCCACCCGACGAUGGGGGUGAUGCUGGUGCAGGGGCUGGCGUGACCAGCAUAUCCGUACCCAACGUGAUCGGAGUACGGAGUCGAACGGACCCGACGAUGUUGAUGUGGAAGCGGAGGCUCCCAAAAGUCAAAUCGAUACCCUUGUGGAGGGUGCUGAACACGGCGCGUUGCGCCAGGGUGUGUGGCACGAACUCGAGGGAGCCGAAGAAGAUCUGCUCCGCAAGAGUCGACGAACUGCCAUUCGUUGAGAUGAGGAUCGGAGACUCCAUGGGUCCAGUAGACGAAAUUCCCACAUACGGCGCCAAUCAACGAGGGAGUACCUCGGCAAUGCCCAUGGUUGUGGACUUAGGGUUUUGAUGAAUCAUGUCUACCGGUGGAAUCGACGAUCUAAACGUGAGGUGUGAAACACAAGACACAGAUUUACCCAGCUUCAGGCCCUUUUAAAGGAAACCCUACGUGUUGCUUGUCGGAUCUUUAUAUUGAUGGAGUGUACAAAGUCGUUGAGAUCGGAGACUAGGGUUAGCCCUUGCGCAUGGCCAAGGCUAGAUCAAUCGUGAUGGUGGUUGUGAGGUUUGUGUGCGUUAUUGUUGUGUCGACCCCGUACCCCUCUCCCAGCCUUUAUAGACUAGGCUGGGUCCCGAGUUCGUAUCAGGAUCAGUUUACAUCAUGGUAAGGGGGUUUCCCUAUCUACUUACAAUAGCACUUCCUUACGGAUCACGUCAUGUCCGUGGGCUUCCUGGGCUCCAAGCGUGGCGAUGACCUGGACCUCGAGUCCUUCCAGCCCGCAGGCCUCCUGUUAUGCGAUACCAGGUAUCCUUAUGGUGGGCACCCGCAAUGUCAUGCCCACAACAAUCAUCCAAAUUAUCAUGCCUAUCUUAAUGGCUAUAAAGACAGAGCUUUUGGGAGACAACCCAUUAUAUUUUUUUCUUUCAGUUUAUUUUUGUUUCUUUGAGUCUUGGAAGUUAUUACCUCUAUAAUAACCUCUCCUUAUCCUUCUUGUUUCAUUUUUGUGCCAAGAAUAGCCACUAAUGGGAGGAAAGUGAGAUUUGGGGAAGUUGCUGUCCCGAAACUGAUUUUGUGCUGUCACCAAAAAAAUUAAUUCUCUCAGCCAGAACGUCGGAUUGAUAUGAAAUGUUUUAUGCUCAUGCCCCAGGUUGUUACCCAACUUGUUCUAUGGUGCUCUCCGUGUCGCGCAAGCGUGAGGGAUCCCCGCUGUAGGGUUUGCAAUAUGUUCAUGAUUUGCUUAUGGUGGAUGGCGUUAGUGACAUAAGCACAGACCUGAGUAAGUAGGUUGUUUGCGUAUGGGAUAAAGGGGACUUAAUACUUUAAUGCUAUGGUUGGGUUUUACCUUAAUGAUCUUUAGUAGUUGCGGAUGCUUGCUAGAGUUCCAAUCAUAAGUGCAUAUGAUCCAAGUAGAGAAAGUAUGUUAGCUUAUGCCUCUCCCUCAAAUAGAAUUGCAAUAGUGAUUACCGGUCUAGUAACGUAGUCAAUUGCUUAGGGACAAUUCCACAACUCCUACCACCACUUUUCCACACUCGCUAUAUUUACUUUAUUGCUUCUUUAUCUAAACAGCCCCUACUUUUUAUUUACGUGCUCUUUAUUAUCUUGCAAACCUAUCCCAACAACACCUACAAAGUGCUUCUAGUUUCAUACUUGUUCUAGGUAAAGCGAACACUAAGCGUGCGUAGAGUCGUAUCAGUGGCAGAUAGGGCUUGAGAGAGUAUUGGUUCUACCUUUAGCUUCUCGUUGGGUUCGACACUCUUACUUAUCAAAAGAGGCUACAAUUAUCCCGUAUACUUGCGGGUCAUCAAGAUCUUUUUCUGGCGCCGUUGCCGGGGAGUCAUAGCGUGGGGUGAAUAUUCUCGUGUGUGCUUGUUUGCUUUAUCACUAAGUAAUUUUUAUUUGCUGUUCUUAGUUGCUCUAUAUCUUUAGUUAUGGAUAUGGAACACGAAAUACCAAAAACAUUAGGUGUACUUCAUACUCAUGGAGAUGGGGAACCUCCUAAAACCCUCGAUGCUCGUUAUGUGAAAGACAUUAUGUACUACUUUAAUAAUCCUGAGAAACCCCCAUUCAAUUAUGUUAUGGGUGACACGUUGGAUCAACGUAAAUACUUUAGGGAUUAUCGCUUGACACAAAAAGGGAAACUAUUAUGGGAUAAAAUUAAUAUGUUGCCUUGGUAUGCUCUGGAUUUAUGCUUGAGAUAUGAUAUUACUUUUUGCUCUAGGAUGAAGGCUCCACACCUUCCCUUUUCAUGCAAAUUUAAUGAUAAUGAAACCUUAGCUUCUUAUGCUAGAAGUAUAUAUGAUUACUAUGAUGUUGAACAAAUUGAAGAAUUUGUUGCUUUUAAGGCUACUUAUGAAAUUGAAUCUUUGUUUGAAAAGUAUGAAGCUUUAGAUGAUGAUGUUUAUAGGCUUGAAAAUUAUGCUAUAUUGAAAUAUUGCUAUGAAAAUUAUGAAUACAAUUACAAUAUUAAUGCAUUUGUUGAGAAAGUCUCCGCUGUCCAAGAAGAGACUAAUAUUUUGCAGGAAGUUAUGGAAGAAGAAAUUGAUGAAACUGUGAGCCCAUUGGAUGAAAAAGAUGAUGAGGAGAGCGAAGAACAAAAGGAGGAAGAGCGGAUUGAUCAGCCGUGCCCACCUUCUACGGAGAGUAACUCUUCAACUCAUACAUUGUUUAAUUCCCCUUCGUGCUUACCGAAGGAUGACUGCUAUGAUGAUUGCUAUGAUCCCAUUGAUUCUCUUGAAAUAUCCAUUUUUGAUGAUACUUGCUAUGCUUGUGGCCAAGAUGCCAAUAUGAAUUAUUCUUAUGGAGAUGAACUUGCUAUAGUUCCUUAUGUUAAACAUGAAAUUGUUGCUAUUCCACCCACACAUGAUAGUCCUAUUAUCUUUUUGAAUUCUCCCGACUACACUAUAUCGAAGAAGUUUGUUCUUAUUAAGGAUUAUAUUGAUGGGCUUCCUUUUACCAUUACACAUGAUAAUUUUUAUGAAUGUGAUAUGCAUGUGCUUGCUGCUCCUACUUGCAAUUAUUAUGAGAGAGGAACUAUAUCUCCACCUCUCUAUGUUUCCAAUAUGAUAAAAUUGCAAGAAACUGCUUAUACUAUGUGUUGGCCUUUACUAUGUGUGCAUGAAUUGUUUUUUAUGACAUGCCUAUGCAUAGAAAGAGAGGUAGACUUUGUUUUUGCAUGAUAUAUGUUACUUUGUGCUCACUAAUAAAUUACAAAUCAUUGUUAAUUAAAAUUGGCUUUGAUAUACCUUGGGAUCCGGGUGGAUUCAUUACUUGAGCACUAUAUGCCUAGCUUAAUGGCUUUAAAGAAAGUGCUGCCAGGGAGACAACUCGGAAGUUUUAGAGAGUCAUUUAUUUCUGUUGAGUGCUUUUAUAUAGUUUAAAAACAAACAAUAAAUAAAGAGGGGAACCUAAAAACUUUUCAAAAAGGAAAGUGAAAGUGAGAGAGACAAGCAUUGUUGAAGUGGGAGAGCUCCUUGAACUUUGUUCAUGCUCACAGAAACUUUGUGAAUCUUGAUUACAGAAACUUUUCAUCAAAAAUAAUUAUCCCCUUGUACAAUUCCAUUGUAUUAUAAAAAUAAUGUGACAAGGUUUGCCUUUAGGAUGUUUACAAUGCUUGUUGGUUUGUACGGUGCAGGACAGAAACUUUGGCUGUAGUGCUCGAUUUUACAUUUUUUGCCGAAAUGGUUCUUAUUCCUUUUGCACUGUCUUUCUGUACAACUUGUUUAUUUUUCCUAAUUUUGGUAGAAUUUUUGGGUACAGAAGUAUGGUGAAUGUUCAGAUUGCUACAGACUGUUCUAUUUUUGACAGAUUCUGUUUUUGAUGCAUAGUUUGCUUGUUUUGAUGAAUCUAUCAAUUUAUAUCAGUGGAUUAAGCCAUGGAAAAGGUAUAUUAUAGUAGACACAAUGAAAAAACAAAAUAUGAAUUGGUUUGCAACAGUACUUAGAGUGGUGAUUUUCUUUAUUAUACUAACGGAUCUUACCGAGUUUUCUGUUGAAGUGUUGUGUGGAUGAAGUGUCUAAUCGAGGAGGUCUCAAUAUGAGGAAAAGGAAGAGAGGCACGAGCUCAAGCUUGGGUAUGCCCGAGGCACACCAAGUAAAUAUUCAAGGAGACUCAAGCGUCUAAGCUUGGGGAUGCCCCGGAAGAUAUUCCCUCUUUCUUCAACAAGUAUCGGUAUGUUUUCGGAUUCGUUUCGUUCAUGCGAUAUGUGCAAGUCUUGGAGCGUCUUUUGCAUUUAGUUUUCAUUUUUAUUUUAUGCACCAUGCUGGUAUGAGAUAGUCCUUGGUUGAUUUAUAAAAUUCUCAUUGCACUUCACUUAAAUCUUUUGAGUGUGGCUUUAUAGAAUGCUUCAUGUGCUUCACUUAUAUCAUUUGAAGUUUGGAUUGCCUGUUUCUCUUUACAUAGAAAACCGCCAUUUGUAGAAUGCUCUUUUUGCUUCACUUAUAUUUGUUAGAGCGUGGACAUAUCUUUUGUAGAAAGAAUUAAACUCUCUUGCUUCACUUUAUCUAUUUAGAGAGAUGACAGGAAUUGGUCAUUCACAUGGUUAGUCAUAAAAUCCUACAUAAACUUGUAGAUCGCUGAAUAUGAUAUGUUCGAUUCCUUGCAAUAGUUUUGCGAUAUAAAGGUGGUGAUAUUAGAGUCAUGCUAGCGGGUGGUUGUGGAUUGUAGAGAAACUUGUGUUGAGGUUUGCAAGUCCCGUAGCAUGCACGUAUGGUAACCGUUGUGUGACAAAUUUGAAGCAUGGGGUGUUUCUUUGAUUGUCUUCCUUAUGAGUGGCAGUCGGGGACAAGCGAUGGUCUUUUCCUACCAAUCUAUCCCCCUAGGGGCAUGCAUAGUAGUACUUUGCUUCGAGGGCUAAUAAAUUUUUUGCAAUAAGUAUAUGAGUUCUUUAUGACUAAUGUGAGUCCAUGGAUUAUACGCACUUUUACCUUUCCAUCAUUGCUAGCUUGUUCGGUACCGUGCAUUGCCCUUUCUCACCUCGAGAGUUGGUGCAAACUUCGCCGGUGCAUCCAAACCCCGUGAUAUGAUACGCUCUAUCACACAUAAGCCUCAUUAUAUCUUCCUCAAAACAGCCACCAUACCUACCUAUCAUGGCAUUUCCAUAGCCAUUCCGAGAUAUAUUGCCAUGCAACUUCCAUCAUCAUCACAUACAUGACUUGAGCAUUUAUUGUCAUAUUGCUUUGCAUGAUCGUAAGAUAGCUAGCAUGAUGUUUUUAUGGCUUGUCCGCUUUUUGAUGUCAUUGCUACGCUAGAUCAUUGCACAUCCCGGUACACCGCCGGAGGCAUUCAUAUAGAGUCAUAUCUUUGUUAUAGUAUCGAGUUGUAAUAUCGAGUUGUAAGUAAAUAAAAGUGUGAUGAUCAUCAUUAUAGAGCAUUUCCCCAUAAAAAAGAAAAAUGAAAGGCCAAAGAAGCCUAAAUAAGAAAGGGGGCCAAAGAAGCCCACCCAAAAAGAAAAAAAAAGAAAAAAAAGAAAGAAAAAAGAAAAAGAAAAGGGGCAAUGUUAUUAUUCUUUUACCACACUUGUGCUUCAGAUUAGCAGCAUGUUCUUCAUAUAGAGAGUCUCAUAUGUUGUCACUUUUAUUUACUAGUGGGAAUUUUCAUUAUAGAACUUGGCUUGUAUAUUCCAAUGAUGGGCUUCCUCAAAUACCCUAGGUCUUCAUGAGCAAGCAAGUUGGAUGCACACCCACUUAGUUUUCAGUUUGAGCUUUCAUACACUUAUAGCUCCUAGUGCAUCUGUUGCAUGGCAAUCCCUACUCCUCGCAUUGACAUCAAUUGAUGGGCAUCUCCAUAGCCCGUUGAUUAGCCACGUCGAUGUGAGACUUUCCCUUUUUGUCUUCUGCAUAUAAACCUCCACCAUUAUAUUCUAUUCCACCUAUAGUGCUAUAUCCAUGGCUUGCGCUCAUGUAUUGCGUGAGGGUUGAAAAAGCUGAAGCGCAUUAAAAAGUAUGAACCAAUUGCUUAGCUUUUGAUCGGGGUUGUGCAUGAUGGGAGCAUUUCGUGUGACGAAAAUGAAGCAUGGCCAAACUAUAUGAUUUUGUAGGGAUAAGCUUGCUUUGGCCUUGUUGUUUUGAAAAGACAUGAUUGCUUUAUUAGUACGCUCGAAGAAUUAUUGUUUUUAUGUCAAUUGAUAGACUAUUGCUUUGAAUCACUCGUAUCUAAAUAUUCAUGCCAUGAUUAGACAUAUGAUCAAGAUUAUGCUAGGUAGCAUUCCACAUCAAAAAUUAUCUCUUUUAUCAUUUACCUACUCGAGGACAAGAGGAAUUAAGCUUGGGGAUGCUGAUACGUCUCCGUCGUAUCUAUAAUUUUUGAUUAUUCCAUGCCAAUAUUCUUGAACUUUCAUAUACUUUUGGCAACUUUUUAUACUAUUUUUGGGACUAACAUAUUGAUCCAGUGCCCAGUUCCAGUUCCUGUUUGUUGCAUGUUUUAUGUUUUGCAGAAGACCAAUAUCAAACGGAGUCCAAACGGGAUAAAAAUGGACAGAGAAUUAUUUUGGAAUAUUUGGGAUUUUCCGGAGGAAGAAUCAACGCGAAACAGUGUCUGAGGUGGCCAGGAGAUAGGGGGGCGCCCUCCCCCAUGGGCGCACCUGGCACUCUCCUGGGCCACCCGUAAGGCGGUUGACGCUCUUCUUUUGCUGCAAUAAAUCUAAUUUUAUGAGAAAAAUCUGGGCGAAAGAUUCACCCCAAUCGGAGUUACGGAUCUUAAGAUAUAAAACAAACGGUGAAGGGGCAGAAUCUGAGAACGCAGAAACAGAGAGAUAAAUCCAAUCUCGGAGGGGCUCUCGCCCCUCCCAAGCCAUGGGAGCCAAGGACCAGAGGGGAAACCCUUCUCCCAUCUAGGGAGGAGGUCAAGGAAGAAGAAGAAGAAGAAGAAGAAGGGGGGCUCUCACCCCUUGCUUCCGGUGGCGCCGGAACGCCCCGGGGGCCAUCAUCAUCACUGUGAUCUUCUCCAACGCCUCCGCCAUCUUCAUCAACAUCUCCAUCACCUUCCCCCAUCUAUAUUCAGCGGUCCACUCUCCCGCAACCCACUGUACGCUCUACUUGAACAUGGUGCUUUAUGCUUCAUAUUAUUAUCCAAUGAUGUGUUGCCAUCCUAUUAUGUCUAAGUAGAUUUCCAAUGUCCUAUCGGUGAUUGAUGAAUUGCUAUGAUUGGUUUGAGUUGCAUGCUUUAUUAUUGGUGUUGUCCUAUGGUGCUCUCUAUGUCGUGCAAGCGUGAGGGAUCCCUGCUGUAGGGUUUGCAAUAUGUUCAUGAUUUGCUUAUGGUGGGUGGCGUGAGUGACAGAAGCACAGCCCCGAGUAAGUAGGUUGUUUGCAUAUGGGAUAAAGGGGACUUGAUACUUUAAUGCUAUGGUUGGGUUUUACCUUAAUGAUAUUUAGUAGUUGCGGAUGCUUGCUAGAGUUCCAAUCAUAAGUGCAUAUGAUCCAAGUAGAGAAAGUAUGUUAGCUUAUGCCUCUCCCUCAAAUAGAAUUGCAAUAGUGAUUACCGGUCUAGUAACGUAGUCAAUUGCUUAGGGACAAUUCCACAACUCCUACCACCACUUUUCCACACUCGCUAUAUUUACUUUAUUGCUUCUUUAUCUAAACAGCCCCUACUUUUUAUUUACGUGUUCUUUAUUAUCUUGCAAACCUAUCCCAACAACACCUGCAAAGUGCUUCUAGUUUCAUACUUGUUCUAGGUAAAGUGAACACUAAGCAUGCGUAGAGUCGUAUCAGUGGCAGAUAGGGCUUGAGAGAGUAUUUAUUCUACCUUUAGCUCCUCGUUGGGUUCGACACUCUUACUUAUCGAAAGAGGCUACAAUUAUCCCGUAUACUUGCGGGUCAUCACCUAGCGGUGUGAAAUAAAUGGGAAACUUGUAAGUUCAUGGAGUUUGUAUAUGAGUUAGAGAAACGCCUGGGCGGCCAACCCAAGCCAUGCAUAAUUCAUGGUGGAAAUUUACAACAUAACCAUAGUGAGCAUUCUAUGGAGCAUCUUCAAUAAAAAAAACUACGCCCAUGGUAAUAAAAGGAUUGCUGAGAUGCUCAUUGUCUGUUGCCUUGUCAUUUUGGUAUGGGAUAGCUCUUGUGUCAUGGGGCAAGGGGUACACCGUUGGCAUGAACUUACAAUGACAAGAACUUAUUUGGGACCUAAGUUGAGUAGCAUGAGGUUUAGGUAAUCGUAUUCAAGGGGCAUGAGGCUUUCAAUUUGUGAUAUUUCAAGCAUACAACUCAUAUUUUCCCUCACUUUAACCUUAACCAUUCAAGAUGCGUAUGAUAGGGGCAAUGAGAGCUCAAAUCUAAUGAGGACCAUAAUUUUUGGAUGCUUUAUAAAACUUAUUAAUCCCUACUUACCUCUAUGAAGGGCCUUUCUUUUACUUUUUUGUUGAGUCUUCAUCUUCUAUCUUUAUGCUCCAACUAAGAGAGCAUAGUUGUCAUUCUGAGUAUAAUGUGCAUUGUCCCAAAACUUGUUGAUUGAUUCAUGAUUAUGGUAUUGCUUAUUUUCAAAUUAUUUGUAUCUAGUCACCCUUUUGAACUUUGAAGGUGUCCUAUGCAUUUAUGUUUUGCUACUCCAUGAAGGACAGGCUGAAUACCACUUUGCUAUGUUUUCUCUAUGUGCGAAACAAACAAAUGUCUUUCAAAGCAUUAUUCAUGAUCUUUUGUUUAUGUUGCCUUUCAUGUUGUAACAUAGUUGCUAUGUUCUAUUGUUAGAAAUAUAUCUUUCAUACCUAUGUUUAGAGUACUUUGAUCCCAUCUUAGAAUGUUUUACAAUGAUCAUGAUCAAGAUUCUAUUGGCUGCAUGUCACCUCAAAAACUCUUUUUGUUAUCACUUACCUACUCGAGGACGAGCAGGAGUUAAGCUUGGGGAUGAUGAUAUGUUGCAAACAUAUCUAUAAUUUUUGAUGCUCCAUGCUUGUUUUACACCAAUUACUUUAUGUUUUUUUUACACUUUGUGGCAUUUUUAUGUAUUUUCUGGAACUAACCUAUUGACAAGAUGCCACAAUGCCAGUUCCCUAUUUUCUGCUGUUUUUGUGUUUUGGAGAAAUUAGUAAAGAAAUAUUCCCGGAAUUGGACGAAACAAACGCCAAAGUUCCUAUUUUUCUCGACAUGACACGGAGUCCAAAGCAGAGACGGAGGAGGGCACUGAAAGUGCAUUAUAUCGACUAGAGGAGGGGGGUGAAUAGGCGAUUUUUAUGAAUUCUUCACUGAGGAAUUUGUCGGUGAGGAAAUUCUUUGGCGAAGAACUACUUGCAGCGGAAUCAGUACUCAGAAGUAAGCGUAACAGAAUACAGGCAUGGUCAUCAUGAUGAAAUGAAGACACGCACAGAGUACAGAAAGCUUAAACACAGGAUAACACAAGAUGAAGACAAACAGACUGAAGAAAUUGAACUGAGGAAAUUGAGAAAGUCUUCAGUCAAAGUCUUCAAACACGGAUAUGAACAAUCACUCAACACAGUAAUGAGUAAAUGAAAGAGUUGAGGGAAUAGAACCAGGAAGGUUGGUGAAGACAAUGAUUUGGUAGACUAUUUCCAACUGCUGUCUCAGUUGUACGUCUGGUUGGAGCGGCUGAGUAUUUAAACUCGAGGGCACACAGUCCCGGACACCCAGUCGCUGAGCACGCAGCUCAGGACACCAAGUCCUCACCGUAUUCUCCUUGAACUAAGGUCACAUAGACCUUGUCCAAUCACUGGUGGUAAGUCUUCAGGCGAAAUCCAAACCUUCACAAACUCGGUCAAUCGGCGAUCCACAAUUCCUCCUUAUGCUCUAGACCAUGACGCCUAACCAUCUGGAAGAAGCACAGUCUUCAAAGAUAACAAGCGUCGGAUCCACGCAGGAUCAAUCUCUUCAGUGAUGCUCAAUCACUUUGGGUUUGUAGGUGUUUGGGUUUGGGUUUUUUCCUCGAUGAUUUUCGCUCAAAGUCUUCGGAUGAUGGGAUGCUCUCAAGUGUCAGUUUCUCUCGGAGCAGCCGACCAGCUAGUGGUUGUAGGGGGCGGCUAUUUAUAGACUAGGGAGCAGCCCGACAUGAUAAGACAUAAAUGCCCUUGUCCGAUAUGACCGUUAGGUGGAUAAGAUAUUUUGGGAGAGCUGGCGCGCAGCACAACACUGGUCGGAAAUUUGAAUCUCAAAUUCUUCAGGGCUAUCAUGUUCCUCACUUUGUAGGCAAUCCGCACUGGCGAAUUCCUAACUCCUCAGUCAGAAAAAAUUCCUCAGCGACUAGAAGAACUGCGUCUCUGUCACUAAAGAAAUGACUGAACUGUAUGAGAUUUCCAAAGGCUUCACUCGAAGGGAUUGGUACGUGUAGGAUUUUGAGUUGAGCAUCACAUGGAAAUUUUUCCUUAGUAUUUCCUAGACCCCCUUUAACAGUACGGUGUUUCCUAUGACUCAAGAAAGAGAAAAACAAAACUAUGAAAAUGAAAGUCUUCAAGCUUCAUAUUCCUCGCAUGAAUAUCAAUUCUUCACGGACACACCAAUUUCUUCAAUUUCGAAGUCUUCAUGAAAGUCUUCAGGAAUACCAAAAUCUUCAGUCAAAGAUAUUCAUUUUUAGGGGUCGACUUUCUCUGUAAAUAUCAAACCCCUCAUAGACUUAUAGACCUGUGUAUACUCAUAAACACAUUAGUCCCUUAACCUAUAAGUCUUCAAUACACCAAAAUCACUAAGGGGUACUAGAUGCACUUACAAUCUCCCACUUUUUGGUGAUUGAUGACAAUAUAGGUUAAGUUUUCAAUGGGGAUAAACAUAUGAACUAUAAGUACUGAUAUUGAGGAAUUUGAUGGCAAGAUAUAGAAGAACUCCCCCUGAAGAUGUGCAUAGUGAGGAAUUUUCUUUUGAAGCAAUGCACACUUGAAGAGUUUAAUCAUGGAGAUCUCCCCCUAUAUCUUGUAAUUCAUACACGCAUUUGGCAUAUAAUAUGAAGAAUUUGAAAUGCAUGAUGAAAUAUGGUGCCUGAUGAAAUUCAGCAUGCGUGCAAUAAUAUUAAUGAGGAACAAGCAUGCAGAAUAACGCAUCAAGAGUAUCAGAGCACAAUGCAUCAAAAGUAUCAGAGCACCAUCGGGUUUAAGAUUACAACUCGAUCCAAUAAAGUUUCAGAAGAACGAGAGUUGUAACUUAGCAAAAACGCCCAUAUAAUACACCUGCUUGAAGACUAACUCAAAUUUCUCCCCCUUUGUCAUCGAAUGACCAAAAGGUUUGAAACUGAGGACUAACGCCCCUGAAGAAUAUCAAGUUGAUGGAGGAGCGUCAGCAUUGUCAGGGUCGGUUGUCGUAGUAGGGCCUACCGAAGUGUCGUCCAAGUCUUCAUUUUCAUCAGUGUCACGCGAUGAAGAAUAGGAGCUGGCCACCAAGGAAGGAACCUUGACCUUCUUGAAUUUCUUCGGUGGAGGUGCAGACCAGUCAAAUUCGUCCUUGAGACCCAUUCUCUUCAGAUCCUCUGCGCUAUAGACAUGAGAUAGAACAGCCCAGGUACGGUUGAAGGUUCCAUGGAGGUAGUAGUGGUUUUUCUUCACUACAUUGUGUGUUGAGGUCAUGUUGUGAAGAAUUGAACCAAACUGACGCUUGACCCAUUUAUGAUUGCGAUCAACUUUCUGAUGAAGACUGAGGAGUAAUUCACGAUCAGUCAUCACCCUGGGUGCUGUGGCUUGAGGAAUUUGCUUGGCAGAGGUGUUGGCGGCAGAGUCAUGUGUGGCAGAGUCAUCAUUGGUGGAGUAGGAUGCAGCCUUGCGAAAUUGACCAUCCAAUGGACGAAUGCCUUCAUCUAUCACAACAGUUGCCUUGCCUUUGUCAUCAGCUAAGGAAAAUGUUCGUGUGAGGACCUCAAUUGGAGGCAAGUAGCUGUCGUGGUUUAGAGUAUCAUCCUUGUAAUUGAGUGAAGACCUUGUCCUGAUGAACCUCAUAAUCCAUGGUGCAUAAGGCUUCAGCUCAAAUGCUCACAUAGCAAUAUUCACCAGAGUCAUCAUGAAGAAAUCAUGGAAGUUGACGGGAACGCCAUUAAUGAUAUUGAAAAGCAUAUUCUUCAUGAUGCCAACGACUUCUUCAUCAUUUGAGUCGUGGCCUUUGAUAGGACUCAUUGUCUUCGUCAGAAUGCGAUAGAAAGUCCGUGGCACAUACAGUCAUUCCUUGACGAGGAAUUUGGUUAGAGGGGCCUGCCCUGGCUUCAAAGGCUUCAUCAGCACUUGCAUGUAAUGAUUUUUAAGCUCAGGUUUGUUGUAGAUGCAACGAGCACCUUCAAGGGGAGGACUGAGUGGGAGGGCACGAAGCAAUUCAGUUGCUGGUGCCUUGUAGUGAGUAUUGUCUGACAUCCAGUCCAACACCCAUGAGUUCACAUCUUUAGAAUUUCCUAUGAUGUGCAGCGUUGCAUAGAAUUGAAGAAUGAGUUCUUCAUUCCAAACACAGAUGUCAGUGCAGAAAUUCAGCAAUCCAGCAUCGUGAAGAACACUAAGGACUGGCUCGAAGCACGGCAGAGACUCCAUGUCCACAUGAGGAAUAUGUUCAUGAUCGAAGACUUUGUCUUUGUUGAAUAGUACCAAGGAAUAGAAAUUUUCUUGACUAGCAGUCCAGAAACGCCUCUUCCUUAUGCGAGUAGAAUCAUAGGGGUUGUAGUCUGUGAAGAACACAUGCUCGCUGAAGAAAUCUUCAGCCUUGAACUUUUGCUUCUUUGAGAAUGGAUCCAUUGGCUUGGGCACUAGAGUGUCAGUGAGUUGCAUCACAACCUCAGGAAUCGCAAUCUCAGGUUCUUCAGGCUAAGGAAUUUCUGGUUCCUUUUCAGUGGCAGUCUGUGUGUUCAAAGGAUCAGCAACAGCAGUUUCUUCAGCACUAGCGGCUGGAAUUUCUUCAUGCACACAUGAGGUGGGAUGAGUUUCUUCAGAGCCCAUUUGAACGUUUGGUGCAGGGGACUAAGGUAUUUGUUGUAUUGGGGUGAAGAGUGGAGAAUUGGGGUGCUAACUUUCCCAAAAGUCAUCAUUCAUCACCGGCGUUGUGCAGCCAAUGCCCACGUCUUCAUCUUCAAUUUCUUCAACGCCAGCCUCUUCAGCUGUGAACUAAGGCAUUGGCAAGGAAGAAACAGGAGUUGAAGGGAUCGUAUCCACUUCAAUUUCUUCAUAAACCUGCUCUGACAAAGCAGCAAAUUGAGGUUCUUCAUCAGAUCCGCUUGGGAUCACAUAUUCUUCACCAAAAGGAACAAGGUCCUUUGAUGGCAUGGUGGAAAUUGGAACAACAUCAAUUGGAUUUUCAAGUGAGCUAGUCAUAGGCUUCAUCUUUUUUGGAGCUGAAGAUUCUGAAGCACUUGAUGAUUUCCUUUUCUUCACUGCAGCUCGCUCUGCAGCCUUGGUCUUCUUCACAUAUAAUGCAGAUGGAAGGAUUGGAGUUGGUCUAGGCGCAGGAGGAGCUGGGGAAUCUGGUUGAUUUUCUUCAGGCGCAACUGAUGCAAUUGCCCUGACCUCUUCAGUUUCUUCAGGCGCACCACUAGUGGAUGCCCUGGCAAUUUCUUCAGCGGCUGGAAUGGAUUCAUCAGCCCUGGAACAAGCAAGCAGCCUGAAAGUCAUCAGCGGUGCUGGCAUGUUCUUCAGUUGGCUGAGCAGAAGCUUCAGCUUCAGGAAUUUCUUGUUGCGAUGGGGCUGCAACAUUGGUGAACUUUUCAGUCAGUUUAACAAACCUGACUUUGGCUCCUUGCCAAUCAGCAUAGUAAGCAUUGAAAUCAUCACUGGGGGCUUUGAUUUCAGACUGGAUCUUGAGGAGUUCAUCAGUUGUCAUAUUGACAACGUUUAUCUUCAGGAACUUCUCUUUCCUGAACUGAGCCUUCUUGAUCUGCCUGGCCUUCUCAAAUUUCCAUUUCUCUUCAGUGAUGAAAUGGGUCAGCAUGUGACUGUGACCAGGAGUCAAAUUGAAAUCAGGCAUAGGAGUAUUUGGAUCCUUGUGCCAGAGAUCAAUGUAAUCGAGGAUCGCCCUUGGAUCCAAAAGCAGUGGCACAUUUGUGCCUUUGGCUCUAGCGGCCCUUUCUUGUCUGUCUCUGAUGAUUUCUGCAAGUUCAUCAUCAUCAGCUUCAUCGUCAGAUGGCACUUGGAAGGCAACCUGUUUCUUCUUUGGACUUGGCCGAGGACCUCGACCAGCCAUUGCCUUUGUCUUCAGCAGGGUGGGGCCUGAUGAAGAUUUUGGUGCAGCUGAGGAACUCGCUGAGGCACCAGAGGCAAUAGAGAUGCAUGUAGUCCUUUGGCACGUGGCCAGAUGUACAGGUGUUGAGGACUUUGCCGGAGCAGCGGAGGACAUUGGGGGAGGAGCUGAGGAUUUUGGAGGAGCAGGAGCAGCAUGAGGAACUGGCCGUGAGGGCUUUGAAGAAUCUGGCUGUGAGGGCUUUGAAGAUUCUGGCCGUGAGGGCAUUGCUGAGGAAAUUGGCCGUGAGGGCAUAGUUGGUGAAGCACUUGGCUUGUGAGCGGGCUUCUUUGCCAUUGAUUUUCUAGGCUUGACAGAGGCCUCAGUGGCAACAGCAGCAGUAGAGUCUUCAUUGAAUUUCCUCACUGCUUCUUUGGCUUGUCUCGCCAACUUGGCUUGGCGUUUGGCCCAUUCUUCAGGAAAAUCCUCACCACGCUUGAUGCUGGUGGGGUCAGCUUCUUGGCCAGGUGCCAAUGGAGGUCUUGGGCAUGGAGGAUUUAGUGUGAAUUUCUUCAUAUAUACUUCGGAGUUACAUAUCUGUACUCCCUCCAUUCUCUUGCCCAUCUCCUUUCAAUCUUCUGUAUGCGCACCUUGCACUGAUUUUUGUUUUCCUUUCCGAACUUAGCCUCAUCAGGUGUGCAAUAACCAGCAUAGAUGUCCUCAGGUAUUUCAAAAGCAGUCAUGACCUCAGGCUUCUUUCCUCCUUUUUGCGGCUUCUUACCGUCUGCCAUAUUCUUCAGAUGAGGAAUUUGAGCAAUCGAAUUCUCUGAAGAAGUAUGCAACUUUUCUUCGAGGAACGCUGCAAAUGAGUUAAGUUGAUGAGAACCUAGUGAUUCAGCAGCGGACAUGAGUACCUGUGAACAGAGUAUAGUUGCGAGGAAUUUGGAGAGGUCAUAUGCAUUCUCAAAAGUUUUUUUUAAAAGAACAAGUUUGAGGAAUUUGACCAGAUGAACCUUGAAGAAUUUCACUAAGCGUUCUUUGUCUUAGGUUCCAGAGUUGUAUAGAUCGAGGAUCCACACAAUUGAGGAAUCUUGAAGAAAAAUGAUGCUUAGAGAAACGAAUCAAGAACAGAUGACUAGUGAGGUGUUUUGUGUGUGAGGAUUUGAAGAAUAAAACACCUUUGAAGAUUUUGUAGAGAAAAUUUGAAUCAAAGAGGGCAGUAAAAGUAACUUUUAAUUACCCUUGAUGAAGAACACGACGAACUGUGAAGAAGAACAGUGAAGUUCGUCGGUGUAGAUCUUCCACGCCCGAACUCGGUGGAGGAAGACAGCUACGGCGGCGGCGGAGUGAAGAUUUCCACGGCCGGCGCGAGUACGACGGCGACGAGGUUGAGGCAGUGAAGUUCUUCCUCACCGGCGACGAUGGAGUAGCGGGGGCGCUAGGGUUUGAGAAGCUCGAGCGAGAGAGAGCGAUCGAGCGGAGUAAAGGAAGUGAGGAAGGGGUGAGGGGGUAUUUAUAGUCGCAGUUAAAAACUGUUCACCCGAAGAUUUAGGACGAAUGUGCCCCUGACCCUUCUCAUCCGUUUGACAUGUGUCACCCACGUACUGAAAAGUGGGGAUCGUGUUAGAUCGUGGGUGAAUAGAUAAGUCUAUCGUGGGAUGCGGAACGGUUUGAGCGGUAAAACCGAAAAAUUUGGAUAAGAUUAGUUAAAAGUUCCGUUCGCAAAUUCUUCAGCUGACAAGGACACAGUGAAGAUUUUGAACGAGUUUCCAAUAAAACGCACAUGAAGAAUUUGUGAAUAGAUUGGGUUGAGUAUAGCAUAGAGAGGGAAGGGUCCGAUCACAUUCACUUAGCAGAAAAUGCAGCUUGAAGAAAUAGCCAUAAGUGAAUGUUGUAGAGGACAUAAACCCAUAUAUAUAUCCAAUGAAGAAAAACGACGGAAACAGUGAAGAUUUUGCAAAGUUGAAGAAUUUGAAAAACUAAAGAAUUUCAAAACUGAGGAAUUUCAAAAAUGAAGAUUUUCAACUUUGGUGGUGGCGUGACCCACCAUAUAAGAACGAUGAUUUCAGACACCGCGUACAAUUGUCGUAGGGUUCUGAGAAUCAAAUUCUUCAUUAAUUUCUUCACACUUAGAGUGUUAUUCUUCAUUGAUUGAAGAAAAACGUUUCUUCAUGUGUUGCACAUCUAAGUCAUCAAUUUUGCACAAGUGUUAGGAUGAGUGUCCUUUUUCAAAGAACAUUCGAAGAUUCUAGGAUAUUUAGCUCACACCGCAACUUGCUAGGCUUUGUGAAGAUAUCAGCCAGCUGUUCUUCAGUCUUCACGUGCUCGAUGGAGAUGUCACCCUUCAACACAUGAUCACGAAGAAAAUGAUGACGGAUCUGAAUGUGCUUUGUCUUCGAGUGCUGAACUGGGUUGUGAGCAAUCUUGAUGGCACUCUCAUUGUCACAGAGGAGAGGCACAUUCUUCAGGUUGACGCCAUAGUCCUUGAGGGUUUGCUUCAUCCAUAGCAGUUGAGCACAGCAAGAACCAGCAGCAAUGUACUCAGCUUCUAAAGUAGACAGUGAUACGCAGUUCUGUUUCUUCGAGGACCAACAGACCAAAGAUCGUCCGAGGAAAUGACAAGUACCAGAUGUUGACUUGCGGUCCACCCGAUCACCAGCAUAGUCAGAGUCGGAAUAUCCAAUGAGAUCAAAAGUAGAGCCCUUGGGGUACCAUAAUCCUAGUGUUGGUGUGUGAGCUAGAUAUCGAAGAAUAUGCUUCACAGCCUUAUGGUGUGAUUCCUUCGGUGCAGCUUGAAAUCGGGCACACAUGCAAAAACUAAGCAUUAUAUCUGGCCUAGAUGCACAUAGGUACAAUAAAGAACCAAUCAUGGAGCGGUAUACCUUGUGAUCGAAGUCAAUACCAUUUUCAUCAGUGCAUAGAUGGCCAUUUGUGGGGAUAGGAAUUUUGACGCCUUUGCAAUCUUGCAUGCCGAAUUUCCUCAUAACAUCUUUGAGGUAUUUCUCCUGAGAUAUGAAUAUGCCAUUGUGCUGUUGAUGAAUUUGAAGACCUAAGAAGAAUUUUAGCUCUCCGAUCAUAGACAUUUGAUAUUCUUCACUCAUCAUAUAGGCAAAUUCAUCACUAUAACGUUGGUCAGUACAGCCAAAGAUAAUAUCAUCAACGUAUAUUUGGCACACAAACAGUUCACCAUCAUAAGAUUUAGUAAAGAGAGUAGGGUCGAGUGAACCGGGUGUGAAGCCAUUCUUCAUGAAGAAUUCCUUCAGAGUAUCAUACCACGCCCGAGGGGCCUGCUUGAGGCCAUAGAGGGCCUUGUUGAAUCUGAAGACUUUGUCAGGAUUCUUUGGAUCUUCAAAACCUGGGGGUUGAGCAACAUAUACUUCUUCCUCAAGCUUACCAUUGAGGAAUGCACUUUUCACAUCCAUUUGAUAUAAAGUGCUAUUAUGAUGGUUAGCAUAAGCAAGUAAUAUGCGAAUAGCCUCAAGUCUAGAAACAGGUACAAAAGUUUCAUUGGAAUCAAUUCCUUCAACCUGUGUGUAGCCUUGAGCUACAAGUCGUGCCUUAUUCCUCACCACAAGGCCAUUUUCAUCUUGCUUGUUGCGAUAGAUCCACUUUGUGCCAAUGAUAUUAUGCUUGCGAGGGUCUGGACGUUUGACCAGUUCCCAGACAUUGUUGAGCUCGAACUGAUGUAAUUCUUCUUGCAUGGCCUGAAUCCACUCAGGCUCUAGAAAUGCUUCAUCUACCUUAGUGGGCUCUGCGAUGGAGACAAAAGCAUAGUGCCCACAAAAGUUAGAUAAAUGUGAAGCUUUUGAGCGUGUGAGAGGACCUGGUGCUCGAAUGUCAUCGAUGAUCUUCUCCACUUGCACUUCUUUUGCAAUGCGAGGAUGAGCUGGUUGUCGUCGAGGAAUUUGAUCAGCAUUUUCUUCAUCACCAUUUUCUUCAGCAUUUUCAUCAGGUGCAUCAGCUCGAUUUUCUUCGCGUUCUGGAAUGAAUUCAUCAGUAGAUUCUUCGGUAGGAAUGACAUCCUCAGUAGCCUUGAACUUGAUAGAAUCCUCAGGUGCUGGUUCAUCUAUCACAGAAGGUAGGUGCUAUCUUUGUGAGCCAUUAGUUUCAUCGAACCGCACAUCUACAGUUUCAACAACCUUGUGAAGAACAUUGUUGAAGACUCUGUAGGUGUGCGAGUCCUUUCCGUAACCAAGCAUAAAACCUUCAUGUGCUUUUGGUGCAAAUUUAGCAUUGUGAUGAGGAUCUCUAAUCCAACAUUUAGCACCGAAGACUUUGAAAUAACUCACAUUGGGUUUCUUGUCAGUGAGGAGUUCAUAGGCAGUCUUCUUGAAGAAUUUGUGAAGAUAUACCCAAUUGAUGAGAUGGCACGCAGUAUCAAUUGCCUCAAUCCAGAAACGACGAGGCGUCUUGUAUUCAUCAAGCAUAGUACGAGCCAUUUCAGCGAGGGUUCUGUUCUUGCGCUCCACGACGCCAUUCUGCUGAGGAGUAUAAGGAGCAGAUAACUCAUGCGUAAUACCAAGUUCAUCAAGAUAGCCAUCAAGACCGGAAUCCUUGAACUCGGUCCCAUUGUCAGUUCUAAUGUGCUUGAUCUUCACACCAAAGUUGGUUGAAGCCCUCGAGGAAAAUCGUUAGAAGAUUUCCUGCACUUCAUGUUUGUAAGUGACAAUGUGUACCCAUGUGUAACGAGAAUAGCCAUCAACAAUAACAAAGCCAUAUAGAGAUGCAUCAUUUGAAACAGCAGAAUAAUGAUUAGGACCAAAGAGAUCCAUGUGAAGCAAUUCAAAUGGACGAGUAGUGGUCAUGAUAUUCUUCGCUGGAUGCUUGGCCUUUGUCAUCUUUCCAGCUUCACAAGAUCCGCAUAAGGGAUCCUUGAGGAAUUUGACAUUCUCAAUGCCAAUGACAUGCUUCUGCUUCGCAAGUGUGUUCAAAUUCCUCAUGCUAGCAUGACCAAGUCGUCGAUGCCAUAGCCAGCCUUCUGAAGCUUUUGCCGGUAAGCACACGGCUGGUUGUGGUCCUAUAGAGAAAUCAAAAAUAUGCAGAUCUCCUCUUCUAAAGCCUUCGAAGACUUUGGAAUGGUCAGCUUCCAUGAUCAGAACACAACGAUACUUGCCAAAGACAACAACCAUAUCAAGAUCACAAAGCAUUGAGACUGACAUGAGGUUGUACCCUAAGGACUCGACAAGCAUGACUUUGUCCAUGUGUCGAUCCUUUGAGAUCACAACGUUACCUAGACCCAAUACCUGACUUUUGCCUUUGUCGGCGAAGAUGAUAUGCUUCAGAUGUGACGGCGAUAAGGGAGCAUCCAUCAAUAGACUCUUGUCACCCGUCAUUUGAUUUGUACAUCCACUAUCGAGAACCCACUCGUUUGAUUUGUGCUGAUCAUCCUGCAGAUGAAUUAGUGCAUCUUACGAACUCAUAUACUUCAUCCGUGAAGAAUAUCAUAUCAAAUUCAUCAGAUGAAUUUCAUCAAAGAGUAAAAACAGAUAUAGCAGUAUGAGGACGUGUGAAAUGAAAGUUCAUUUCAUCAUGAUUUGCCUGCGUCCUUUCAGGCACUUUAGUCAGGUCCCCAGCAAAUUCUUCGGACGUUAAGGCACGUCUGGAGACCCGACCCUGCGGAAGAAAUUAGUUCUUUUUCUUCACCACCCACAUCUGAAGGGGUGGCAAAGAGUUCAUCACUCUACGAGCUCCAUAUGAGAAUGGUGGCAUAGAAGCCAAACCAUUUUGUUUCACAUAAGAGGGGUUAGGUUAAGCAUAUGAAUAAGCAGAGAAAUUCUUCGAGGACUUAUGAACAUAUUGGUUUGAAAAAUAAUGCACAUAUUCAUAGCCCUUAGCUCUACCCUGUGAAACAGAGUUGUUAGCACGAUGAUAAUCAUAUGAGGACUUUGAUCCUUUUGAGGAAUUUGAUCCACGUGAGGAAUUUGGUCCGUAUGAGGACUUGGAUCCAUAUGAAGAAUUUGGUCCAUAUGAAGAGUUUGAUCUGGGGUUCCUAUUCUUCAAUGGUGGUGUCAUGAGGACAUUCACCUGAAGACUUUCAAGGCACUUAUUGGGAACCCAGAUUUUCUUCAUAGGAGAACCGUUCCUGCAGUUAGUGCCAACAUACCUAGCAAAUACUUCACCAUUCUGAUUUUUGAACAGUCUAUAGUUGGAGUCAAAUGACUCAUCAGAAGAAUGAGGAGAUUCACAUGUAAAGCCAGAUAAGUUAGAUGGAUCAACUGGAGGUCCCUUUGUAGCAACCCAUGAGGUUUCGUGGUACUGCUCAGACUUCCAAUAUGUUCCGUCAGAAUUGAGUUUCCUUUCAAAGGCAAUACCCUCUUUCCUAGGGUUUCUGUUGAGGAUCUGCUUUUUGAGCACAUCACAGAGAAUCUGAUGCCCUUUGAGGCUUUUGUACAUGCCUGUCGUGUACAAUUCCUUCAGCCCUGCAUCAUUAGUAGUACUAGCAAUGUCCUCAGAUGAGGAAUUAGUGAUAGCAGAGAAAGGUGAAGAAUUUGUAACAGUUGAAGCAUUUGAACAUUCAGGUGAAGAAUUAGCAGAUUCACGUUCAAUGCACUUUAAGCAUGGAGGAACAAAUUCUUCCUGAGAAGCGCUGAUUUGUUGAGCUAGCAAUGAAUUGCGCUCCUUCUGAAGAUCUUCAUAACUCACUCUUAGCUUAUCAAGAUCUUGCUUUCUUUGAAGAAAUUCAUAAGAAAGCUUCUCAUGAUCAGAUAAGAGACACUACUGGAAUCAGCUUAUUUGCCGUCUGCCAGUUCUUUGUCGUCAGCUGGCAGACGGCAAAGAGGCACUUUGCCGUCUGCUUGCAAAAAACAGACGGCAAAGAACUGACAAACGGCAAAGACGCCAGUUACCAUCAGCCAAUUAUUUGUUGUCUGCCAGCAGAUGGCAAAGAAUCUUUACCAUGUGCUGGAGGACGGCAAAGAGGUGGGGCUAUCUCUUUUUUACGGGUACAAAGAAAAUCGUUGACCCCCACCUCCUCUCUCUGUCUCCCCUCUCUCCGCACGCCCCCCACCUCCUCUCUCUCUCUACCCUCUCUCUCUCUCCCGCUCGUCUCUCCCUCUCCCUCGCGCGAGCACCUACGGCGGCCGAUUUUGGCGAGCUCCGACGGGAUUCGACGCCGCCCAGCACACCCAUGUGACCCCCUCGCCCCGCUCCUCCAUCCCCUCCGACCAGAUCUGACUCAUGCGUCCUCCAGCAACCACGCGUGACCCUCCCCUGCGGCUAGGGUUUCGGCCACCACAUCGCCGGCGUGGCUCCGGUGUUGCUCCGGUGACACGGGUGAGUCUCUUCACUCCUCCUCGUCACAUCCAUCCCUCUCUUUCUCACCGCGUCGCGUCGCGUAUCCUCUCCCUCACAGAACCAUCACGCCGGGAAGCCAUGGACGGGAAGGACGCCAUGGACGGGAAGGAAGCCGUGGAGGACGCAGCUCCACCACUGCCCCAACGCCAUCCAGGUCCGCCCCUUCUCCUCUCCUCCCCUCUUGGAUUUCUUCUUUUCCUGCCUUGCACCCGUCCACUCAAGUUCUAAACCAAACAAGAAAAAUUAUCAAUCUUGUUUUGGCUGCAUAAGCAAUAAUGGUUGAGGAGGACUCAGUUGUUCACUUCUAUAAUUGUGCCAUAAAUCGGUUUACUCUGCUUGAGGGCUGCCGUGGUUAGCUCGAUUUGAUAGGGUCCUUACUACAUAUGUUGUAGGGAUUUAACUUGACUUGCUAAUAAUGAGUGUCAAUCAAUCAAACACAAGGAAACUAUAAAUGCUUACUAUUUCGUAUAGUGAUCGUUGUGUUGUGUAUAGGUAAAACUUGUGUUGUCCUUAUCUACUUCGGAGGCAUCAUCAUGUGUUGUCAAUUUAGUUUCUGCCAUGGUUUUGGUUUGGUCCUGCUUAUGCCAAAUCGAUCAUUCAUUGCUUCUGAACACUCUACCUUUAAUCUUUGCUUCUGUAAAACCGGCCUUUCUUCUAUUGAAUGGAGUGUUUGCUUGCUAUGCGGGAAAAGUAGCUCAUUCAUCGAUGAUUUGGCAUGUGCAACCAAAGUGGACGGACCGCAUUUAGGUCUGGUCGCCGUGAGGAUCCUCUGGCGGUGCUGGAUGUGCCGUGGCGCGGUGGUGCCCCCGGGUGGCGCCUUCGUGCUGCGGUGCCCCUGGUUGGCGCCUUCGUGCCCGUGCUCUCACUGGCACCGCCAUUGUGGUGCUCUCCGGCAAGCUCCGGCUUGUUGUGGUGGUGUUGGUUGUGAUGCUGGUCACACCAUAGUGAUGGUGUGGCUGCAUCCUACUUCGGCUACAACUCCUUUUGGUGAGCUUCUCCUUGCUCCCCUCCUGAUCUAUCUAAUGCAUAGCUCUUGAUCUUGUUGGAUGUGAGGCUCUAUUAGCUGUGGUUAGCUGCUGUAGAUGAGCAUCAACUUGUAUUGGAGCUCUCUGUGAUGGAUUCUUGCUGUGUGAGGGUUUUGGUUAGUGACCAUCUAUGUGUAUUUGGGAAGUAUAUAUACUCCUGUACUGCUCUGUUCUGUGUAGUUGAUCCUGGAGUUGUUACUUUGGUCAGUUACUUUACUCAUGAACGGAUACUCACUUGUUCUUAGUUAUUUUACUUCUAAUACUGAUAUGAACAGAUACCACUUGGUUUGGCUAUUCCUAUUUGUCUCUUUCUAGUAGCCUAUGAACAGAUACUAUACUUGGUUUAGGCUGUUACUUUCCUAGUUUUCUACUGAUAAGACAGAUACUACAUCUGAUUUGGGCAGUGAUGCUGGUCUGAGCCCCCCUCUCUUAGGCUUAAUUUACAUGUGACUAUCCCUGUGCUGUGAUGAACUAGCCCUGGCACUUCCAGGCUGUCUGAGCACAUAAUCCCUCAAGUAUACCUUGAGGUCUUCUGUAGCUCUCCUUAAUAGUUAUCUCUUCUAAGCUGCUGGUGGUUGGAUGUGUUGGGACUUGGUCUGGUUGGCUGGUUGUGAUGUAUAUCUCCUCCUGGAGCUUUUUUUUUGGCGUUGCAUAGUGACAUGUACCUAUUGUCACUAGUCAAAACUGAUUGUGGUGAUGAAGUCUAAUCUUUGGCUUUAAUCACUAGUUUUUAGUUGGCUUAAUUCCUGGAGCUAGUACUGAUAGUGGUCUUUGUGUUGGCAUUUAACUUACUGCUAAUUGUGGUGGCUUCUUGAUUAGGUCCUUGGCUGGUUCUCUUCUUUGGCUCUUUGGUAUUGGUUUACUCUAUUUGGCUUUCUAAUUAAGAUCACUUUGAAAAUCAGGAUCUUAACUAAGAUUAUCUUGAUCUCAAGUACUGGCUCCUAUAGCAUUGCAUUUCACCAAGUGAAAUGCUACAUUUCUACUCCUAACCCAUUCUCUCUUUCUUAGUGUUUUUGUUAUGCAGGUUGGAAGAAAAGAAGAAGAUCCAGAGAAGAUCUUAGUAAUAAGAUAGUUUUUAGGAAAAUAGAUAUUUAGUUUUAGAUUAUUCCUUGUAAUACUUGUUGGAUAUGUGUUCAUGGAUAUGUGUUGGAUAUAUAUGUGUUCAUGACUAUAUAUUGGUAACAUGUGUUGGAUAUGUGUUCAUGGAUAUGUGUUGGAUAUAUAUGUGUUCAUGAGUAUUGGUAAUAUGUGUUGGAUAUGCUAUAUUGGUCAUACAUAUAGUCUGUGUUUGAUUGUGUUUGAUUUUCUGUAAAAAUGAAUUGAUAUAAGAAGAAACAGAAUUAAUGCCUAUUUGGUCUCUUUGCCAUCUGCCAACAGAUGGCAAAGAGCCUGCAGCCUUUGUCGUCUGCCAGCAGAUGGUAAAGAGUCGUGCCCUUUGCCGUCCGCCACUGACAGCAAAGGCCUCUUUGCCGUACGCUACAAAAAACAUACGGCAAAGAAGGCCUUUGCCGACCCUGUCUUUGCCGUCACUGUUUGCCGUCCGCGGCGGACGGCAAAGGCCUUUGCCGUUCGCCAUCCUAGCCUUUGCCGUCCGCCAUGGCUGAUGGCAAAGUACCAGAUUCCUGUAGUGAGAGUGACGGUGUCCUGGACUAGGGGGUACUCAACGCGUCGUCUCCCGAUCAGUUGGAUUGGGCCGAGGACCCCCAUGGCCGUAUACUCAUGGGCCAGUCCGGACAACUGCCGCAUACAAGGAAGAAUCAACAAGACUUGGCGAUCAAGAGAAGGACUCCUCCCCGACCGGCGUAUUCGGCUAGGACUCUUGUUAUCCUAGGCCUCUGGUGCAUUAUAUAAACCGGGGCCAGGCUAGUCGAUAGACAUAUACAACAACAAUCAUACCAUAGGCUAGCUUCUAGGGUUUAGCCUCCUUGAUCUUGUGGUAGAUCUACUCUUGUAACACACAUCAUCAAUAUUAAUCAAGCAGGACGUAGGGUUUCACCUCCAUCAAGAGGGCCCGAACCUGGGUAAAACAUCGUGUCCCUUGCCUCCUAUUAUCAUUGAUCCCAAGACGCAUAGUUCGGGACCCCCUACCCGAGAUCCCCCGGUUUUGACACCGACAUUGGUGCUUUCAUUGAGAGUUCCGCUGUGUGAUCAGCGAAAGGAUCAAUGGCUCGACUGCAGGUCAACUGCGAUGUCGGCUUCUUCGUCACCAGCUCGGCUGGUCACCUUGGCUUGACCGAGGACUGCGCCCUACUUCCGAUCGUCAUGUUCAGAUGAAGGCCUUCAUCAAACACCAACUCCGAUCUCUAUCAAGAUAGUGGAGGAGUCAUCCAUGGAGCUCGGGGGCUGAACGUCAACAUUACCCUCAGGCGACCGUGCUGUUUUCCUGGACAGCAAAUUUGUAUCCGCCGCCACCGCCUCCUCGAGUGUCGCUUAAGAGAUUACUUCGGUGAAAUUAUGCGGAAUUAAGUCUACAACAACCCUGCAAAAAUUUCAUUGAGUUCCGAUGGAGGAAUCUCCGGCAAUCUCCGAUAUACCGGAGCCCGGUUGAAUCUGGACGAGAAUCCGGAUGAGUUUAGGGCGUGGUAUCUAGAAUCUAGCUCGGAUGUCCUUUGGAGGAUCCAACCGUUGAUUUGCUGCGGAAUUCCCAUAUCUACCACCUGCCCAAAAUUCAGCUUGAUCUGACCGUCCAAACUCCGGGAAACUUCCGAUUAGUGCAUCACUUUUUGGACUUGUUUUCUGCGCGAGAACGAGUCCGACCCGAAUUCAUCUUCUUUAUGAACGGGAUUUCGGACAUCCUUUUUGAAGGAUGUUUUGUAUGGGGUAUUGUAUUUUGUUCCCGAACACAUCCCACUAACUUUAAGAUCUUUUGAACAUGAUUUUCGGCAUCAUGCUGGUGUCAAACCAGUCCGACAAUAUAGCUCCAUGGCUGCCGACCUGUGCUAGACACAUCGUCACUUUGUUGAGCCAAGGUCAACUUCUUCGGAUCAUCAUCUUGGCAAGCCGGACAAGAGUCCGGCAUCGCGAAGGAUAAAUCAUCAUCAACGUCGCCUCCCCACGGAUUACACGGAGCGGGCAUACCGGCAUCGCCGCACGAUCGCUUCAUUAAGCCGGCAUCGACCACGUCACGACCUUCAUCGGCAAGGCCGCACUAUUGCUUCUUCAAGCUGGUGUCCAUCACGCCGACCUACUUCGACAUCUCGGCUGGACCGGGGGCUUCGCCAUCUCUUCAUCAACCUACUCCGGACACUUCGGCGUCACUAGCCGGCCAGGCAUGGGUGCACGGAUUGAGUCCCAAUUUUGGGAAUCACCUUCCUUCGGAUUGCUACAACAAAUAAACUAGGUGCUAUUAAUCCUAGUAUUUCUUUUUGCUUGUUUGGGUUAAAUUUUACCCAAGGAAUUAUUACUCUGGUUAGUCCAGCAUAUGUACACAGGUCUAUCAAAUGGUGUCCGCAUUAUCGACGGUCGCAUGAUGGUUCGGUCAGUUUCCGUACACAGGUCGGCAAACGCCGCAUCCGGAACUCGGGCCGACCUGUGAAUCCAGGCUUUGCCACGCCUUUAUUGCAUUACGCCGAUGACCUGCAUCGACAUCGACUUCGGCGCCAGGACAUAUUUCUUUUACUACUCACUUUGCAUAAAUUAUUUAUUAUGCAACAUUUUUUUAAUUCCUAUUAUUACUAUUACCCCCGGUCUGCACUAUUUUUUGUGCACAGGAAAAUGAUCCAGCCGGACUAUAUCCUUUGACGUCACAUCGGCCAGACGGGGGCUUCGUCAACACUUCAUUACCCCAUGCCGGGGACUUCGGCAUCACUCUGCCGUCCUGCAUUGACCGUGCUAUGUCACCACUUCGGAGUGCCGAGCUCUUUGCUCCGCCACCUCGGGACCGGCUUGGGGGAUGGAACCUUGUCCCGCAUCAAGCUCGGACCGUGUCGUCAAUACCGAACACAUUAACCAGCUAAGUUGCCUUCACGCUCAAAGUUUUUAAUUUCUAACUUGUGUUCGGUUCGACCAAGAAUUAUACUUUUUUGUAAAAAAGUUGCUUGUAAAAAUUUUCCUUGUCGAAACUUUGUUUGCACACGCUUGACGCGCUACUCGCGGUCAUUAUACCUGGGGGCUUCUUUAACAGAAGCUUAUUAAUACGGGGUUUAUGCCCAACACAUGUGUCACACUUCCGCAUGUACCUUUUAUUCACCAUUAUAUGCAUCGAUAUGACUUAAGUUUUGGCCAAGCUGGGUUGCCUGGCUCCUGUGCUUACCCCUACGUUCCCGAUUAUUCGGCUAGGUGGUAAAGGGAGCACCUCUGCGAUUGUUACUGCCGGGUCAGCCGGAUGUGUACCUCAGACUGGGUGAAGCCGAAAGCUAGCGUUCUUAAGGGAAUACUCGGUCGGUGAACUAAAAGAUGAUUUCUUACCUAUUUAUUUACCUGCCCCCAGAUGUUUUUCUGCUCUUUUCGCAGUCCGGACAUGCACUUUAGGGCAUGCCUCCCAGGGAAAGGAACCCCUAACGGAACUAUUCUCCCUGGAAGAUGUUUCUUACUAACUAUGUAAUAUAACAUAACUAGUUGGGCACUUGUCUGAUAAAGCACUAAUGACCCAUACGCCUGGUCUCCACGCAUGCCCCGGUUUUUAUAACCGCGAGGGUAUUCGGACACACUCUGGACAAUUGGGUCCAGAGGUUGAAGCGAAAAGGUCCGCUACGACAAACGAUCUACAAUCCGGCUAGAAGGCAUUCUACAUGUCACCUUACAUUUUAUAAUCAACUUUUACCCAAGUCGCUUGGGGGCUCUUAUGUUUAUUUGAGCCGUUUCAUACUAAGUGUUUUUCUUCUUAGUCGUUGCAAAGUUAAAGCACGGCAGAAGCACUUUUUUUUCUAAAGUCCAAUUUUCGGAUUGGCACCGAACACUUGAUCUUGUUUGGACGUCAUGUUUUUACUGACGUUUUUUGGUUUUCCAAGCUUUUGGCACUUUUAACAAUUUGUGUGUUUUCAGCACAAGUCUCGCAGUGCAACGCCGGACACCUUUAGAGAUUCGGCAAAAACAUUCUCGGAUAUUGCUAUAUAUGCAUCAGCUUCGAAUUGUGUCUUCGGUCAAUAGUUGGGUUGCCCGGCUCCCGUGCUUGCCUCCUACAUUCCGCUUUGUUCGGCUAGGUGUGCAAAGGGAGAACCACUGCGAUUGUGCUUCCAGCUCACAUGGUCAAGCACCUCAGUGGAGAAAGCCGAAAACUGACUGUCACAAUAGGUGUAAACUGGUUAGCGAUCCGAUGACUAUAAUAAAUGACGGGCCAUUCAUAACAUUGGCUGAAGUGUUUCCGGCUUGACCUCGACUAUCGCCAAACACUACCGGGGGCUAUUAACUGGCCUCCCAAACUAAAUCCUUGAUCUUUUGCUCUUACAUUGGAGCUGAGGUUUCAUGAUCAUGCUUAGCAUGACAACCCAAAGAAAGGAACCGAUAGCGGGACUAUUUUCUUUGGAAGACAUUUCUUCUGUUAAACAGCAAUAUAACAUAUCUCUCUCCGUACCUUUGUUUAGAAAGCCGUAUGACCAGAUUGCCUUGUUUGCCGUAAAUCUUUGCCCUCAUAAAGGCUUAAUAAAGUAGGACAAACACUCCUCGGCUACUGGCCGAGGAGGUUGAAGCCCAUGGUCGGUCAACAAAGUUUUGUACAAUGCGGAUCCGAGCAUUAAUGACGUAAAGUACUUGGAUACAUAGAGUCAUUACACAUAAUUUGUGAUUUUACUAUGGAUAUCGAUCCUUAAUUCGGCCUCCCGUGUCCGCAUUAACGCUCGGGGGCUAUUGAGCUUCGGGCUUAUUAUUUACAAAUAUUAAAGGGGCACAUCGAUCCCCUGAUCUGGUGUUGCCACCCGACCAGUGUCUCGGGGGCUACUGCAUUGCCUGUUCUAUGCAGAAAAUUUUAAGUGCAAUACAGUUUCCGAGGAGAUUUUGAUCCUCAGGUUGGUCGGCCGCACCCAACCUGAGUCUCGAGGACCGAGCACGCCGCUUUUUCUGUCCCGAAGUAUUCUGCCGAGCUAGGACUUGAUCCUCAGACCGAUUUUGCAAAUCAACCUGAGUCUCAGCGGCUACGGGGAUCAGCGGUCUUAUGUCAUCCUUCAUGUGCAUCUCAGGUUUUAGACCGAUACCCACCUUGAGGGCUACUGGCAUCAAUAAAAAACAUUGACCAAAAAUCAGCCCAUGACCGAGGUGCUUAACCACCUCGGAAGCAGUUCGACAUAUAGCUCGGAUGCAAGUGGCUGGCUCCAUAGAGGGCAUUUCCGGCAUUAAGCUCGGUUAAACUCCUUCAAACUUCUUUGAACCAAGGUGAUUUAUGACACCUCGGAUAAAGUCUGGCAUUGGAGCUCGGAUACAUAGUCCGGCGUUGGAGCUCGGAUACAGUCCGGCGUUGGAGCUCAGAUACAUAGUCCGACGUUAGUGCUGGGAAGCAGUCCGACAUUGGUGCUCGGCUGCAAAAGAUACCUCGAAUGCAGUCCGGCGUUGGAGCUCGGACGCAAGAGGACGUUGCCACCCGGGAACAACUUCAAAUCCGAGGCAUGGCAUAAAAAUAACAAGGCAUUGAUAAAGGCCGUAAACUUAAAGGGGCUCCUCGGAUACCCAACGCGUAAACUCGUCGAAUGCAUUUUGGCGAUCCUCAAGAUAGAAGAUGAGAAGAUUUGUUGAACCAGUUUUCAAGACCAGCAACCGAAGAUGAAGAACAGUUCGGAAGAAUCGAGGAGCGUCCCUAACUUGAAGACCGGUUCAGGGGGCUACUGACGGUGUCCUGGACUAGGGGGUACUCAACGCGUCGUCUCCCGAUCAGUUGGAUUGGGCCGAGAACCCCCAUGGCCGUAUACUCAUGGGCCAAUCCGGACAACUGCCGCAUACAAGGAAGAAUCAACAAGACUUGGCGAUCAAGAGAAGGACUCCUCCCCCACCGGCGUAUUCGGCUAGGAGUCUUGUUAUCCUAGGCCUCUGGUGCAUUAUAUAAACCGGGGCCAGGCUAGUCGAUAGACAUAUACGACAACAAUCAUACCAUAGGCUAGCUUCUAGGGUUUAGCCUCCUUGAUCUCGUGGUAGAUCUACUCUUGUAACACACAUCAUCAAUAUUAAUCUAGCAGGACGUAGGGUUUCACCUCCAUCAAGAGGGCCCGAACCUGGGUAAACCAUCGUGUCCCUUGCCUCCUGUUACCAUUGAUCCCAAGACGCACAGUUCGGGACCCCCUACCCGAGAUCCGCCGGUUUUGACACCGACAGAGAGUUUUAUGAUGACUUUGAAGGUUGUCAAACUUAGACUGAAGUCUCUAAAGAUUUUCAGUUAAGUCUUUAGUGCGGUCCAUUUCAUCACCCAACAUAUCAUCACUUUUGUCUAGCAUGUUCUGAAGUUUUUCAAUAGCCUUUUGUUGUUUCACAGCAAUCUUAGCAAUUUUAGAGUAGCUAGGCUUAAGAUUUUCAUCAGAUUCAUCCUCACUAGAUUCAGAAGAGGGGUAUUUUGUUACCUUGGCACCCUUUUCCAUGAAGCAAUAGGUGGGAGCGUAGUCAUCAUUAUCUUCGUCAGCCUUGUUGGUAAGGUCAAUUUCAUCAGAGUUGAAGAUGGACUUGCUGACGAAUGCAGUAGUGAGAGCCAGACUUGCCACACCAGACUCGGACUCCUCAGAUGCCUCCUCUUCCUCAUGUUCCUCAGAUUCAGCUUCAGAGUCCAUUUCCUUGCCAAUGAAUGCCCAAGCCUUUAUGGAGCUGCUCUUCUUGUGAGAUGAAGAUUUCAAGGAUUUUGAUGAUGAAGAUUUUGAAGAUUUCUUCUUCUUCUUAGCGUCAUCAGAACUGUAAUCCUUGUAUUUCUUCUUCUUUAAUUCCUUUUCCCACUGAGGACAAUCUUGAAUAUAGUGACCAGGUUUCUUGCAUUUGUGGCAAAGUCUUCUCUUAUAGUCACUUGACGAGGAAUCGCUGCUCCUUGAGGAUUUUCCAAAGCGACCACGUCUUGAGAACUUCUGGAACUUCUUCACGAGCAGUGCUAGCUCCUGGAUCAAUUCUUCAGGAUCACCAAGGCUACUACCAGAAUCUUCACAUUCAGAUUCAGACACAGCCUUGGCCUUGAGGGCACGUGUUUUGCCAUAGCUUGAACCAUAGAGAUCUCUCUUUUCAGCAAGCAGGAACUCAUGAGUAUUUAGCCUCUCGAGGAUAUCAGCGGGAUCCAGUGACCUGUAGUCAGCAGGUUCUUGUAUCAUCAGUACCAGAGUAUCAAAUGAAGAAUCUAGCAAUCUCAGCAAUUUCUUCACCACCUCAUGGUCGGUGAUUUCAGUGGCGCCAAGCGCUUGAAGCUCAUUUGAGAUGUCAGUGAGGCGAUCGAAGGUUUGCUGAACAUUUUCAUUGUCGAGUCGUUUGAAGCGGUUGAAGAGAUUGCGAAGAACGUCAACACGAGAGUCACGUUGAGUUGAGACUCCUUCGUUUAUUUUGGAGAGCUUAUCCCAGAUAAGCUUAGCAGUUUCUAAAGCACUCACUAUUCCAUACUGUCCUUUGCUUAGAUGGCCACAUAUGAUAUUCUUCGCUUGAGAAUCGAGUUGCUUGAAUCUCUUCACAUCAGCAACAUUCAGGGAAGGUGUGACUGAGGGAACACCAUUUUCCACAAUGUACCAAAGAUCGUUGUCAAUUGCUUCAAGAUGCAUUCGCAUCUUAUUCUUCUAGUAAGGGUAGUCCAUGCCAUCGAAGGUAGCACACCCACCGGAGACCUUGAUCAUACCUGUGGUCGACAUAACUAGAACUCCAGGUGGUUAAACCAAAAUCACACGGAACAAGGGAGUACCUUUCUCUGAUACCAAUUGAAAGUGCGUUAUAUCGACUAGAGGGGGGCGAAUAGGCGUUUUUUAUGAAUUCUUCACUGAGGAAUUUCCCGGUGAGGAAAUUCCUUGGCGAAGAACUACUUGCAGCGGAAUAAGUACUCAGAAGUAAGCAUAACAGAAUACAGGCAUGGUCAUCAUGAUGAAAUGAAGACACGCAUAGAGUACAGAAAGCGUAAACACAUGAUAACACAAGAUGAAGACAAACAGACUGAAGAAAUUGAACUGAGGAAAUUGAGAAAGUCUUCAGUCAAAGUCUUCAUACACGGAUAUGAACAAUCACUCAACACAGUAAUGAGUAAAUGAAAGAGUUGAGGGAAUAGAACCAGGAAGGUUGGUGAAGACAAUGAUUUGGUAGACCAGUUCCAACUGCUGUCUCAGUUGUACAUCUGGUUGGAGCGGCUGAGUAUUUAAACUCGAGGACACACAGUCCCGGACACCCAGUCGCUGAGCACGCAGCUCAGGACACCAAGUCCUCACCGUAUUCUCCUUGAACUAAGGUCACACAAACCUCGUCCAAUCACUCGUGGUAAGUCUUCAGGCGACUUCCAAACCUUCACAGACUCAGUCACUCGGCGAUCCACAAUUCCUCUUGGAUGCUCUAGACCAUGACGCCUAACCAUCUGGAAGAAGCACAGUCUUCAAAGGUAACAAGCGUCAGAUCCACGUAGGAUCAAUCUCUUCAGUGAGGCUCAAUAACUUUGGGUUUGUAGGUGUUUGGGUUUGGGUUUUUUCCUCACUUGAUGAUUUUCGCUCAAAGUCCUCGGAGGAUGGGAUGCUCUCAAAUGACAAGUGUUAGUUUCUCUCAGAGCAGCCAACCAGCUAGUGGUUGUAGGGGGCGGCUAUUUAUAGCCUAGGGAGCAGCCUGACAUGAUAAGACAUAAAUGCCCUUGUCUGAUAUGACCGUUAGGUGGAUAAGAUAUUUUGUGACAGCUGGCGCGCAGCACAGCAACGGUCGGAAAUUUGACUCUCAAAUUCCUCAGGGCUAUCAUGUUCCUCACUUCCUAGGCAAUCCGCAUUGGUGAAUUCCUAACUCCUCAGUCAGAACAAAUUCCUCAGCGACUUAAAGAACUUCGUCUCUGUCACUGAAGAAAUGACUGAACUGUAUGAGAUUUCCAAAGGCUUCACUCGAAGCGAUUGGUAGGUGUAGGAUUUUGAGUUGAGCAUCACAUGGAAAUUUUUCCUUAGUAUUUCCUCGACCCCCUUUAACAGUACGGUGUUUCCUAUGACUCAAGAAAGAGAAAAACAAAACUAUGAAAACGAAAGUCUUCAAGCUUCAUAUUCCUCGCAUGAAUAUCAAGAAUUCACGGACACACCAAUUUCUUCACUUUCAAAGUCUUCAUGAAAGUCUUCAGGAAUACCAAAAUCUUCAGUCGAAGAUAUUCAUUUUUAGGGGUCGACUUUCUCUGUAAAUAUCAAACUCCUCAUAGACUUAUAGACCUGUGUACACUCAUAAACACAUUAGUCCCUUAACCUAUAAGUCUCCAAUACACCAAAAUCACUAAGGGGCACUAGAUGCACUUACAGGCACUGAGGCGACCACACCAUAGCCAGGUGCGGGCCCAACUCUGGCUGCACGGCCCUAGGGUGUGGGCCCCUCGGGCGUCCACCGACAUUGCCCUUCCGCCUAUAUAAUGCCCCCGAGGCGAAAACUCUAAAUAAUGAAGCCUCCGUCCAUGAAAAAUUCCGCAGCGCCGCCACCAUCAACGACGAGAUUCGGGGGAUAGAGGUGUCCGUUUCGGCACCCUAUCGGGAUGGGGAAUUGCCCCCGGAGCCAUCUCCAUCGACUCCACCGCCAUCUUCAUCACCGUUGCUAACUCCCAUGAUGAGGAGGGAGUAGUUCUCCUCCGAGGCUGUGGGCUCUACCGGUCGCUAUGUGGUUUAUCUCUCUCUCCCAAGGUGUGAUCUUUAUGUGAUCAUGAGCUUUGCAAUCUGGUUAAUUUAGUAGAUGUUACUCUCAUCUAUUAUGCUACUCAAGUGCUUUUAUUAAUGUGAUCUCCGGAGACACCUUGUCCCACGGUGUGAAGGUGACAGUGUGCACACCGUGUGUGGCUCUUAGGCUAAAGAUUACAGAAAUACUUAUCAUGAGUUAUAAUUUGAGUUGGAUGUCUCUAUGAAAUUGUGGUGUUUGUUUGGAACCAUCUAGCGCUCAAGGUGACAGUGUGGAGUUACCUAGAUGGGGAAUGCGAACUUUAAGGUGUGCUUUUAUAGCCCUACGUGGUGAAUUGGUGUUCGUUAUCCAACCGGAGAGUAGUUCAGAGUAGCAUAGUGAUGAGAAGAUGUUUAUGUGUUCAAUUAUGAUAUCAUUGUUGAGAGUGUCCACUAGUAAAAGUAUAAUCCCUACGUUUUGUUUCUAAGCAUUGAAACAUCGUUUACAACCAGUUAUGCUACAUGUUUGCUUGCUGACAUUUUUAUUUCAGAUUGCAAUUACCACUUGUAAUCAUCCAUAUUACUUGUAUUUCACUAUCUCUUCACCGAACUAGUGCACCUAUACACCUGACAAGUGUAUUGGGUGUGUUGGGGACACAAGAGACUUCUUGUAUCUUAAUUGCAGGGUUGCUUGAGAGGGAUAUCUUUGACCUCUUCCUCCCUGAGUUCGAUAAACCUUGGGUGAUUCACUUAAGGGAAACUUGCUACUGUUCUACAAAUCUCUACACUUGGAGGCCCAACACUGUCUAUAAGAAUAGAAGCGUGCCUAGACAUCAAGCUUUUUUCUGGCGCCGUUGCCGGGAGGUAAGGUAAAAGGUACUCACAUCCUCUAGCUACUAAGCUAUCUUCUAGUACUGUUGCUAGUGUGUGAGUGGUCAAAGUUAUUUCCUUUAGAUUCUGCAAUUAUAUCUUUUUGUUUCUUGUUUUUAUUUUCACUAGUUAGGCUUAAUGGAAAACAACAACAAAAUUAGAGAGCUUUAUAGUAUGUUUCCUGAGUUAGGACAUGAAGUGUUUGAAGAGAAAAUUAAAAAACCUAUGGAACUUUAUUUGCAUGCUAAUAGAAAUGUUAUUAGUGUGAACUAUUUGAACAGCAUUAUUGCUAAUGUUAUGGAAAAGUCUAAGCUUGGGGAAGCUGUUUUUUAUGAAAAUGGUCUUUUUAGUUCCCCAGCUUUAGAGGAGAAAUUUUUCAUGAAAAUGGUCUUUUUACGAAAAUGUUAUUUUUACUUCCCCAGCUUUAGAGGAGAAAUUGAACGAUUUUAGAUUCUAAACGAUUUUUAAAUUUGAACAAUUUUCAAAUUUGAACAAUUUUCAAAAUUUGAAACAUUUUCAUAAUCUGAACGUUUUCAACAAUCUGAACAUUUUUAAAAUUCGAACAUCUUUAGAAUCUAAACAGAAAAGGCAGGAAAAAAGGACCAGCUCCGAGGUAGUCGCCAAACUCCUCCUCCUCUCCGGCAGAGAUGUUCUCCCUCGCCUGCUGCCUUUGACUCUGCACUCCAUCUUCCUUUUAUAUUGAUAUUACUCCCCUUCUCACCCGAUCCCUCCGGUACUUCUGAUCUGUUCUUCUCCAUCUUCCCUAACCCUAAUUCUGCCACCCUCUCAUCCCCCUUCCCCCCGAUCUCCUUGUGAGUUGGAUCUGCCAUGCACGAAGAUGCGCGUGACGGGUAGUGGUAGAUCCCAUCGGCAGCCAGAAAGAUCCGGCGAUCGGUGAGAUUUUACGUGGGCGCUAGCAUGAACGCCAGAGGAAAGUUGGAACCCUAGCGGCGGAGCCAGGGGGAGACACGAGAAUUCCUAGGGUCCACCCAACGCGUGCACUAAUAGAGCAUGCUCACGCGGGCACUCUCGGUGGCCCGGUCCAUAAGCGGGAAGAGUUUUUCUUUCAAUUUUUCUUAAUUUCUUUUUCUUCUUUUUAUUUUCUGCUUCUUUUUUCUUCUUUUUUAAAUUUUGGUUUCCCUUUUUCUCGUUUCUGUUGCUUUUUUAUUUUUCAAUGUUUGCAUUUUUUCAAUUUUGUUUUUUUAUUUGAAAUUUUUUUAAUUUGAACUUUUCCAAUGAGGGACGUUUUUUAAUAUGAACAAAUUUAAACAUUUCUCAAAUUUGAACAACUUUCCAAUUGGAACAAAUUUUAAGUUUUAACAAAUUUCAAAUUUGAACAUUUUCUAUUUUUAAACUUUUUCAAAUUUGAACUUUUUUAGAUCUCGUAUUUUCUUAAUAAUUUAUUAAUUACCAAAACAAUAAAACAAAAAAUAAAAUGACUGGAAAAAGAAAUUAAAUUUAUAACUUUUUAUUUGGCCGCGUUCGAGGCGGCCCAUCAGGAGGCUCUGCGUUCGUGGUGGUUUAGGCCAUGUUUGAGCAGCACAUAUGGUUUGCCCCACUGAUCACGAGCGACGAGGAGCCAGCCAGCGACCAGGUCAGAUCUGAUUCUUAAAUAAGAUUGUUUCUAAAUUACAAAUAAAUUUGAUAAUCUGAACGCUUUUCAAAUUCGAAACAUUUUGAAAAAUCCGAAUACUAUUUUUCCUUUUCUUUUUUCCAGUGUUUUCAAAAUCAGAACGGUUUUAAAAUUUGAAUGAUUUAAAAUUGAACAAGUUUAAAAUUUGAACAAAUUUCUAUAUUCAUAUUGUUAAUAAUCUGAAAAUUUACGAAAUCUGGAUAAUUUGAGCAACUCUAAAAUUGAACGAUUUUUAAAUUUGAACCAUUUUCAAAUUUGAACGAUUUUCAUAUUUGAACAAUUUUCAUAAUUUGAAACAUUUUCAUAAUCUGAACGUUUUCAACAAUCUGAACAUUUUUAAAAUUCGAACGUCUUUAGAAUCUAAACAGAAAAAGCAGGAAAAAAGGAAAAAUAAAAGAAACAUAGCGAAAACCAAUCGAAUAACCGCAGCAAAAAAGUGAAAGAACCGUGCAAAGAAACCUGAAAAAACCAGCCCCGGAUUUUCUGUUGAUUUACCUAUAUGGGUUGGCCAACUAGCGCAAGGUUGCAUGUCGCAGCUAUAUAUCACAACGAGCGAUGUAUAAGGAUCUCCGAUACUACCGUAGCGAAUCGAGCAUAUCAUCACCAUCGAGACGUUGACGCUCCAAAAAAUACAUUUUAUUUCCAUCAUUGCCUUUUAAUGUUGUUUCUACGUAGUACAGAAGAUAUCUUUUUUUAUAGACAAUACCAUGAUAUAUUAUAGUAGGAAAUAGUAUAUGGUACAGAUACAUAAGCUGUCUCCAGCGAUUAUAAAAUAAGAAAGCUCACAUCAACAAACAAGAUAACUCUUUUAUACGUGAUAAGCAACCUCAAACCAAUAAACACUACAUCUAUUUCAUUCAGUACAACGGCAUAAGAUUUUUUAUUCUUAACAGGUUUUACGAAUUUAGUGCUCAUAUGCAGGAGUAAUUAUUCCUGGGAGCCAAAACACAAUGUCAUGCAACCUCCACAAUGCAUGAAAUUUCUAUCUUCUUGUCGUGACGUAAUUUACUCCACCCAAGAUUCUUCUUAACAAUCGAUACCACAUAUAUUUAAAAUAGUUCAUGGUCACUACAGGAAACGGGCGAUAGGCCGACGGCCCGACACUGUUGGCAUAGGCCAAAUAACCCUCGGCACAGGCUAUAGCCGAGGGCGGCCCUGGGCGUAUCGCCCUCGGGUAUCUGCGUACAGGUAUUUGUCGUCGGCGUAGAGGAUUCCCUCGAUGUAGACUUGGCGGGCCCAUCGCUAACAGAUGAUGGCCGUUAGACGUCGAACAGGCUACACCGACGGCUUUGCCCUCGGGCUAGAUAAUCGAUUUUGUUUCCAACCUUUUUUCCAAAAAAAAUCCAAUUUUUUUCACACUUGUUAAUUUCACAACAGACAUUUUUAACUCUCAGCACAUUUAAUGUAAAAUCAAAUUGCACUUGUGGUCAAACUUCCCGCUCGACCACCCAUCCUCACACUACUCCAACCCCAGCAUGCUUAACUUCUCCGUUCCUUCCGGAUGAGCUAUCAAGAAAGAAAUCAUAUCUUAGUGAUAAUAGUACCAUAUCAAUCAUAUUAACUCUUGGACUAUGGUGUCACACCUUUUUAUUUUUGAAUUCCAUACAAAUACUUAAAUACACAACAAUUAAUAAGUAAUAAUAAUAAUAAUUUUCAAUUCAAAUAAAUAUUUUUUCUUUUUUCUAUUUAAUAUGGAAUAUUUAAUAUCUUUAAAUCCUUAAAUCUGAAUUUGACAAACAAUAUGUCUAAACCUAUCAAAAAAUGAGGAGAAUCCAAAUAUAACAUCCAUAUCGUCUUGUGAACCUAAAAAAAUGAUAUUUCCAAAAAAAAUCAUGAGCAUUAGAUCAUGUAUGUGUAGUUCAAAUUGACCAUAGUUCAGAUCGAGCAAUAGGUACAUGUAUUUUUUUAAAAAUAUAUGUACACCAUGUAUAUCGACUUGAAUCGUUAGUAUGUGACAUAAGAAGAUUAUGUGGGCAGGUUUUUCAUAUUUUUCAUAUUUUUUGAAUUUUUUAUGCUCAUUUCAAAAAAAUUUGAAAUGUGUAAUAUUUAAGUGUAUAUAGAGAGAUCUUAUUCUUCUGCAAAUUUGAUAUAUUAUUUGUAUUUAUCUGAAUUAUAAUGAUUCAGUUAUGAUUUUUCUAAAAUUAAUAUGAUAAAAUGGAAAAUAGCUAUGCCGACGGCGUAGCUUCAGAACCUAUGCCGAGGGCUUUGCCCUCGACGUAGACCCUCCGUCGUGACGCGGUCGUAACACUGUUAGCCUGGGCUGGCCUACACCGAGGCUGGCAUAUACCCCGAGGGCAGCUGUUGGCCCAGACAUGGGUUCACCGAGGGCCGAUCCUACGCUAAGGGCCGGGCGGGCAGGCGGGCUAGAUUGCCAGCCCUCUACACCGACGGCCCCGAUGUUUUGCCGUCGGUGUAGAGGCUGGCCGUCGGCUCCAGACAUCAGUCCUGUGGUGGGUGAAGAUACACAAGUUGUUUUCAGCGAUUAUAAAAUAAAGUACAUAUAAGAAAAUGAGCAAAUCUCCAAGGUCUUUAAACUCUUAUUUUCCAUCACAGGCAGCCAAAUUGUCACGACAUAAAUGCCAAACUAUAGGCUCGUAAAUACCGACGAUGGUUCUCCCGUAUUUUUAAAUCUGAGCCGCAAUGCCAAGGCUACGUGCAUGCGCGCAACCGUUAAACUAAUCACCCGACAUCAGCGAGAGCAACAACACCAGUAUUCCAGGGAAAAAGAUACCGAACAGCCUGGUCGACAUCGCUAGAGAUCCGAAAGUACGAAUCACCUUUGUCGAUGGUGUAGCAUCCGGGAUAAAUAUUACGAGGACUAGUUGAAUGCCUGUUCGUUGCAACGGCCUCUAAAAUAUUUUAUUUCUGCACAUGUAAGCAUAAUACAUCUUAAUAUUUUGUCGCAUAUAGAAAGGUAGAGAAAUAUAGUAUUCAAGAAACUAUAGAAUUAUACAUUUUGAUGUGAUUGGACAAAAAGUUAUAGUUUGAUUUCUAUGCAUAGUAAUAGAAAACCCAUCUACUCAUCUUAUUCUUAGUUAGGUGUGUUAAACUGUAUAGUUAUCAGAUACGGUUAGUAUCUAGGAUUGUAGGUAUCUUAUAUAACAACCUGUACUUAUCCUCCUGUAAACCCUAGCGGCAGCCCUAGAGGCGCCCUAUAUAAUGAUCCAAUCUCUUCUCUCUUUGUUUCACAUGGUAUCAGGCCAUCGCAUAACUGCUCGAUGGGUUCUCCUUCCUCCGGCGGCAUGACUUCCUCGACCCUGGCUUCUCUGCCCAUGCCCUCUGGGCUCUCAGCGCCGACAUCUUCCGCUGUUCCCCAACCCUCUGCUAGCCUCAUUACCGCCAAGCUUACCUCCUCCAACUUCCUCCUCUGGAAAGCACAGAUCCUUCCUCCCCUUCGAAUCAUCGGUGUCACUUGGCUAUGUCGAUGGCACCACCCCUACUCCUCCUCGUAUCCUCCCAACUGAUGACAAGGGGGGCGCGCUCCUAACCCGGAGUAUGCUGCCUGGUCCCGUCAGGAUCAGAUCAUCCUGAGCUAUCUUCGUGCUCGCUCACCGAUGAUGUGCUUCAGUAGGUCCAUCUCUUCGACACCGCCCAUGUGCCAGGAGGACAUCAUCACCGCCUUCAUCACCGGGCUCGACAGCGAGUACGGGCCCCUCAUCACUGCCAUCUCCUUCGAACGCCGCCGCGACAACAAAUGCAACACCAACAACCAUGGCAAGGGAAACUACCGCGACAAGGGUCGCGGCAACUCUGGUGACCGUGGUGACUACAACAACAACAACAACAACCGCGACGGGUUCCGUGGUGACUGUGGUGGUGGUGGCAAUCGUCAGAACGGUAACCGUGGUGGUGACCGCGGUGACCAUGGCGGUGGCGGGGAUGCACGUCUGCAUUGCCAGCUCUGUCGGGGCCCUGGGCACUAUGCCUGGGAGUGCGCUUAGUGCUAGAACCACGCCUUCCAACCUCAACAGUCCAAGAUGGCGGGUCUCGCUGCCGCUUCACCACCAUCCAUCCUCGGUGACCCUAACUGGUCCACUGACACGAGGGCUACCGAUCAUAUCAUGUCGGAUCUGGACCGUCUCACCGUGAGGGAAAAGUACCCUGGACAGGACCACAUCCACACUGCCGAUGGAUCAGGUUUGCACAUAGCUCAUCAUGGUCAUGCCGUUCUUCCUACACCCUAUGUCAAUCUUAAACUUCACAACAUAUUACAUGUUCCCAAUGCCGACAAGAACCUUCUUUCUGUUAGUCGUCUUGCCGUUGACAAUCAUGCUUAUCUAAAAUAUUAUCCUACUCAUUUUCUUAUGAAGGAUUUGACAACCAAGAAGGUUCUUCUUCGCGGCAGAUGUGCAAAUGGGCUCUAUCCCAUUCGGCCUUCACGUUCUCAUGUCUUGUCUUCAGUUAGGCUCUCUGCUGAAGAUUGACAUGCUAGACUCGGCCACCCGUCCACACAAGUUGUUCAGCAUGUUUUGGUGUGCAAUAAAUUAGCAUCAUCGAGUCGGGCUUUGGCCCAUGUGUGUAAUGCUUGUCAACAUGGCAAAGUACAUCAGCUACCUUUUCCUAGAUCUUUGAAUGUUUCCUCGUUUUCGUUGGAACUUAUUUUCUCAGAUGUGUGGGGACCUGCCGAAACCUCCUCUCGUGGGUUCCAGUACUAUGUUUCAUUUAUUGAUGAUUAUAGUAAAUUUGUGUGGAUUUAUCUUCUCAAACAAAAGUGUGAUGUGUUUGAUGUCUUUCGUGAUUUUCUUGCCCAUGUUGAGCGCCUCCUAUCUCAUAAAAUCCUGUGUGUUCAAUCAGACUGGGGUGGGGAAUACGAAAAACUUAGCAACACAUUUUUUCGGCAACUUGGCAUUGCUCACCACGUCUCUUGUCCACACACACACCAACAUAAUGGCUCGGCCGAAAGGAAGCACCGUCACAUUGUUGACAUGGGCCUCUCCUUAUUAUCGCAUGCGUCUAUGCCCCUCCAUUUUUGGGACGAGGCGUACUUGUCCGCAUGCUACCUUAUCAACCGACUACCUAGCCGCGUCAUUGGCAAUAUGAGUCCCAUGGAAAAACUGUUUUCACCAAGCCUGACUACGUAUCUCUUCGCACGUUCGGGAGUGCAUGUUGGCCUAACUUGCGCCCGUAUUGUUGGGGAACGUUGCAGAAAAUUACAAUUUUUCCUACGGUUUCACCAAGAUCCAUCUAUGAGUUCAUCUAGAAACGAGUCAUGGGAGAGUGAUUGCAUCUACAUACCACUUGUAGAUCGCGUGCGGAAGCGUUCAAGUGAACAGGGUUGAUGGAGUCGUACUCGUCAUGAUUCAAAUCACCGAUGACCUAGUGCUGAACGGACAGCACCUCCGCAUUCAACACACGUACGGAGUGGAUGACGUCUCCUCCUUCUUGAUCCAGCAAGGGGGAAGGAGAGGUUGAUGAUGAUCCAGCAGCACGACGGCGUGGUGGUGGAUGCAGCAGAACUCCGGUAGGGCUUCGCUAAGCGACUACGGGAGGAGGAGGAGGUGUAGCAGGAAGGGGAGGCGCCAAGGGCUUCAGGGUGCGGCCACCCCUCCCUCCCCUCCCUUUAUAUAGGUGCAAGAGAGGGGGGAGGGCGCAGCCUUGCCCCUUCCUCCAAGGAAGGGGUGCGGCCAAGAGGGGGGGAGGAGUCCAUCCUCCCCAAGGCACCUCUGAGGUGCCUUCCCCUCUUAGGACUCUCCCCUCCCCAAGUCUCCUUGGCGCAUGGGCCUCUUGGGGCUGGUGCCCUUGGCCCAUAUAGGCCAAGGCGCACCCCCACAGCCCAUGUGGCCCCCCCGGGGCAGGUGGACCCCCCCCCCCGGUGGACCCCCGGACCCCUUUCGGCACUCCCGGUACAAUACCGAUAAAGUGCGAAACUUCUCCGGCGACCAAAAUAAGACUUCCUAUAUAUAAAUCUUUACCUUAGGACCAUUUCGGAACUCCUCGUGACAUCCGGGAUCUCAUCCGGGACUCCGAACAACAUUCGGUUUGCUGCAUACUCAUAUUCAUACAACCCUAGUGUCACCGAACCUUAAGUGUGUAGACCCUACGGGUUCGGGAGGCAUGCAGACAUGACCGAGACGUUCUCCGGUCAAUAACCAACAGCGGGAUCUGGAUACCCAUGUUGGCUCCCACAUGUUCCACGAUGAUCUCACCGGAUGAACCACGAUGUCAAGGACUCAAUCAAUCCCGUGUACAAUUCCCUUUGUCUAACGGUAUUGUACUUGCCCGAGAUUCGAUCGUCGGUAUACCGAUACCUUGUUCAAUCUCGUUACCGGCAAGUCUCUUUACUCGUUCCAUAACACAUCAUCCCGUGAUCAACCCCUUGGUCACAUUGUGCACAUUAUGAUGAUGUCCUACCGAGUGGGCCCAGAGAUACUUCUCCGUUUACACGGAGUGACAAAUCCCAGUCUCGCUUCGUGCCAACCCAACAGACACUUUCGGAGAUACCUGUAAUGCACCUUUAUAGCCACCCAGUUACGUUGUGACGUUUGGUACACCCAAAGCAUUCCUACGGUAUCCGGGAGUUGCACAAUCUCGUGGUCUAAGAAAAAGAUACUUGACAUUAGAAAAGCUUUAGCAUACGAACUACGAUCUUUGUGCUAGGCUUAGGAUUGGGUCUUGUCCAUCACAUCAUUCUGCUAAUGAUGUGAUCCCGUUAUCAACGACAUCCAAUGUCCAUGGUUAGGAAACCGUAACCAUCUAUUGAUCAACGAGCUAGUCAACAGAGGCUUACUAGGGACAUGGUGUUGUCUAUAUAUCCACACAUGUAUCUGAGUUUCCUAUCAAUACAAUUAUAGCAUGGAUAAUAAACGAUUAUCAUGAACAAGGAAAUAUAAUAAUAACAACCAAUUUAUUAUUGCCUCUAGGGCAUAUUUCCAACAUGUAUAACACUUAGAAACUUGCGUUUAGAUCACAAUAGUGUGUGUUUGUCGGGUACAUCAUUCGUCACAAAGGAUAUAAAUGUCUUCACGUACCUACCGCUCGUGUAUAUAUAUAUCACGAGAUCUAAUCUUUGAUGAACAAUUUUUUCCUUUUACCAAUGGCCAACCCUCUCCAAUACCACCUCACGUUGCUGAACAUGCAAUCCUUUUAUUUCCACAUGACCACAUGAACUAUGGCGCAUCUAUUUCUCGAACUAAUCUGGAUGCAGGUACCGAUUCAGUGCAGAAAAUCCCAUCUCCGGACUCCCUGACAGAUCCUGUGUCCCAAUCCGCCGCCGCAUUAGCCUAGUAUCACGCGCCGCCUGGAGACAACGACGUGGAGGCAGCUGACCACGUGACGAUAGGUGACAGCGUGCAAGGUGACCGCGCUGGGCCCGGGUCUCCGCCACCCACCAAUCCCGUAUCCCCUGAGGGCGAGCGGACCGGGGCGUCUCUCGCGUCGGCUCCUGCAUGUGCGCGUCCGACCCACAUUGUGGCGGGGCCCACCCCUGCGCGGGCCGCUGUGUCUCCCGAUUUGCCCCAGGCCAUUGUCCACCUGGCGCCCGCGGAGCGGGCCGUUGCUGCUGGCGGCGCAGGAUCCCAGAUGGAUCUGGCGGCCGCGCCGUCUUCCUCGCCCGACACGGGAUCCCACGGGGAUUCGCCGGCGCGCUUGUCUGCAUGCGUCCCGCCCGGAUCCUCUAUGGCCACCGGAUCUUCUGCUCUGCCUGUGCAUACAAUGACAACGCGCACACGUGAUCACACUCACAAACCGCUGUAGCGCACUGAUGGUACUGUCACGUACGAUCCGUCCUGUCGUGCAUUCUUGGCACUGCGGGAAUCGUGAAGCGGUCUCAUCUCCAGAGUGGCGUCUGGCAAUGCAACUUGAGCUCGAUGCUCUCCGACAGAAUGGUACCUGGACUUUGGUACCUCGUCCUCCUUGUGUCAACGUCAUUGAUUGCAAAUCAGUGUUCAAGAUCAAACACAAACCGAAUGGAACUGUUGAUCGUUACAAGGCACGUCUGGUCGCAAAGGGGUUCAAAUAACACUAUGGCUUGGACUAUGACGAUAUGUUCAGUCCGGUCGUUAAACCUGUCACUGUGCGACUGGUUCUCUCCAUUACAGUUUCUCGUGGAUGGUGUUUGCGACAGUUGGAUGUUCAAAAUGCUUUCCUUCAUGGCAUUCUCCAAGAAGAAGUAUACAUGCGCCAACCUCCUGGUUUUGUGAACCCCUCGGUGCCUCAUCAUUUGUGCAAACUUCGCAAGGCUCUCUAUGGGCUCAAAUAGGCUCCUCGAGUGUGGUAUUAUCGGCUGAGUUCUAGGCUCCAACAACUUGGUUUUAUAGCAUCCAAAGCUGACAGGCCCCUCUUUGUCUACAACCGGUGCGGUGUUACUAUUUUCAUGCUUGUGUAUGUAGACGACAUUAUUGUCUCCAGCUCCUCUCCUGCUACUACUACCAAGUUACAUGAGUCUGAAUAUAAGGCACUUGCGAAUGGAUUAGCUGAGGUCAUAUGGAUACAGUCGGUCCUUGGUGAACUUGGGGUCUUCCUCUCUCGACCUCCUGUUUUGUAGUGUGACAAUCUAGGAGCCACUUAUUUAUCUGCGAAUCCGGUAUUCCAUGCCAGAACCAAGCACAUAGAAGUGGACUUCCACUUUGUUCGUGAACGAGUUGCAGCCAAGGCACUUGAUGUUUGAUUCAUAUCUUCCAAGGAGCAAGUUGCAGAUAUAUUCACAAAGCCUCUAGCUGAGGUGCCGUUUGUUUUAAAUAGGCACAAUAUGAAUCUUUGUGUAGGAAGUUCAGAUUGAGGGGGAAUGUUAAACUGUAUAGUUAUCAGAUAUGGUUAGUAUCUAGGAUUGUAGUUAUCAUUGUAUAACAACCUGUACUUAUCCUCCUGUAAACCCUAGCGGCAUCCCUAGAGGCGCCCUAUAUAAUGAUCCUGAGACCACCGCAUUAGGUGUGUCGAUCCAAUCUCUUCUCUCUUUGUUUCACAAGGUGUCCGUGGGUUGUAUGAAAUAAAACCAUAAAUUUACACACUGUUGUAUCGAUUGAGAACUCAAGAGCAAAGCCCGUUUCCAACCUCGUCUCGGCAAACGUGGUUUCUUCCUCAUCAUGCUUCUCUCACCAACGACCACCAUGAAGCCAUUGCUUUUCUCUCUCCAUGAUCUUUGGUCCUUCUCCACCAGCAAUGUGAAAAAAGGCAAUAUGCCAGCUUCAUACUCCAUGGUCUUUCUUUUGAGCUUCAAGGUAGUAUGAUAGUAUAAUCAGUGUACAGUACUGUCCAAGACCAAACCAAACUGGUUCAUAUAGCUGUAAAAAUCUCUUGUGAUCAACAACAAAACUAAUGCUAAUAUUCAGGAUUUCAAACUUGAAGCAUUUGGAGAUCAACCAACAAAAAGAAAAACUGAGCGGCGGUGUCAAAAGUAAUUGUUGACCUUUGUCAAAUUGACUGCAUGCUUUUAAAUCAAGAUCAUGCAACUAAGACUUGCAUCUCAAUAAAACCAUAUCAGUUGCACAUGCAGAUGAGAGAAAUGGGAAAUACUCUAUUCCAUUCAAGGGUUGUAUGUCAAUUAUUAAAACGCAAGCACAUUAUAAGUCACAAACCUCCAACGCGCAGAUAAUUUUGGAAAUGCCUAAACCUCAGAUAAUUUGGGAAAGGAGGGUGGCUACAGUCCCCUUGGCUGAUAUACAUAGGUCUAGCUGUAACAUCUUUGGGCAAAGCAUCAUUUGCAACUGGUAACCACAGAAUAUGUAUUUAGCGCUCCUACAGAAGAAAAGAAAAGAAAAGGAUUAAAAAGGGAAUGCCGCCUUCAUAGGUCACAAACCUCGGAUUGUCAAUAUCUUCUUGUGAAUGUACACAUAUUUGAAAUACUUGAAGCGGCUAGGAUAAUGUUCUUAAAAAUGGGUUGCUUCAAAGAUAAGAAACUAAUACUGCAGUCAGACCAAAAGGAAAUUCAAGGGCACAAAAUACUUCCAGCAGGCCUUUGCAAAUUGGCAAUUAAUUAAGAAAAGGUGAUGUAUUGACUCAAGAGCCUGGACUCCACACAUGACGCAGAAGUUUAAUUCAAGGACGGGGAAGUAAGAAUAAGACCACGUACGUACUAACAAAAGAGGGGAUCAAGGAGGAGCUGUAAAAUCCAAAUGAAAAUAUCAAUACAUAAUGAACAGCACCAUUCCGUUGAAAUACCACAAGUCGCUGCUAGUAAGAUUACAUAUGCCGGCUCUCUUGGACAACAAAACCUAAGUCACGAUUCGACUACGCACGAUUAAUUUGUUGUGUUUGACGUUCCUCUUCCUCUUUUUUUUUAUAAAGAAUCACAGAGUGUUUUAUUCCAGGAUGAUAGAGUUACAAUCUUCAGCGACUAAUUUGCUAAUGCAUGGGGUGGAUGGCCCAGCCAACCUGCUGUGCUAUCACCGACACUAUGAAAUCAAUCUUCCAAACUGCAGAAUUGUAAAGUACAGCUCAGACCUACAGGGCAGGACCGGCUAGCUAAACGGCCACGCUGGAUGAUAUGUUAUCACGUUCCCCGCGGCCGCGCCAUGAACUCCAAAUCUGGCGAAACCACCUACCGUCGCACAAGGCGCCGUCGGUCGUGGAACACGCGGUCUGCAGGUCACAUCGGUCCAGGCCUUGUUGGGUUCACGCGGUCCAGAUGACAUGCACGCCCGCCAAGCAAUUGAGAAAGAGAGAGCCAUGCACGCACGCGAAGCACGCUGCCCUGUGACAACGAGGAUGAUCAUGCAUGCAUGUCAGAGAGCAGAGAGCAGAGACGUCUGUCACUUGUGUAGAUGAUAGGUUCUGCUGGUUGGCGGUCACGCUAUGCAGACCGCGUGUUCCACGACCGGGCCAAAUUUCGUGUUCGGACCCUUUUUCGAUACAAACUCAAGAUCUGACCCCGGUUACGAAAAUUUUCGAGAUCUGACCAUUCCGCUAUCGUCAUGGGCUCUGACAGUAUGGUUAGACAUACUACCGCCAGGGUCCAUGGCGGUAGGGUGCGACGGAGGGCGACGGAGGGCAACGGCCGCCGUUUGCUCGAGCUGACUUGGACAAGUAGCCUACCGCCAGGGACCAUGGCGGUAGCAUGUUAGACCUUACCGCCUGACCCCUUGGCCGUAAGGUGUGGCUGGGGUUUUGCCUCCCAAGUUUCUGUAACGAAAUAUCGAGGUGCCCUGGCGGUAGGUACGUUCGUCCUACCGUCAGGGUCCUUGGCGGUAGGGUCCUGUGUUCUAUGGUUUAUAAGUUUAUUUUUUGUUUUUUUUCAGAAACAAUAUAGGCCCUAAAAUAUGAGCUCGCAUUUUUUUAGUGAUUGUUUAUUUUGUAAAAUAUGAGCUCACAAAGAAAGCCAACAAACGGUUUCACAUAGUUUGUUUUGUUACAAGUUUCACAUCACAAAUAGCAAAAUAUGAGCUCACAUAAUGAUGAUGGUUUCACAUAGCAAUUAUCAAACAGUUUACAGAUAAUAGAUUCAUAAGUAGGGAAUAACAAAUAGCAAACUUGUCCACAUAGUUUGACAAACCCUACAAAAACAGAGAUAUAUAUUCAAUCGACANNNNNNNNNNNNNNNNNNNNNNNNNNNNNNNNNNNNNNNNNNNNNNNNNNNNNNNNNNNNNNNNNNNNNNNNNNNNNNNNNNNNNNNNNNNNNNNNNNNNNNNNNNNNNNNNNNNNNNNNNNNNNNNNNNNNNNNNNNNNNNNNNNNNNNNNNNNNNNNNNNNNNNNNNNNNNNNNNNNNNNNNNNNNNNNNNNNNNNNNNNNNNNNNNNNNNNNNNNNNNNNNNNNNNNNNNNNNNNNNNNNNNNAGGCGGAGGGGAAACGCUGGUCGGCAUCCGACCGUUCAAGCAGUCCCACCUUGGCUUGCCCGCUAGAGUUUUCGCCUCAGCCCUUGGCCAGUUGAUGAUAUCGAAGCCGAUGCACUUGGGGGCGGCAUCCUGGCUCUCUCCUCCUCAUUGCUCUCGAAAUAGAUCCUCCGGCCCAAAUUGCGCAGCUCGACACUACUAGAAAAAGGCAUGCUAGUGAUGCACCAGUUUUGCCUACUAAUGGCGCACUACUGGUGCGCCACUAGCAUCACGCCAUUAGAAUUAAAUUCUAAUGGCACACCACUGGUGUGCCAUUAGUAUCUGGUGUUCUAAUGGCGCACCAAUCAGUGCGCCAUUAGUAUAGCCCACAGUGCGCCAUUAGAAUGCCUCCCAGGGGGUCGUAUGUACCCAUGUGCUUUGGCUUACUAAUGGCGCACCAGUGGGUGAUGCGUCAUUAGUGUGAUUAUCACAGUGCGCCAUUAGUGUCUUGUGUGGUGCGCCAUUAGUAUGAAUAUUAGAUUUUUUUUGUUUUUUUUCUGAUUUUUUCACAGGUUACAAAAUAUAUUAUUUGACAGAAUAUAGACAACACCACACAGCAACAGCAGAUUCAUCGAAUACAAUAGAAGGUAAGUCUUCGAAUACAAUUCAUCAUAUUAGUCUCCAAAUACAAAAGACCAAAUGAAGAUAGAACAUUACAAGUCUCGUAGACCGCGAGUAGCGAGUUUGUCUUCACAUUACAAGUCGAUAUCGAUCAUCUAAACUACCAUCACAUAGAAGAGAGCUGCGGUCAUCACGAUGAGCAUCAUCGCGAUGAAACUGGUCUUCACCCGGUUCCUCCAACGCUCCCUCCUCUCUCCCACUAGAUAGCGGGCGUAUCUAGAUUCCGCCUCCGCCCUAGUGGUGUACCCUUUGUAACUGUUACCGCUGAAACGGCGAACCUGUCUCCGACACUCCUCCCAGUCGUCGUAGACUCCGGGAACCUUACCCUUGUACACAACAUACGAAGGCAUCUCUACGCACAAGCCAAACAACAGACAAUACAUAAGCAAUAUAUAAGUAUGCAACAAAAGGAUCGGAAGAGAAAAGCAAGACACUAAUAACACGAUUCAUGGUCCUACUAAUAAAUAGCAUCGAUUACAUCUAAGUUGAACGACUGUCCAAACCGAAGAGACAUACAAGUUCAUUAAAGUUUAAUUACAACAUGAGCUAAUCGAUGUUUCAGAACUACAAAUAGCAUCACUACUUUCGACUCGACUCAUGGGACCGGAGCGUGGAUGAAGCCGCCGUCUUUCGUGAUGGUCAUGAAGUCGCGGGCGUUGUCAGCCUGCAUUUGAAGUGUUCUGUCUAUCUCACUGUUAGGCGGUUGCUCUCUGAGGUAGAACUGUCCCGAGGUACGAAGGACAUCUUGAUGGAUGAUUUCUGCAAACUCCGACUGGAUGCGAAAGAAUUCUUGUUGGAGGUCCGCGUCCUGGAUUGCCGCCAAGCUUGCGGCCCAAUCUUUGACAUUAUUUGGUAACAGAAGGUGAUUACGGUCCCGUACGAUCGCCCUCAUGUGAUGGAGGGCAUAGUAGGCAUCCUUCUGACCGCCAGGCGGCUGCUUGACGCAGGGGAACGUCGUAUGGUGGGUGAACACGUGUUUACCGUACCUACGAACUGGCCUCUUAAAGGUGCCUCCAGAUGUGGCAUAGCCGGGGAGAGCAUCAUCAAGAACUUUCUUGAUAUUUGUAUAGUCUAUAUUGGAGUCACGGUCCGGGUCGAAAUACGUGGUCGUGGAAUAUUUCGGGCUUAAGAGGAUGAGUGUGCAAUGUGUGUCACUGCACAAAACACGGAAUGUUAGAAAAAAAAGAACGAUCGAAAGCUAAGAAAUAAUAUUUUACGGGGCGGUGAGGGGAUGACUUACUCGGGAAAGUAAGGGACGAGGAAGUUAUCCUUAUCUGGGUUUGCCAGAAUGACGCCUUCGAGGUGUGAACUCGCGACUUGCCGGUCCCCAGCGCUGCCCAAGAUCUUGGCACGCAUGUAGAAGGGGUCGACUAUCACGAUGUCCGGGGUCUUGUCUCGAAUGAUCCGCAUCUCCAUACUCAGCGAAAACAGCCGAACGAAGGUGUAGUGCAGCGGAUGAAGAUUAAACAUAGCAAAGAUGCCAUCAAACCGCAGGACGAUCGUACCCCCAAUGGCCAUCCACAAAGCCCUUGCCCUCUGGCACCUUGGCCAUGAAAACCGGGUAUGCCACAUCAUUCUGGGAGAGACGCAUCUUCUCCAAAGAAAGAACACUGUCAUGCGGACUCCGCAUAGCACCGGUUGCAGCAUUGAGCAUAUUUGUCGGUAGCAUCGCCCUACCCGCCACAUGCACCCUCCUCGAGAUAUCCUGAGGUGAAGGUGGCCCGUCCUGAGCACGGAUCGUACUCGGUGCCGGCUGGCUCGCACCGGCGCCCUUGGCAGUCUUUCGUUUCUGUCCCUUCUUCUUGAUCUGCUGUAAUGGGACCGAUUUCUGCUCACAGACCGCCUUCUUGAGCGUGUUGGGGCUGAUAAUAUUUCGCACCUCAGCUCUCUGAGGCUCAGUGAAGGCAGGAGCUGGAGGCGUCUCCUGAGAACUGAACGCCAGACGACGCCUGUUGCAAUUGGAUUUCUCUGCCGUACCAGCUAGAUCGCGGUCAUCUUGGUUGGGUUCUUGAGAAGGAGGCCCACCGAACUCGUCACCGUACCCAUAUUCGGCAAAGUACUUAUCAUCGUUGGUAAAUGUACCGUCGUCGUUGUCAUCGUCGUCCGGAUCCUGUGCCAUAUGCAUGUCCAGAUCCUGUGCCAUAGGGAUGUCUGGCAUGUCCGGUAGCAUUGCGGCGUUCUUGCCAUGGCGCGGCGCUAGCACGACUGGCGGUCUUGUCUGUGGGGUGGUGUCCCCCGCCCCCAAACGAAUCUGGCUCUUCGGCCAAAGCAAGGGCCAGCUUAGGCAGGCGCUGAUGGUCAUCAGAUCUUCUUCGUCGGCCCCGGCGGGUUGAAUCGGAGGUAACAACUCGUCGCAGCCUGGCAGCACCCGAACCAGUUGAACCCUAUACACGGUGGGUGGCAUCGGUUUACCGUGGAACACGGGGUUGCCCGGUUGAACGAUUUUGCCCUUGGCGACAUCGACCAACUCGUCAUUCACGAAGUGCAGGAGAGUGCACGGAACGUCGGCGGCGCCCUGCGAAAACAUGUAGGGCGUCAGGGAUGCCCAGUCAAAGGCAAAAGGAGAUGAAGUCCUCGACCGAGAGGCUUAAUUAGUUACCGUGAUGAUGGCGUCGAGCUCGGCUAAUGUCGAGGCACCGCCAACGGCGGGCGUGCAAAUGACGGAGGGGCCACUUGCUGGCAAGGUGCCGGCCGGCGUAAACCCCGGUGUAUUAAGCUCCAAUGCCCGUGCCGGCGCCAGAGACACCAAUACCGCCGCCGUCGAUGACACCAAUGGCGCCGCCGGAGACACUAAUGGCGCCGCUUGCGUGUUGUGCGAGUUGCUGGCUGUGAAGCUGGGAAUCGGGGGCGGCCCCUGUUGGCCACACGCAAUCCACGUUGUCAGCCCAUGAAUCAAGGUAGGCAUAAUGCCGGUGAGCGUCGUUCUCAGUUGUUGUUGCACUUGCUCUUGGAUAAUCUCCAGAAUCCGCACCACUUGUGCCUUGAGUUCUUCAACCUCGCGCGACUGGCUUUCGGAGCUGGUCUUUUUCUCCUUUCGCCCACCAGCGGUAUAGUAUGAGGACCAUUUUGUGAACAAGCCUUUGCCGGCCACACGACCAGCUGACGACGGCUUACUGAGCUUAUCCUUGUUUUUCAUUACGUUCAACGCCCUAUUUAGAGUGAUGUCCCAAGCAGGGGUGCUCUGAGACGACCCCGCGCUGCUGCUUUUAGUCUCCUUCGCCAGAACAAGCUCAAGCGCCCUGGUCUUCGGAUCCGUGGUAAGCUCCUUUGUUAUCGGGUCCUCCUUGUACCGGGCCGUGACAAAGUUCCUGGUCUGCAUGUCACUGCUGUAUUUCUCGAAGCGGGGCGGUAGGCCUUGCUCGGCACGCUCCGCAUCCUCCUUGUCCCAUAUAGGCUCCACCACUCUAUAACCGCCGGGACCAAGUUUGUGUUCCCCUAAGUUCAACUCCCGCAUUUCUUUCCCCCACUGACUUGAUUCGGAGGUUUCACUACUCUCGCACUUGAUCUUGAACUCCUUGUAGUCAUCUUCGCUGAUCGAAGGAUUUUCCGCCUUGAUCUUCUCAUAACUAUCACCUUUCUCAAUCAUUCUCUUCACUGUGUUUCUCCAAGUAGACAGGGUCGUGCUCAUGCUCGUGAGGGCGGCACUGUUCACUUUAUUCCAUGAGAGGCGUGUGUUUUCAAAUUCAGCGGGAAACUUGUAUCGUUCGUGCAGCUUCGUGAAGUGGAGGUUGCGCAAAUUCCCUCGGUCCUUAUGCCUAAGUUUCUCGGUGUUGAUCGAGACGGUGCUCCAGAGAAUGCACCCGAGAUGAACCGAGUACCCCUUGACUAUAUGUUUGGGCUCUGUUGAAUUCCCGUCGGAGUCCACUUGAGUAAGUUCCUCCUUGACGGUGCGGAUCUCAUUCGGGCACUGGUCCUUCCGUUGCUUCUUCGGUUGGCUGCCAUCUAUGCGUGCGCCGCCAUCAUCAGUGGUGGCAUCCUCGGCGGCACCAUCAUUGGUGUCAUCCCCGAUGCCACUAGGGGUUGUGUAGUCAGGAUCGGUGUCUUCCGCGGCGUUCUCAUAGCGGUGAUAGGAACAGUGUCAAGAUCCCAUGUUUCGCUCUAAAUAGGAAAAAAGUUUGGUCAAAAAGUUGGUUAUUGUCAAGGAACAAGAUCAUGGUCUCAUCAUUUAGGGUUUGUCGACACUGAGGCAUCCUAAAAGCUAAGCUUUUAUCAUUUAGGUUUUGUCGAUGCCGAGGCACCCUAAAAGCCUAAGCGUACAUCAUUUAGGUUCUCAUCAACACCGAGGCACCCUAUAGAAGCCAAGGUUUCAUCAUUUAGGGUUUGUCGAUGCCGAGUCACCCUAAAUGCUAAGUUAAAUUUUCAUCAUUUAGGGUUUAUCGAUGCCGAGGCACCCUAGGUUGGGCCUAAUCACUUGGCACUAAUCACUUGGCUCUAUUGCCACCUAUGUUGGGUUUAUCAUCUAGGGUUUAUCGAUGCUAAGGAGAAUUCUAAGUUGGGCCUAAUCACUUGGCUCUGUUGCCACCUAUGGUUUAAUGCAGCAAGAAUGGCGGGGCAGUUGAUCCUACUUAACUAAGUACUAAUAUACCCCGGCCCAUGCAUUAGUUGCAAGUACCCCAUAUGUCCUAUUUUUAGCAAAGUCAUGCUAAAAUUCACGGAAAAUUUCAGCAUGACCUUUGCUAAAAAUAGGACAUAUGGAGUACCCGAAUUUGCUGGAACGAAAGUUAAUCGACAUUUCGGAAAACUCAAGGGCCUCUCGGGGUACCUGCAAAUUCAUCACAACACAAUGGUCGGAGAUAAAACCCAGCAACUUUACAAGUCUUUCACAGAUUUGUUUGCAAGUUCUGAUAUGUAAUAAAGAUGAGCCUCAAAGAUGAGCCUCCAAUGCUGAUUUGUUUGCCUGAAGACAAGAUGAACCUCCAAUGCAACAAGUAAUAAAAUGUUCAACAAUGUAUCAAAUUCGGCAACAGUUUAACAUCUACUCCAGUAAUUAUACAACACCAUGACCAACAUUUCUCCUCUACAGAAAUUAGAAACAAAAUAAAGGAACAUUACAUAGUAGCCAUCAAAUUAAAAUAACAUAUACAGUACAUACAGGUAGGUAAUACUAAAGUGUGUUCAUAUUAGCUAGUGACCAUUAUAUUGCUUUAGCUUAGGGCCCUUACAUUAUUCUCUCUCUAUCCCUUUCUUUAGCUGCACUGCAUCACAAGGCAAAUAUGGUUCAAAAUAAAAUACUGUUGAAUAAGCACCUAGCAGAAUUGUAAAAUAAGCUUAAAAAAAGCAUACAACUUGACAUACAAACACAGUCAGUUAUGCAAGUGCUAGAGGUAUGCAUAUAUAUAUAUAUAAAUAUAUAUAUAUAUAUAUAUAUAUAUGUGUGUGUGUGUGUGUGUGUGUGUGUGUGUGUGAACUUGAUCCUGAACUAGAGGUACACAUGUUUGCAUACUCAUCUCUGCAAUUAGUCGUGCUUAUUUGCAUUGUGCUAUAUAUGAAUCCACACCGACUCGAGCCUGAAUCAAUCAAUCAAUGCUGCUCACAAAUACUCCCACACUCCUAUAAUAGUACUAAUAUAAGAGCAUUUAUAUUAUUGGAAUGAAGGGAUAAUUUUUUUUCUUUCAAGAAAACACAAACCCUAACAACACAUUACGAGCACCUUCAAGAGAUUGAACCAACCUAACAUCCACAAACACCUCCUACUCAACACACAGACACAGACCAAGGAAGAAACAUAACCAUUCUUCUUUUUUCUUUCUUUGUUGUUAAUAAUAAAAGAAACUACAAGAGCAAGGAAGGAACAAGUCUUCUUUUGUACUGCCACACAAGAAACCCUCUUUCUUUCUUUCUUCCCUUCUUGUUUAUUUAAUUUUACUGCACCAUCUACUAACCUCCUCCAACUUUACUACCACUACAUCCCUCUCAGCGACAUCUAUGUACUGCAUAUAAAGCAUCACAUGCUGAUGCUAUGUUUCAUUUGUCCCAUCUCCCAUCUCUGCUCUUAUUUUAAGUAAAUGCCCAUAUGCCUUACAUUUAUCUCUGCGGGAGUUUUUCUUUUCUAAUGAUAUCAUCUAUACAUGUUACUUAGUUACUAAACCUAUGUAACUUAGGAUCUAAUUGAUAAAUUGCUAGAAGUAUCUGCAUAUUUUCGUGGAGAUCAUAUGGGGGAGGAUCGGACAGUGUGGCAACAGACAGCAAGGUGUGUUCUUUCAAAGAAUCUUUGCAUCGAGUCAAUGAACAUCAUAUUUGAAGUGCAGUUUAACUUAGUCACUUAAAACUAUCUGAUCCACAACUAACAACCAAAGUCAUGUUCAGUUAUAGUGCUUAAAUAUGAUUUUGGUGUGUGUGAAAACAAUACAGUAUUAUAUUUCUACUGAAUGCAUGAGUAUGAUGUAUCACACAUCUACAUGUGUAGGCUUUUUCAGUUUUUUUCUAGAUGGAAACCAGAAGCAUCACUGUCCUUGACUAGAAUCACCAUGGCCAGAUUAAAGACUGCAAGCUGGCAAGUUCUUCCUUUCAAUUUCUCAAUCUUAGCUAGCGGAGGAGGAAGAGAGGUAGAGGGAGGAGGGUUACCUAGCGGUGGUGGGGCGUUGAAGACCUGGCGGCGAGGUUCGUCCUCUCGGUGGCGGCGGGGCUCCUCCCCUCGGUGGCGGCGGUGGCCUCUUCCCCUCGGUGGCGGCGGGUGUGCUCCUCCUCUCCUUAUGGAGGCGGGGCGUUGAUCUGGNNNNNNNNNNNNNNNNNNNNNNNNNNNNNNNNNNNNNNNNNNNNNNNNNNNNNNNNNNNNNNNNNNNNNNNNNNNNNNNNNNNNNNNNNNNNNNNNNNNNNNNNNNNNNNNNNNNNNNNNNNNNNNNNNNNNNNNNNNNNNNNNNNNNNNNNNNNNNNNNNNNNNNNNNNNNNNNNNNNNNNNNNNNNNNNNNNNNNNNNNNNNNNNNNNNNNNNNNNNNNNNNNNNNNNNNNNNNNNNNNNNNNNNNNNNNNNNNNNNNNNNNNNNNNNNNNNNNNNNNNNNNNNNNNNNNNNNNNNNNNNNNNNNNNNNNNNNNNNNNNNNNNNNNNNNNNNNNNNNNNNNNNNNNNNNNNNNNNNNNNNNNNNNNNNNNNNNNNNNNNNNNNNNNNNNNNNNNNNNGCGGCGUUGGGGCAGCGCAAGACCACAGCGGCGGCGGCGGCGCCGACGGCGUGCAUGCGCGGCGGUACCGUGCAUUGCCCUUUCUCACCUCGAGAGUUGGUGCAAACUUCACCGGUGCAUCCAAACCCCGUGAUAUGAUACGCUCUAUCACACAUAAGCCUCAUUAUAUAUUCCUCAAAAUAGCCACUAUACCUACCUAUCAUGGCAUUUCCAUAGCCAUUCCGAGAUAUAUUGCCAUGCAACUUCCAUCAUCAUCACAUACAUGACUUGAGCAUUUAUUGUCAUAUUACUUUGCAUGAUCGUAAGAUAGCUAGCAUGAUGUUUUUAUGGCUUGUCCGUUUUUUGAUGUCAUUGCUACGCUAGAUCAUUGCACAUCCCAGUACACCCAAAAAGGGGGCCAAAGAAGCACACCCAAAAAGAAAAAAAAGAAAAAAUAAAAAUAAAAGGGGCAAUGUUACUAUCCUUUUACCACACUUGUGCUUCAGAGUAGCACCAUGUUCUUCAUAUAGAGAGUCUCAUAUGUUGUCACUUCCAUUUACUAGGGGGAAUUUUCAUUAUAGAACUUGGCUUGUAUAUUCCAAUGAUGGGCUUCCUCAAAUGCCCUAGGUCUUCAUGAGCAAGCAAGUUGGAUGCACACCCACUUAGCUUUCAGUUUGAGCUUUCAUACACUUAUAGCUCCUAGUGCAUCCGUUGCAUGGCAAUCCUUACUCCUCGCAUUGAUAUCAAUUGAUGGGCAUCUCCAUAGCCUGUUGAUUAUCCGCGUCGAUGUGAGACUUUCUCCCCUUUUGUCUUCUCCAUAUAAACCUCCACCAUUAUAUUCUAUUACACCUAUAGUGCUAUAUCCAUGGCCUGCGCUCAUGUAUAGAGCGAGGGUUGAAAAAGCUGAAGCGCUUUAAAAAGUAUGAACCAAUUGCUUGGCUUUUCAUCGGGGUUGUGCAUGAUGGGAGCAUUUUGUGUGACGAAAAUGAAGCAUGGCCAAACUAUAUGAUUUUGUAGGGAUAAGCUUGCUUUGGCCUUGUUGUUUUGAAAAGACAUGAUUGCUUUAUUAGUACGCUCGAAGCAUUAUUGUUUUUUAUGUCAAAUGAUAGACUAUUGCUUUGAAUCACUCGUAUCUUAAUAUUCAUGCCAUGAUUAGACAUAUGAUCAAGAUUAUGCUAGGUAGCAUUCCACAUCAAAAAUUAUCUUUUUUAUCAUUUACCUACUCGAGGACGAGCAGGAAGUAAGCUUGGGGAUCUUGAUACGUCUCCGUCGUAUCUAUAAUUUUUGAUUGUUCCAUGCUAAUAUUCUUGAACUUUCAUAUACUUUUGGCAACUUUUUAUACUAUUUUUGGGACUAACAUAUUGAUCCAGUGCCCAGUGCCAGUUCCUGUUUGUUGCAUGUUUUAUGUUUCACAUAAAACCAAUAUCAAACGGAGUCCAAACGGGAUAAAAACGAACGGAGAAUUAUUUUGGAAUAUUUGGGAUUUUCCGCAGGAAGAAUCAACACGAAACAGUGUCCGAGGUGGCCAGGAGAUAGGGGGCGCGCCCUCCCCCCUGGGCGCGCCUGGCACUCUCUUGGGCCACCCGUAAGGCGGUUGACGCUCUUCUUUUGCUGCAAGAAAGCUAAUUUUAUGAGAAAAAUCUGGCCGAAAGAUUCACCCCAAUCGGAGUUACGGAUCUUAAGAUAUAAAAGAAACGGUGAAGGGGUAGAAUCUGAGAACGCAGAAACAGAGAGAUAGAUCCAAUCUCGGAGGGGCUCUCGCCCCUCCCAAGCCAUGGGAUCCAAGGACCAGAGGGGAAACCCUUCUCCCAUCUAGGGAGGAGGUCAAGGAAGAAGAAGAAGAAGGAGGGCUCUCUCCCCCUUGCUUCCGGUGGCGCCGGAACGCCCCAGGGCCCAUCAUCAUCACCGCGAUCUUCACCAACGCCUCCGCCAUCUUCAUCGACAUCUCCAUCACCUUCCCCCAUCUAUAUUCAGCGGUCCACUCUCCCGCAACCCACUGUACGCUCUACUUGAACAUGGUGCUUUAUGCUUCAUAUUAUUAUCCAAUGAUGUGUUGCCAUCCUAUGAUGUCUAAGUAGAUUUCCAUUGUCCUAUCGGUGAUUGAUGAAUUGCUAUGAUUGGUUUGAGUUGCAUGCUUUAUUAUUGGUGUUUUCCUAUGGACCUCUCUGUGUCGCGCAAGCGUGAGGGAUCCCUGCUAUAGGGUUUGCAAUAUGUUCAUGAUUUGCUUAUGGUGGGUGGCGUGAGUGACAGAAGCACAGACCCGAGUAAGUAGGUUGUUUGCAUAUGGGAUAAAGGGGACUUGAUACUUUAAUGCUAUGGUUGGGUUUUACCUUAAUGAUCUUUAGUAGUUGCGGAUGCUUGCUAGAGUUCCAAUCAUAAGUGCAUAUGAUCCAAGUAGAUAAAGUAUGUUAGCUUAUGCCUCUCCCUCAAAUAGAAUUGCAAUAGUGAUUAUCGGUCUAGUAACAUAGUCAAAUGCUUAGGGACAAUUCCACAACUCCUACCACCACUUUUCCACACUCGCUAUAUUUACUUUAUUGCUUCUUUAUCUAAACAUCCCCUAAUUUUUAUUUACGUGUUCUUUAUUAUCUUGCAAACAUAUCCCAACAACACCUACAAAGUACUUCUAGUUUCAUACUUGUUCUAGGUAAAGCGAACACUAAGCAUGCGUAGAGUCGUAUCAGUGGCAGAUAGGGCUUGAGAGAGUAUUUAUUCUACCUUUAGCUCCUCGUUGGGUUCGACACUCUUACUUAUCGAAAGAGGCUACAAUUAUCCCGUAUACUUGCGGGUCAUCACCUAGCGGUGUGAAAUAAAUGGAAAACUUGUAAGUUCAUGGAGUUUGUAUAUGAGUUAGAGAAACGCCUGGGCGGCCAACCCAAGCCAUGCAUAAUUCAUGGUGGAAAUUUACAACAUAACCAUAGUGAGCAUUCUAUGGAGCAUCUUCAAUAAAAAAACUAUGCCCAUGGUAAUAAAAGGAUUGCUGAGAUGCUCAUUGUCUGUUGCCUUGUCAUUUUGGUAUGGGAUAGCUCUUGUGUCAUGGGGCAAGGGGUACACCGUUGGCGGUUCUCUAUGAUGCAUGUAUACUUACAAUGACAAGAACUUAUUUGGGACCUAAGUUGAGUAGCAUGAGGUUUAGGUACUCGUAUUCAAGGGGCAUGAGGCUUUCAAUUUGUGAUUUGUCAAGCAUACAACUCAUAUUUGCCCUCACUUUAACCUUAACCAUUCAAGAUGCGUAUGAUAGGGGCAAUGAGAGCUGAAAUCUAAUGAGGACCAUAAGUUUUGGAAGCUUUAUCAAACUUAUUAAUCCCUACUUACCUCUAUGAAGGGCCUUUCUUUUACUUUUUUGUUGAGUCUUCAUCUUCUAUCUUUAUGCACCAACUAAGAGAGCAUAGUUGUCAUUCUGAGUAUAAUGUGCAUUGUCCCAAAACUUGUUGAUUGAUUCAUGAUUAUGGUAUUGCUUAUUCUCAAAUUAUUUGUAUCUAGUCACCCUUUUGAACUUUGAAGGUGUCCUAUGCAUUUAUGUUUUGCUACUCCAAGAAGGACAAGCUGAAUACCACUUUGCUAUGUUUUCUCUAUGUGCGAAACAAACAAAUGUCUUUCAAAGCAUUAUUCAUGAUCUUUUGUUUAUGUUGCCUUUCAUGUUGUAAUAUAGUUGCUAUAUUCUAUUGUUAGAAAUAUAUCUUUCAUACCUAUGUUUAGAGUACUUUGAUCCCAUCUUACAAUGUUUUACAAUGAUGAUGAUCAAGAUUGUAUUGGCUGCAUGUCACCUCAAAAAUUAUUUUUGUUAUCACUCCCCUACUCGAGGACGAGCAGGAGUUAAGCUUGGGGAUGAUGAUAUGUUGCAAACGUAUCUAUAAUUUUUGAUCCUCCAUGCUUGUUAUACACCAAUUACUUUAUGUUUUGUUUACACUUUGUGGCAUUUUUAUGUAUUUUCUGGAACUAGCCUAUUGACAAGAUGCCACAAUGCCAGUUCCCUGUUUUCUGCUGUUUUUGUGUUUUGGAGAAAUUAGUACAGAAAUAUUCUCGGAAUUGGACGAAACAAACGCCAAAGUUCCUAUUUUUCUCGACACGACACGGAGUCCAAAGCAGAGACGGAUGAGCACACUGAGGUGACCACACCAUAGCCAGGCGUGGGCCCACCUCUGGCUGCACGACCCUAGGGUGUGGGCCCCUCGGGCGUCCACUGACAUUGCCCUUCCGCCUAUAUAAUGCCCCCGAGGUGAAAACUCUAAAUAAUGAAGCCUCCGUCCAUGAAAAAUUCCGCAGCGCAGCCACCAUCAAAGACGAGAUUCAGGGGAUAGAAGUCUCUGUUUCGGCACCCUACCGGGAUGGGGAAUUGCCCCCGGAGCCAUCUCCAUCGACUCCACCGCCAUCUUCAUCGCCAUUGCUAACGCCCAUGAUGACGAGGGAGUAGUUCUCCUCCGAGGCUGAGGGCUUUACCGGUCGCUAUGUGGUUUAUCUCUCUCUCCCAAGGUGUGAUCUUUAUGUGAUCAUGAGCUUUGUAAUCUGGUUGAUUUAGUAGAUGUUACUCUCAUCUAUUAUGCUACUCAAGUGCUUUUAUUAAUGUGAUCUCCGGAGACACCUUGUCCCACGGUGUGAAGGUGACAGUGUGCGCACCGUGUGUGGCUCUUAGGCUAAAGAUUACAGAAAUACUUAUCAUGAGUUAUAAUUUGAGUUGGAUAUCUCUAUGAAAUUGUGGUGUUUGUUUGGAACCAUCUAGCGCUCAAGGUGACAGUGUGGAGUUACCUAGAUGGGGAAUGCGAACUUUAAGUUGUGCUUUUAUAGCCCUACGUGGUGAAUUGGUGUUCGUUAUCCAACCGGAGAGUAGUUCAGAGUAGCAUAGUGAUGAGAAGAUGUUUAUGUGUUCAAUUAUGAUAUCAUUGUUGAGAGUGUCCACUAGUAAAAGUAUGAUCCCUACGUUUUGUUUCAAAGCAUUGAAACAUCGUUUACAACCAGUUCUGCUACAUGUUUGCUUGCUGGCAUUUUUAUUUCAGAUUGCAAUUACCACUUGUAAUCAUCCAUAUUACUUGUAUUUCACUAUCUCUUCACCGAACUAGUGCACCUAUACACCUGACAAGUGUAUUGGGUGUGUUGGGGACACAAGAGACUUCUUGUAUCUUAAUUGCAGGGUUGCUUGAGAGGGAUAUCUUUGACCUCUUCCUCCCUGAGUUCGAUAAACCUUGGGUGAUUCACUUAAGGGAAACUUGCUACUGUUCUACAAACCUGUACACUUGGAGGCCCAACACUGUCUAUAAGAAUAGAAGCGUGCGUAGACAUCAAGCUUUUUCUGGCGCCGUUGCCGGGAGGUAAGGUAAAAGGUACUCACAUCCUCUGGCUACUAAGCUAUCUUCUAGUACUGUUGCUGGUGUGUGAGUGCUCAAAGUUAUUUCCUUUAGAUUCUGCAAUUAUAUCUUUUUGUUUCUUGUUUUUAUUUUCACUAGUUAGGCUUAAUGGAAAACAACAACAAAAUUAGAGAGCUUUAUAGUAUUUUUCCUGGGUUAGGACAUGAAGUGUUUGAAGAGAAAAUUAAAAAACCUAUGGAACUUUAUUUGCAUGCUAAUAGAAAUGUUAUUAGUAUGAACUAUUUGAACACCAUUAUUGCUAAUGCUAUGGAAAAGUCUAUGCUUGGGGAAGCUGUUUUUUAUGAAAAUGGUCCUUUAGUUCCCCAGCUUUAGAGGAGAAAUUUUUCAUGAAAAUGGUCUUUUUAUGAAAUGGUCUUUUUAGCUACCCAGCUUUAGAGGAGAAAUUGAACGAUUUUAGAUUCCAAAUGAUUUUUAAAUUUGAAGAUUUUCAAAUUUGAACAAUUUUCAAAAUUUGAAACAUUUUCAUAAUCUGAACGUUUUCAACAAUCUGAACAUUUUUAAAAUUCAAACAUCUUUAGAAUCUAAACAGAAAAAGCAGGAAAAAAGGACCAGAUCCGAUGUAGCCGCCAAAAUCCUCCUCCUCUCGGGCAGAGCUGUUCUCCCUUGCCUGCUGCCUUUGACUCUGCACUCCAUCUUCCUUGGUAUUGAUAUUACUCCCCUUCUCACCCGAUCCCUCCGGUACUUCUGAUAUGUUCUUCUCCAUCUUCCCUAACCCUAAUUCCGCCGCCCUCUCAUCCCCCUUCCCCCCGAUCUCCUUGUGAGUUGGAUCCGCCAUGCACGAAGAUGCACGUGACGGGUAGUGGUAGAUCCCACCGGCGGCCAGAAAGAUCCGGCAAUUGGUGAGAUUUUACGUGGACGCUAGCAUGAAUGCCAGAGGAAAGUUGGAACCCUAGCGGCGGAGCCAGGGGGAGACACGAGAAUUCCUAUGGUCCACCCAACGCGUGCACUAAAAGAGCAUGCUCACGCGGGAACUCUUGGUGGCCCGGUCCAUAAGCGGGAAGAGUUUUUUUUUCAGUUUUUCCUAAUUUCUUUUUCUUCUUUUUAUUUUGUGCUUCUUUUUUCUUCUUUUUUAAAUUUUGGUUUCCCUUUUUCUCGUUUCUGUUGCUUUUUUAUUUUUCAAAGUUUGCAUUUUUUUCAAUUUUGUUUUUUUGAUUUGAAUAUUUUUUAACUUGAACUUUUCCAAAGUGGGACGUUUUUUAAUAUGAACAAAUUUAAACAUUUCUCAAAUUUGAACAACUUUCCAAUUGGAACAAAUUUUAAGUUUUAACAAAUUUCAAAUUUGAACAUUUUCUAUUUUUAAACUUUUUCGAAUUUGAACUUUUUUUAGAUCUCGUAUUUUUUCAAUAUUUUAUGAAUUACAAAAACAAUAAAACAAAAAAAUCAAAUGACUGGAAAAAGAAAUUAAAUUUAUAAAUUUUUAUUUGGCCGCGUUCGAGGCGGCCCAUCAGGAGGCUCUGCGUGCAUGGUGGUUUAGGCCACGUUUGAGCGGCACAUAGGGUUUGCCCCAUCGAUCAUGAGCGAUGAGGAGCCAGCCAGCGACCACGCUAGAUCUUAUUUUUGAAUAAGAACGUUUGUAAAUUACAAAUAAAUUUGAUAAUCUGAACACCAUUCAAAUUCGAAACAUUUUGAAAAAUCUAAAUACUAUUUUUCCUUUUCUUUUUUCCAGUGUUUUCAAAAUCAGAACGGUUUUAAAAUUUGAAUGAUUUAAAAUUGAACAAGUUUAAAAUUUGAACAAAUUUCUAUAUUCAUAUUGUUAAUAAUCUGAAAAUUUAUGAAAUCUGGAUAAUUUGAGCAACUCUAAAAUUGAACGAUUUUAAAUUCUGAACGAUUUUUAAAUUUGAACCAUUUUCAAAUUUGAACGAUUUUCAUAUUUGAACAAUUUUCACAAAUUGAAACAUUUUCAUAAUCUGAACGUUUUCAACAAUCUGAACAUUUUUUAAAUUUGAACGUGUUUAGAAUCUAAACAGAAAAAGAAGGAAAAAUGGAAAAAUAAAAGAAACAUAGCGAAAACCAAUCGAAAAACCGCUGCAAAAAAGUGAAAGAACCGUGCAGAGAAACCCGAAAAAACCAGCCCCGGAUUUUCUGUUGAUUUACCUAUAUGGGUUGGCCAAAUAGUGCAAGGUUGCCUGUCGCAGCUAUAUAUCACAACGAGCGAUGUAUAAGGAUCGCCGAUACUACCGUAGCGAAUCGAGCAUAUCAUCACCAUCGAGACGUUGACGCUCCAAAAAAUACAUUUUAUUUCCAUCAUUUCCUUUUAAUGUUGUUUCUACCUAGUACAGAAGAUAUCUUUUUUUAUAGACAAUACCAUGAUAUAUUAUAGUAGGAAACAGUAUAUGGUACACAUACAUAAGCUGUCUCCAGCGAUUAUAAAAUAAGCAAGCUCACAUCAACAAACAAGAUAACUCUUUUAUACGUGAUAAGCAACCUCAAACCAAUAAACACUACAUCUAUUUCAUUCAGUACAACGGCGUAAGAUUUUUUAUUCUUAACAGGUUUUACGAAUUUAGUGCUCAUAUGCAGGAGUAAUUAUUCCUGGGAGCCAAAACACAAUGUCAUGCAACCUCCACAAUGCAUGAAAUUUCUAUCUUCUUGUGGUGACGUAAUUUACUCCACCCAAGAUUCUUCUUAACAAUCGAUACCACAUAUAUUUAAAAUAGUUCAUGGUCACUACAGGAAACGGGCGAUAGGCCGACGGCCCGACGCUAUCGGCAUAGGCCAAAUAACCCUCGGAACAGGCUAUAGCCGGGGGCGGCCCUGGGCGUAUCACCCUCGGGUCCUUCAGGUAUCUGCGUACAGGUAUUUGUCAUCGGCGUAGAGGAUGCCCUCGAUGUAGACUUGGCGGGCCCAUCGCUAAUAGAUGACGGCCGUUAGACGUCGAACAGGCUACACCGACGGCUUUGCCCUCGCGCUAGAUUUUCGAUUUUGUUUCCAACUUUUUUUCCAAAAAAAAUUCAAUUUUUUUCAGACUUGUUAAUUUCACAACGGACAUUUUUAACUCUCAACACGUUUAAUGUAAAAUCAAAUUGCACUUGUGGUCAAACUUCCCGCUCGACCACCCAUCCUCACACUACUCCAACCCCAGCACGCUUAACUUCUCCGUUCCUUCCGGAUGAGCUAUCAAGAAAGAAAGCAUAUCUUAGUGAUAAUAGUACCAUAUCAAUCAUAUUAACUCUUGGACUGUGGUGUCACACCUUUUUAUUUUUGAAUUCCAUACAAAUAUUUAAAUACACAACAAUUAAUAAGUAAUAAUAAUAAUAAUUUUCAAUUCAAAUAAAAUAAAAUAAUUAAUAUUUUUUCUUUUUUCUAUUUAAUAUGGAAUAUUUAAUAUCUUUAAAUCCUUAAAUCUGAAUUUGACAAAUAAUAUGUCUAAACCUAUCAAAAAAUGAGGAGAAUCCAAAUAUAACAUCCAUAUCGUCUUGUGAACCUAAAAAAUUGAUAUUUCCAAAAAGAAUCAUGAGCAUUAGAUCAUGUAUGUGUAGUUCAAAUUGACCAUAGUUCAAAUCGAGCAUUACGUACAUGUAUUUUUUUUAAAUAUAUGUACACCAUGUAUAUCGACUUGAAUCGUUAGUAUGUGACAUAAGAAGAUUAUGUGGGCAGGUUUUUCAUAUUUUCCUAUUUUUUGAAUUUUUAUGCUCAUUUCAAAUUUUUUUGAAAUGUGUAAUAUUUAAGUGUAUAUAGAGAGAUCUUAUUCUUCUGCAAAUUUGAUAUAUUAUUUGUAUUUAUCUGAAUUAUAAUGAUUCAGUUAUAAUUUUUCUAAAAUUAAUAUGAUAAAAUGGAAAAUAGUUAUGCCGACGGUGUAGCUUCAAAACCUAUGCCGAGGGCUUUGCCCUCGGCGUAGACCCUCCGCCGUGACGCGGUCGUAACACUGUUAGCCUGGGCUGGCCUACACCGAGGCUGGCAUAUACCCUGAGGGCAGCUGUUGGCCCAGACAUGGGUUCACCGAGGGCCGAUCCUACGCCAAGGGCCGGGCGGGCGGGCGGGCAGGAUUGCUAGCCCUCUACGCCGACGGCCCUGAUGUUUUGCCAUUGGUAUAGAGGCUGGUCGUCGGCUCCAGACAUCAGUCCUAUAGUGGGUGAAGAUACACAAGCUGUUUUCAGCGAUUAUAAAAUAAAGUACAUAUAAAAAAAUGAGCAAAUCGCCGAGGUCUUUAAACUCUUAUUUUGCAUCGCAGGCAGCCAAAUUGACAUGACAUAAAUACCAAACGAUAGGCUCGUAAAUACCGACGAUGGUUCUCCCAUAUUUUUAAAUCUGAGCCGCAAUGCCAAGGCUACGUGCAUGCGCGCAACCAUUAAACUAAUCACCCGACAUCAGCGAGAGCAACAACACCAGUAUUCCAGGGAAAAAGAUACCGAACAGCCUGGUCGACAUCGCUAGAGAGCCGGAAGUACGAAUCACCAUUGUCGAUGGUGUAGCAUCCAGAUAAAUAUUACGAGGACUAGUUGAAUGCAUGUGUGUUGCAACGGCCUCUAAAAUAUUUUACUUCUGCACAUGUAAGCAUAAUACAUCUUAAUAUUUUGUCGCAUAUAGAAAGAUAGAGAAAUAUAUUAUUCAAGAAACUAUAGAAUUAUACAUUUUGAUAUGAUUGGACAAAAAGUUAUAGUUUGAUUUCUAUGCAUAGUAAUAGAAAACCCAUCUACUCAUCUUAUUCUUAGUUAGGUGUGUUAAACUGUAUAGUUAUCAGAUACGGUUAGUAUCUAGGAUUGUAGUUAUCUUGUAUAACAACCUGUACUUAUCCUCCUGUAAACCCUAGCGGCAGCCCUAGAGGCGCCCUAUAUAAUGAUCCUGAGACCACCGCAUUAGGUGUGUUGAUCCAAUCUCUUCUCUCUUUGUUUCACAAGGUAUCAGGCCAUCUCGCAUAACUGCUCGAUGGGUUCUCCUUCCUCCGGCGCCAUGACUUCCUCGACCCUGGCUUCUCUGCCCAUGCCCUCUGGGCUCUCAGCGCCGACAUCUUCCGCUGUUCCCCAACCCUUUGCUAGCCUCAUUACCGCCAAGCUUACCUCCUCCAACUUCCUCCUCUGGAAAGCACAGAUCCUUCCUCCCCUUCGCAUCACCGGUGUCACUUGGCUAUGUCGACGGCACCAUCCCUACUCCUCCUCGCAUCCUCCCAGCUGAUGACAAGGGGGGCGCGCUCCUAACCCGGAGUAUGCUGCCUGGUCCCGUCAGGAUCAGAUCAUCCUGAGCUAUCUUCGUGCUCGCUCACCGAUGAUGUGCUUCAGUAGGUCCAUCUCUUCGACACCGCCCGCGCCAUCUGGGUGCACCUCGAGGAGAUGUAUGUUACCCACUGCCGUGCCAGUGUGGUGCAGAUCAAGAUGGACAUGAUGAACUUCCGCAAGGGCAACCUCUCCAUGGUGGACUACUUCGCCAAGAUCCUCUCCAAUGCAGAUCAACUCGUCGCCGUUGGCCGUCCCAUGUUCCAGGAGGACAUCAUCACCGCCUUCAUCACCGGGCUCGACAGUGAGUACGGGCCCCUCAUCACUGCCAUCUCCUUCGAACGCCGCCGCGAGUACCACGCGGCUCGUCUUCAACUUCAUACGGGCGGAUCCUCUGUCAAGUAUGUCGCCCGCGACAACAACUGCAACACCAACAACCGUGGCAAGGGCAACUACCGCGACAAGGGUCGCGGCAACUCUGGUGACCGUGGUGACAACAACAACAACAACAACCGCAGCGGGUACCGUGGUGACUGUGGUGGUGGUGGCAAUCGUCGGAACGGUAACCGUGGUGGUGACCGCGUGACCAUGGCGGUGGCGGGGAUGCACGUCUGCAGUGCCAGCUCUAUCAAGGCCCUGGGCACUAUACCUGGGAGUGCUCUUUGUUGGAAAUAUGCCCUAGAGGCAAUAAUAAAAGUAUUAUUAUAUUUCAUUGUUCAUGAUAAUUGUCUUUUAUUCAUGCUAUAACUGUAUUAUCCGGAAAUCGUAAUACACGUGUGAAUACUUAGACCACACAAUGUCCCUGGUAAGCCUCUAGUUGACCAGCUCGUUGUGAUCAACAGAUAGUCAUGGUUUCCUGACUAUGGACAUUGGAUGUCGUUGAUAACGGGAUCACAUCAUUAGGAGAAUGAUGUGAUGGACAAGACCCAAUCCUAAGCAUAGCAUAAAAGAUCGUGUAGUUCGUUUUGCUAGAGCUUUGCAAGUGUCAAGUAUCUCUUCCUUCGACCAUGAGAUCGUGUAACUCCCGGAUACCGUAAGAGUGCCUUGGGUGUACCAAACGUCAUAACGUAACUGGGUGACUAUAAAGGUGCAUUACAGGUAUCUCCAAAAGUAGCUGUUGGGUUGACACGGAUCGAGACUGGGAUUUGUCACUCCGUAUGACGGAGAGGUAUCUCUGGGCCCACUCGGUAAUGCAUCAUCAUAUUGAGCUCAAUGUGACCAAGGUGUUGGACACGGGAUCAUGCAUUACGGUACGAGUAAAGUGACUUGCCGGUAACGAGACUGAACAAGGUAUUGGGAUACCGACGAUCGAGUCUCGGGCAAGUAACGUACCGAUUGACAAAGGGAAUUGCAUACAGGGUUUGAUCGAAUCCUCGACAUAGUGGUUCAUCCGAUGACAACAUCAAGGAGCAUGUGGGAGCCAUCAUGGGUAUCCAGAUCCCGCUGAUGGUUAUUGACUGAGAGAGUCUCGGUCAUGUCUGCAUGUCUCCCGAACCCGUAGGGUCUACACACUUAAGGUUCAGUUACGCUAGGGUUAUAGGGAUAUGUAUAUGCAAUAACCCGAAUGUUGUUCGGAGUCCCGGAUGAGAUCCCGGACGUCACGAGGAGUUCCGGAAUGGUCCGGAGGUAAAGAUUUAUAUAUGGGAAGUCCUGUUUCGGGCAUCGGGACAAGUUUCGGGGUUAUCGGUAUUGUACCGGGACCACCGGAAGGGUCCCGGGGGUCCACCGGGUGGGUCCACCUGUCCCGGGGGGCCACAUGGGCUGUAGGGGGGUGCGCCUUGGCCUAAUGGGCCAAGGGCACCAGCCCCACAUAGGCCCAUGCGCCUACGGUUUAAGGGGGCAAGAGUCCUAGGAGGGUAAGGCACCUCCUAGGUGCCUUGGGGGGAGGAAAACCCCCCUUGGCCGCCGCACCCCCUAGGAGAUUGGAUCUCCUAGGGCCGGCCACCCCCCCUUGGCACCCCUAUAUAUAGUGGGGGAGAGGAGGGACUUCAUACCUGAACGCCCUGGCCUUUGGUUGCCUCCUUCUCCCUCCCCAACACCUCCUCCACCUCCAUAGUGCUUAGCGAAGCUCUGCCGGAGUACUGCAGCUCCAUCAACACCACGCCGUCGUGCUGCUGUUGGUGCCAUCUCCCUCAACCUCUCCUCCCUUCCUUGCUGGAUCAAGAAGGAGGAGACGUGGCUGUUCCGUACGUGUGUUGAACGCGGAGGUGCCGUCCGUUUGGCGCUGGUCAUCGGUGAUUUGGAUCACGUCGAGUACGACUACAUCAUCACCUUGCAAGCUUCCGCACGCGAUCUACAAGUGGUAUGUAGAUGCAAACUCUCUCCCUAGACUCGUUGCUUAGAUGAACUCAUAGAUGGAUCUUGGUGAAACCGUAGGAAAAAUUUUAAUUUUCUGCAACGUUCCCCAACAGUGGAAUCAGAGCUAGGUCUAUGCGUAGUUCUCUUUGCACGAGUAGAACACAACUUUGUUGUGGGCGUGGAUUUUGUCAUCUUGCUUGCCUCUACUAGUCUUUUCUUGCUCAACGGUAUUGUGGGAUGAAGCGGCCCGGACCAACCUUACACGUACUCUUACGUGAGACCGGUUCCACCGACUGACAUGCACAAGUUGCAUAAGGUGGCUGGCGGGUGUCUGUCUCUCCCACCUUAGUUGGAGCGGAAUCGAUGAACAGGGCCCUUAUGAAGGGUAAAUAGAAGUUGACAAAAUCACGUUGUGGUGAUUCGUAGGUAAGAAAACGUUCUUGCUAGAACCCAAUUGCAGCCACGUAAAAUAUGCAACAACAAUUAGAGGACGUCUAACUUGUUUUUGCAGCGAUUGAUCAUGUGAUGUGAUAUGGCCAGAAGUUGUGAUGAAUGAUGAAUUGUGAUGUAUGAGAUCAUGUUCUUUGUAAUAGGAUUUACGACUUGCAUGUCGAUGAGUAUGACAACCGGCAGGAGCCAUAGGAGUUGUCAUUAUUUUUUGUAUGACCUGCGUGUCAUUGAAUAACGCCAUGUAAACUACUUUACUUUAUUGCUAAACGUUAGUCAUAGAAGUAGAAGUAGUUGUUGGCGUGACAACUUCAUGAAGACACGAUGAUGGAGAUCAUGAUGAUGGAGAUCAUGGUGUCAAGCCGGUGACAAGAUGAUCAUGGAGCCCCGAAGAUGAAGAUCAAUGGAGCUAUAUGAUAUUGGCCAUAUCAUGUCACAACUAUAUAAUUGCAUGUGAUGUUUAUUAUGUAUUAUGCAUCUUGUUUACUUAGGACGACGGUAGUAAAUAAGAUGAUCCCUUAUAAAAUUUCAAGAAGUGUUCUCCCCUAACUGUGCACCGUUGCUACAGUUCGUCGUUUCUAAGCACCACGUGAUGAUCGGGUGUGAUGGAUUCUUACGUUCACAUACAACGGGUGUAAGACAGUUUUACACAGCGAAAACACUUAGGGUUAACUUGACGAGCCUAACAUGUGCAGACAUGGCCUCGGAACACGGAGACCGAAAGGUCGAACACGAGUCGUAUGGAAGAUACGAUCAACAUGAAAAUGUUCACCGACGAUGACUAGUCCGUCUCACGUGAUGAUCGGACACGGACUAGUCGACUCGGAUCGUGUAACACUUAGAUGACUAAAGGGAUGUCUAAUCUAAGUGGGAGUUCAUAAUUUGAUUAGAACUUUAUUAUCAUGAACUUAGUCUAAAACCUUUGCAAAUAUGUCUUGUAGAUCAAUGGCCAACGCUAAUGUCAACAUGAACUUCAACGCGUUCCUAGAGAAAACCAAGCUGAAAGAUGAUGGCAGCAACUAUACGGACUGGGUCCGGAACCUGAGGAUCAUCCUCAUAGCUGCCAGGAAACAAUAUGUCCUAGAAGGACCGCUAGGUGACGCUCCCGUCCCAGAGAACCAAGACAUUAUGAAUGCUUGGCAGUCUCGCGCUGAUGAUUACUCCCUCGUUCAGUGCGGCAUGCUUUACAGCUUAGAACCGGGGCUCCAAAAGCGUUUUGAGCAUCACGGAGCAUAUGAGAUUUUCGAAGAGCUGAAACUAGUUUUUCAAGCUCAUGCCCGGGUCGAGAGAUAUGAUGUCUCCGACAAGUUCUACAGUUGUAAGAUGGAGGAGAACAGUUCUGUCAGUGAGCACAUCCUGAAGAUGUCUGGGUUGCACAACCGUAUGACCCAGCUGAACAUUAACCUCCCAGAUGAGGCGGUCAUUGACAUAAUCCUCUAGUCGCUCCCACCAAGCUACAAGAGCUUUGUGAUGAACUACAACAUGCAGGGAAUGGAAAAGACCAUUCCUGAAGUGUUCUCGAUGCUGAAGUCAGCAGAGGCUGAAAUCAAGAAAGAACAUCAAUUGUUGAUGGUCAAUAAGACCACUAAGUUCAAGAAGGGCAAGGGUAAGAAGAACUUCAAGAAGGACGGCAAAGAUGUUGCCGUGCCUGGUAAGCCAGUUACCGGGAAGAAGUCAAAGAAUGGACCCAAGCCUGAGACUGAGUGCUUUUAUUGCAAGGGGAAGGGUCACUGGAAGCGGAACUGCCCCAAAUACUUAGCGGAUAAGAAGACCGGCAACACCAAAGGUAUAUUUGAUAUACAUGUGAUUGAUGUGUACCUUACCAGUACUCGUAGUAACUCCUGGGUAUUUGAUACCGGUGCCGUUGCUCAUAUUUGUAACUCACAGCAGGAGCUGCGGAAUAAACGGAGACUGGCGAAGGACGAGGUGACGAUGCGCGUCGGGAAUGGUUCUAGAGUCGAUGUGAUCGCCGUCGGCACGCUGCCUCUACAUUUACCUACGGGAUUAGUUUUGAACCUUAAUAAUUGUUAUUUAGUGCCAAGUUUGAGCAUGAACAUUGUAUCUGGAUCUCGUUUAAUACGAGAUGGCUACUCAUUUAAGUCUGAGAAUAAUGGUUGUUCGAUUUAUAUGAGAGAUAUGUUUUAUGGUCAUGCUCCGAUGGUCAACGGUUUAUUCUUAAUGAAUCUCGAGCGUAAUAUUACACAUGUUCAUAGUGUAGAUGCCAAAAGAUUUAAAGUUGAUAACGAUAGUCCCACAUACUUGUGGCACUGCCGCCUUGGUCACAUUGGUGUCAAGCGCAUGAAGAAGCUCCAUGCCGAUGGACUUUUAGAGUCUCUUGAUUAUGAAUCGUUUGACACGUGCGAACCAUGCCUCUUAGGUAAAAUGACCAAGACUCCGUCCUCUGGAACAAUGGAGCGAGCAACCAACUUGUUGGAAAUCAUACAUACCGAUGUGUGCGGUCCAAUGAGCGUUGAGGCUCGCGGAGGAUAUCGUUAUGUUCUCACUCUCACAGAUGACUUGAGUAGAUAUGGGUAUGUCUACUUAAUGAAACACAAGUCUGAGACCUUUGAAAAGUUCAAGGAAUUUCAGAAUGAGGUGGAGAAUCAACGUGACCAAAAGAUAAAAUUCUUACGAUCAGAUCGUGGAGGAGAAUACUUAAGUCACGAAUUUGGUACACACUUAAAGAAAUGUGGAAUCGUUUCACAGCUCACGCCGCCUGGAACACCUCAGCGAAACGGUGUGUCCGAACAUCGUAAUCGCACUCUAUUGGAUAUGGUGCGGUCUAUGAUGUCUCUUACCGAUUUACCGCUAUCAUUUUGGGGAUACGCUCUAGAGACAGCUACAUUCACUUUAAAUAGGGCACCGUCUAAAUCCAUUGAGACGACACCGUAUGAAUUAUGGUUUGGAAAGAAACCUAAGCUGUCGUUUCUAAAAGUUUGGGGAUGCGAAGCUUAUGUCAAGAAACUUCAACCUGAAAAGCUCAAACCCAAGUCGGAAAAAUGCGUAUUCAUAGGAUACCCUAAGGAAACUAUAGGGUAUACCUUCUACUUAAGAUCCGAAGGCAAGAUCUUUGUUGCCAAGAACGGAUGCUUUCUGGAAAAAGAGUUUCUCUCGAAAGAAGUAAGUGGGAGGAAAGUAGAACUCGAUGAAGUACUACCUCUUGAGCGGGAUAGUGACGCAGCACAGGAAACCGUUCCUGUGAUGCCCACACCAACUGAAGAGGAAAACCAUGAUAAUGAUCAAAGUACUUCGGAUCAAGUUACUGCUGAACUUCGUAGGUCCACAAGGACACGUUCCGCACCAGAGUGGUACGGCAACCCUGUCCUAGAAAUCAUGUUGUUAGACAACAAUGAACCUUCGAACUAUGAAGAAGCAAUGGCGGGCCCGGAUUCCAACAAAUGGCUUGAAGCCAUGAAAUCCGAGAUAGAAUCCAUGUAUGAAAACAAAGUAUGGACUUUGACAGACUUGCCCGAUGAUUGGCGAGCGAUAGAAAACAAAUGGAUCUUUAAGAAGAAGACGGACGCGGAUGGUAAUGUUACCAUCUAUAAAGCUCGACUUGUCGCUAAGGGUUAUCGACAGGUUCAAGGGAUUGACUACGACGAGACAUUCUCUCCCGUAGCGAAGCUAAAGUCCGUCCGAAUCAUGUUAGCAAUUGCCGCAUACUAUGAUUAUGAGAUAUGGCAGAUGGACGUCAAAACAGCAUUCCUUAACGGGCAUCUUAAGGAAGAACUGUAUAUGAUGCAGCCAGAAGGUUUUGUCGAUCCUCGGAACGCUAACAAAGUAUGCAAGCUCCAGCGAUCCAUUUAUGGACUGGUGCAAGCAUCUCGGAGUUGGAACAUUCGCUUUGAUGAGAUGAUCAAAGCGUUUGGGUUUAUGCAGACUUAUGGAGAAGCCUGCGUUUACAAGAAAGUGAGUGGGAGCUCUGUAGCAUUUCUCAUAUUAUAUGUAGAUGACAUACUCCUGAUGGGAAAUAAUAUAGAAUUUCUGGACAACAUUAAGGCCUACUUGAAUAAGUGUUUUUCAAUGAAGGACCUUGGAGAAGCUGCUUAUAUAUUAGGCAUCAAGAUCUAUAGAGAUAGAUCGAGACGCCUCAUAGGUCUUUCACAAAGCACAUACCUUGAUAAGAUUUUGAAGAGAUUCAGAAUGGAUCAGUCCAAGAUGGGGUUCUUGCCUAUGUUACAAGGUAUGAGACUGAGCUCAGCUCAGUCACCGACCACGGCAAAAGAUAAAGAAGAGAUGAGUGUCAUCCCCUAUGCUUCAGCCAUAGGAUCUAUUAUGUAUGCCAUGCUGUGUACCAGACCCGAUGUAAACCUUGCCGUAAGUUUGGUAGCAAGAUACCAAAGUAAUCCCGGCAAGGAACACUGGACAGCGGUCAAGAAUAUCCUGAAGUACCUGAAAAGGACAAAGGACAUGUUUCUCGUUUAUGGAGGAGACGAAGAGCUCGUCGUAAAGGGUUACGUCGACGCUAGCUUCGACUCAGAUCUGGAUGACUCUAAGUCACAAACCGGAUACGUGUAUAUGUUGAAUGGUGGAGCAGUAAGCUGGUGCAGCUGCAAGCAGAGCGUCGUGGUGGGAUCUACGUGUGAAGCGGAGUACAUGGCAGCCUCGGAGGCAGCACAUGAAGCGAUUUGUGUGAAGGAGUUCAUCACCGACCUAGGAGUCAUACCCAAUGCGUCGGGGCCGAUCAAACUCUUCUGUGACAACACUGGAGCUAUUGCCCUCGCAAAGGAGCCCAGGUUUCACAAGAUGACCAGGCACAUCAAGCGUCGUUUCAACUCCAUCCGUGAAAAUGUUCAAGAUGGAGACAUAGAGAUUUGCAAAGUGCACACGGAUCUGAAUGUCGCAGAUCCGCUGACUAAACCUCUCUCGCGUGCAAAACAUGAUCAACACCAGAACUCUAUGGGUGUUCGAUUCAUCACAAUGUAACUAGAUUAGUGACUCUAGUGCAAGUGGGAGACUGUUGGAAAUAUGCCCUAGAGGCAAUAAUAAAAGUAUUAUUAUAUUUCAUUGUUCAUGAUAAUUGUCUUUUAUUCAUGCUAUAACUGUAUUAUCCGGAAAUCGUAAUACACGUGUGAAUACUUAGACCACACAAUGUCCCUGGUAAGCCUCUAGUUGACCAGCUCGUUGUGAUCAACAGAUAGUCAUGGUUUCCUGACUAUGGACAUUGGAUGUCGUUGAUAACGGGAUCACAUCAUUAGGAGAAUGAUGUGAUGGACAAGACCCAAUCCUAAGCAUAGCAUAAAAGAUCGUGUAGUUCGUUUUGCUAGAGCUUUGCAAGUGUCAAGUAUCUCUUCCUUCGACCAUGAGAUAGUGUAACUCCCGGAUACCGUAAGAGUGCCUUGGGUGUACCAAACGUCACAACGUAACUGGGUGACUAUAAAGGUGCAUUACAGGUAUCUCCGAAAGUAGCUGUUGGGUUGACACGGAUCGAGACUGGGAUUUGUCACUCCGUAUGACGGAGAGGUAUCUCUGGGCCCACUCGGUAAUGCAUCAUCAUAUUGAGCUCAAUGUGACCAAGGUGUUGGACACGGGAUCAUGCAUUACGGUACGAGUAAAGUGACUUGCCGGUAACGAGACUGAACAAGGUAUUGGGAUACCGACGAUCGAGUCUCGGGCAAGUAACGUACCGAUUGACAAAGGGAAUUGCAUACAGGGUUUGAUCGAAUCCUCGACAUAGUGGUUCAUCCGAUGACAACAUCGAGGAGCAUGUGGGAGCCAUCAUGGGUAUCCAGAUCCCGCUGAUGGUUAUUGACUGAGAGAGUCUCGGUCAUGUCUGCAUGUCUCCCGAACCCGUAGGGUCUACACACUUAAGGUUCAGUUACGCUAGGGUUAUAGGGAUAUGUAUAUGCAGUAACCCGAAUGUUGUUCGGAGUCCCGGAUGAGAUCCCGGACGUCACGAGGAGUUCCGGAAUGGUCCGGAGGUAAAGAUUUAUAUAUGGGAAGUCAUAUUUCGGGCAUCGGGACAAGUUUCGGGGUUAUCGGUAUUGUACCGGGACCACCGGAAGGGUCCCGGGGGGCCACCGGGUGGGUCCACCUGUCCCGGGGGGCCACAUGGGCUGUGUGGGGGUGCGCCUUGGCCUAAUGGGCCAAGGGCACCAGCCCCACAUAGGCCCAUGCGCCUAGGGUUCAAGGGGGGCAAGAGUCCUAGGAGGGUAAGGCACCUCCUAGGUGCCUUGGGGGGAGGGAAAACCCCCCUUGGCCGCCGCACCCCCUAGGAGAUUUGAUCUCCUAGGGCCGGCCACCCCCCCUUGGCACCCCUAUAUAUAGUGGGGGAGAGGAGGGACUUCAUACCUGAACGCCCUGGCCUUUGGUUGCCUCCUUCUCCCUCCCCAACACCUCCUCCACCUCCAUAGUGCUUAGCGAAGCUCUGCCGGAGUACUGCAGCUCCAUCAACACCACGCCGUCGUGCUGCUGCUGGUGCCAUCUCCCUCAACCUCUCCUCCCUUCCUUGCUGGAUCAAGAAGGAGGAGACGUGGCUGUUCCGUACGUGUGUUGAACGCGGAGGUGCCGUCCGUUCGGCGCUGGUCAUCGGUGAUUUGGAUCACGUCGAGUACGACUACAUCAUCACCGUUCUUUUGAACGCUUCCGCUCGCGAUCUACAAAGGUAUGUAGAUGCAUCUAAUCACUCGUUGCUAGAUGAACUCCUAGAUGAUCUUGGUGAAACGAGUAGGAAAUUUUUUGUUUUCUGCAACGUUCCCCAACAGUGGCAUCAUGAGCUAGGUCUAUGCGUAGUUCUUCUUGCGCGAGUAGAACACAAUUUGUUGUGGGCGUAGAUUUGUCAACUUUCUUGCCAUUACUAGUCCUUUCUUGCUUCAGCGGUAUUGUGGGAUGAAGCGGCCCGGACCAACCUUACACGUACGCUUACGUGAGACCGGUUCCACCGACUAACAUGCACUAGAUGCAUAAGGUGGCUGGCGGGUGUCUGUCUCUCCUACUUUAGUUGGAGCGGAAUCGAUGAACAGGGUCCUUAUGAAGGGUAAAUAGAAGUUGACAAAUCACGUUGUGGCUUUAACGUAGGUAAGAAAACGUUCUUGCUAGAACCCUAAUUCAGCCACGUAAAACUUGCAACAACAAUUAGAGGACGUCUAACUUGUUUUUGCAGCAAGUGGUUUGUGAUAUGAUAUGGCCAAAGUUGUGAUGAAUGAUGAAUGAUCUAUAUGUGAUGUAUGAGAUGUUCAUGCUAUUGUAAUAGGAUUCACGACUUGCAUGUCGAUGAGUAUGACAACCGGCAGGAGCCAUAGGAGUUGUCUUUAUUCUUUUAUAUGACCUGCGUGUCAUCAAGAAACGCCAUGUAAAUUACUUUAAUUUAUUGCUAAACGUGUUAGCCAUAGUAGUAGAAGUAAUAGUUGGCGAGCAACUUCAUGGAGACACGAUGAUGGAGAUCAUGAUGAUGGAGAUCAUGGUGUCAAGCCGGUGACAAGAUGAUCAUGGAGCCCCAAGAUGGAGAUCAAAGGAGCUAUGUGAUAUUGGCCAUAUCAUGUCACGUUUAUUAUUUGAUUGCAUGUGAUGUUUAUCAUGUUUUGCAUCUUGUUUACUUAGAACGACGGUAGUAAAUAAGAUGAUCCCUCACAAUAAAUUCAAGAAGUGUUCCCCCUAACUGUGCACCGUUGCGUUUCGCUGUUUCAAAACACCACGUGAUGAUCGGGUGUUUUAUUCAGACGUUCACAUACAACGGGUGUAAGACAGAUUUACACAUGCAAACACUUAGGUUGACUUGACGAGCCUAGCAUGUACAGACAUGGCCUCGGAACACAGAAGACCGAAAGGUCGAGCAUGAGUCGUAUAGAAGAUACGAUCAACAUGAAGAUGUUCACCGAUGUUGACUAGUCCGUCUCACGUGAUGAUCGGACACGGUCUAGUUUAACUCGGAUCAUGUAAUACUUAGAUGAUAGAGGGAUGUCUAAUCUAAGUGGGAGUUCACUAAUAAUUUGAUUAGUUGAACUUAAUUAUCAUGAACUUAGUCUAAAUAUUUUUACAAUAUGUCUUGUAGAUCAAAUGGCCAACGUAGUCCUCAACUUCAACGCGUUCCUAGAGAAAACUAAGCUGAAAGACGAUGGCAGCAACUAUACGGACUGGGUCCGGAACCUGAGGAUCAUCCUCAUAGCUGCCAAGAAAGAUUAUGUCCUACAAGCACCGCUUGGUGACGCACCCGUUCUCCCUGCAGAACAAGAUGUUAUGAACGCUUGGCAGGCACGUUUCGAUGACUACUCCCUCGUUCAGUGCGGCAUGCUUUACAGCCUAGAGCCGGGGCUCCAAAAGCGUUUUGAGAGACAUGGAGCAUAUGAGAUGUUCGAAGAGCUGAAAAUGGUUUUCCAAGCUCAUGCCCGGGUCGAGAGAUAUGAAGUCUCCGACAAAUUCUUCAGCUGUAAGAUGGAGGAAAACAAUUCUGUCAGUGAGCACAUACUCACUAUGUCUGGGUUGCAUAACCGCUUGACUCAGCUGGGAGUUAAUCUCCCGGAUGAUGCGGUCAUUGACAGAAUCCUCCAGUCGCUUCCACCAAGCUACAAGAGCUUUGUGAUGAACUUCAAUAUGCAGGGGAUGGAAAAGACCAUUCCUGAAGUAUUUGCUAUGCUAAAAUCAGCAGAGGUAGAAGUCAGGAAGGAACAUCAAGUGUUGAUGGUCAAUAAAACCACUAAGUUCAAGAAAGGCAAGGGUAAAAAGAACUUCAAGAAGGACGGCAAGGAGGUUGCCGCGCUCGGCAAGCAAGCUGCCGGGAAGAAGCCAAAGAAUGGACCCAAGCCCGAGACUGAGUGCUUUUAUUGCAAGGGAGCGGUCACUGGAAGCGGAACUGCCCUAAGUACUUAGCGGAUAAGAAGGCCGGCAAAACAAAAGGUAUAUGUGAUAUACAUGUAAUUGAUGUGUACCUUACUAGUGCCCGUAGUGGCUCCUGGGUAUUUGAUACCGGUGCAGUUGCUCACAUUUGUAACUCAAAGCUGUUGGAAAUAUGCCCUAGAGGCAAUAAUAAAAGCAUUAUUAUUAUAUUUCCUUGUUCAUGAUAAUUGUCUUUAUUCAUGCUAUAAUUGUGUUAUCCGGAAAUCGUAAUGCAUGUGUGAAUAACAGACACCAACAUGUCCCUAGUGAGCCUCUAGUUGACUAGCUCGUUGAUCAACAGAUAGUCAUGGUUUCCUGACUAUGGACACUGGAUGUCAUUGAUAACGAGAUCACAUCAUUGGGAGAAUGAUGUGAUGGACGAGACCCAAUCCUAAACAUAGCACAAGAUCGUAUAGUUCGUUUGCUAGAGUUUUGCAAUGUCAAAGUAUCUUUUCCUUAGACCAUGAGAUCGUGUAACUCCCGGAUACCGUAGGAGUGCUUUGGGUAUGCCAAACGUCACAACGUAACUGGGUGACUAUAAAGGUAGACUACGGGUAUCUCUGAAAGUGUCUGUUGGGUGACAUGGAUCAAGACUGGGAUUUGUCACUCCGUAUGAUGGAGAGGUAUCACUGGGCCCACUCGGUAAUGCAUCAUCAUAAUGAGCUCAGAGUGACCAAGUGUCUGGUCACGGGAUCAUGCAUUACGGUACGAGUAAAGUGACUUGCCGGUAACGAGAUUGAACGAGGUAUUGGGAUACCGACGAUCGAAUCUCGGGCAAGUAACAUAUCGAUAGACAAAGGGAAUAGCGUACGGGGUUGAUUGAAUCCUCGACAUCGUGGUUCAUCCGAUGAGAUCAUCGUGGAGCAUGUGGGAGCCAACAUGGGUAUCCAGAUCCCGCUGUUGGUUAUUGACCGGAGAGUCGUCUCGGUCAUGUCUGCUUGUCUCCCGAACCCGUAGGGUCUACACACUUAAGGUUCGGUUACGCUAGGGUUGUAGGGAUAUAUAUAUGCAGUAACCCGAAUGUUGUUCGGAGUCCCGGAUGAGAUCCCGGACGUCACGAGGAGUUCCGGAAUGGUCCGGAGGUAAAGAUUUAUAUAUGGGAAGUCCUGUUUCGGGCAUCGGGACAAGUUUCGGGGUUAUCGGUAUUGUACCGGGACCACCGGAAGGGUCCCGGGGGUCCACCGGGUGGGUCCACCUGUCCCGGGGGGCCACAUGGGCUGUAGGGGGGUGCGCCUUGGCCUAAUGGGCCAAGGGCACCAGCCCCACAUAGGCCCAUGCGCCUACGGUUUAAGGGGGCAAGAGUCCUAGGAGGGUAAGGCACCUCCUAGGUGCCUUGGGGGGAGGAAAACCCCCCUUGGCCGCCGCACCCCCUAGGAGAUUGGAUCUCCUAGGGCCGGCCACCCCCCCUUGGCACCCCUAUAUAUAGUGGGGGAGAGGAGGGACUUCAUACCUGAACGCCCUGGCCUUUGGUUGCCUCCUUCUCCCUCCCCAACACCUCCUCCACCUCCAUAGUGCUUAGCGAAGCUCUGCCGGAGUACUGCAGCUCCAUCAACACCACGCCGUCGUGCUGCUGCUGGUGCCAUCUCCCUCAACCUCUCCUCCCUUCCUUGCUGGAUCAAGAAGGAGGAGACGUGGCUGUUCCGUACGUGUGUUGAACGCGGAGGUGCCGUCCGUUUGGCGCUGGUUUGGUGAUUUGGAUCACGUCGAGUACGACUACAUCAUCACCUUGCAAGCUUCCGCACGCGAUCUACAAGUGGUAUGUAGAUGCAAACUCUCUCCCUAAACUCGUUGCUUAGAUGAACUCAUAGAUGGAUCUUGGUGAAACCGUAGGAAAAUUUUUAAUUUUCUGCAACGUUCCCCAACACUCUUAGCGCUAGAACCACGCCUUCCAACCUCAACACUCCAAGAUGGCGGGUCUCGCUGCCGCUUCACCAGGAUCCAUCCUCGGCGACCCUAACUGGUCCACUGACACGGGGGCUACCGAUCAUAUCACGUCGCAUCUGGACCGUCUCACUGUGAGGGAAAAGUACCCUGGACGGGACCACAUCCACACUGCCGACGGAUCAGGUUUGCACAUAGCUCAUCAUGGUCAUGCCCUUCUUCCUACACCGUCUGUCAAUCUUAAACUUCGCAACCUAUUACAUGUUCCCAAUGCCGACAAGAACCUUCUUUCUGUUAGUUGUCUUGCCGUUGACAAUCAUGCUUAUCUAAAAUAUUAUCCUACUCAUUUUCUUAUGAAGGAUUUGACAACCAAGAAGGUUCUUCUUCACGGCAGAUGUGAAAAUGGGCUCUAUCCCAUUCGGCCUUCACGUUCUCAUGUCUUGUCUUCAGUUAGGCUCUCUGCUGAAGAUUGACAUGCUAGACUCGGCCACCCGUCCACACAAGUUGUUCAGCAUGUUUUGGCGUCCAAUAAAUUAGCAUCAUCGAGUCGGGCUUUGACCCAUGUGUGUAAUGCUUGUCAACAUGGCAAAGCACAUCAGCUACCUUUUCCUAUAUCUUCGAACGUUUCCUCGUUUUUGUUGGAACUUAUUUUCUCAGAUGUGUGGGGAGCUGCCAAAACCUCCUCUGGUGGGUUCCAGCACUAUGUUUCAUUUAUUGAUGAUUAUAGUAAAUUUGUGUGGAUUUAUCUUCUCAAACGAAAAUGUGAUGUGUUUGAUGUCUUUCGUGAUUUUCUUGCCCAUGUUUAACGCCUCCUAUCUCGUAAAAUCCUGUGUGUUUAAUCAGACUGGGUGGGGAAUACGAAAAACUUAGCAACACAUUUUUUUCGGCAACUUGGCAUUGCUCACCACGUCUCUUGUACACACACAUCAACAGAAUGGCUUGGCCGAAAGGAAGCAUCGUCACAUUGUUGACAUGGGUCUCUCCUUAUUAUCGCAUGUGUCUAUGCCCCUCCGUUUUAGGGACGAGGCGUACUUGUCCGCAUGCUACCUUAUCAACCGACUACCUAGCCGCGUCAAUAUGAGUCCCAUGGAAAAACUGUUUUCCACCAAGCCUGACUACGUAUCUCUUCGCAUGUUCUGGAGUGCAUGUUGGCCUAAAUUGCGCUCGUAUAACACUAAGAAACUUGCGUUUAGAUCACAAUAGUGUGUGUUUGUCGGGUACAUCAUUCGUCACAAAGGAUACAAAUGUCUUCACAUACNNNNNNNNNNNNNNNNNNNNNNNNNNNNNNNNNNNNNNNNNNNNNNNNNNNNNNNNNNNNNNNNNNNNNNNNNNNNNNNNNNNNNNNNNNNNNNNNNNNNNNNNNNNNNNNNNNNNNNNNNNNNNNNNNNNNNNNNNNNNNNNNNNNNNNNNNNNNNNNNNNNNNNNNNNNNNNNNNNNNNNNNNNNNNNNNNNNNNNNNNNNNNNNNNNNNNNNNNNNNNNNNNNNNNNNNNNNNNNNNNNNNNNNNNNNNNNNNNNNNNNNNNNNNNNNNNNNNNNNNNNNNNNNNNNNNNNNNNNNNNNNNNNNNNNNNNNNNNNNNNNGAUGUUAUCUUUGAUGAACAUUUUUUUCCUUUUACCAAUGACCAACCCUCUUCAAUACCACCUCACGUUGCUGAACAUGCAAUCCUUUUAUUUCCACAUGACCACAUGAACUAUGGCGCAUCUGUUUCUCGAACUAAUCUGGAUGCAGGUACCGAUUCGGUGCAGAAAAUCCCAUCUCCGGACUCCCAGGCAGAUCAUGUCUCCCAAUCCGCCGCCGCAUCUGCCUAGGAUCACGCGCCGCCUGGAGACAGCGACGUGGAGGCAGCUGACCACGUGACGAUAGGUGACAGCGCGCCAGGUGACUGCGCUGGGCCCGGGUCUCCGCCACCCACCAAUCCCGUGUCCCCUGAGGGCGAGCGGACCGGGGCGUCUCCCGCGUCGGCUCCUGCAUGUGCGCGUCCGACCCACGUUGUGGUGGGGCCCACCCUUGCUCGGGCCGCUGUGUCUCCCGAUUCGCCCCAGGCUGUUGUCCACUUGGCGCCCAUAGAGCGGGCCGUUGCUGCUGGCGGCGCUGGAUCCCAGAUGGAUCGGGCGGCCGCGUCGUCUUCCUCGCCCGACACCGGAUCCAGGGGGAUUCGCCCGCGUGCUUGUCUGCAUGCGUCCCGCCCGUAUCCUCUAUGGCCACCGGAUCUUCUGCUCCGCCUGUGCAUGCAAUGACGACGCGCACACAUGAUCACACUCACAAACCGCUGUAGCACACUGAUGGUACUGUCACGUAUGAUCCGUCCCGUCGUGCAUUCUUGGCCAUGCGGGAACCGUCUGAUCAUCGUGAAGCGGUCUCAUCUCCAGAGUGGCGUCUGGCAAUGCAACUUGAGCUCGAUGCUCUCCGACAGAAUGGUACCUGGACUUUGGUACCUCCUCCUCCUUGUGUCAACGUCAUUGAUUGCAAAUGGGUGUUCAAGAUCAAACUCAAACUAGAUGGAACUGUUGAUCGUUACAAGGCACGUUUGGUCGCAAAGGGGUUCAAAUAACGCUAUAGCUUGGACUAUGACGAUAUGUUCAGUCCGGUCGUUAAACCUGUCACUGUGCGACUGGUUCUCUCUAUUACAGUUUCUCGUGGAUGGUGUUUGCGAGAGUUGGAUGUUCAAAAUGCUUUCCUUCAUGGCAUUCUCCAAGAAGAAGUAUACAUGCGCCAACCUCCUGGUUUUGUGAACCCCUCGGUGCCUCAUCAUUUGUGCAAACUUCGCAAGGCUCUCUAUGGGCUCAAAUAGGCUCCUCGAGCGUGGUAUUCUCGGCUGAGUUCUAGGCUCCAACAACUUGGUUUUAUAGCAUCCAAAGCUGACAGGUCCCUCUUUGUCUACAACCGGAGUGGUGUUACUAUUUUCAUGCUUGUGUAUGUAGACGACAUUAUUGUGGCCAGCUCCUCUCCUGCUGCUACUACCAAGUUACUUGCUGAUCUCCAAGCCUCCUUUGCACUCAAGGAUCUCGGUUGUCUGCAUUAUUUUCUUGGAGUCCAUGUGGAGUCAUCGCCAGGGGGAAUUGUUCUAUCUCAGCAGAAGUAUAUCAGCGAUAUUCUUCAUCGUGCGAACAUGGAGAAUUGCAAAGUCUCUACCACGCUGAUGUCCUCAAGUGAGAAAAUUAGCAAGGAUAGUGGAACACCACUUUCUCAGGAUGAUAGCACCAAGUAUCGCAGCUUGGUUGGAGCUCUCCAGUAUCUAACACUCACGAGGCCAGACAUUUCUUUUGCAGUUAACCGUGUUUGUCAGUUCCUUCAUGCACCUACGACUGCACACUUUUCAGCUGCAAAGAGGAUUUUGAGAUACUUGAAGUAUACUCACAAUAUGGUCUUGUCUAUUUGAAAGUCACCCUCCAUGCUGUUAAGCUGUUUUUCAGAUGUAGACUGGGCUGGAUGUAGUGAUGAUCGCCGAUCCACAGGUGGCUUUGCAGUUUUUCUUGGACCUAACCUAAUCUAGGUCAAGAAUGGAGUCUGAAUAUAAGACACUUGCGAAUGGAACAGCUGAGGUCAUAUAGUCCUGUUUUGUGGUGUGACAAUCUAGGAGCCACUUAUUUAUCUGCGAAUCCGGUAUUCCAUGCCAGAACCAAGCACAUAGAAGUGGACUUCCACUUUGUUCGUGAACGAGUUGCAGCCAAGGCACUUGAUGUUCGAUUCAUAUCUUCCAAGGAGCAAGUUGCAGAUAUAUUCACAAAGCCUCUAGCUGAGGUGCCGUUUGUUUUAAAUAGGCACAAUCUGAAUCUUUGUGUAGGAAGUUCAGAUUGAGGGGGAAUGUUAAACUGUAUAGUUAUCAGAUACGGUUAGUAUCUAGGAUUGUAGUUAUCAUUGUAUAACAACCUGUACUUAUCCUCCUGUAAACCCUAGCGGCAGCCCUAGAGGCGCCCUAUAUAAUGAUCCUGAGACCACCGCAUUAGGUGUGUCGAUCCAAUCUCUUCUCUCAUUGUUUCACAAGGUGUCCGUGGGUUGUAUGAAAUAAAACCAUAAAUUUACACACUAUUGUAUCGAUUGAGAACUCAAGAGCAAAGCCCGUUUCCAACCUCAUCUCCGCAAUACUGUACACUGAUUAUACUAUCGAUUGAGCUUCAAGGUAGUAUGAUAGUAUAAUCAGUGUACAGUAUUGUCCAAGACCGAACCAAACUUGUUCAUAUAGCAGUAAAAAUCUCUUGUGAUCAACAACAAAACUAAUGCUAAUAUUCAGGAUUUCAAACUUGAAGCAUUUGGAGAUCGACCAACAAAAAAAACUGAGCGGCGGUGUCAAAAGUAAUUGUUGACCUUUGUCAAAUUGACUGCAUGCUUUUAAAUCAAGAUCAUGCAACUUUACAAGACUUGCAUCUCAAUAAAACCAUAUCAGCUGCACAUGCAGAUGAGAGAAGUGGGAAAUACUCUAUUCCAUUCAAGGGUUGUAUGUCAAUUAUUAAAACACAAGCACAUUAUAAGUCACAAACCUCCAACGCGCAGAUAAUUUCGGAAAUGCCUAAACCUCAGAUAAUUUGGGAAAGGAGGGUGGCUACAGUCCCCUUGGCUGAUAUACAUAGGUCUAGCUGUAACAUCUUUGGGCAAAGCAUCAUUUACAACUGGUAACCACAGAAUAUGUAUUUAGCGCUAUUACAGAAGAAAAGAAAAGAAAAGGAUUAAAAAGGGAAUGCCGCCUUCAUAGGUCACAAACCUCGGCUUGUCAACAUCUUCUUGUGAAUGUACACAUAUUUGAAAUACUUGAAGCAGCUAGGAUAAUGUUCUUAAAAAUGGGUUGCUUCAGAGAUAAGAAACUAGUAAUGCAGUCAGACCAAAAGGAAAUUCAAGGGCACAAAAUACUUCCAGCAGGCCUUUGCAAAUUGGCAAUUAAUUAAGAAAAGGUGAUGUAUUGACUCAAGAGCCUGGACUCCACACACGACGCAGAAGUUUAAUUCAAGGACGGGGAAGUAAGAAUAAGACCACGUACGUACUAACAAAAGAGGGGAUCAAGGAGGAGCUGUAAAAUCCAAAUGAAAAUAUCAAUACAUAAUGAACAGCACCAUUCCGUUGAAAUACCACAAGUCGCUGCUAGUAAGAUUACAUAUGCCGGCUCUCUUGGACAACAAAACCUAAGUCAGGAUUCGACUACGCACGAUUAAUUUGUUGUGUUUGACGUUCCUCUUCCUCUCUUUUUUUUUUAUGAAGAAUCACAGAGUGUUUUAUUCCAGGAUGAUAGAGUUACAAUCUUCAGCGACUAAUUUGCUAAUGCAUGGGGUGGAUGGCCCAGCCAACCUGCUGUGCUAUCACCGACACUAUGAAAUCAAUCUUCCAAACUGCAGAAUUGUAAAGUACAGCUCAGACCUACAGGGCAGGACCGGCUAGCUAAACGGCCACGCUGGAUGAUAUGUUAUAAGUUCCCCGCGGCCGCGCCAUGAACUCCAAAUCUGGCGAAACCACCUACCGUCGCACAAGGCGCCGUCGGUCGUGGAACACGCGGUCUGCAGGUCACAUCGGUCCAGGCCUUGUUGGGUUCACGCGGUCCAGAUGACAUGCACGCCCGCCAAGCAAUUGAGAAAGAGAGAGCCAUGCACGCACGCGAAGCACGCUGCCCUGUGACAACGAGGAUGAUCAUGCAUGCAUGUCAGAGAGCAGAGAGCAGAGACGUCUGUCACUUGUGUAGAUGGUAGGUUCUGCUGGUUGGCGGUCACGCUAUGCAGACCGCGUGUUCCACGACCGGGCCAAAUUUCGUGUUCGGACCCUUUUUCGAUACAAACUCAAGAUCUGACCCCGGUUCCGAAAAUUUUCGAGAUCUGACCAUUCCGCUACCGUCAUGGGCUCUGACAGUAUGGUUAGACAUGCUACCGCCAGGGUCCAUGGCGGUAGGGUGCGACGGAGGGCGACGGGGGGCAACGGCCGCCGUUUGCUCGAGCUGACGUGGACAAGUAGCCUACCGCCAGGGACCAUGGCGGUAGCAUGUUAGACCUUACCGCCUGACCCCUUGGCGGUAAGGUGUGGCUGGAGUUUUGCCUCCCAAGUUUCUGUAACGAAAUAUCGAGGUGCCCUGGCGGUAGGUACGUUCGUCCUACCGUCAGGGUCCUUGGCGGUAGGGUCCUGUGUUCUAUGGUUUAUAAGUUUAUUUUUUGCUUUUUUUCAAAAACAAUAUAGGCCCUAAAAUAUGAGCUCACAUUUUUUUAGUGAUUGUUUCUUUUGUAAAAUAUGAAUCACAAAGAAAGCCAACAAACGGUUUCACAUAGUUUGUUUUGUUACAAGUUUCACAUCACAAAUAGUAAAAUAUGAGCUCACAUAAUGAUGAUGGUUCCACAUAGCAAUUAUCAAACAGUUUACAGAUAAUAGAUUCAUAAGUAGGGAAUAGCAAAUAGCAAACUUGUCCACAUAGUUUGACAAGCCCUACAAAAGCAGAGAUAUAUAUUCAAUCGACAUGUUUAUGGGGCGGACAAAUCUCCCCUCCCCNNNNNNNNNNNNNNNNNNNNNNNNNNNNNNNNNNNNNNNNNNNNNNNNNNNNNNNNNNNNNNNNNNNNNNNNNNNNNNNNNNNNNNNNNNNNNNNNNNNNNNNNNNNNNNNNNNNNNNNNNNNNNNNNNNNNNNNNNNNNNNNNNNNNNNNNNNNNNNNNNNNNNNNNNNNNNNNNNNNNNNNNNNNNNNNNNNNNNNNNNNNNNNNNNNNNNNNNNNNNNNNNNNNNNNNNNNNNNNNNNNNNNNNNNNNNNNNNNNNNNNNNNNNNNNNNNNNNNNNNNNNNNNNNNNNNNNNNNNNNNNNNNNNNNNNNNNNNNNNNNNNNNNNCAGGCGGAGGCGGAACGCUGGUCGGCAUCCAACCGUUCAAGCAGUCCCACCUUGGCUUGCCCGCUGGAGGUUUCGCCUCAGCCCUUGCCCAGUUGAUGAUAUCGAAGCUGAUGCACUUGGAGGCGGCAUCCUGGCUCUCUCCUCCUCAUUGCUCUCGAAGUAGAUCCUCCGGCCCAAAUUGCGCAGCUCGACACUACUAGGAAAAGGCAUGCUAGUGGCGCACCAGUUUUGCCUACUAAUGGCGCACUACUGGUGCGCCACUAGCAUCACGCCAUUAGAAUUAAAUUCUAAUGACGCACCACUGGUGCGCCAUUAGUAUCUGGUGUUCUAAUGGCGCACCAAGCAGUGCGCCAUUAGUAUAGCCCACAGUGCGCCAUUAGAAUGCCUCCCGGGGGGCCAUAUGUACCCAUGUGCUUUGGCUUACUAAUGGCGCACCAGUGGGUGAUGCGCCAUUAGUGUGAUUAUCACAGUGCGCCAUUAGUGUCUUGUGUGGUGCGCCAUUAGUAUUAAUAUUAGGUUUUUUUGGGGGUUUUUUUUUCUAAUUUUUUCACAGGUUACAAAAUAUAUUAUUUGACAGAAUAUAGAAAGCACCACACAGCAAUAGCAGAUUCAUCGAAUACAAUAGAAGGCAAGUCUCCGAAUACAAUUCAUCAUAUUAGUCUCCGAAUACAAUUCAUCAUAUUAGUCUCCGAAUACAAAAGACCGAACGAAGAUAGAACAUUACAAGUCUCGUAGACCGCGAGUAGCGAGUUUGUCUUCACGUUACAAGUCGAUAUCGAUCAUCUAAACUACCAUCCCAUAGAAGAGAGCUGCGGUCAUCACGAUGAGCAUCAUCGCGAUGAAACUGGUCUUCACCCGGUUCCUCCAACGCUCCCUCCUCUCUCCCGCUAGAUAGCAGGCGUAUCUAGAUUCCGCCUCUACCCUAGUGGUUUACCCUUUGUAACUGUUACCGCUGAAACAGUGAACCUGUCUCCGACACUCCUCCCAGUCGCCGUAGACUCCGGGAACCUUACCCUUGUACACGACAUACGACGGCAUCUCUAUGCACAAGCCAAACAACAGACAAUACAUAAGCAAUAUAUAAGUAUGCAACAAAAGGAUCGAAAGAGAAAAGCAAAACAUUAAUAGCACGAUUCAUGGUCCUACUAAUAAAUAGCAUCAAUUACAUCUAAGUUAAACGACUGUCCAAACCAAAGAGACAUACAAGUUCAUUAAAGUUUAAUUACAACAUGAGCUAAUUGAUGUUUCAGAACUACAAAUAGCAUCACUACUUUCGACUCGACUCAUGGGACCGGAGCGUGGAUGAAGCCGCCGUCUUUCGUGAUGGUCAUGAAGUCGCGGGCGUUGUGAGCCUGCAUUUGAAGUGUUGUGUCUAUCUCACUGUUGGAUGGUUGCUCUUUGAGGUAGAACUGUCCCGAGGUACGAAGGACAUCUUGAUGGAUGAUUUCUGCAAACUCCGACGGGAUGCGAAAGAAUUCUUGUCGGAGGUCUGCGUCCUGGAUUGCCGCCAAGCUUGUGGCCCAAUCUUUGACAUUAUUUGCUAGCAGAAGGUGAUUAUGGUCCCGUACGAUCGCCCUCGUGUGAUGGAGGGCGUAGUAGGCAUCCUUCUGACCGCCAGGCGGCUGCUUGACGCAGGGGAACGUCGUAUUGUGGAUGAACACGUGCCUGACGUACCUACGAACUUUCCUCUUAAAGGUGCCUCCAGAUGUGGCGUAGCCGGGGAGAGCAUCAUCAAGAACUUUCUUGAUAUUUGUGUAGUGUAUUUUGGAGUCACGGUCUGCGUCGAAAUACGUGACCGUGGAAUAUUUCGGGCUUAAGAGGAUGAGUGUGCAAUGUGUGUCACUGCACAGAACACGGAAUGUUAGAAAAAAAAGAGAACGAUCGAAAUCUAAGAAAUCAUAUGUUACGGGGCGGUGAGGGGAUGACUUACUCGGGAAAGUAAGGGACGAGGAAGUUAUCCUUAUCUGGGUUUGCCAGAAUGACGCCUUCGAGGUGUGAACUCACGACUUGCCGGUCCCCAGCGCUGCCCAAGAUCUUGGCACGCAUGUAGAAGGGGUCGACUAUCACGAUGUCCGGUGUCUUGUCUCGAAUGAUCCGCAUCUCCAUAUUCAGCGAAAACAGCCGAACGAAGCUAUAGUGCAGCGGAUGGAGAUUAAACAUAGCAAAGAUGUCAUCAAACCGCAGGAAGAUCGUACCCCCGAUGGCGCCAUCCACAAAGCCCUUGCCCUCUGGCACCUUGGCCAUGAAAACCGGGUAUGCCACAUCAUUCUGGGAGAGACGCAUCUUCUCCAAAGAAAGAACACUGUCAUGCAGACUCCGCAUAGCACCGGGUGCAGCAUUGAGCAUAUUUGUCGGUAGCAUCGCCCUACCCGCCACAUGCACCCUCCUCGAGAUAUCCUGAGGUGAAGGUGGCCCGUCCUGAGCACGGAUCGUACUCGAUGCCGGCUAGCUUGCACCGGCGCCCUUAGCAGUCUUUCGUUUCCGUCCCUUCUUCUUGAUCUGCUGUAAUGGGACCGAUUUCUGCUCACAGGCCGCCUUCUUGAGCGUGUUGGGGCUGAUAAUAUUUCGCACCUCAGCUAUCUGAGGCUCGGUGAAGGCGGGAGCUGGAGGCGUCUCCUGAGAACUGAAAGCCAGAUGACGCCUGUUGCAAUUGGAUUUCUCCAUUGUACCAGCUAGAUCGCGGUCGUAUUGGUUGGGUUCUUGAGAAGGAGGCUCGCCGAACUCGUCACCGUACCCUUGUUCGGCAAAGUACUUAUCAAUGUUGGUAAAUGUACCGUCGUCGUUGUCGUCGUCGUCCGAAUCCUGUGCCAUAUGCAUGUCCGGAUCCUGUGCCAUAGGGAUGUCCAGCAUGUUCGAUAGUGUUGCGGCGUUCUUGCCAUGGCGCGGCGCCGGCAUGACCGGCGGUCUUGUUUGUAGGGUGGUGUCCCCCGCCCCCAAACGAAUCUAGAUCUUCGGCCAAAGCAGGGGCCAACUUAGGCAGGCGCUGAGGGUCAUCAGAUCUUCUUCGUCAGCCCCGGCGGGUUGAAUCGAAGGUAACAACUCGUCGCAGCCUGGCAGCACCCGAACCAGUUGAACCCUAUACACGAUGGGUGGCAUCGGUUUACCAUGGAACACGGGGUUGCCCGGUUGAACGAUUUUGCCCUUGGCGACAUCGACCAACUCGUCGUUCACGAAGUGCAGGAGAGUGCACGAAACAUCGGCGACGCCCUGCGAAAACAUGUAGGGCGUCAGGGAUGCCCAGUCAAAGGCAAAAGGAGAUGAAGUCCUCGACCGAGAGGCUUAAUUAGUUACCGUGAUGAUGGCUUCGAGCUCGGCUAAUGUCGAGGCACUGCCAACGGCGGGCGUGCAACGGACGGAGGGGCCGCUUGCUGGCGAGGUGCCGGCCGGCAUACACCCGGGUGCAUUAAGCUCCAAUGCCCGUGCCGGCACCGGAGACACCAAUACCGCCGCCGCCGAUGACACCAAUGGCGCCGCCGGAGACACCAAUGGCGCCGCUUGCACAUUGUGCGAGUUGCUGGCCGUGAAGCUGGGAAUCAGGGGCGGCCCCUGUUGGCCACCCGCAAUCCACGUCGUCAGCCCAUGAAUCAAGGUAGGCAUAAUGUCGGUGAGCGUCGUUCCCAGUUGUUGUUGCACUUGCUCUUGGAUAAUCUCCGGAAUCCGCGCCACUUGUGCCUUGAGUUCUUCAACCUCGCGCGACUGGCUUUCCGAGCUGGUCUUUUUCUCCUUUCACCCACCAGCGGUAUAGUAUGAGGACCAUUUUGUGGACAAGCCUUUGCCGGCCACACGACCAGCUGACAACGGCUUACUGAGCUUAUCCUUGUUUUUCAUUACAUUCAACGCCCUAUUUAGAGUGUUGUCCCAAGCAGGGGUGCUCUGAGACGACCCCGCGCUACUGCUUUCAGUCUCCUUCGCCAGAACAAGCUCAAGCGCCCUGGUCUUCGGAUCCGUGGUAAGCUCCUUUGUUAUCAGGUCCUCCUUGUACCGGGCCCUGACAAAGUUCCUGGCCUGCUUGUCACUGCUGUAUUUCUCGAAGCGGGGCGGUAGGCCUUGCUCGGCAUGCUCCGCGUCCUCCUUGUCCCAUAUAGGCUCCGCCACUCUGUAACCGCCGGGACCAAGUUUGUGUUCCCCUAAGUUCAACUCCUGCAUUUCUUUCCCCCACUGACUUGAUUCGGAGGUUGCACUGCUCUCACACUUGAUCUUGAACUCCUUAUAGUCAUCUUCACUGAUCGAAGAAUUUUUCGCCUUGAUCUUCUCAUAACUAUCACCUUUCUCAAUCAUUCUCUUCACCUCGCUUCUCCAAGUAGACAGGGUCGUGCUCAUCCUCGUGAGGGCGGCACUGUUCACUUUAUUCCCUGAGAGGCGUGUGUUUUCAAAUUCAGCGGGGAACUUGUAUCAUUUGUGCAGCUUCGUGAAGAGGAGGUUGCGCAAAUUCCCUCGGUACUUAUGCCUAAGGUUCUCGGUGUUGAUCGAGAUAGUGCUCCGGAGAAUGCACCCGAGCUGAACCGAGUACCCCUUGACUAUAUGUUUGGGCUCCGUUGGAUGCCCGUCGGAGUCCACUUGAGUAAAUUCCUCCUUGACGGUGUGGAGCGUAUUCGGGCGCCGGUCCUUCCGUUGCUCUUUAGUUGGCUGCCAUCUGUGCGUGCGCUGCCAUCAUCAGUGGUGGCAUCCUCGGCGGCACCAUCAGUGGUGUCAUCCCCGACGCCACUAGGGGUUGUGUAGUCAGGAUCGGUGUCUUCCAUGGCGUCCUCAUAGCGGUGAGGUUGUUCCUCCAUCUCCUAGGACAGCUCCCAGAAUUGCUUGCCGCCCGAACCGCCGGCCUCAUCAUUGUUGGCCAUGUUUCGCUAAAUAGGAAAAAAGUUUGGUCAAAAAGUUGGUUAUUGUCAAGGAACAAGAUCAUGGUCUCAUCAUUUAGGGUUUGUCGACACUGAGGCAUCCGAAAAGCUAAGUUUUAUCAUUUAGGUUUUGUCAACGCCGAGGCACCCUAAAAGCCUAAGCGUACAUCAUUUAGGUUCUCAUCGACACCGGGGCACCCUAUAGAAGCCAAGGUUUCAUCAUUUAGGGUUUGUCGACGCCGAGGCACCCUAAAUGCUAAGUUAAGUUUUCAUCAUUUAGGGUUUAUCGAUGCCGAGGCACCCUAGGUUGGGCCUAAUCACUUGGCACUAAUCACUUGGCUCUAUUGCCACCUAUGUUGGGUUUAUCAUCUAGGGUUUAUCGAUGCUAAGGAGAAUUCUAAGUUGGGCCUAAUCACAUGGCUCUGUUGCCACCUAUGAUUUAAUGCAGCAAGAAUGGCGGGGCAGUUGAUCCUACUUAACUAAGUACUAAGAUACCACGGCCCAUGCAUUAGUCGCAAGUACCCCAUAUGUCCUAUUUUUAGCAAAGUCAUGCUAAACUUCACGGAAAAUUUCAGCAUGACCUUUGCUGAAAGUAGGACAUAUGGAGUACCCGAAUUUGCCGGAACGGAAGUUAAUCGACAUUCCGGAAAACUCAAGGGCCUCUCGGGGUACCUGCAAAUUCAUCACAACACAAUGGUCGGAGAUAAAACCCAGCAACUUUACAAGUCUUUCACAGAUUUGUUUGCAAGUUCUGAUAUGUAAUAAAGAUGAGUCUCAAAGAUGAGCCUCCAAUGCUGAUUUGUUUGCUUCAAGACAAGAUGAACCUCCAAUGCAACAAGUAAUAAAAUGUUCAACAAUGUAUCAGAUUCGGCAACAGUUUAACAUCUACUCUAGUAAUUAUACAACACCAUGACCAACAUUUCUCCUCUCCAGAAAUUAGAAACAAAAUAAAGGAACAUUACACAGUAGCCAUCAAAUUAAAAUAACACAUACAGUACAUACAGGUAGGUAAUACUAAAGCAUGUUCAUAUUAGCUAGUGACCAUUAUAUUGCUUUAGGUUAGGGCCCUUACAUUAUUUUCUCUCUAUCCCUUUCUUUAGCUGCACUGCAUCACAAGGCAAAUAUGGUUCAAAAUAAAAUACUGCUGAAUAAGCACCUAGCAGAAUAGUAAAAUAAGCUUAAAAAAUGCAUACAGCUUGACAUACAAACACAGACAGUUAUGCAAGUGCUAGAGGUAUGCAUAUAUAUAUGUGAACUUGAUCCUGAACUAGAGGUACACAUGUUUGCAUACUCAUCUCUGCAAUUAGUCGUGCUUAUUUGCAUUGUGCUAUAUAUGAAUCCACACUGACUCGAGCCUGAAUCAAUCAGUCAAUGUUGCUCACAUAUACUCCCACACUCCCAUAAUAGUACUAAUAUAAGAGCAUUUAUAUUAUUGGAAUGAAGGGAUAAUUUUUUUUCUUUCAAGAAACACAAACCCUAACAACACAUUACGAGCACCUUCAAGAGAUUGAACCAACCCGACAUCCACAAACACCUCCUACUCAACACACAGACACAGACCAAGGAAGAAACAUAACCAUUCUUCUUUUUUCUUUCUUUGUUGUUAAUAAUAAAAGAAACUACAAGAGCAAGGAAGGAACAAGUCUUCUUUUGUACUGCAACACAAGAAACCCUCUUUCUUUCUUUCUUCCCUUCGUGUUAAUUUAAUUUUACUGCACCAUCUACUAACCUCCUCCAACUUUACUACCACUACAUCCCUCUCAAGGACAUCUAUGUACUGCUUAUAAAGCAUAACAUGCUGAUGCUAUGUUUCAUUUGCCCCAUCUCCCAUCUCUACUCUUAUUUUAAGUAAAUGCCCAGAUGCCUUACAUUUAUCUCUGCGGGACUUUUUUCUUUUCUAAUGAUAUCAUCUAUACAUGUUACUUAGUUACUAAACCUAUGUAACUUAGGAUCAAAUUGAUAAAUUGCUAGAAGUAUCCGCAUAUUUUCGUGGAGAUCAUAUGGGGGAGGAUCGGACAAUGUGGCAACAAACAGCAAGGUGUGUUCUUUCAAAGAAUCUUUGCAUCAAGUCAAUGAACAUCAUAUUUGAAGUGCAGUUUAACUUAGUCACUUAAAACUAUCUGAUCCACAACUAACAACCAAAGUCAUGUUCAGUUAUAGUGCUUAAAUAUGAUUUUGGUGUGUGUGAAAACAAUACAGUAUUAUAUUUCUACUGAAUGCAUGAGUAUGAUGUAUCACACAUCUACAUGUCUAGGCUUUUUCAGUUUUUUUCCGGAUGGAAACCAGAAGCAUCACUGUCCUUGACUAGAAUCACCAUGGCCAGAUUAAAGACUGCAAGCUGGCAAGUUCUUCCUUUCAAUUUCUCAAUCUUAGCUAGCGGAGGAUGAAUUGAGGAGAAGAGAGGCAGAGGGAGGAGGGUUACCUGGCGGCGGUGGGGCGUUGAAGACCUGGCGGCGAGGUUCCUCCUCUCGGUGGCGGCGGGGCUCCUCCCCUCAGUGGGGGCGGUGGCCUCUUCCCCUCGGUAGCAGUGGCGGGGCUCCUCCUCUCCUUGUGGAGGCGGGGCGUUGAUCCGGCGACGGCCCUGGAACCCUAGCGCUGGCCCUGCUCGCCCGAGCGGGAGCGGCGGUCAUCGGAGCGGGGGAGGCGGCGGGGGUGCGGGGGCGCGGGGGCGGCGGUGGCGGGGGUGGAGUACCGCGGGGGUCGGGGCAGCGGCGUCGGGGCGGGGCAAGACCACAGCAGCGGACGAAGGGGGCGGAGCAAGGGGGUGGCGGCGUACGGUUGUUGAGUGGGGGAUCUGGCGAGGGAGGGAGGGAGGCCAUAGUGCGAGGAGAAUAGGUGGAGUGGGGGGAGGAUUCUAAUGGCGCACCUCCCCCUAGUGUGCCAUAAGUACGACGAUUCUAAUGGCGCACAUCCCCCUGGUGCGCCAUUAGAAUUUUGUUUUAAUUAGCCUGACUGGUCAGGUUAUAUUCCACCUAACACUAUCUCCGUCAGAACACGCCCACUAGCCCGACUGGUUAGCACGCAGCACACACACUAGGAGGUCCUGGGUUCGAUUCCCACGCUCCCCAAUUUUUGCUUUUAUGCAUUUAAAAUGAUGUUUGAUAUUUAUUUGUGCUUAAAUAUGUUCAAACUUGUUCAAAUCAUAACAGUAAUAUUUUUUAAUAAAAACAGUAAUAUAUUUUUUAAAAAUAUCAUCAAAUUUGUUAUUUGAAAAUAUUUAUGAAUAUGAAAAAAUAUCAUAAAAANNNNNNNNNNNNNNNNNNNNNNNNNNNNNNNNNNNNNNNNNNNNNNNNNNNNNNNNNNNNNNNNNNNNNNNNNNNNNNNNNNNNNNNNNNNNNNNNNNNNNNNNNNNNNNNNNNNNNNNNNNNNNNNNNNNNNNNNNNNNNNNNNNNNNNNNNNNNNNNNNNNNNNNNNNNNNNNNNNNNNNNNNNNNNNNNNNNNNNNNNNNNNNNNNNNNNNNNNNNNNNNNNNNNNNNNNNNNNNNNNNNNNNNNNNNNNNNNNNNNNNNNNNNNNNNNNNNNNNNNNNNNNNNNNNNNNNNNNNNNNNNNNNNNNNNNNNNNNNNNNNNNNNNNNNNNNNNNNNNNNNNNNNNNNNNNNNNNNNNNNNNNNNNNNNNNNNNNNNNNNNNNNNNNNNNNNNNNNNNNNNNNNNNNNNNNNNNNNNNNNNNNNNNNNNNNNNNNNNNNNNNNNNNNNNNNNNNNNNNNNNNNNNNNNNNNNNNNNNNNNNNNNNNNNNNNNNNNNNNNNNNNNNNNNNNNNNNNNNNNNNNNNNNNNNNNNNNNNNNNNNNNNNNNNNNNNNNNNNNNNNNNNNNNNNNNNNNNNNNNNNNNNNNNNNNNNNNNNNNNNNNNNGGCCGGUGGAGCGGGGGAGAUGGUGCGGGGGGUGCUCGGCGGUGAAGGGGGCCGGAUCUGGCGAGGUGGGAUAGCGAUCGAGAUGGAGGGGGAUCGAGAUCGAGUGUCCAUGAAAUUUAAAAACAUUCAUGAGUUCAAAAAGUGCCCAUGAAAUACAAUCGAGAAAUGAAGGCUACAAUUUAAAUACAAUCGAUCUUAGCUAGCUAUCUAUUCACAAUCUUCUUGCCCUUAUUUUUCGUAAAUGGAGUUCUUCUCUUGAACGGACGUCCUUUAGGUAGGGUGGUCCUGCUUCUUCUUGUGGUGUAUGCUGAUACUUCAUCGUCGUCCUCAUGUUCCAUCUUCAGGUCGCCGUACUUGUCGAAGUCUUGCUCAUUGGCGACUCCAUCCAUUCCGACGAUCUUCCUUUUGCCUCUUCCCACGACAACACGAGUGGGCUUUGGCGGGUCGGUAAUGAAGAAGCAUUGGUCCACUUGGGAAGCCAGUACCCAUGGCUCAUUUUUUGCGGUGAUGUUUGUGCCUGCGGUCUUGGAUUUGGCUUCGGGUAUAACCAUGGUGGUGAAAUACCGGUUUUAUUUUAUGAUGCUCUUGGCCCAUAUGACAUGGAACAUCGGGACCUUCUCUCCAGAGUAGCUCAGCUCCCACAUCUCCUAGAUCCUUCCGUAGUAUCUGUCCUUGUCAUUACUGGUGUAGUAUUCCAUCGUUACCCCGGAGUUCUAAUAACCAUCGCUCUUCAUGUCCUUGUCCUUGGUGUAGAAUGUGUAGCCGUUGAUAUCGUACGCCUCAUAGGUCAUCAGGUUGUGCUCGGCGCCCUGUGACAAGGCGAACAUGAGUUGUUCUUCCGCGGAAGAAUCCUCAUGUAAAGGGUACAACAGAAGCUUCUGCUUUGAUUAUAUCUCCGUCUGUCCUCUGUUGGCCUCGGUCAUUGUACGUCUUCUCAAUAAAGGUUUUGUGCUCUACCACCCAAGGAUCGACCACGUCUAUGUGUUGUAGCGCGACUAGGUUUGCUCUUUCAAAGUCGGCGAGUCGACCCUCAAAGUCGACAUGCAUUUCGCGGCGACCCUCACGGUGACCCCAUCCAGCGAGCCUGCCGAGGUGCCUGUUGACGGGCAGACCAACGGGGUCCUCGAUGCCUAGAUAAUUCGUGCAGUAGGAGAUGCACUCUUCGAUCAGAAAGCCCCUGGCUAUGCUUCCCUCUGGACGUGACAUGUUGCGAACGUAUCCUUUGAUGACACAUUCAUCCUUUCGAACGGCAUCAUGCUGUGCAGGAAUGUUGGCCCGAGUUGGAUGAUAUCCUCCAUGAUAUGGACCAGCAGAUGCACCAUAACGUCGAACAAUUCGGGCGGGAAGUACAUCUCAAGCUCGCAUAGUAUCACCACGAUCUCUUCCUGUAGCCUUCUGAGUUGCCUCACGCCAACCGACUUCCGGGAGAUGACGUCAAAAAAGUUGCAUAGGCCAAAUAGCAUUUCACGGACGUGCGCGUCCAUGAUCCCACGGAUUGCAACUGGAAGUAUCUGCGUCAUCAGCACGUGACAGUCGUGAGACUUCAUCUCGCUGAACUUCUCCUUCGCUGGGUCUAGGCAUCUGCUUAUCUUCCCCGCGUAAUCAUAAGGAAGUUUUACUCCUAUGAGGCAGGUGAAAAACUGAUCGAUCUCCUCUUGACUGAGAGUGAAGCACGCGGGAGGGUAGUCAUUUCCGCUCUUCUUGGCCUUUUUGCCUUUGCGACGACUUUCCGUGUCCUGCUUCGCCUCAUCAUCAUCAUCAUUAGCGUGAAGCUCCUCCCUGAUGCCCAUUGAUUUCAAGUCUACCCUUGCUUUUGGCCCAUCUUUGGUCCUCUCUGGCAUGUUGAGUAGGGUACCAAGCAGACUCUCGCACACAUUCUUUGUGAUAUGCGUGACAUCAAGGCUGUGAGGCACACAGUGGAUCUUCCAGUACGGCAAGUCCCAGAAAACAGACCUCGUUUUUCAUACCUUCAGCAGCGGCUCUGGUGCCUUUCGCUUCUUUACCGGCUCUGGCGCCUUUUGCUUCUCUCCCAGCAGUGGGCAAUCUUUCCAAUUUUUCAACAACUCGUCUAUUUCCUCGCCGCGCCUCGUACGCGGGCGUCUUCGGGGUUCGGUUUCACCAUCAAACAAAUCCUUGUGUUUCCUCCACGGGUCAUCGUCACGAAGCCACCUUCGAUGUCCCAUGAACACGGUUUUCGAAGACUCGGGAUCUCUAUCUAGUUGGCGAUACGUUGUGUCCCAAGCACCUAACGCAUCCAGAAAAUCCGUGGACCACCUGCCCCGCGACAUAUCCGUAACCAAGAUAGUCGUGCACCGUCGUGAGCGGUGCGGCUCUCAUAGGGAAAUAUUCUUUCUCUGCGGCGUCCCACAUAUUGGCUGGCGUUUUCCACAGCGUGUCUAGCUCCUCUUUCAGCAGCCCUAGAUACAGAUUGAUGUCGUUCCCUGGUUGUUGCGGCCCUUCAAUUAGCAUACUCAUGUGAAUGUACUUCCUCUUCAUGCACAACCAUGGGGAAGGUUGUACAUCCACACAAACACAUGCCAGGUGCUAUGUGUGCUUCUCUGGCUGCCAAACGGAUUGACUCCAUCGAUGCUCGCGCCCAGCAUGAUGUUCCUUGGAUCCGUCCCAAAUUCUGGGUGUUCGAAGUUCAACGCUUGCCACUAGCUCCCGUCCCUAGGGUGACUCAGCAUCUUGUCUUUUUUAUUUAUCUCCAGAUCAUUUGCGUCAUCUUCUCGCUUCUUCUCCUCCCUAUCCGCGUGCCAACGCAGGAGCUUUGCUACCUUAGGGUCCGCAAAAUACCGCUGCAGACGAGGAGUGAUCGGAAAGUAGCACACCACUUUUCGAGGAGCUUUCUUCCUCUUCUUGUAUCGAGUGACGCCGCACACCGGACAUAUGGUAGACUCCGCGUGCUCGUCCCGAUAAAUGAUGCAAUUGUUCAUGCACACAUGGUAUUUCACGUGCGGUAAAUUCAGAGGACACACGAUUUUCUUCGCCUCCUCAAAACUGGUCGGGCACUUGUUCCCCUUGGGAAGACGUUCACGCCAAAAAUGACAUGUUCUCGUCGAAGCAUGCGUCAGUCAUUUUAUGUUUUACCUUCAUCUCUAGAGCCAUGAGCGUUACUUUCAGGCGGGUAUCCUCGGGCGUGCAUCCUUCAUACAAUGGAGUAACCGCGUCUAUCUCUAGUUGACCCAGCUUGGCUUUCUCUCGGGUGGCAGCUCUUGCGUUAUCCGUCUGCUUCAGAAGCAGCUCUUGAACAUGAGGGUCCUGCACCCAGCCCAUCGAUGGUCCAUCGUCACCUGCUCUGCCGACAUUUUCAUCUUCGUGAUCAUGCCCUUCGUCUGCUCCGGCAUCUUCCUCAUCAUCAUGUCCUGCAUCUUCUACAUGAUGACUAUGUACAGCAUCACCGUCGUGAUCAUGUCCUGGAGAUUCUUCGUCUUCUCGCCCGCCCGAGCCGUGGUGGUUGUCUUGUUGCCCUUCCUCACUUCUUGCCCGGCCCCCAUGGACGACUUCAUAGACAUCUUCAUACCUUGCCACUGAUAGCCAUCCAUGAAACCAUGCAAGAGCAGUUGGUCCCGCACCUGCCCGGAAUCCGGGUCCGCAAUAAGGCUCUUCAGCUUGCAUCUUCGACACGGACAUCUUAUCUCCGUCUCGUUCUUUUCAAGCAUCUCGGCCUUCGCGGAGCUCAAAAACCUAUUCACGAGGCCUUUGGUCAUCGUGCGGACCAUGGUCCCCUGCGGGGUAGAGCAAAACGAUAUUUUAGAACCAAGAAAAAAUUUGGCAUGACUUUCCCUAAAAAUAGGACCAAAAAGAAUGCAUAGUGCCAAAAUUCUCACCGAAACGGAAAUGAAUCAACAUUCCGGCAAAAUAUUGGCAACUAUCGCAUUUCAAAUACCGGUACCUGCAAACACAAACAAAUAUGCAACACCACAAACAUAUGCAACACCACGAACCUACAUAGAUCUAGCUAGGCCACAAAAAGUGCAUGUGCAUGUUGUUGGAGAGGGAGAACAACAUAAAGAUAUCUUCCCCCCUACUUACCUAUCAAAAAAAAGUAAUUUAACCACUUAAUUUGGAUGAAUCUAUGGUGCAAAUGAGGUCAGGAGGAGGAGGCAGCCGAAACAAGCUUGGAGGAGGAGGUGGAGAGAAUGAAGUAGGGAAAGUGAGUGGGUAGGUGGGCUGUCCAAAAUAUCUUGUUGGUCCCAGGUUACUAAUGGCGCCCCACCUGCAAAUGCACCAUUAGUAACCCUGGUUACUAAUGACGCACCUGCUGCUGGUGCACCAUUAGAAGUUUUGCAAAAAAAUAAGAAAUAAAGUAUAUAUUCUAAUGGCGCAUCAUGGCACAGUGCGCCAUUACUAGUUCAAACUAGUAAUGUCGCACUAGGCUAGGGUGCGUCAUUAGUAGUUUUGCAAAAAAAAAGAAUAAAAAAACAACAGUAGUGGCGCACUAUGUGGCCGGUGCGCCAUUACUAGUUAGCACUAGUAAUGGUGCACCUUGCCAUGAUGCGCCAUUAGUAUGUUUGGAAAAAUAAGAAAAAAAUUACUAGUGGCGCACCUUUAGUGUCUUCCACACUAAUGGCGCACCUGCACAUGAUGCGCCACUGCUAUAUAGUAGUGGCGCACCACAUGACAGGUGCGCCAUUAGUGGCCAUUUCAUCUAUAACCCUUUUCCUAGUAGUAUCCCGGUUGGAGCGCUGCUUGGUAGCUUCAAUGUCCCAUUCCCGGCGUUCUCAGGAGAUAGUUGGAUCUCCCUCCAUCUCUGCAAUCACUCUCUUCCACUCCUUCGCACGUUCUGCCCAACACUUUUGAUCAUCGUAGAUCCGUUCCGCCCUCUCGUGCCACCGCACUGCCCUCGUCUCCUGUAGGAACUCGUCUGAAAAAGCGGUCACCGGCAGCAAAAGCUUGGGGCAGGCCUCGUACACGUACGGAAGUGGCAAGCCGGACAGGUCGUGUUGGAGAUGAAGGGGCGAUGGUUGCGCAACUGUUGCAGACCUAAACAUAUGGAUGAAAUAAAUAAAAUAUAUAUAUCAAGAUGUGUCAAAUGCAAAAUCGUAUCAUAUCAUAUUUACUCCAACCAAAUCCAGUACUUGCAUCAUAUUCACAUGCUUACUAAAAAACUAAGAACUAAGAACUAAGAACUACAACUACAAUCACACAUCCUAAAUACAAUACAAUACAUAUCAAAGAAUUGCAUAAGCAUAUCAAAAGAAUUGCAUAAGCAUAUCAAAAGAUAUCGAUGCAUAACAAAGGUUCAUCACAUCCAAAAAAACCUAUGAGUUCAAUCUUUGAAUAAUCAUAUAUCUAGAUUAUUAUGAACAUGAACUAAAUAAAAUACAUAUAUCAAAAACAAAAACCAUGAACUAGGGUUCAUCUUGAGGGAUUAACCAUGUUUACUUCAACAAAAUCCACUACUUGCAUCAUAUAAGAUCCACAUGCAUCCUAUAUCAAAACAAAUAUUUCCAAUAUUCAUCAUAUAUAAAAAAAUUAACACAAAAAAUUAUGAACUAGGUUCAUCUUGAGGGUUCAACAUUUGUUCUCCAACUAUAUCCACUACUUGCAUCAUAGCAUAUCAACAUGCAUCAUCAUAUCACAAUAUAUUCCUCCAACAUGCAUCAUAUAAAAAAAUUCCUCCAAAAAUAAUAUGAACUAGGGUUCAUCUUCACAUAAUCAUACCAACUAGUGACUAGAGUUCGUAUCUAACACAUUAUAACAUCGAUAAUCAACCUAAAUCAAUCCUAGGGUUCAAAAUAUUUAAAUCUAGUUCAAGAAGGGGGGUGAUUUGAAUCAAAUAAUGCAACGAAUCGGAAGCUAUUUGACUAAAACUAAUUGGAGGGAUUGAAGGAGCUUACUUUUGUUUCUUCGGGGCCAUCUCGAUCCGCAAAAAUGAUGAAGAAACGAUGAAGAUCUGAGGGGGGGAGUGGAGGAGAAGAGAGAGGGGCGAGAGGAGGAAGAACUCCUCUGUUCUUGGGCGGGUGGUUGGGGGAGAAGGGGAGGGGUGGGGCGGCCGACGGCUUAUAACUGCCCGCACACUACCGCCAGGUAUCCCGGCGGUAGGAUCAGACAGGCUACCGCCAUGACCGGCGGCGGUAGGGUGGGACGGAGGCCGUUAACGUUGCUGACGUGGAUAAGUUCCCUACCGCCGCAGUGUCUGGCGGUAGCCUAGGUAAUCCUACCGUCGGGCGUCCUGGCGGUAGCAAAAAGGGUCAAAUGUCGAUUUUUUUUCAAAGUGGGGUCAAAUCCCGAUUUUGUUUGACAAAAGGGUCAAAACACGAAAAUCGGCCCCACGACCGGGGUAGCUCAUAUCAUUGGCGUGAGCUCAUAUCAUUGGCGUGUCAGUAUGAUCCUCUUGUCGGAUACUACGGCUUUACCGCGUACGUACUCCUACCGUUGAGAGCUGGCUGGUUGCGGACCCUCUGGAACGAACAGGUCGACAGGUCCCUCUCCCUUGGUAGUAGGCCCGAAUUAUAGGCACGUGCCGUUGUUGGUCUAGUCCCGGCCACACCGUCAAUGUAUCAGUUAGCGUGAUCGCGUCGCGUCGGAAUAAGUUUUUCCAGGCUCCGUUCGCGGCUAGAUGAGGCUUUUGCCUUCGUCUAGGAGCCAGCAGGGUGGGGAUCCCCGGAUCUCGUUGAGGUCGCGGGCUAUAGUGACUGGAGGUUCAUCAGCACUGGCCGUUUGGGUCCUCAGAUGGGCGUUGGAUGCAGGGAGACUGUUGAGUAACGUGAUUGUAUUUGGAAACAUAGGUUAGACUAGGAAAUAUUCUUGCUUUCCUUGUACUCCAAGUAGAUCAUGUACUCCUAUAUAUGUGCCCACGAGGCUCAAGCAAUACAUUGAACUAUUCCACCAACCCUCUCUCUCCCUUCAACAUGGUAUCUAUUGCAAGUCGAUCCUAAACCCUAGCCACCGCUGCUUCCGCACCUGCGCGCCGCCCCCGGGGCUGUCAGCCUCCAUGACCGCCGCUGGGGGCUGCGCCGCCCGUACCUAGGGUUCGUCCACCGGUCGUGUUGACCGGCUGCCCUAGAGAGUGUUUUCCCUGAGCCCUUGCUCCAGAUUUUUUCGCUCUCUCGCCGGUCGUUUUGAUCGGCGUUUUUCUUUUUGGUUUUCUGAUCUAUGCUUGAUCGGUUUGCGUCGCUCGCCGCCGCCGUCGACACCGAGCGCCUCUACUUUGACCCCGACGCUACCAGCCGGCCUCUCCUCCGACCCGGCAGCCACGCGUGUCGAGGCGGCCCGUCAGGGCCAGCCGUCGUCCGCGCGUCGGUCCGCCCGUCACCGCCCUGCUCCGACCGGGACACCUGCAUCGCCCCGACCCAGCGGCCACGCGCCAUGUGAUGGCCAAUCAUAAUCGUCGCUCGCGUGCCGGCCCCCCAUCGAUCUAGAUCACCCGCCUCCGCCGCGUCUUCACGGCGGCCCGAUGGUCUACCUCGCCGGCCUCGUCCUCGGUUACGUCGGGACGGCUGCGUCAGGCUUGUCGGCUGCCUCAACUCGGGCGCCGCUGCUCCGUUGGUCGCUCGGGCCUCACUGCCCGGGCGCCCAUGUUGCUUUGGCAGCCCGGGUGCCGUUGCUGACAAGUUCGUCCGCACGACGUCUCACGCCGGCUGUCGUCGCCGACUUCAUCUCGGACUCCGCCGCCACCACACCUCCACCGAGCGGCGUCCCGACCUCGCGUGCGAUCGGCUUGAUCACCCGCUCGCCGCGGCGAUCCGCCUCAUCUACGCCGCGCAACCGACCUGGCCCGUCGGUUACGCGCGCCUCCGCAGGUCCCGUGAAGAUCGUCCCCGAGUUCAGCGCGCCUCUCUACCGAUCGAGCAUUGGGCUGCCACCGUGUCGCCCUGUCAGGCCGCAACGCCGCCGCCCCGUGGUUCUCCUCGCGGCUGCAUCGACCCAUGCAUCACCGCUGCGUCGCCUCUUCGGGCUGUAGUGUCGCGAUACGCGGUCCCCACCACCGCCCCGAGGCCAUCCCCGCGGCUGCACCGACUCGCGAACCGCCAUUGCGUCGCCCCUUCGGGCCGCAACAUUGCGGACCGCGGUCCCCGCUGCCGCCCCGAGGUCUUCCCACUGUCGCCCCGACCCUCCUGCCGCCGCUACGUCACCCCUUCGGGUUGUAGCGCCGCGGCCCGCGAUCCACUCUGUCGUCACCGCGCGUCGACCUCCUAUGGUAUGCGCCACGCCGUCUCCCUUGGCGCGGAAACGCCACCGUCCGCGCCGGUCUUCGUCACGCUGUCAGGGUUCUUCGCCUACUUCGAGCACCGCCGCCGCACUCCUAACCUAGCUGUCGCCGCUGCCGUUAGGCCGCCGCCGCCGUCAGGCCUCCGCCGCCGCUACCUUCGUAGCCGCCGCGCCGCCCGUCCACCCCCUUCGGUCUUCGUCCAAGCACCAGCCCGUCGCCAGCGUCACCGUCAUCUAACCCGAGCACUUUGUCUACUUCGACCACCGUUGGUGACAUCGGCCCCGCGCCGAUGGGCACCGCAAUCAUCGUCGAGUUUUUCUCUGCUGGCCCUCCGACUUCUCCGACAUGGCAUACAGCUCGUGCAGGUCCCUCGUCUACGCAUGCCCGGUGCUGGCAACACCGAUGCGUGCCUUCAUCCACGACGUGUCCCCGGGCCUGGCAAGCCUGGUCGGCGCUUCGUCAACUUCGUCUUCGUCCGUCUACGCAUGCCCGGUGCUGGCAACACCGGUGCUGGCAACACCGGUGCGUGCCUUCAUCCAUGAUGUGUCCCCGGGCUUGGCAAACCCGCCGCGACGCAUCGUCAACACCAUCAUCCUUCCGGCGCACCACUACCUCGUCACCACUGCGCCCAUGACUAACUCGGCGCCCUCUUGCGCCCGCGGCUCCACGGCGACUUCCUCGACACCGGGCCUGGCAAGCCUGGUCGAUGCACGCCGACUCGACAUCGACCACGGCAUUCUCCGAACAGCUACCUCGACCAUGGCUCCACCACCCACGCUCUUGGCUACAUCGACAAACGGCACAAAGGGCUACCGCCUGCUUGAGCAACCUCGUUGGUUUCCACUCCAGCCAAGACUCCGUGAUGCGUCGACCGUUACGACUGUGGGGGAGGGGGUGUCCGUCGGCUUGGCUUUGGAUUCUUCUCCAGUCUCACCGUCUGCGUCGCUACCGUUGUGACUGCAGGGGGAUGUUGAGUAACCUGAUUGUAUUAGGAAACAUAGGUUAGACUAGGAAAUAUUCUGGAUUGCCUUGUACUCCAAGUAGAUCAUCUACUCCUAUAUAUAUGCCCACGAGGCUCAAGCAAUACAUUGAACUAUUCCACCAACCCUCUCUCUCCCUUCAACAGAGACGAAGACCCUUCUUCUUCCUUGUCGGUAUGAUUUGUUGCGGCUGUUCUUCUCCUUCCUCUGCGCUGAUGCUGGAGGGAGAUUCUGCUUUGCCCGGGUGGAUGGCCCGGCCGCGGUGCUGGACCGGUCGGAUGACUCGAAUUCUCUUCCAUCAGGAAGGGACAUUUUUCGCGGUACUCAAAGCCAAAGCUGGCGACGGCCGUUGCAGGUGUGUUGGAUUGAUGCCCAUGCCCUCUCAGCGCUGGUGUCAAGAAAGGAGAAAGUAGCAUGGCGGCAAUUGUACCGUGGUCGGAGAUGAUGACCUGCUUGCGCCUGGUUGCGGAUCCUUCUGCUUGAGGGGUCUUCUCUCAAGAUUCAGGGAUGAUGUCAAAAGGCUCCACAGCUCUUCUUGUGUUACGUUUGGCUUAGGGUACUCUAAUUGUUCAUCAUCCUUUGUGUUUACGUUUCAGUGUGCUUGUAAGGAUCAACUACUUUGUACUGUUUCGUGAUUUGAAUGAAAAAAUUCUCAAAAAAAAAAAAAACAAAUGCACCGUGGCCAGAUCUAUUUGCCGACUAUAGACUACUUUUGGUUUCUUCUCGUAAGGACUACUUUUGCGAAACCCAAUACUACAACACAUACGUUCACAAAUACGCACACGUAAGGAAUAAUAAUAUGCUAAAACAGCGCUAGUAGUAUGGUCUUUGCAUGCUUGGUGCUGCUGCAUGUGGGCUGUGGAGGUUUUUGAGCCUACUGUCUGCAUGCAUCUCGAUAAUAAUAAUCCAAUUCAAUCCAAUCCAAUCCAAUCCAAUCCAAUCCUAUGGUCUUUGCAUGCUUGAUACAGUGCCUACCAAUCCAAUCCGACUGGUCAAACUUUGCGUGCGCCGUAGUGGUUGGCUAUGCUGGCAUGAAUAAUAAUAAUGAUCCUUUACUUCCUUUCUCUCUCUGUGCACGGUGCAGUUUAGGAUAGUCGUAAUAAAAGUAUCAUAAGCGGUAUUAUGCAUGUCAAAUAGACCUUUUGGAUCAUGUGGCAGAGAAUUAAAUGAGAAAAGAAAGGAUGUGGUAUCAUAUUAUGAUACCGUAUCAUAUUAAAUAUAGUACUACUUUGUGUCAUGCAUGUCAAUUAAUGAGGCAAACUAAGAUACUAGGUUACGAUACUAUGCAUUACGGAAAUAGUAUCAUACACGAGUAUCAUAUGCAUGAUACUAGUAUAUGAUACUCUCCAUUACGACCUAUCUUACUACUGUAGCGUCCUGUGGGUCACGAGGAGCAGACCGCGUGUUCCACGAAAAAAAAACGAUACGGGCCCUCGUGGAACACGGUGCCCUGUCUACCUCCGUACCAAAAGAUAAAUUUUUUACUAUUUUAUUACAAAGAUUUAUUUUAAAUAUAUAUAAAAUGUUAGUGUAAAAUUAGUAUUAUGAGAGGGUGUGUUUCAAUAGUAAACCAACGAUACUGAUUUUCCACUAUAGGAAUUAAGUUUUAGUUGCUUUAUUUAUUCGGUCCAACUUGUAUAGUUUAACGUAGAUAGAUAAGAAAGGAAUAAAUUGUGAAAACCAUCAAGACUCUGGCUCUAAUCCCAUGUUAAGCUUCAUUCUCUAGGCAAUUAUUGCAAUAAUAGACCGAUCUGACGGAAAGAGCUAAGCAACCGAGUUAAUUAUACAAUUAGUUAGUUUAAUAGUAACACUUAACUGGCAGUAGGUGUUACAUUGCAGCCAGCGAGAGCGAGAGCCUUCCCCCUUCCCCGCCAUGCGCUGCUCCGGCGCUGGCGUCCACCGCGCCUCUGCGCCCCCGGGCCGUGCCACUCCGGCCAUCCCAGCCACCCAGGCUCCCGGCCGUGCCACUAAGGCCGUCCCGGCCACCCAGAUCUGUUCCCCCGCCCCCCGCUGCUUCCUCGCGCGACCAGGGCUGCCAGCCCCAGAUUCGUCUCCUCCCAGGUCAGGCCGGCGGGGGAGAGGCCGGUGGUCUCUGGGCUGGGGCUUUUGGAGGGCUUGGCUGAGUCGGACCCGCAGCCGGCGGUGGACUCCGCGCCUCGCCUGGAGGCUCCUGCUGCGGGCUGGGAGCGGCCUUCUCCCACCAAGAAGGAGCUCUGGCGCCUCCGUCAUGGACAGGGCGGCCAGGGCGGAGAUGUUGUGGCUGGGCGGCACGUGCCUUCGCCGCCGCCGGCGGAGAUGAUCCCGGAGAUGCGAGACAAGUGCUUCAGGUGCCUCGAGAAGGGCCACUUCCGGUGGGACUGCACCAACUAGGAUGUCUAUAUCAGGUGCGGUUGGCCGGGUCAUGGCUCCCGCGAUUGCAAGAGGCCGCGGAGCCCCUCUUCGGCUGAUGAGCUCCGACGCGAGGCGAUCGCCAAGGUGGCACGCCACUCGUCUCCCCGGGUCAGUCCAGACCGCACGACGCCUCAUGCGGCCUUCCCACCCCCACCGCCUCCGCCGCUGCACCCCCCCUCGCUUUGUGCUGCCGCCGAGGCGGCCUGGCCGCGUCUUGCACCCCCGCGGCUCUAGGUCGCGCUGGAUGCGGGGGAAGGUGCGUAUGAGCUUUGUGUGGUGCGGCGCUCGCAGUCCAUGGAGGACUUGGAGCGCCGGCUACGCUUCGCCAUGGUCGCCUACAUGGGUGGUGCCCGGAGACGCCUCUCGCCGCAGCGGGUGCUGGAGAUCUUGGCGGGGUGGCUCGACAUCUCGGCGGAUCAUGUCUCGGUGCACUCUUACCGGUCGGAGGAUUUUCUGGUCGUUUUUGCGUCGGCUGAGCUUCCGAACAGGGUGGCGUCGUACCCGGCGGUGUAGUGGGAGGGCGAUAGGCUGUUCUUCAGGCCAUGGAACCGGCAGUCGCAGGCAGUCUUCUCGACCAUGGGCUUCAAGGUCUGGAUUGUCAUGGAGGGGAUACCACCACACGCUUGGGAUCGGAAGACGGCAGAGGAGUUGUUGGGGACGGCGUGCAAGGUGGACUCGGUUGCGCCGGAGUCAAGUUCAAGAGCUGAUCUUUCUGCGUUCAGGCUCACUGCAUGGACUGCAAACCCGGAGGAGAUACCUUCGCUGCGCUGGCUGGCCAUCUCGGAGCCAAGCUCGGAGAUCCUACCACCAUUGUUGCAGUACAAGAUCCUCAUCCAUAUCGACGCAGUGGCGAACUUCCGUGAAGCAGGGGAGCCGUGGUUCGUGGGAAGUUCAUCCGACAAUGGGCAGAGUGGCUUGCUAGACUCUCCAGACGGUUUCCAUAAUGGAGGUGGUGGUCAGAGGCCACAAUGGCGAGUUUGGCAGUUCGGUGUCAGAGAUGUGCGCGGCGGUGAGCAGGGCUAGGCUUCCGGCGGUGGCGGUGGCGGCCAUGGCGCGGCAGGGAGGGCAAACGAGGGGCUGGAUUGGCGCCUACCUCCCAUGCCCCCGCCCCGAACGUUCUGCAUGUGGGGCCACCAGAACGCCUUCUGGAUAGGGUUGCCGUCAGGGUGUCUGCUUUUGACCGCCUUUUGGGUCAGCAGGCACAUGGAGAGGGGAGCGGGACGGUUCUAGAGCCAAAUUCGAACCUGACUGGCGCGGACAAGUGGCUGGGACGGACGGGCGCACUUUGACGGCGGGACCCCGGACGGAGGAGACGGAGCAGCAUCCAAUGGAAAUGGUCAUUGUGCCGUUGGGGCAGGGACGGCGCCUGAGCUUGUCAUCGGAUCGGGCGGUCGAAGUGGUGGUUGGCGCGCGCAGCCCGAGUGAUUCCCGCAGUGCCCCACGGGCGAAUGAUGACAUGGACAUGGUGGUUCUCGCGGAUCUAGGGAGACUGGAUCCCCGGUGCGGGAAAGGCUGAACCCGCCAGCUGGCGUGACUGCAGGCUCCGUGCCGGGGGAUGGGAUACCGGACGGGUCCCAGGAGGUGGGGCUGGCUGAGGAUCCCAAUGCAAUUGGGGCGGUGUGCAACAUGGCGGGCCCCGUGCUCGGAUCGAAUGCAGAGAUGGCUACUGGUGGGUUGGGUGAAGGAAAUCGCGUGGUAUUGACUACUGGUGGGGCUGGUUAUCGAAUGCAGAGAUGGCUACUGGAGGGUUGGGUGAAAAAAAAGUUAGUUUAACAGUAACUGUGAUGCCAAGACAAAUCAUUGGGGUCAAAAUUACCGAAAUAUUUAUUUACUCCGGUUGUACACGGGUCCGCUUGUACACGCGCAUGAGCUGCCACGGAGCCACACUGUGGCCGGCCUACUGGGGAGCCCGAGUCAGCGAGGCUGCUUGAGAACCAAGCUGCAUGUCCUCGUGUUUGGAGAGGCGAACGACGAGUUCGCUAGAGACUUCGUCGGAGAAGGGGCGGUGGUCAAAGGGAUGUGAGAGAGGUGAUUUUUUUUAUUGGGCUGUAAGGUGGGUCCUUGUCCACAUCAGCUGGGUAUUAAUUCGUGGCCAACACGUUGAAAAAUCCACCGAAUAGUCAUCACAUUUUAUCAUGCAAUCAGAAAGCCGUGGUGUUCACAACAUUUUGGACAAGUGGGAUAGUUAUUUCAUGCUAACAACUCAUUGAGACCGGACUAUGUACUUGCAGAGUAAAGACUCUAUAGCUACGACAAAUAAUUUGGAUCAGCGGGAGUAGAACAAAUACACGUGUAAAUAUUUGGUAACUGCAGAAGAAAUGUUAAUGUAUGUAAAGAAAAGAACAAUUUAUGUAGAUUACAUAGGUGCGGUACAAUGGGCGGAAAAAAUGAAAUAAACUAAAGAGAAGCAAAUUUGAAAAAUCUAUAAACAAAAAGUAAAACUUAAAUGCAAUAAUACAGGUGACAUUUAUUACAAAUCAAAUGACGAGCAGAAUAAAUACUCCUUCCUUUCCAGUUUAUAAGUCUUCCACGUGUAUCUUGGCUGCUAAUUUACCAAGUUGAUUACACGUGCAAGACUAAUAAACACGUAAGGACGGAAGGAGAUAGUAUCUCCGAAGUGGAAGUAUAUAAGAACAUUUAAGGGUAUACUUCGAUAAUUGAUCGAAUCCCAUUGGUUGGAGUGAUCUUGUAGUCGCUGAACCCGGCUUCGGAGAAAAUCAAGCUCCACACGUUUUCCUCUCGCUCCAUUCCAUCGGAGCCCAUCAUGUAGAUAUCUAACAAAACCUGCGCCUCUAUGGAAUCGUUGGGCUGAGUCACCGGAUAUCCCACCACCAUAUCGAUAAUUAUCACCUUUCCUCCGGCUUCUUUCGCUGGGAUCGCUUCCUUGCACCGGCGCAUUAUCUUGACGCAAUCUUCGUGUUUCCAGUCAUGCAAAAUCCACUGGAACCAAACAUAUUAUUAUAUCCCAUUAGCAUAUAUAGUAGACCAGCAGAAAAAAGAAGAACAUAUCCAAAAAUAAAAAUAAAAAUAAAAAAUUACCUUGAGUAGAACAGCAUCCGCAGGUGGGACAUACUCGAACAUAUUUCCGGCGACGAAGGUCAAAAUGUCGCUGGCGGGAGCCGCGGCGACAACGUGUGCGAGGUCCAGAACGGUGCACUUGAGGUGCGGGAACGCUCUCGCCACGGCCGACGCGGUAGCGCCAUGGUUGCCGCCGAUGUCCACCAGCGAGCUUUUCACUUCCCCGAACGCUCCGCCGUGCUCUUUCAACAGGACCUUCAUGGCGAUGCGGCUGUCCGCGGCCAUGCCGUCGUUGAACAAGCCGCCAUCGACCUUGGUGGUGUCCCAGAACGUGCAGCCGUUGGCCAGCUGGACGAGCGAGUGCGACUGUGCCGACUCUCCCUCUUGGCCUUGGGUAAACCACUCUGGCAUUUUGAGGAGAGAGGUCCAGCAUAACGUGUUGACGAUGGUGCCCACCAUCGGGGACAGGUUGUGCGGUGAUCUCUCGACAAGGAGCCGGGAGACCCGCGUGAGCUUGUAAUACGCAGCGCCAUCACCGGCGUGGUCGUUGCUGCCUUUGCCUUGGACAAUGGAGAAUACCCCGGUGGUGGUGAGCACCCGCAUGACCCGCCGGAGGUUGGAGCGCUUCGUGGGGUGGAUCCCGGUGUCGGAGGCCAGCUCGGACAAGGUGGCGGCGCCGCCGCGGCGGUGGAUGGUGUCGGGGAUGCGCAGGUCCGUGGCGGCCUUGAGCGCCAGUGACUUGACGAAGGCGAGGCCGUGGUGGUAGAGCUCCAGCUGAGCUUGAAGUAACUCGUCGCUGCUCAUGGCGAGGUCUUGGUCUCGUUCGAUGUGCUGCGCGGCCGGCAUGGUGUAUGUGUAUGAUCGAUCGAGUGUGGUAUGCUAGCUGCUACCUGCUUCUUGCUUCUUCCUUACGUAGAGAAAACGUAGUACCUUCUUAUAGAUGCAUGCGCAUGGUAUCCUAGUAGCUAGUUUCCUUUUGCGGGUUUUUUUUUAGGGAAGCUUCCUUUUGCGGGUUGGUUUGAGGUUACUACUUCUAGUUGUAGCCUCCUGUGUGGACGUAGUUUCCCACCCCUACGACUCGAUCGUGUGCACGAUCUCGGUCCCCACCGACGAAUGCAUGUUCAAGACACCCACCCCUUGAUGCAUGUUCAAGACAAUAGCAUUUCUCAAGGGGCAAAACAAGAGAUGACCUACAAAAAAAAAGAUCCUCGUUUGGACCAAUGGUUCUGAAGUCCGUGCACUUCGACCCUACCUAAUUGUUCACUCAAGCACCACAUCACCUUGUGGUCGGCGGGUUAGGAGUAGUAACUACCGUGUGUCCCCAGGGCGCUACGUGUCCAGGUUUAGUAUAGUAUUGAUGCCAUCUUUCCAAGUGACGGUAUCUUGACAAGUGUUGCUCAGCACUAGUUUGGCUUGGCAGCCCGCCCGGGAUCGAUCCCCGUUGGGGACGAUUGCUGGUGUCUCACCAGGGAUUGGCACCCGAAUAGCAUCCCUGCACUUUCGUGCCACGCAAAGCAACGAACAAACAAAAACGAAAAUACUAGAAACUUGAGACUCUAGAAGAAUAGAAGAAGCAACGAACGAACAAAAACGAAAAUACUAGAAACUUGAGACUCUAGAAGAAUAGAAGAAGCAACGGAAGUAACCAGAUCUGGAUAAGUGGCGUAUGAAGAAACCUUGGAAUAGAAGAAGAACACUAGUGCAGAACCGGCCUUUAGUGCCGGUUCGUAACGGCCUUUAGUGCCGGUUCGUAACGGCCUUUAGUGCCGGUUCUACAACCGACACUAAAGAGUGGGGACUAAAGGUCCCCCCUCCUUAGUAUCGGUUUGUCAUGAACCGGCGCUAAAGUGCGAACACGUGGCACGAGCCAGGCCCGGGUGCGCGUAGGGGCUUUAGUACCGGUUGGUAACACCAACCGGUACUAAAUGUUUGUGUUUUUUUUUAUUUUCCAUUACUUAUUUUUGUUUGCUGGUAUUUCACGAUACUACAAAUUGUACACGUUAUGCAUAUAUAUAAAUAGAUUUUCUUGUACGUAUAGAACCGCAUAUAUAGGGUCGAGUGAACAAUUUGGUGAAGCCAUCGCACCAUCACUUGCUCACGCAACCGGGCCUCCUCUCGCAGCCGCUCCCGCUCAUAGCAGCCCGUCCUCAGUCUCAGGCGCGCUAGGUGGGCCUUCGUCUUUGGCUGAGCUCGACGCCGUCANNNNNNNNNNNNNNNNNNNNNNNNNNNNNNNNNNNNNNNNNNNNNNNNNNNNNNNNNNNNNNNNNNNNNNNNNNNNNNNNNNNNNNNNNNNNNNNNNNNNNNNNNNNNNNNNNNNNNNNNNNNNNNNNNNNNNNNNNNNNNNNNNNNNNNNNNNNNNNNNNNNNNNNNNNNNNNNNNNNNNNNNNNNNNNNNNNNNNNNNNNNNNNNNNNNNNNNNNNNNNNNNNNNNNNNNNNNNNNNNNNNNNNNNNNNNNNNNNNNNNNNNNNNNNNNNNNNNNNNNNNNNNNNNNNNNNNNNNNNNNNNNNNNNNNNNNNNNNNNNNNNNNNNNNNNNNNNNNNNNNNNNNNNNNNNNNNNNNNNNNNNNNNNNNNNNNNNNNNNNNNNNNNNNNNNNNNNNAUAUAUAUAUAUAUAUAUAUAUAUAUAUAUAUAUAUAUAUAUAUAUAUAUAUAUAUACCAACACCAUUAUUCACACAUACACAUGUAUACAUAUACAAUUUCUCCUACAUAUGUUGCCUUGGUGCCUCCGGAGCACGAUGACAAGUGGUUCAUGGGGGCGGUAGCGGGUAAUAGUAUUCUCCUUCGGGAUUUAUGACCUAGUCGAGCAAAAAUCCGGCUAUUUCCUCUUGAAGUGCUAGUAUGCGGUCCGAUGGUAGGAGCUUAUCCCGUCUCUGAACUGUUAAGAAGGAGAUCAAUAUGCAUAUGUGUUAGUUGUGUGACUAGAUAUCGAUAAUGGUGUGAAUAGUGUUCUGACAAACAUACCCAGUCAUGUCUAUCAGAUUUGCUCCUUUCAGACGUCAUCAUGCGAAUGUUCUCGCAAACGUAGAAUGCAGACAAAUUAUUCCCCGACGCCUGCUUCAGGGCCUUUACGAGAAUGGAAUUGAAUCAGAUAAUGAUUAAUUAAUCAAGCAUGAUAAUUAAUUAAUGAUAUUAAAACAAGAAUUAAAGAGAUGGUAGCUAGCUAGUACUACUUAAUUACUUACCUUUGGUCGAUGCCAAAACAACUUUUGUUUCCAUUCGCCUGGAGUCACCGCGAUGAACUUUGCCCAUGCCCUGCCCGCCAGCAAAGAAAAUUAAUAAAGGGGUUAUUAAAUAGUUCAUAUCAGAAAAUGACGAACUAAUAAUAGGCCGAGAUAUAUAUAGUUAAUAAUGAUUGAAAUUACCUAUUGACUAUCCCCUUCACGAUGGUGAAGUCACUUUCUUCUUUAGUUAGCGAGUCCAGUAAUUCAACUUUUCCUUCCUCAACUUUAAUGUCUAUCAAGACCCAGUGCCAACUGCAUGCGCACACGUUUGCAUGUCUUAAAUAAGCGGGCAUGUGCAUAAAAUUAAUCAACUACCGUAAACCGUAUACACUUAAUUAUUAAUAUCUAGCUAGAUAGUAAGCAAAAACAGAAUUUGUAGUACAAAACAAUGUGACUCAUGGGAAAUUGUAAGGAAGUAGUAUAUCUUCGUUGCUAUUGAGGCGCUUCAAGAACUCUACCAUGCUUUCCUCUACACCUGCUUGAUAAAAUGGAUACUUCCAUAUGUCCUCAUUAAUGGUAUUUGGGUCAAUGAACCCAAUGCCAUAGCAUCCAAAUUUUUUCAUUUCAUACAUCUUCAUCCUCCAUAUAAUACCACAGAAAAGAAUAUAGUGAGGAUAAUUACAUGUAAUGAUUGAUCAAAAUUAUCACUACAUAAUUAGCUUGAGACUUAAAUUACAAAAAGAAAUCAGUUACAGACAAUAGCAACUGACGAUAGACUUGUCAAGUGCGUCUUGAUUGAAUAACUGAUAUAGUUCUGAAUACUCAAUGGACAGAGCUUUCUCAUGGUAAUAAUGCUGCUUCUUGACAUUCACCAUGAGGGACACUCGAUUGGAAAUCUUGGUCAUGUUUAUGUACCAUUGAUGCAAUUCAUACAUUCUCGUUGGGAGGUCCUUGACCUUGUCUGGAUGGACCAAAGGUUGGCCCCAGGCAUAUUUCCAUUUUAUUUCCGAUUCUUUAAGCGGAGACAUGGGCUCGAUUUCGAGGAGUUGUCCAACAGAGAUCUUGAGCAUUUCAGCCUGCAUUAUAUGCUCCUCCGUUAUUACCACAUCGCCCUGCUAGGGAACGCUAACGGUUUGCCCGCAAUAAUAUUUGGCGCGCAUACUCCUCUCAUGUGUUGUUGGCACAACAAGCGGGGGGAUCUCUUGCGCCGCCUGUUCUCCCAGCUGGGGAACGGUUUUCCCGCAUUUUUUGCCAGCUGCUUGUUGGCUCGAGUUCGAUCUCGCUUCCUUCCGUAGCCGUGCUCGAUGUAGCUUUCUGAUUUGACGCUGAUAGUCUGAGUCAACAGGCUUGGGAGCUGGUGCUCUAGCCAUAUGAAUGAAGUGGUCAAUCGUUUUCUCAGGCACUUUCUCCUUUGGCGGCGGUGCCAGUUUCGGUCCAAAAUGGGCGUCCACUUGGGCCUGCACUAUGGCUGCGUUUUGCUCCUCGGUCAUGUUGUAAGGCCUCUGAGGAAGAGGAGUGAGGCUUGGACCAUAUUUAUAUCGCUUGUCUCCGCCUGUACUUCCUGAACAACCUCGACUCGUACCGCUACGCACCAAAGCUGUGGCAUGUCUCUUCUGUGAUUGCUGAGACGGCGGAGACGGCUGACGUGGAGUUGGACCAGGAGAAGUGGGCUGACGAUGUGCCGGACUUGAAGCAGGAGGUGUGGCCUGACACGGUGCCGGACUUGAAACCGGAGAAGUGGCAUGACGUUGUGCCGGACUUGAAACCGGAGGAGUCAUCUCACGCGUUCGGGGACUUGGAGGUCGUGGCGGACUUCGAGGAGGAGUCGUCUCACGCGUUCGUGGACUUGGAGGAGCGGGAGUCUGUUGACUCGGUGGCGGACUUCGAGGACUCGGCAGACGACGCGGUGUCGGUGGACUUCGAAAGAUGAUGCAAUCAUUUCUCCAUAGGAUGAUACGAUGCAUGGCCUGUCCUAGUGUGCGCUCGUCUUCACCUCCAGGAAUGUCAAGCGUUAGCCCCGAAUAUGGGUCCACCACUUCAUCAACCAUGACACGAGCAUAGCCCUCUGGAAUCGGGAUGCAAUGGUAGGUUGCUUCGGGGGUAACUGGAAAAGCGACGCCGUCCGCCACCUUCAUGGAUAUGUUCUUCAUUUUGGAGUGUAGCUCACAGUUAGUGUUCUCUAUGAUGUCAUCCAUAGGGUAUGUAUCCAGCAGUGUGUCGCCCGGGGCAGAACCAACGCUGCUUCUCGGCAUGGAUGGAACGGUGCUAUCCAAUGCUGGACGAUCAUCCGCUUGUUGUUGCCGCUGCUGAGACCCCCUUUCCUGGCUAAGUGAGUCGAUCUGCUGCUGCUGCUGAAUUUUAGUGCCAGGUCCGCGUGCCUUGCUUCUAGGCCUUGAAGACGUUCUGCGUCCUGCUUCCUCUUCUCCUCCUCCAGCUUCCUCUUCUUCUCCUCCUCCAUCUUCUUUCUUGCACGGGACCUGUAGUCGUCAUUCCAGUCCGAAAAGCCCUCAUACCAGGGAAUAACACCCAUGCCUCGCGUUCUUCCCGGUGUUCAGGAUUUCCCAGGGCACGCGUAAGCUCGUCGUUCUCUCUGUUGCGCGUGAACACCCCCGCUCGAGCUUCUUCUAUUGCGUCAAGUAUCUUUUGUUCGGCUCCUUUUAGACUUGCCUUCUUCAAAACCAGGCCUGUCUUUGGGUCCAACGCCCCCCCAUGCGCAUAGAACCAAGUUCUGCACCUGGGGGGCCAGCUCCUAGUAAUUGGAGUGACCCCUGCACCCUCCAUCUCUUGCUCAGACUUAUCCCACUUAGGCAAUCCCACCGCGUAGCCACCUGGACCCAGCCUAUGGAACUGCGUCUUUCUUGCGGCAUUUGCCUUGUUUUUCAUCGACCAUUCCUUAGAUAAUUCUGAAUCCUUGAAGGUCACGAAAUCGUCCCAGUGUUCUCUUUGCUUCUCUAGUGUUCCCUUGAAAUCUGGAGUCUUCCUUUCAUUAGCGAGGUAGUUGGCCCAUACAGUUUUCUUGUGGGUGUUGAAUGCAUUUGCCAUCUUCUUAAGAGCAGCGGCCUUGACUUUCUCCACAUCUGCUUUAGUGAAAUGAUCUGGUAGGGUGAAAUGUUCCAUCAGAGAUUUCACCAGGUCUUCUUUGGCUCUGCCAUCGACCCAAGUAACACCUAGACGUUUAGUCUUUGGCUCUUUCCAUUCUUGAAUGGAGAUCACGAGUUUGUCCUUCACAAGAACUCCGCACUAACGAGUCCACUUAUUAUCAACGUUCUUAGGCGUGAGGGGUUAGCCACUAAGUUUGGUGGAUUCGAUGUGGUACUUUACACCAUCCUUCAACAAUCUGCCCGGGCCUCGCUUUGUCUUGCUGUAUGUAGAAGCAGAUUUGCUCGAUCCGGAGGGCUGAAAGAAGAAAGAUCGAUUCGUUAAUAUAUCUUCAAUAAAAAAACAUGUGAUGAUCACCAGGAUGCAUGCUUAUAUAAAUAUAUACCUCGCCGGAAGUCUUUGUUAUUUGAAGAUCAGCAUUGUCUGUGUCAUCACUAACAUUGUCUGUGUCAUCAUAAUCAUAGUUCAUGACUUCAUCAGCUCGGUCGUCGAGAUCAAAUAUCUUUCCGUCACCCUCUCCGGUAUUGUUCAGAUAUUGGGAGCCGUCAUCAUUCAGAUCAUCUAGCCUCUGAGGGCUGCGUAUGAUGUCGAACAAUUCCUCCUCUCUCUCUCUGCCGGUAUUGUCCGCCAUAGCUUUUACUUUACUAAUUAAUACAGAAGAAAUAUAAAACAAUUUAGUAUUCAAAUUACAAUGCAUGGCUGCAAUUAAUCAAUAAGAAAAAACUGAAUCUCGAAUACAUUGUCUCGAAUAUAUAAUCUCGAAUACAUCAUCGCCUUAAUAUAUAUAAUCUCGAAUACAUCGUCUCGAAUAUCAUAUAUCGAAUACAUCACUGGCUAGGUACCUAAUAAAGAUCGAGUACUACAGAAGAAUCUAGGGCGCCACUCGCGGUUCCUGGGGCGCGGGCGGUGCACACCCAAAGAGAAGGAACCAUCACAGGAUCAUAUCUCUGGUUAUCUGCCCAAAGAACCCGCCAAGUAGUGGAGAACCUGACGUCGUCCAUAGCAGCCAUGUACCGAUGGACCUGCUCAUCUUCCUCCCUGACACGGCGACGCACCACCUCCGGCGGGGCCGACUUCCUCUGCACCAAAUGUGGCCCACGCGAACGCCACCAAAGAAGAUCAGGGUCGACGACGGGACCCGACGUCGGGUUCCUCACCAAGCGGCGCGCCCCUCCAGGUAGCAACUCCCAGUGCCAGCCCGGCGGAGCCCAGUCCCGGACAUGGGUCCUCUGAAGCAUGACGUCGUCGCGAACGGGUCGAUGGCGAGGAUGCGGGCCGGGCAUAUCGUCGAGAACAAAUACUAUAUGCCCGCAAAAAGUAACAUUUUUUAAAUGAUUGGAUUGUGAUAACUAAAAUUCUAUAUAUAUGCAAAUUCUAACAAUUUGACAUUAAUCUAAUUCAUCUAACUAAAACUAAUUCUAAAAUUUCCUGAUUAUAUAACUAACAUUUCUAUAACAUUUCUAAUAUUUAUAUAACUAAAAAAUAGAUAAAUUGCUAACAUUUUUAUAAAUAUUUCUAUAACUAAAAACAGAAAACAUUUAUAACAUUUCUAUAUAACUAACAUUUCUAAUAUUUAUAUAACUAAAAAAUAGAAUAAUUUCCUAACAUUUCUAUAACUAAAAAACAGAAUUUUUUUAACAAAACAAACUAAUAAUGUGUGUGUGUAGUGUGUGUGUGUGUGUAGUGUGUGUGUGUGUGUGGACAUGGCAGCCGGGGCGAGCUCACCGGCGAGGCGACGACGGGGCGGCAACGACGGGGAGNNNNNNNNNNNNNNNNNNNNNNNNNNNNNNNNNNNNNNNNNNNNNNNNNNNNNNNNNNNNNNNNNNNNNNNNNNNNNNNNNNNNNNNNNNNNNNNNNNNNNNNNNNNNNNNNNNNNNNNNNNNNNNNNNNNNNNNNNNNNNNNNNNNNNNNNNNNNNNNNNNNNNNNNNNNNNNNNNNNNNNNNNNNNNNNNNNNNNNNNNNNNNNNNNNNNNNNNNNNNNNNNNNNNNNNNNNNNNNNNNNNNNNNNNNNNNNNNNNNNNNNNNNNNNNNNNNNNNNNNNNNNNNNNNNNNNNNNNNNNNNNNNNNNNNNNNNNNNNNNNNNNNNNNNNNNNNNNNNNNNNNNNNNNNNNNNNNNNNNNNNNNNNNNNNNNNNNNNNNNNNNNNNNNNNNNNNNNNNNNNNNNNNNNNNNNNNNNNNNNNNNNNNNNNNNNNNNNNNNNNNNNNNNNNNNNNNNNNNNNNNNNNNNNNNNNNNNNNNNNNNNNNNNNNNNNNNNNNNNNNNNNNNNNNNNNNNNNNNNNNNNNNNNNNNNNNNNNNNNNNNNNNNNNNNNNNNNNNNNNNNNNNNNNNNNNNNNNNNUGACGAGGGGCGGGGGCGGCGACGUCGACGGGGACGGCGUCGAUCAGGGCAGGGCGGCGCGACGGAGGGAGGAAACAGAGGGAAGAAACAGAGGGAAACUGAAUUUUUUUAAGUGUUGUAUAUAUAUAGGAUGGACCUUUAGUACCGGUUGGAGCCACCAACCGGUACUAAAGGUCUGUUUUCACCAGGCCAAGCAGCGGGAAGCGCACCCCCUUUAGUACCGGUUGGUGGCUCCAACCGGUACUAAAGACCCCCCCCCCUUUAGUACCAGUUGGUGCCACGACCCGGUACUAAAGGGGUGCGCUGGCGCAGUGUGGUGCGGCAAGUUUAGUCCCACCUCGCUAGUCGAAGGGCUACCGCACUGGUUUAUAAGCCCAGUGCGGUAGCUCUCUCGAGCUCCUCUCCUACGUAGGCCUACUAGGCCUACCAAUUCAUUGCGGCCAUGUGGGCCUACUGGGCCUUUGCGGGCCUGCAUCCUAGCCCAACAAAAGGUUGAGUUUCUAGUCGUAUGCAGGCUGCUUUGGCCCAGUAGGCGGGCUUUCUUAUUUUCUUAAUUUUUUUUUGCUUUUUUUGUUUUAUUUAUUUUUGAGUUAUUUUUUGCUGUAUUUAGAGUUUCUUUGUGAAUAUUUUUUCUUUAGGUACAAAAAUUUACAAACUUUGAUCUGUUAGUGCCGGUAGUUUUCAAAUAUGAAUAGUCUAAAUUUUGAAUUAUUUGAAAUUUGCGUGAAUCACUAGUUUGUGAAUAACUUAACUUUGAAAAAAGAUUUUUCAGUGAUUCUUUUUUAUUAUGUUUAAUAUUAGUGUGUUUUAUCAUUAUAUUCAAUUUGGUAAUGCUUAGGUUAUUUAAAAAAUGAAAUGCCUUUGUAACAUUUCAGUUUUCGUCGGAAACCCUGAUACUUCGAAAAAGAUUGUCCAUUUUGUACACGAAGUGUAUCCAGUUUUUGCCGUAACCCUCUCUACUUUUUUGCACAUGCUAUUUGUAUGAAAUUAUGAUACCAUGCCAACUUUCAACCUUUUCUGAGUUCAUUUCAAAUGCUUUUCAAUUUCAGGGUCAUUUAGCUGGAAAAAAAUCAGUAAAUGCAUGAAAAGAAUUUGUUUGCACAUAAAAUUUCUUCGCGUUUCAAAUGCCAAAACACAUAAUUAACUACCCUAACUAUUACAGACAUUCCCUCCUGGGUGUGAAACACAGAAGAAAGUGAUGAUAGUGAAGCCGAUCACAUCCCAGAUCUUUGGGUGUGAAACUUUUUCUUCUCGUGUGUCCCUUUGCGCCGUAGCCAUGGAAAAUCUUCAUCAUUUAACUGGAUGCUCGGGUCAAUAUUCACUGUGAAUGGAGAAAUUUCAUCAAACUUUUCAUAAUCUUCUGACAUGUCUGUCUUGUCAUCCACUCCCACGAUGUUUCUUUUUCCUGAAAGAACUAUGUGGCACUUUGGCUCGUUGUAUGAUCCAUUCGCUUCCUUAUCUUUUCUUUUUCUCGGCCUGGUGGACAUGUCUUUCACAUAAAAAACCUGCGCCACAUCAUUGGCUAGGACGAAUGGUUCGUCUGCAUACGCAAGAUUGUUGAGAUCCACUGUUGUCAUUCCGUACUGCGGGUCUUCCGUUACCCCGCCUCGUGUCAUAUUGACCCAUUUGCACCGAAACAAAGGGACCUUCACAUCACCUGAUCCAUAGUUAAGUUCCCAUAUGUCCUUUAUGUAACCAUAAUAUGUUUCCUUUCCCGUGUUGGUUGUUGCAUCGAAGCGGACACCACUGUUUUGGUUGGUGCUCUUCUUAUCUUGGGCGAUCGUGUAAAAUGUAUUCCCAUUUAUCUGGUACCCUUUGAAAGUCAUUAUAUUCGAAGAUGGUAACUAGGACAGCGAGUACAGGUCAUUUUGAAUAUCACCAUCAUUCAGGGCACGUUUCUGCAACCAACCGGCGAAAGUCCUCGUUUGUUCACGUGUAAUCCAGUCGUCAGAAUUCUCCGGGUGUUUGGACUGUAGAAAAUUCUUGUGUUCCUCCAUAUACGGAGCCACCAAGGCGGAAUUCUGUAGAACUGUGUAUUGUGCUUCAGUGAGAGAAUGCCCGUCCAUACAUAUUAUUUGAUGCCCUCCUAGCGUGCCUUUUCCUUCCAGUCUACCCUUAUGCCGCGAUUCAGGAACACCAAUCGGCUUAAGGUCAGGAAUAAAGUCAAUACAAAACUCAAUGACCUCCUCGUUUUCAUGGCCCUUUGAGAUGCUUCCUUCUGGCCUAGCACGGUUAUGAACAUAUUUCUUCAAGACUCCCAUGAACCUUUCAAAAGGGAACAUAUUGUGUAGAAAUACAGGACCCAAAACGUUAAUCUCUUCGCAAAGGUGAACUAGGACGUGCGUCAUGAUGUUGAAGAAGGAUGGUGGGAACACCAACUCGAAACUGACAAGACAUUGCACCAAAUCAUUCUGUAACCUUGGUAUGAUUUCUGGAUUGAUUACCUUCUGAGAGAUUGCAUUGAGGAAUGCACAUAGCUUCAGAAUGGCCAAUCGAACGUUUUCCGGUAGAAGCCCCCUCAAUGCAACCGGAAGGAGUUGCAUCAUAAUCACGUGGCAGUCAUGAGACUUUAGGUUCUGGAACUUUUUGUCUGCCAUAUUUAUUAUUCCCUUUAUAUUCGACGAGAAGCCAGACGGUACCUUCAUGCUGAGCAGGCAUUCGAAGAAGAUUUCCUUCUCUUCUUUGGUAAGAGCGUAGCUGGCCUGACCCUGAUGUAUGUCAUCUUUUCCAUGCAUAUGUUGCUGGUCCUCCCGUGCCUCUGGUGUAUCUUUUGUCUUCCCAUACACGCCCAAAAAGCCAAGCAGGGUCACGCAAAGAUUCUUCCUCACGUGCAUCACGUUGAUUGCGGAGCGGACCUCUAGGUCUUUCCAAUAUGGCAGGUCCCAAAAUAUAGAUUUCUUCUUCCACAUGGGUGCGCGUCCGUCAGCGUCCUUCGGAACAGGUUGUCCGCCAGGACCCUUUCCAAAGAUUACCUUCAAAUCCUUGACUAUAUCAUGUACAUCAUCACCAGUACGGUGGCGAGGCUUCAUCCGGUGAUCCGCCUCACCUUUGAAAUGCUUGCCUUUCUUUCUUACGGGAUGCCUGCUCGGAAGAAAUCGACGAUGUCCCAGGUACACAUUCUUCUUACAACUAUUCAAAUAUAUACUGUCGGUAUCAUCCAAACAGUGCGUGCAUCCGCGGUAUCCCUUGUUUGUCUGUCCUGAAAGGUUACUGAGAGCAGGCCAAUCAUUGAUGGUCACGAACAACAACACCUUUAGGUCAAAUUCUUCCCCCAUGUGCUCAUCCCACUCACGUACAACUGUUCCAUUCCACAGUUGUAAGAGUUCUUCAACUAAUGGCCUUAGGUACACAUCAAUGUCGUUGCCGGGUUGCUUAGGGCCUUGGAUGAGCACUGGCAUCAUAAUGAACAUCCGCUUCAUGCACAACCAAGGAGGAAGGUUAUACAAACAUAGAGUCACAGGCCACGUGCUAUGGUUGCUGCUCUGCUCCCCAAAAGGAUUAAUGCCAUCUGCGCUUAGACCAAACCAUACGUUCCUUGGGUCACCUGCAAACUCCUCCUAGUACUUUCUCUCGAUUUUUCUCCACUGCGAACCGUCAGCGGGUACUCUCAACUUUCCGUCUUUCUUACGUUCUUCUGCGUGCCACCGCAUCGCCUUCGCAUGCUCUUUGUUUUGGAACAAACGUUUCAACCGUGGUAUUAUAGGAGCAUACCACAUCACCUUGGCAGGAAUCUUCUUCCUGGGGCGCUCACCCUCGACAUCACCAGGGUCAUCGUGACUGAUCUUAUAACACAAUGCACCGCAUACCGGGCAAGCAUUCAAAUCCUCGUACUCACUGAGGUAGAGGGUGCAGUCAUUAGGGCAUGCAUGUAUCUUUUGCACCUCUAACCCUAGAGGGCAGACACCCUUCUUUGCUUCAUACGUACUCUCGGGCAAUUCGUUGUCCUUUGGAAGCAUAUUCUUUAUCAUUACCAACAACUUUCCAAAUCCCUUGUUAGAUACACCAUUCUCUGCCUUCCAUUGCAGCAAUUCAAGUGUGGUGACCAACUUUUUUUUGUCAGCUUCGCAAUUCGGGUACAACAAUUUCUUGUGAUCCUCUAACAUGCGCUGCAACUUCGUCCUCUCCAGAUCACUUGCACAGUUUCUCUUUGCAUCGGCAAUGGCCUGACCUAGAUCAUCAGCGGGCUCAUCUGAUGCCUCUUCUUCAACUUCUUGCUACAUUGCCGGCUCAGCUUCUUCCCCCAUUGUUGUAUCAUUGUAUUCAGGGAACCCAUGGCCAGGAUAGCCGUCGUCGUCCUCUUCUUCUUCAUUGUCUUCCAUCAUAACCCCUAUUUCUCCGUGCUUGGUCCAAACAUUAUAGUGGGGCAUGAAACCGGACUCAAAUAGGUGGACGUGAAUGGUUCUUGACGUAGAGUAACUGUGAACAUUCUUACAGCCAGCACAUGGACAAGGCAUAAAACCAUCCGCCCGCUUGUUUGCCUCAGCGGUAAGCAGAAAAGUAUGCACACCAUUAAUGAACUCGGGAGAGCAUCUGUCAUCAUAUAUCCAUUGUCGGCUCAUCUUCAUUACACAACACCGAAUAGACCAAAUUAAUACAAGUUCAUACAUAAAGUUCAUACAUAAAGUUCAUAUACAACACUUAAUUAAAUGCAACAUACAAAUUACUCUCUAGCUAAAGAAUUUAAAUGCAACAACAAAUGUGAUGAAGAUCGCAAUUAAGGUAACAAUUGAUCCAACAUCAUAAUGAUACCAAGCCACACUAUCAAUGGCAUAUUUUCUAAUCUUUCUAAUCUUCAACCUCAUUCGACGACAUCGGCAACAUGCAACUCCAAUUCCAUCUUCUCCCCCUCAAUUCUUUUCAAUUUUUCUUUCAAAUACUCGUUUUCUCUUUCAACUAAAUUUAACCUCUCGACAAUAGGGUUGGUUGGAAUUUCCGGUUCACAUACCUCCUAGAUAAAAAUAUCUAUGUCAACUUGAUGGGCAUAAUUGGUCAUAAACACGAAAUGCAACAACUAGUUUUAAAUGAGAAUAUACCACAUCCGAAUCAUAACAAGGACGAGGGCCGACGGGGACGGAUAUCAAAACCAUGGCACUAUGUAUAACAAACAACGUCUGGGUAAGAUAAUUAUACGAGUAACUAUAUAUCUAAAUCACACAAACAUCAAUUUGGUAAUGUAAAACAUUCAUGAACAAGAGCCUCACCACAAGGUGGUGCCGGCGACGGGACGGUGCGGGCGAUCGACGGUGGUUACGACGGAGAUUUAGCAGGCACUAAGUAAACCACACCUACAUAUGCAAACUAAGUGUUAUUUUUGACCUCAAAUUGCAUAUAAAUCAAAUACUAGCAAAUAUAAUUCCUCCCAAAUUAAUCACUAUACAAAGCAUUGCAAGAGCUAAUCUAGCAAUGAGAGUUGAAAGGACAAAGUUGCUAACCUUUGUGAUCAUUUGAAUGGAUGGGGGCCUUCAAAUCUUGACAAAUUUUGGGCAAAAUUUGUGAGGAGCUCGAGGAAGAGAGGGGAAGAACAGAGGAAGUGAGGGGAAAGGGGAAGAACAGAUUGGCUCGGGUGGACGAAGGGUUUAUGUAGGUCGACCUUUAGUACCGGUUCGUGCCAUGAACCGGUACUAAAGGUGCUAGAGGGGCCCCAGACUGACAACACCCUGCCACCACUCUCUUUAGUACCGGUUCGUGGCACGAACCGGUACUAAAGGUUCGCCAUGAACCGGUACUAAUGAGAACGGCUGGCUAGCCGUUGGAACCGGCACUAUUGGACACAUUAGUGCCGGCUCAAAAUCAAACCGGCACUAAUGUGUCUCAUAUUAGGUCCGUUUUCUACUACUGGAAGAUAUAGGAGGCUAAGCUUGGAAGACAAUAAGGAAACAAAAAGAUGGUUAGAAGAGUAGAAGAAGCAAGAUGGUAGAAGAGUAUAAGAAGCAAACAUGAGUGCCAAGUUAAAAAAGUCUGAGGAUAGAAGAGUAGAAGAAACAACGGAAGUGACUGGAUCCGGACAAGUGGCAAGAAACCUUAGAAUUAGAAGAAAGAAAAUAUUGACGGGCUAUAUGAGCUUGGAAGACACCAAGGAAAAAUAUGGUACAUGAGUAGAAGAAGCAAUCAUUAGUGCCAAGUAAAGUCUAAGGAUAGUUGUUGGAAUAGCUCUAGUCUCUUAGAGAAAGUUAAGAAUAGUUGUGAUAAUAGUUGUAAUAACAUGGUAAGGAGUAGUAUUUUGUUAGAGGUAGUUUAGAAAGAGGUGGAAUUUAAGAUCUGUUCAAUAGUGUCUUGCUGGUGUGGUGGAUGAAAAUACUAAGUCCGUAAUCCUGUUUAUCUCUGGUUUCAUUCCAGUAAUGGAAUUGGGAGCUAUGCUCCGUAAUUCAAAAAAUGAAGUGAUGGUAUCUUUUCAUAGUUGAACUUUUAUAAUGCCUUCCGUUCAAUUUGUGUCGUCUCAUAAAAGCCAUCUUGGAGCAUCCAAGAUACUUCAAAUGAGAAGCCGUUCCUAUUACCGAGGUGUGCCAAAUUUGCUGAUCAACUUAGACUAGCCAUAAAAGUAGUAAUGUAGGUAGUAACAUAAAACUCAAUGCAAUGCCAACAAGAUAUCUUGAGUACAUGGCAUGUCAAUGAAUGAGGAAGAGAAUCUUGUGAUAACUAGCUAUGUUACCAUAUAACAUCACAAACUCCAAAACAAGAUUAGUAUACAACCUAAUAAAUGGAACUUUGCAUGAUACUAGCCAUUAGUUACUACCCACUAUGAAGGUGGUAACAUAGACUAGAAACAUAGGCAUGACACUAGUCUAUGUCACUCCCCACAAUAACUUGUCUUAAUGAUAUGGGCCUUCGUCUAUUGGUCUGGGCUUGGUCAACGGGUGUCGAACUGCUCUACACCAAUGAUAAUAGCUUGGGUUUGCAGAAUAUGGAAAGUUACCUGUUUGACAGAAGAAAUUAUGUGUUUGGCUAUUUUGCAGAAAGUGAUGUAUUCUCCAAAAAAUGAUGUAUUUUGUAGAAAAUGGAAAGUUAACCCGGUAAAUUUUUUAUUAAUUUUUUGUUUACACACGUACAAAAAAAGUAUGUACAAAUCUAAAAGAAAAUAAAACAUAAGAUCCUAUGCAUAUUAUUUACUGUCAGCUUUUGUCAGCUCCGUUUCAAAAUAUAAGAUGUUUUAGCUUUGUGAAGUGAGUGUAUCUAGACUCUUUUGAUGUUUAGGUUCACUCUGAACUAUAAACUAAAGAUAUCUAGAUACAUUUGCUUCACAAAGCUAAAACAUCUUAUAUUUUGAAACGGAGGGAGUAGGUGUUAAAGGGGACGGCCAGAAUUGGGAGUGUAGGAAAGGAGCAUGUCGUUUCGUGUAGGAUGCGGUUGUGUCCAAGCCUGCUUCAAGAAUUGAAGUGUUCGUGGGGAGGCGUGACGAAAGGGAUCCAACGUUAUGUUAUUUGAUUAACACGUGUGGAGUUAAAUAAAGAAUGAUUAGUUUAAGGUUGAAGUAGUUUCUCCUAGUUGGUUUAUGAGGCGUAUGAAUUCAGCCGAUGGUUCAGAUUAAACGAGAAAGAUUAGUCCCAUAGAUCCAACAAGACAUAAUCAUUAGAAGAAACUGUAAUAAAACUAAUAGUAUCAGGAUAGGCCUAGGCCCAUCAAUUGCGAAAGCAACGCACAAAAUCCCGACGCAACUAUCUCCUGCGAGCACACCGCCGCCUACACACCCACCAGCUACCACGCCGCCGCCUCCACAUCCAGUCAUCCACCAGCCACCACGCCCCCACCUCCAUCUAGCCCACGGUGACCGCCCAUUCCACUGCCGAGCACUCUGCCGCCAACUUGACAACGUUCGUUACCUCAUCAACAUCCGACGCCUCAUCUUUGGAAGGUUGUGUCACUGCUGAACCCCCUACUGUAAACCUAGCCUCCUUUGACGGCAGCCCAGACUAUGCCCUGUUCGAUUUAUGGUUUCACUUACAGGUACAUGAGUGGUACUACUAAUUCUAAUUUCCUAGAUGACAUGAGCACCUAAUUAGAUGAGCCCUUAUGCAGCAGGAGACCCAGGAAAGCAUUCGUGAUGGAGAUUGGUCGUGCAACAUGAUGCUCUGGCUAUGCUUUGAAUUUCCUGCAUAUUUACCUUACUAACAAGCAUCACUGAAUGGAAAUUAGAAUCAUCAAAUUAUGUUAGUUAUGAAGCAGGUUGAUGUUUGAACAAUUUACCAAUGUCGGUGACACAACUAGUACACAUGAAAAGCCCAACAACCAUUGGUGUAUGUAGAUGAUAUGACCUUCAACCUUUUUAGUCUUUGUUCCAUUUACUGAAGUGUUGUAUCACUUAAUUCUGCGAAUCAUUUAUCAACCACACCCAGGUAUCCAUUUUAAUUAUUUGUGUCACUACCAAAGUAAUUGUAUGAGAAUAAUUAUUUGUUUUCCAUGGAAAAUAAUUUUUCAUCUGUAUUGUUCUGCCAAUUGUAUUUCUAGUAUCCUAUGCAUAUUAUUUACUGUCUCUUUUUCUUUAUAUACCAUGCAGUUUGUGAUUUCAGAAAACAACCAAUCAAGUCUAUGAUACUCAUCUAUAUUCUGGUGAGUUAAAGAUCCAUAUGAAGUUUGUUGGGCAUCAUCUAAUCUUAUUCUGUGCCUUGUCUAGAGUUGAUUAGCUCUAGUGUUUAUAUUAGUAUUCUUAAUGCUGAAGUUUGUGUGUUCGAUUUGUUGGAAAACAGAUGAAUGCAACAACUGAUCAGGUUCAAGAAAGAUGAAGCAAGAAAUGUUGUUUCCCAGGCUCUAAAUCUGAAGCUUCCUUUUGAUGAGAUAGAUUUGAUGGAGGAGAACCUAGAGGUGGAGCUGAUCAGGAGGCAACUGGGUCUUCAGCAUGUUAGGUCCUGAUGAUAAGUCAAUUUUGACGUUAAAUGUGAACCUAUUUCUAAGACGUGUCAAUCACAAUUUUUUCUCAAGGACCAAAUUAGUUGCUGAAAUCUGUUGUUUUCCCAAAUCAUCUACUCUUCUGGGAGCUCUUUGUGAUAUCAUCGAUACUAGUACUUCUCAAGCAGAGCAAUAAUACUGAUAUAAAAAGGUACUUCUGCUUUUCAUUUGCAUGAUACAUGAAGAAUAAUAAGAGGCAGAAAGUGCAAGUAACACUUGCAUGAUCAUGCAAGUCUUUGUGAGCACCUCCAUUUGUCCUAGGAAUGUCAUAAUUUUCUUAAGAGUAUUCACUUCGGAAAGCAGGAGCUAAAAACCUAUUUUAGCCUGUUUAUGCUAUCAGCAUUCUUGCUGAUGUCCAUGUUCUGCUCGAGGAUAUCAAAGAGCAGAAACAAAGAAUCAGGUAAAUUUUGAACCCCGUUGAAGAAUUGAUUGGAGGGAGCUUGCUCUUUAGCUCAGUAUGGGAUAUAGUGUUCACCAUUUGUUACUGCAAAUGAACCAAGUGGUUCACCUAUAUGUAAGCUUACGCGCACCUUUGGAAGGAGCGGCAGUCCCUCAUGGAGUGCGUAGACCUCUUGACCCCGUCCCUGUCGGUAAAGCUUGUUGGAAAUAUGAGCAAACUACUAUGAGUUUUAAUCCAAAUAAACAGAUGAUAAAUCAUGACAGCACUAGCAAAGAUUAAACUAAUCAUGUGAAAUAGCAUAGUAGAUGAACAAAUGACAUCUAGGGCACAUACUAGAAACAUGAAUUCUACCAGGAUCUCGAAUAGGAAGGAUAGAAUCACAUACGGUGCAGCGGUUGCAGCACCGCCGGUGUUGACGUUGUCGCCCAUGUCGUCGAGGAUGAGGUUGCCAAGGUUGGGGAAGAACUCGUCGUUCGCGAAGUCGUCGCUACGAGCAGUCGCGCAAGUGCGCUCCCUAAAAACCUGAUCGCCCCUCUCCCAUACACGAUCAUGAGAGGCGGGGUUCCAGAGGCCUGCUGUCCCUUCUCCCGGUGCACGCCGAAAGGAGGGAUGGAGAAGACUAGCUUGGCGGCUCAAUGAUCUGGAACGGUGGUGAGAAACCAUAUGAAGCGGCAACUACUAGGGUAGACGUCUUCCUGACUAUAUAGUGCGGGCCGGGUAGGUCGUGGGAGUUAACCCCACGUCCGAGUUGUCACGAUCCAAAAGAAUCAGAAAUGGUUCAGUAAUUAACUCGUCCAUUGCUUAUUAAUUAAUGACUCAUUAAUUUUUCCCGAGCAGCAAAAAUAUAGACAACAUGCAUAGCUCUGUCUUCGGCUCGCCUCGAUCCUGCAACCCGCGGCGCGGUGCGGCGUCGGCUUUGAUCUCGACGUGGACUCCUGUCACCUCCGAUAACGGCAGCGCACUGGAGACAUGGAGUGGAUGAGAUGUCGAUGAGGCGGGUGUCGACGAAAUCUUUGGCACGAGGGGACGAGAUCCUCCGCGGUCCACCCGACGAUGGGGUUGAUGCUGGUGCAGGGGCUGGCGUGACCAGCGUAUCCGUACCCAACUUGAUCGGAGUACGGAGUCGAACGGACCCGACGAUGUUGAUGUGGAAGCGGAGGCUCCCAAAAGUCAAAUCGAUACCCUUGUGGAGGGCGCUGAACACGGCGCGUUGCUCCAGGGUGUGUGGCACGAACUCGAGGGAGCCGAAGAAGAUCUGCUCCGCAAGAGUCGACGAACUGCCAUUCGUUGAGAUGAGGAUCAGAGACUCCAUGGGUCCAGUAGACGAAAUUCCCACAUACGGUGCGAAUCGACGAGGGAGUACCUCGGCAAUGCCCAUGGUUGUGGACUUAGGGUUUUGAUGAAUCAUGUCUACCGGUGGAAUCGACGAUCUAAACGUGAGGUGUGAAACACAAGACACAGAUUUACCCAGCUUCAGGCCCUUGUAAAGGAAACCCUACGUGUUGCUUGUCGGAUCUUUAUAUUGAUGGAGUGUACAAAGUCGUUGAGAUCGGAGACUAGGGUUAGCCCUUGCGCAUGGCCAAGGCUAGAUCAAUCGUGAUGGUGGUUGUGAGGUUUGUGUGCGUUAUUGUUGUGUCGACCCCGUACCCCUCUCCCAGCCUUUAUAGACUAGGCUGGGUCCCGAGUUCGUAUCAGGAUCAGUUUACAUCAUGGUAAGGGGGUUUCCCUAUCUACUUACAAUAGCACUUCCUUACGGAUCACGUCAUGUCCGUGGGCUUCCUGGGCUCCAAGCGUGGCGAUGACCUGGACCUCGAGUCCUUCCAGGCCGCAGGCCUCCUGUUAUGCGAUACCAGGUAUCCUUAUGGUGGGCACCCGCAGGGUCAUGCCCACAACAAUCAUCCAAAUUAUCAUGCCUAUCUUAAUGGCUAUAAAGAAAGAGCUUUUGGGAGACAACCCAUUAUAUUUUUUCUUUCAGUUUAUUUUUGUUUCUUUGAGUCUUGGAAGUUAUUACCUCUGUAAUAACCUCUCCUUAUCCUUCUUGUUUCGUUUUUGUGCCAAGAAUAGCCACUAAUGGGAGGAAAGUGAGAUUUGGGGAAGUUGCUAUCCCGAAACUGAUUUUGUGCUGUCACCAAAAAAAUUAAUUCUCUCAGCCAGAACGUCGGAUUGAUAUGAAAUGUUUUAUGCUCAUGCCCCAGGUUGUUACCCAACUUGUUCUAUGGUGCUCUCCGUGUCGCGCAAGCGUGAGGGAUCCCCGCUGUAGGGUUUGCAAUAUGUUCAUGAUUUGCUUAUGGUGGAUGGCGUGAGUGACAUAAGCACAGACCCGAGUAAGUAGGUUGUUUGCGUAUGGGAUAAAGGGGACUUGAUACUUUAAUGCUAUGGUUGGGUUUUACCUUAAUGAUCUUUAGUAGUUGUGGAUGCUUGCUAGAGUUCCAAUCAUAAGUGCAUAUGAUCCAAGUAGAGAAAGUAUGUUAGCUUAUGCCUCUCCCUCAAAUAGAAUUGCAAUAGUGAUUACCGGUCUAGUAACGUAGUCAAUUGCUUAGGGACAAUUCCACAACUCCUACCACCACUUUUCCACACUCGCUAUAUUUACUUUAUUGCUUCUUUACCUAAACAGGCCCUACUUUUUAUUUACGUGUUCUUUAUUAUCUCGCAAACCUAUCCCAAUAACACCUACAAAGUACUUCUAGUUUCAUACUUGUUCUAGGUAAAGCGAACACUAAGCGUGCGUAGAGUCGUAUCAGUGGCAGAUAGGGCUUGAGAGAGUAUUUGUUCUACCUUUAGCUCCUCGUUGGGUUCGACACUCUUACUUAUCAGAAGAGGCUACAAUUAUCCCGUAUACUUGCGGGUCAUCAAGAUCUUUUUCUGGCGCCGUUGCCGGGGAGUCAUAGCGUGGGGUGAAUAUUCUCGUGUGUGCUUGUUUGCUUUAUCACUAAGUAAUUUUUAUUUGUUGUUCUUAGUUGCUCUAUAUCUUUAGUUAUGGAUAUGGAACACGAAAUACCAAAAACAUUAGGUGUACUUGAUACUCAUGGAGAUGGGGAACCUCCUAAAACCCUCGAUGCUCGUUAUGUGAAAGACAUUAUGUACUACUUUAAUAAUCCUGAGAAACCCCCAUUCAAUUAUGUUAUGGGUGACACGUUGGAUCAACGUGAAUACUUUAGGGAUUAUCGCUUGACACAAAAAGGGAAACUAUUAUGGGAUAAAAUUAAUAUGUUGCCUUGGUAUGCUCUGGAUUUAUGCUUGAGAUAUGAUAUUACUUUUUGCUCUAGGAUGAAGGCUCCACACCUUCCCUUUUCAUGCAAAUUUAAUGAUAAUGAAACCUUAGCUUCUUAUGCUAGAAGUAUAUAUGAUUACUAUGAUGUUGAACAAAUUGAAGAAUUUGUUGCUUUUAAGGCUACUUAUGAAAUUGAAUCUUUGUUUGAAAAGUAUGAAGCUUUAGAUGAUGAUGUUUAUAGGCUUGAAAAUUAUGCUAUAUUGAAAUAUUGCUAUGAAAUUAUGAAUACAAUUACAAUAUUAAUGCAUUUGUUGAGAAAGUCUCCGCUGUCCAAGAAGAGACUAAUAUUUUGCAGGAAGUUAUGGAAGAAGAAAUUGAUGAAACUGUGAGCCCAUUGGAUGAAAAAGAUGAUGAGGAGAGCGAAGAACAAAAGGAGGAAGAGCGGAUUGAUCACCCGUGCCCACCUUCUACGGAGAGUAACUCUUCAACUCAUACAUUGUUUAAUUCCCCUUCGUGCUUACCGAAGGAUGACUGCUAUGAUGAUUGCUAUGAUCCCAUUGAUUCUCUUGAAAUAUCCAUUUUUGAUGAUACUUGCUAUGCUUGUGGCCAAGAUGCCAAUAUGAAUUAUUCUUAUGGAGAUGAACUUGCUAUAGUUCCUUAUGUUAAACAUGAAAUUGUUGCUAUUGCACACACACAUGAUAGUCCUAUUAUCUUUUUGAAUUCUCCCGACUACACUAUAUCGGAGAAGUUUGUUCUUAUUAAGGAUUAUAUUGAUGGGCUGCCUUUUACCAUUACACAUGAUAAUUUUUAUGAAUGUGAUAUGCAUGUGCUUGCUGCUCCUACUUGCAAUUAUUAUGAGAGAGGAACUAUAUCUCCACCUCUCUAUGUUUCCAAUAUGAUAAAAUUGCAAGAAACUGCUUAUACUAUGUGUUGGCCUUUACUAUGUGUGCAUGAAUUGUUUUUUAUGACAUGCCUAUGCAUAGAAAGAGAGGUAGACUUUGUUUUUGCAUGAUAUAUGUUACUUUGUGCUCACUACUAAAUUACAAAUCAUUGUUAAUUAAAAUUGGCUUUGAUAUACCUUGGGAUCCGGGUGGAUUCAUUACUUGAGCACUAUAUGCCUAGCUUAAUGGCUUUAAAGAAAGUGCUGCCAGGGAGACAACCCGGAAGUUUUAGAGAGUCAUUUAUUUCUGUUGAGUGCUUUUAUAUAGUUUAAAAACAAACAAUAAAUAAAGAGGGGAACCUAAAAACUUUUCAAAAAGGAAAGUGAAAGUGAGAGAGACAAGCAUUGUUGAAGUGGGAGAGCUCCUUGAACUUUGUUCAUGCUCACGGAAACUUUGUGAAUCUUGAUUAUAGAAACUUUUCAUCAAAAAUAAUUAUCCCCUUGUACAAUUCCAUUGUAUUAUAAAAAUAAUGUGCCAAGGUUUGCCUUUAGGAUGUUUACAAUGCUUGUUGGUUUGUACGGUGCAGGACAGGAACUUUGGCUGUAGUGCUCGAUUUUACAUUUUUUGCCGAAAUGGUUCUGAUUCCUUUUGCACUGUCUUUCUGUACUACUUAUUUAUUUUUCCUAAUUUUGGUAGAAUUUUUGGGUACAGAAGUAUGGUGAAUGUUCAGAUUGCUACAUACUGUUCUAUUUUUGACAGAUUCUGUUUUUGAUGCAUAGUUUGCUUGUUUUGAUGAAUCUAUCAAUUUAUAUCAGUGGAUUAAGCCAUGGAAAAGGUAUAUUAUAGUAGACACAAUGCAAAAACAAAUUAUGAAUUGGUUUGCAACAGUACUUAGAGUGGUGAUUUUCUUUAUUAUACUAACGGAUCUUACCGAGUUUUCUGUUGAAGUUUUGUGUGGAUGAAGUGUCUAAUCGAGGAGGUCUCGAUAUGAGGAAAAGGAAGAGAGGCACGAGCUCAAGCUUGGGGAUGCCCGAGGCACACCAAGUAAAUAUUCAAGGAGACUCAAGCGUCUAAGCUUGGGGAUGCCCCGGAAGAUAUUCCCUCUUUCUUCAACAAGUAUCGGUAUGUUUUCGGAUUCGUUUCGUUCAUGCGAUAUGUGCAAGUCUUGGAGCGUCUUUUGCAUUUAGUUUUCAUUUUUAUUUUAUGCACCAUGCUGGUAUGAGAUAGUCCUUGGUUGAUUUAUAGAAUUCUCAUUGCACUUCACUUAAAUCUUUUGAGUGUGGCUUUAUAGAAUGCUUCAUGUGCUUCACUUAUAUCAUUUGAAGUUUGGAUUGCCUGUUUCUCUUUACAUAGAAAACCGCCAUUUGUAGAAUGCUCUUUUUGCUUCACUUAUAUUUGUUAGAGCGUGGACAUAUCUUUUGUAGAAAGAAUUAAACUCUCUUGCUUCACUUUAUCUAUUUAGAGAGAUGACAGGAAUUGGUCAUUCACAUGGUUAGUCAUAAAAUCCUACAUAAACUUGUAGAUCGCUUAAUAUGAUAUGUUCGAUUCCUUGCAAUAGUUUUGCGAUAUAAAGGUGGUGAUAUUAGAGUCAUGCUAGCGGGUGGUUGUGGAUUGUAGAGAAACUUGUGUUGAGGUUUGCAAGUCCCGUAGCAUGCACGUAUGGUAACCGUUGUGUGACAAAUUUGAAGCAUGGGGUGUUUCUUUGAUUGUCUUCCUUAUGAGUGGCGGUCGGGGACAAGCGAUGGUCUUUUCCUACCAAUCUAUCCCCCUAGGGGCAUGCAUAGUAGUACUUUGCUUCGAGGGCUAAUAAACUUUUUGCAAUAAGUAUAUGAGUUCUAUAUGACUAAUGUGAGUCCAUGGAUUAUACGCACUUUUACCUUUCCAUCAUUGCUAGCUUGUUCGUACCGUGCAUUGCCCUUUCUCACCUCGAGAGUUGGUGCAAACUUCACCGGUGCAUCCAAACCCCGUGAUAUGAUACGCUCUAUCACACAUAAGCCUCAUUAUAUCUUCCUCAAAACAGCCACCAUACCUACCUAUCAUGGCAUUUCCAUAGCCAUUCCGAGAUAUAUUGCCAUGCAACUUCCAUCAUCAUCACAUACAUGACUUGAGCAUUUAUUGUCAUAUUGCUUUGCAUGAUCGUAAGAUAGCUAGCAUGAUGUUUUUAUGGCUUGUCCGCUUUUUGAUGUCAUUGCUACGCUAGAUCAUUGCACAUCCCGGUACACCGCCGGAGGCAUUCAUAUAGAGUCCUAUCUUUGUUAUAGUAUCGAGUUGUAAUAUCGAGUUGUAAGUAAAUAAAAGUGUGAUGAUCAUCAUUAUAGAGCAUUGCCCCAUAAAAAAGAAAAAGGAAAGGCCAAAGAAGCCUAAAUAAGAAAGGGGGCCAAAGAAGCCCACCCAAAAAGAAAAAAAAGAAAAAAAAGAAAGAAAAAAGAAAAAGAAAAGGGGCAAUGUUAUUAUUCUUUUACCACACUUGUGCUUCAGAGUAGUAGCAUGUUCUUCAUAUAGAGAGUCUCAUAUGUUGCCACUUUCAUUUACUAGUGGGAAUUUUCAUUAUAGAACUUGGCUUGUAUAUUCCAAUGAUGGGCUUCCUCAAAUACCCUAAGUCUUCAUGAGCAAGCAAGUUGGAUGCACACCCACUUAGUUUUCAGUUUGAGCUUUCAUACACUUAUAGCUCCUAGUGCAUCUGUUGCAUGGCAAUCCCUACUCCUCGCAUUGACAUCAAUUGAUGGGCAUCUCCAUAGCCCGUUGAUUAACCACGUCGAUGUGAGACAUUCUCCCUUUUUGUCUUCUCCAUAUAAACCUCCACCAUUAUAUUCUAUUCCACCUAUAGUGCUAUAUCCAUGGCUUGCGCUCAUGUAUUGCGUGAGGGUUGAAAAAGCUGAAGCGCGUUAAAAAGUAUGAACCAAUUGCUUAGCUUUUGAUCGGGGUUGUGCAUGAUGGGAGCAUUUCGUGUGACAAAAAUGAAGCAUGGCCAAACUAUAUGAUUUUGUAGGGAUAAGCUUGCUUUGGCCUUGUUGUUUUGAAAAGACAUGAUUGCUUUAUUAGUACGCUCGAAGAAUUAUUGUUUUUAUGUCAAUUGAUAGACUAUUGCUUUGAAUCACUCGUAUCUUAAUAUUCAUGCCAUGAUUAGACAUAUGAUCAAGAUUAUGCUAGGUAGCAUUCCACAUCAAAAAUUAUCUCUUUUAUCAUUUACCUACUCGAGGACAAGAGGAAUUAAGCUUGGGGAUGCUGAUACGUCUCCGUCGUAUCUAUAAUUUUUGAUUAUUCCAUGCCAAUAUUCUUGAACUUUCAUAUACUUUUGGCAACUUUUUAUACUAUUUUUGGGACUAACAUAUUGAUCCAGUGCCCAGUUCCAGUUCAUGUUUGUUGCAUGUUUUAUGUUUUGCAGAAGACCAAUAUCAAACGGAGUCCAAACGGGAUAAAAAUGGACGGAGAAUUAUUUUGGAAUAUUUGGGAUUUUCCGGAGGAAGAGUCAAUGCGAAACAGUGUCUGAGGUGGCCAGGAGAUAGGGGGGCGCCCUCCCCCAUGGGCGCACCUGGCACUCUCCUGGGCCACUCGUAAGGCAGUUGACGCUCUUCUUUUGCUGCAAGAAAUCUAAUUUUAUGAGAAAAAUCUGGGCGAAAGAUUCACCCCAAUCGGAGUUACGAAUCUUAAGAUAUAAAACAAACAGUGAAGGGGCAGAAUCUGAGAACGCAGAAACAGAGAGAUAAAUCCAAUCUCGGAGGGGCUCUCGCCCCUCCCAAGCCAUGGGAGCCAAGGACCAGAGGGGAAACCCUUCUCCCAUCUAGGGAGGAGGUCAAGGAAGAAGAAGAAGAAGGGGGGCUCUCACCCCUUGCUUCCGGUGGCGCCGGAACGCCCCGGGGGCCAUCAUCAUCACCGCGAUCUUCACCAACGCCUCCGCCAUCUUCAUCAACAUCUCCAUCACCUUCCCCCAUCUAUAUUCAGCGGUCCACUCUCCCGCAACCCACUGUACACUCUACUUGAACAUGGUGCUUUAUGCUUCAUAUUAUUAUCCAAUGAUGUGUUGCCAUCCUAUGAUGUCUAAGUAGAUUUCCAUUGUCCUAUCGGUGAUUGAUGAAUUGCUAUGAUUGGUUUGAGUUGCAUGCUUUAUUAUUGGUGUUGUCCUAUGGUGCUCUCUAUGUCGUGCAAGCGUGAGGGAUCCCUGCUGUAGGGUUUGCAAUAUGUUCAUGAUUUGCUUAUGGUGGGUGGCGUGAGUGACAGAAGCACAGCCCCGAGUAAGUAGGUUGUUUGCAUAUGGGAUAAAGGGGACUUGAUACUUUAAUGCUAUGGUUGGGUUUUACCUUAAUGAUCUUUAGUAGUUGCGGAUGCUUGCUAGAGUUCCAAUCAUAAGUGCAUAUGAUCCAAGUAGAGAAAGUAUGUUAGCUUAUGCCUCUCCCUCAAAUAGAAUUGCAAUAGUGAUUACCAGUCUAGUAACGUAGUCAAUUGCUUAGGGACAAUUCCACAACUCCUACCACCACUUUUCCACACUUGCUAUAUUUACUUUAUUGCUUCUUUAUCUAAACAGCCCCUACUAUUUAUUUACGUGUUCUUUAUUAUCUUGCAAACCUAUCCCAACAACACCUACAAAGUGCUUCUAGUUUCAUACUUGUUCUAGGUAAAGUGAACACUAAGCAUGCAUAGAGUCGUAGCAGUGGCAGAUAGGGCUUGAGAGAAUAUUUAUUCUACCUUUAGCUCCUCGUUGGGUUCGACACUCUUACUUAUCGAAAGAGGCUACAAUUAUCCCAUAUACUUGCGGGUCAUCACCUAGCGGUGUGAAAUAAAUGGGAAACUUGUAAGUUCAUGGAGUUUGUAUAUGAGUUAGAGAAACGCCUGGGCGGCCAACCCAAGCCAUGCAUAAUUCAUGGUGGAAAUUUACAACAUAACCAUAGUGAGCAUUCUAUGGAGCAUCUUCAAUAAAAAAAACUAUGCCCAUGGUAAUAAAAGGAUUGCUGAGAUGCUCAUUGUCUGUUGCCUUGUCAUUUUGGUAUGGGAUAGCUCUUGUGUCAUGGGGCAAGGGGUACACCGUUGGCAUGAACUUACAAUGACAAGAAUUUAUUUGGGACCUAAGUUGAGUAGCAUGAGGUUUAGGUAAUUCUAUUCAAGGGGCAUGAGGCUUUCAAUUUGUGAUAUUUCAAGCAUACAACUCAUAUUUGCCCUCACUUUAACCUUAACCAUUCAAGAUGCGUAUGAUAGGGGCAAUGAGAGCUCAAAUCUAAUGAGGACCAUAAUUUUUGGAUGCUUUAUAAAACUUAUUAAUCCCUACUUACCUCUAUGAAGGGCCUUUCUUUUACUUUUUUGUUGAGUCUUCAUCUUCUAUCUUUAUGCUCCAACUAAGAGAGCAUAGUUGUCAUUCUGAGUAUAAUGUGCAUUGUCCCAAAACUUGUUGAUUGAUUCAUGAUUAUGGUAUUGCUUAUUUUCAAAUUAUUUGUAUCUAGUCACCCUUUUGAACUUUGAAGGUGUCCUAUGCAUUUAUGUUUUGCUACUCCAUGAAGGACAGGCUGAAUACCACUUUGCCAUGUUUUCUCUAUGUGCGAAACAAACAAAUGUCUUUCAAAGCAUUAUUCAUGAUCUUUUGUUUAUGUUGCCUUUCAUGUUGUAACAUAGUUGCUAUGUUCUAUUGUUAGAAAUAUAUCUUUCAUACCUAUGUUUAGAGUACUUUGAUCCCAUCUUAGAAUGUUUUACAAUGAUCAUGAUCAAGAUUCUAUUGGCUGCAUGUCACCUCAAAAACUAUUUUUGUUAUCACUUACCUACUCGAGGACGAGCAGGAGUUAAGCUUGGGGAUGAUGAUAUGUUGCAAACAUAUGUAUAAUUUUUGAUGCUCCAUGCUUGUUUUACACCAAUUACUUUAUGUUUUUUUACACUUUGUGGCAUUUUUAUGUAUUUUCUGGAACUAACCUAUUGACAAGAUGCCACAAUGCCAGUUCCCUUUUUUCCUGCUGUUUUUGUGUUUUGGAGAAAUUAGUAACGAAAUAUUCCCGGAAUUGGACGAAACAAAUGCCAAAGUUCCUAUUUUUCUCGACAUGACACGGAGUCCAAAGCAGAGAUGGAGGAGGGCACUGAAAGUGCAUUAUAUCGACUAGAGGAGGGGGGUGAAUAGGCGAUUUUUAUGAAUUCUUCACUGAGGAAUUUGUUGGUGAGGAAAUUCUUUGGCGAAGAACUACUUGCAGCGGAAUAAGUACUCAGAAGUAAGCGUAACAAAAUACAGGCAUGGUCAUCAUGAUGAAAUGAAGACACGCACAGAGUAUAGAAAGCUUAAACACAGGAUAACACAAGAUGAAGACAAACAGACUGAAGAAAUUGAACUGAGGAAAUUGAGAAAGUCUUCAGUCAAAGUCUUCAAACACGGAUAUGAACAAUCACUCAACACAGUAAUGAGUAAAUGAAAGAGUUGAGGGAAUAGAACCAGGAAGGUUGGUGAAGACAAUGAUUUGGUAGACUAGUUCCAACUGCUGUCUCAGUUGUACGUCUGGUUGGAGCGGCUGAGUAUUUAAACUUGAGGGCACAUAGUCCCGGACACCCAGUCGCUGAGCACGCAGCUCAGGACACCAAGUCCUCACCGUAUUCUCCUUGAACUAAGGUCACAUAGACCUCGUCCAAUCACUAGUGGUAAGUCUUCAGGCGAAACCCAAACCUUCACAAACUCGGUCACUCGGCGAUCCACAAUUCCUCCUUAUGCUCUAGACCAUGACGCCUAACCAUCUGGAAGAAGCACAGUCUUCAAAGGUAACAAGCGUCGGUUCCACGCAGUAUCAAUCUCUUCAGUGAUACUCAAUCACUUUGGGUUUGUAGGUGUUUGGGUUUGGGUUUUUUCCUCACUUGAUUAUUUUUGCUCAAAGUCUUCGGAUGAUGGGAUGCUCUCAAGUGUCAGUUUCUCUCGGAGCAACCAACCAGCUAGUUGUUGUAGGGGGCGGCUAUUUAUAGACUAGGGAGCAGCCCGACAUGAUAAGACAUAAAUGCCCUUGUCCGAUAUGACCGUUAGGUGGAUAAGAUAUUUUGGGAGAGUUGGCGCGCAGCACAACACUGGUCGGAAAUUUGAAUCUCAAAUUCUUCAGGGCUAUCAUGUUCCUCACUUUGUAGGCAAUCCGCACUGGCGAAUUCCUAACUCCUUAGUCAGAAAAAAUUCCUCAGCGACUAGAAGAACUUCGUCUCUAUCACUGAAGAAAUGACUGAACUGUAUGAGAUUUCCAAAGGCUUCACUCGAAGGGAUUGGUACGUGUAGGAUUUUGAGUUGAGCAUCACAUGGAAAUUUUUCCUUAGUAUUUCCUAGACCCCCUUUAACAGUACGGUGUUUCCUAUGACUCAAGAAAGAGAAAAACAAAACUAUGAAAACGAAAGUCUUCAAGCUUCAUAUUCCUCGCAUGAAUAUCAAUUCUUCACGGACACACCAAUUUCUUCAAUUUCGAAGUCUUCAUGAAAGUCUUCAGGAAUACCAAAAUCUUCAGUCAAAGAUAUUCAUUUUUAGGGGUCGACUUUCUCUAUAAAUAUCAAACUCCUCAUAGACUUAUAGACCUGUGUACACUCAUAAACACAUUAGUCCCUUAACCUAUAAGUCUUCAAUACACCAAAAUCACUAAGGGGCACUAGAUGCACUUACAAUCUCCCACUUUUUGGUGAUUGAUGACAAUAUAGGUUAAGUUUUCAACGGGGAUAAACAUAUGAACUAUAAGUACUGAUAUUGAGGAAUUUGAUGGCAAGAUAUAGAAGAACUCCCCCUAAAGAUGUGCAUAGUGAGGAAUUUUCUUUUGAAGCAAUGCACACUUGAAGAGUUGAAUCAUGGAGAUCUCCCCCUAUAUCUUGUAAUUCAUACACGCAUUUGGCAUAUAAUAUGAAGAAUUUGAAAUGCAUGAUGAAAUAUGGUGCCUGAUGAAAUUCAGCAUGCGUGCAAUAAUAUUAAUGAGGAACAAGCAUGCAGAAUAACGCAUCAAGAGUAUCAGAGCACAAUGCAUCAAAAGUAUCAGAGCACCAUCGGGUUUAAGAUUACAACUCGAUCCAAUAAAGUUUUAGAAGAACGAGAGUUUUAACUUAGCAAAAACGCCCAUAUAAUACACCCGCUUGAAGACUAACUCAAAUUUCUCCCCCUUUGUCAUCGAAUGACCAAAAGGUUCGAAACUGAGGACUAACGCCCCUGAAGAAUAUCAAGUUGAUGGAGGAGCAUCAGCAUUGUCAGGGUCGGUUGUCGUAGUAGGGCCUGCCGAAGUGUCGUCCAAGUCUUCAUUUUCAUCAGUGUCACGCGAUGAAGAAUAGGAGCUGGCCACCAAGGAAGGAACCUUGACCUUCUUGAAUUUCUUCGGUGGAGGUGCAGACCAGUCAAAUUCGUCCUUGAGACCCAUUCUCUUCAGAUCCUCUGCGCCGUAGACAUGAGAUAGAACAGCCCAGGUACGGUUGAAGGUUCCAUGGAGGUAGUAGUGGUUUUUCUUCACUACAUUGUGUGUUGAGGUCAUGUUGUGAAGAAUUGAACCAAACUGACGCUUGACCCAUUUAUGAUUGCGAUCAACUUUCUGAUGAAGACUGAGGAGUAAUUCACGAUCAGUCAUCACCCUGGGUGCUGUGGCUUGAGGAAUUUGCUUGGCAGAGGUGUUGGCGGCAGAGUCAUGUGUGGCAGAGUCAUCAUUGGUGGAGUAGGAUGCAGCCUUGCGAAAUUGACCAUCCAAUGGACGAAUGCCUUCAUCUAUCACAACAGUUGCCUUGCCUUUGUCAUCAGCUGAGGAAAAUGUCCGUGUGAGGACUUCAAUUGGAGGCAAGUAGCUGUCGUGGUUUAGAGUAUCAUCCUUGUAAUUGAGUGAAGACCUUGUCGUGAUGAACCUCAUAAUCCAUGGUGCAUAAGGCUUCAGCUCAAAUGCUGACAUAGCAAUAUUCACCAGAGUCAUCAUGAAGAAAUCAUGGAAGUUGACGGGAACGCCAUUAAUGAUAUUGAAAAGCAUAUUCUUCAUGAUGCCAACGACUUCUUCAUCAUUUGAGUCGUGGCCUUUGAUAGGACUCAUUGUCUUCGUCAAAAUGCGAUAGACAGUCCGUGGCACAUACAGUCAUUCCUUGACGAGGAAUUUGGUUAGAGGGGCCUGCCCUGGCUUCAAAGGCUUCAUCAGCACUUGCAUGUAAUGAUUUUAAGCUCAGGUUUGUUGUAGAUGCAACGAGCACCUUCAAGGGGAGGACUGAGUGGGAGGGCACGAAGCAAUUCAGUUGCUGGUGCCUUGUAGUGAGUAUUGUCUGACAUCCAGUCCAGCACCCAUGAGUUCACAUCUUUAGAAUUUCCUAUGAUGUGCAGCGUUGCAUAGAAUUGAAGAAUGAGUUCUUCAUUCCAAACACAGAUGUCAGUGCAGAAAUUCAGCAAUCCAGCAUCGUGAAGAACACUAAGGACUGGCUCGAAGCACGGUAGAGACUCCAUGUCCACAUGAGGAAUAUGUUCAUGAUCGAAGACUUUGUCUUUGUUGAAUAGUACCGAGGAAUAGAAAUUUUCUUGACUAGCAGUCCAGAAACGCCUCUUCCUUAUGCGAGUAGAAUCAUAGGGGUUGUAGUUUGUGAAGAACACAUGCUCGCUGAAGAAAUCUUUAGCCUUGAACUUUUGCUUCUUUGAGAAUGGAUCCGUUGGCUUGGGCACUAGAGUGUCAGUGAGUUGCAUCACAACCUCAGGAAUCGCAAUCUCAGGUUCUUCAGGCUAAGGAAUUUCUGGUUCCUCUUCAGUGGCAGUCUGUGUGUUCAAAGGAUCAGCAACAACAGUUUCUUCAGCACUAGCGGCUGGAAUUUCUUCAUGCACACAUGAGGUGGGAUGAGUUUCUUCAGAGCCCAUUUGAACGGUUGGUGCAGGGGACUAAGGUAUUUGUUGUAUUGGGGUGAAGAGUGGAGAAUUGGGGUGCUAACUUUCCCAAAAGUCAUCAUUCAUCACCGGCGUUGUGCAGCCAAUGCCCACGUCUUCAUCUUCAAUUUCUUCAACGCCAGCCUCUUCAGCUGUGAACUGAGGCAUUGGCAAGGAAGCAACAGGAGUUGAAGGGAUCGUAUCCACUUCAAUUUCUUCAUAAACCUGCUCUAAUGAAGCAGCAAAUUGAGGUUCUUCAUCAGAUCCGCUUGGGAUCACAUAUUCUUCACCAAAAGGAACAAGGUCCUUUGAUGGCAUGGUGGAAAUUGGAAUAGCAUCAAUUGGAUUUUCAAGUGAGCUAGUCAUAGGCUUCAUCUUUUUUGGAGCUGAAGAUUAUGAAGCACUUGAUGCUUUCCUUUUCUUCACUGCAGCUCGCUCUGCAGCCUUGGUCUUCUUCACAUAUAAUGCAGAUGGAAGGAUUGGAGUUGGUCUAGGCGCAGGAGGAGCUGGGGAAUCUGGUUGAUUUUCUUCAGGCACAACUGAUGCAGUUGCCCUGACCUCUUCAGUUUCUUCAGGCGCACCACUAGUGGAUGCCCUGGCAAUUUCUUCAGCGGCUGGAAUGGAUUCAUCAGCCCUGGAACAAGCAUUUUCAUCAGCAGCCUGAAAGUCAUCAGCGGUGCUGGCAUGUUCUUCAGUUGGCUGAGCAGAAGCUUCAGCUUCAGGAAUUUCUUGUUGCGAUGGGGCUGCAACAUUGGUGAACUUUUCAGUCAGUUUAACAAACCUGACUUUGGCUCCUUGCCAAUCAUCAUAGUAAGCAUUGAAAUCAUCACUGGGGGCUUUGAUUUCAGACUGGAUCUUGAGGAGUUCAUCAGUUGUCAUAUUGACAACGUUUAUCUUCAGGAACUUCUCUUUCCUGAACUGAGCCUUCUUGAUCUGCCUGGCCUUCUCAAAUUUCCAUUUCUCUUCAGUGAUGAAAUGGGUCAGCAUGUGACUGUGACCAGGAGUCAAAUUGAAAUCAGGCAUAGGAGUAUUUGGAUCCUUGUGCCAGAGAUCAAUGUAAUCGAGGAUCGCCCUUGGAUCCAAAAGCAGUGGCACAUUUGUGCCUUUGGCUCUAGCGGCCCUUUCUUGUCUGUCUCUGAUGAUUUCUGCAAGUUCAUCAUCAUCAGCUUCAUCGUCAGAUGGCACUUGGAAGGCAACCUGUUUCUUCUUCGGACUUGGCCGAGGACCUCGACCAGCCAUUGCCUUUGUCUUCAGCAGGGUGGGGCCUGAUGAAGAUUUUGGUGCAGGUGAGGAACUCGUUGAGGCACCAGAGGCAAUAGAGAUGCCUGUAGUCCUUUGGCACGUGGCCAGAUGUACAGGUGUUGAGGACUUUGCCGGAGCAGCGGAGGACAUUGGGGGAGGAUCUGAGGAUUUUGGAGAAGCAGGAGCAGCAUGAGGAACUGGCCGUGAGGGCUUUGAAGAAUCUGGCUGUGAGGGCUUUGAAGAUUCUGGCCGUGAGGGCAUUGCUGAGGAACUUGGCCGUGAGGGCAUAGUUGGUGAAGCACUUGUCUUGUGAGCGGGCUUCUUUGCCAUUGAUUUUCUAGGCUUGACAGAGGCCUCAGUGGCAACAGCAGCAGUAGAGUCUUCAUUGAAUUUCCUCACUGCUUCUUUGGCUUGUCUCGCCAACUUGGCUUGGCGUUUGGCCCAUUCUUCAGGAAAAUCCUCACCACGCUUGAUGCUGGUGGGGUCAGCUUCUUGGCCAGGUGCCAAUGGAGCUCUUGGGCAUGGAGGAUUUAGUGCAAAUUUCUUCAUAUACUUCGGAGUUACAUAUCUGUACUCCCUCCAUUCUCUUGCCCAUCUCCUUUCAAUCUUCUGUAUGCGCACCUUGCACUGAUUUUUGUUUUCCUUUCCGAACUUAGCCUCAUCAGGUGUGCAAUAACCAGCAUAGAUGUCCUCAGGUAUUUCAAAAGCAGUCAUGACCUCAGGCUUCUUUCCUCCUUUCUGCGGCUUCUUACCGUCUGCCAUAAUCUUCAGAUGAGGAAUUUGAACAAUCGAAUUCUCUGAAGAAGUAUGCAACUUUUCUUCGAGGAACGCUGCAAAUGAGUUAAGUUGAUGAGAACCUAGUGAUUCAGAAGCGGACAUGAGUACCUGUGAACAGAGUAUAGUUGCGACGAAUUUGGAGAGGUCAUAUGCGUUCUCAAAAGUUUUUUUUAAAAGAACAAGUUUGAGGAAUUUGACCAGAUGAACCUUGAAGAAUUUCACUAAGCGUUCUUUGUCUUAGGUUCCAGAGUUGUAUAGAUCGAGGAUCCACACAAUUGAGGAAUCUUGAAGAAAAAUGAUGCUUAGAGAAACGAAUCAAGAACAGAUGACUAGUGAGGUGUUUUGUGUGUGAGGAUUUGAAGAAUAAAACACCUUUGAAGAUUUUGUAGAGAAAAUUUGAAUCAAAGAGGGCAGUAAAAGUAACUUUUAAUUACCCUUGAUGAAGAACACGACGAACUGUGAAGAAGAACAGUGAAGUUCGUCGGUGUAGAUCUUCCACGCCCUAACUCGGCGGAGGAAGACAGCUACAGCGGCGGCGGAGUGAAGAUUUCCGCGGCCGGCGCGAGUACGACGGCGACGAGGUUGAGGCACUGAAGCUCUUCCUCACCGGCGACGAUGGAGUAGCGGCGGCGCUAGGGUUUGAGAAGCUCGAGCGAGAGAGAGCGAUCGAGCAGAGUAAAGGAAGUGAGGAAGGGGUGAGGGGGUAUUUAUAGUCGCAGUUAAAAACUGUUCACCCGAAGAUUUAGGACGAAUGUGCCCCUGACCCUUCUCAUCCGUUUGACAUGUGUCACCCACGUACUGAAAAGUGGGGAUCGUGUUAGAUCGUGGGUGAAUAGAUAAGUCUAUCAUGUGAUGCGGAACGGUUUGAGCGGUAAAACCGAAAAUUUUGGAUAAGAUUAGUUAAAAGUUCGUUCGCAAAUUCUUCAGCUGACAAGGACACAGUGAAGAUUUUGAACGAGUUUCCAAUAGAACGCACAUGAAGAAUUUGUGAAUAGAUUGGGUUGAGUAUAGCAUAGAGAGGGAAGGGUCCGAUCACAUUCACUUAGCAGAAAAUGCAGCUUGAAGAAAUAGCCAUAAGUGAAUGUUGUAGAGGACAUAAACCCAUAUAUAUAUCCAAUGAAGAAAAACGACGGAAACAGUGAAGAUUUUGCAAAGUUGAAGAAUUUGAAAAACUAAAGAAUUUCAAAACUGAGGAAUUUCAAAAAUGAAGAUUUUCAACUUUGGUGGUGGCGUGACCCACCGUAUAAGAAUGAUGAUUUCAGACACCGCGUACAAUUGUCGUAGGGUUCUGAGAAUCAAAUUCUUCAUUAAUUUCUUCACACUUAGAGUGUUAUUCUUCAUUGAUUGAAGAAAAAUGUUUCUUCAUGUGUUGCACAUCUAAGUCAUCAAUUUUGCACAAGUGUUAGGAUGAGUGUCCUUUUUCAAAGAACAUUCGAAGAUUCUAGGAUAUUUAGCUCACACCGCAACUUGCUAAAUCUCUUCUCAUCCAAGGGCUUUGUGAAGAUAUCAGCCAGCUGUUCUUCAGUCUUCACGUGCUCGAUGGAGAUGUCGCCCUUCAACACAUGAUCAUGAAGAAAAUGAUGACGAAUCUGAAUGUGCUUUGUCUUCGAGUGCUGAACUGGGUUGUGAGCAAUCUUGAUGGCACUCUCAUUGUCACAGAGGAGAGGCACAUUCUUCAGGUUGACGCCAUAGUCCUUGAGGGUUUGCUUCAUCCAUAGCAGUUGAGCACAGCAAGAACCAGCAGCAAUGUACUCAGCUUCUGAAGUAGACAGUGAUACGCAGUUCUGUUUCUUCGAGGACCAACAGACCAAAGAUCGUCCGAGGAAAUGAAAAGUACCAGAUGUUGACUUGCGGUCCACCCGAUCACCAGCAUAGUCAGAGUCGGAAUAUCCAAUGAGAUCAAAAGUAGAGCCCUUGGGGUACCAUAAUCCUAGUGUUGGUGUGUGAGCUAGAUAUCGAAGAAUAUGCUUCACAGCCUUAUGGUGUGAUUCCUUCGGUGCAGCUUGAAAUCGGGCACACAUGCAAACACUAAGCAUUAUAUCUGGCCUAGAUGCACAUAGGUACAAUAAAGAACCAAUCAUGGAGCGGUAUACCUUGUGAUCGAAGUCAAUACCAUUUUCAUCAGUGCAUAGAUGGCCAUUUGUGGGCAUAGGAAUUUUGACGCCUUUGCAAUCUUGCAUGCCGAAUUUCCUCAGAACAUCUUUGAGGUAUUUCUCCUGAGAUAUGAAUAUGCCAUUGUGCUGUUGAUGAAUUUGAAGACCUAAGAAGAAUUUCAUCUCUCGCAUCAUAGACAUUUGAUAUUCUUCACUCAUCAUAUAGGCAAAUUCAUCACUAUAAUGUUGGUCAGUACAGCCAAAGAUAAUAUCAUCAACGUAUAUUUGGCACACAAACAGUUCACCAUCAUAAGAUUUAGUAAAGAGAGUAGGGUCGAGUGAACCGGGUGUGAAGCCAUUCUUCAUGAAGAAUUCCUUCAGAGUAUCAUACCACGCCCGAGGGGCCUGCUUGAGGCCAUAGAGGGCCUUGUUGAGUCUGAAGACUUUGUCAGGAUUCUUUGGAUCUUCAAAACCUGGGGGUUGAGCAACAUAUACUUCUUCCUCAAGCUUACCAUUGAGGAAUGCACUUUUCACAUCCAUUUGAUAUAAAGUGAUAUUAUGAUGGUUAGCAUAAGCAAGUAAUAUGCGAAUAGCCUCAAGUCUAGAAACAGGUGCAAAAGUUUCAUCGGAAUCAAUUCCUUCAACCUGUGUGUAGCCUUGAGCUACAAGUCGUGCCUUAUUCCUCACCACAAGGCCAUUUUCAUCUUGCUUGUUGCGGUAGAUCCACUUUGUGCCAAUGAUAUUAUGCUUGCGAGGGUCUGGACGUUUGACCAGUUCCCAGACAUUGUUGAGCUCGAACUGAUGUAAUUCUUCUUGCAUGGCCUGAAUCCACUCAGGCUCUAGAAAUGCUUCAUCUACCUUAGUGGGCUCUGCGAUGGAGACAAAAGCAUAGUGCCCACAAAAGUUAGAUAAAUGUGAAGCUUUUGAGCGUGUGAGAGGACCUGGUGCUCGAAUGUCAUCGAUGAUCUUCUCCACUUGCACUUCUUUUGCAAUGCGAGGAUGAGCUGGUUGUCGUCGAGGAAUUUGAUCAGCAUUUUCUUCAUCACCAUUUUCUUCAGCAUUUUCAUCAGGUGCAUCAGCUCGAUUUUCUUUGCGUUCUGGAAUGAAUUCUUCAGUAGAUUCUUCGGUAGGAAUGACAUCCUCAGUAGCCUUGAACUUGAUAGAAUCCUCAGGUGCUGGUUCAUCUAUCACAGAAGGUAGGUGCUCUCUUUGCGAGCCAUUAGUUUCAUCGAACCGCACAUCUACAGUUUCAACAACCUUGUGAAGAACGUUGUUGAAGACUCUGUAGGUGUGCGAGUCCUUUCCGUAACCAAGCAUAAAACCUUCAUGUGCUUUUGGUGCAAAUUUAGCAUUGUGAUGAGGAUCUCUAAUCCAACAUUUAGCACCGAAGACUUUGAAAUAACUCACAUUGGGUUUCUUGUCAGUGAGGAGUUCAUAGGCAGUCUUCUUGAAGAAUUUGUGAAGAUAUACCCAAUUGAUGAGAUGGCACGCAGUAUCAAUUGCCUCAAUCCAGAAACGACGAGGCGUCUUGUAUUCAUCAAGCAUAGUACGAGCCAUUUCAGCGAGGGUUCUGUUCUUGCGCUCCAUGACGCCAUUCUGCUGAGGAGUAUAAGGAGCAGAUAACUCAUGCGUAAUACCAAGUUCAUCAAGAUAGCCAUCAAGACCGGAAUUCUUGAACUCGGUCCCAUUGUCAGUUCUAAUGUGCUUGAUCUUCACACCAAAGUUGGUUGAAGCCCUCGAGGAAAAUCGUUAGAAGAUUUCCUGCACUUCAUGUUUGUAAGUGACAAUGUGUACCCAUGUGUAACGAGAAUAGUCAUCAACAAUAACAAAGCCAUAUAGAGAUGCAUCAUAUGAAACAGCAGAAUAAUGAUUAGGACCAAAGAGAUCCAUGUGAAGCAAUUCAAAUGGACGAGUAGUGGUCAUGAUAUUCUUCGCUGGAUGCUUGGCCUUUGUCAUCUUUCCAGCUUCACAAGCUCCGCAUAAGGGAUCCUUGAGGAAUUUGACAUUCUCAAUGCCAAUGACAUGCUUCUGCUUCGCAAGUGUGUUCAAAUUCCUCAUGCUAGCAUGACCAAGUCGUCGAUGCCAUAGCCAGCCGUCUGAAGCUUUUGCCAGUAAGCACACGGCUGGUUGUGGUCCUGUAGAGAAAUCAACAAUAUGCAGAUCUCCUCUCCUAAAGCCUUCGAAGACUUUGGAAUGGUCAGCUUCCAUGAUCAGAACACAACGAUACUUGCCAAAGACAACAACCAUAUCAAGAUCACAAAGCAUUGAGACUGACAUGAGGUUGUACCCUAAGGACUCGACAAGCAUGACUUUGUCCAUGUGUCGAUCCUUUGAGAUCGCAACGUUACCUAGACCCAAUACCUAACUUUUGCCUUUGUCAGCAAAGAUGAUAUGCUUCAGAUGUGACGGUGAUAAGGGAGUAUCCAUCAAUAGACUCUUGUCACCCGUCAUUUGAUUUGUACAUCCACUAUCGAGAACCCACUCGUUUGAUUUGGGCUGAUCAUCCUGCAGAUGAAUUAGUGCAUCUUACGAACUCAUAUACUUCAUCCGUGAAGAAUAUCAUAUCAAAUUCAUCAGAUGAAUUUCAUCAAAGAGUAAAAACAGAUAUAGCAGUAUGAGGACGUGUGAAAUGAAAGUUCAUUUCAUCAUGAUUCGCCUGCGUCCUUUCAGGCACUUUAGUCAGGUCCCCAGCAAAUUCUUCGGACGUUAAGGCACGUCUGGAGACCCGACCCUGCGGAAGAAAUUAGUUCUUUUUCUUCACCACCCACAUCUGAAGGGGUGGCAAAGAGUUCAUCACUCUACGAGCUCCAUAUGAGAAUGGUGGCAUAGAAGCCAAACCAUUUUGUUUCACAUAAGAGGGGUUAGGUUAAGCAUAUGAAUAAGCAGAGAAAUUCUUCGAGGACUUAUGAACAUAUUGGUUUGAAUAAUAAUGCACAUAUUCAUAGCCCUUAGCUCUACCCUGUGAAACAGAGUUGUUAGCACGAUGAUAAUCAUAUGAGGACUUUGAUCCUUUUGAGGAAUUUGAUCCACGUGAGGAAUUUGGUCCGUAUGAGGACUUGGAUCCAUAUGAAGAAUUUGGUCCAUAUGAAGAGUUUGAUCUGGGGUUCCUAUUCUUCAAUGGUGGUGUCAUGAGGACAUUCACCUGAAGACUUUCAAGGCACUUAUUGGGAACCCAGAUUUUCUUCAUAGGAGAACCGUUCCUGCAGUUAGUGCCAACAUACCUAGCAAAUACUUCACCAUUCUGAUUUUUGAACAGUCUAUAGUUGGAGUCAAAUGACUCAUCAGAAGAAUGAGGAGAUUCACAUGUAAAGCCAGAUAAGUUAGAUGGAUCAACUGGAGGUCCCUUUGUAGCAACCCAUGAGGUUUUGGGGUACUGCUCAGGCUUCCAAUAUGUUCCGUCAGAAUUGAGUUUCCUUUCAAAGGCAAUACCCUCUUUCCUAGGGUUUCUGUUGAGGAUCUGCUUUUUGAGCACAUCACAGAGAAUCUGAUGCCCUUUGAGGCUUUUGUACAUGCCUGUCGUGUACAAUUCCUUCAGCCCUGCAUCAUUAGUAGUACUAGCAAUGUCCUCAGAUGAGGAAUUAGUGAUAGCAGAGAAAGGUGAAGAAUUUGUAACAGUUGAAGCAUUUGAACAUUCAGGUGAAGAAUUAGCAGAUUCACGUUCAAUGCACUUUAAGCAUGGAGGAACAAAUUCUUCCUGAGAAGCACUGAUUUGUUGAGCUAGCAAUGAAUCGCGCUCCUUCUGAAGAUCUUCAUAACUCACUCUUAGCUUCUCAAGAUCUUGCUUUCUUUGAAGAAAUUCAUAAGAAAGCUUCUCAUGAUCAGAUAAGAGACACUACUGGAAUCAGCUUAUUUGCCGUCUGCCAGUUCUUUGUCGUCAGCUGGCAGACGGCAAAGAGGCACUUUGCCGUCUGCUUGCAAAAAACAGACAGCAAAGAACUGACAGACGGCAAAGACGCCAGUUACCAUCAGCCAAUUAUUUGUUGUCUGCCAGCAGAUGGCAAAGAAUCUUUACCAUGUGCUGGCGGAUGGCAAAGAGGUGGGGCUAUCUCUUUUUUUACGGGUACAAAGAAAAUCGUUGACCCCCACCUCCUCUCUCUGUCUCCCCUCUCUCCGCACGGCCCCCACCUCCUCUCUCUCUCACCUCUCUCUCUCUCCCGCUCGUCUCUCCCUCUCCCUCGCGCGAGCACCUACGGCGGCCGAUUUCGGCGAGCUCCGACGGGAUUCGACGCCGCCCAGCACACCCAUGUGACCCCCUCGCCCCGCUCCUCCAUCCCCUCCGACCAGAUCUGACUCGUGCGUCCUCCAGCAACCACGCGUGACCCUCCCCUGCGGCUAGGGUUUCGGCCACCACAUCGCCGGCGUGGCUCCGGUGUUGCUCCGAUGACUCAGGUGAGUCUCUUCACUCCUCCUCGUUACAUCCAUCCCUCUCUUUCUCACCGCGUCGCAUCGCGUCUCCUCUCCCUCACAGAACCAUCACGCCGGGAAGCCAUGGACGGGAAGGACGCCAUGGACGGGAAGGACGCCGUGGAGGACGCAGCUCCACCACUGCCCCAACGCCAUCCAGGUCCGCCCCUUCUCCUCUCCUCCCCUCUUGGAUUUCUUCUUUUCCUGCCUUGCACCCGUCCACUCAAGUUCUAAACCAAACAAGAAAAAUUAUCAAUCUUGUUUUUGCUGCAUAUGCAAUAAUGGUUGAGGAGGGCUCAGUUGUUCACUUCUAUAAUUGUGCCAUAAAUCGGUUUACUCUGCUUGAGGGCUGUCGUGGUUAGCUCGAUUUGAUAGGGUCCUUACUACAUAUGCUGCAGGGAUUUAACUUGACUUGUUAAUAAUGAGUGUCAAUCAAUCAAACACAAGGAAACUAUAAAUGCUUACUAUUUCGUAUAGUGAUCAUUGUGUUGUGUAUAGGUAAAACUUGUGUUGUCCUUAUCAACUUCGGAGGCAUCAUCAUGUGUUAUCAAUUUAGUUUCUGCCAUGGUUUUGGUUUGGUCCUGCUUAUGCCAAAUCGAUCAUUCAUUGCUUCUGAACACUCUACCUUUAAUCUUUGCUUCUGUAAAACCGGCCUUUCUUCUAUUGAAUGGAGUGUUUGCUUGCUAUGCGGGAAAAGUAGCUCAUUCAUCGCUGAUUUGGCAUGAGCAACCAAAGUGGACGGACCGCAUUUAGGUCCGGUCGUCGUGAGGAUCCUCUGGCGGUGCUGGAUGUGCCGUGGCGCGGUGGUGCCCCCGGGUGGCGCCUUCGUGCUGUGGUACCGCUAGUUGGCGCCUUCGUGCCCGUGCUCUCACUGGCACCGCCGUUGUGGUGCUCUCCGGCAAGCUCCGGCUUGUUGUGGUGGUGUUGGUUGUGAUGCUGGUCACACCAUAGUGAUGGUGUGGCUGCAUCCUGCUUCGGCUACAACUCCUUUUGGUGAGCUUCUCCUUGCUCCCCUCCUGAUCUAUCUAAUGCAUAGCUCUUGAUCUUGUUGGAUGUGAGGCUCUAUUAGCUGUGGUUAGGUGCUGUAGAUGAGCAUCAACUUGUAUUGGAGCUCUCUGUGAUGGAUUCUUGCUGUGUCAGGGUUUUGGUCAGUGACCAUCUAUGUGUAUUUGUGAAGUAUAUAUACUCCUGUACUGCUCUGUUCUGUGUAGUUGAUCCUGGAGUUGUUACUUUGGUCAGUUACUUUACUCAUGAACGGAUACUCACUUGUUCUUAGUUAUUUUACUUCUAAUACUGAUAUGAACAGAUACCACUUGGUUUGGCUAUUCCUAUUUGUCUCUUUCUAGUAGCCUAUGAACAGAUACUAUACUUGGUUUUGGCUGUUACUUUCCUAGUUUUCUACUGAUAAGACAGAUACUACAUCUGAUUUGGGCAGUGAUGCUGGUCUGAGCCCCCUCUCUUAGGCUUAAUUUACAUGUGACUAUCCCUGUGCUGUGAUGAACUAGCCCUGGCACUUCCAGGCUGUCUGAGCACAUAAUCCCUCAAGUAUACCUUGAGGUCUUCUGUAGCUCUCCUUAAUAGUUAUCUCUUCUAAGCUGCUGGUGGUUGGAUGUGUUGGGACUUGGUCUGGUUGGCUGGUUGUGAUGUAUAUCUCCUCCUGGAGCUUUGUUUUUGGCGUUGCAUAGUGACAUGUACCUAUUGUCACUAGUCAAAACUGAUUGUGGUGAUGAAGUCUAAUCUCUGGCUUUAAUCACUAGUUUUUAGUUGGCUUAAUUCCUGGAGCUAGUACUGAUAGUGGUCUUUGUGUUGGCAUUUAACUUACUGCUAAUUGUGGUGGCUUCUUGAUUAGGUCCUUGGCUGGUUCUCUUCUUUGGCUCUUUGGUAUUGGUUUACUCUAUUUGGCUUUCUAAUUAAGAUCACUUUGAAAAUCAGGAUCUUAACUAAGAUUAUCUUGAUCUCAAGUACUGGCUCCUACAGCAUUGCAUUUCACCAAGUGAAAUGCUACAUUUCUACUCCUAACCCAUUCUCUCUUUCUUAGUGUUUUUGUUAUGCAGGUUGGAAGAAAAGAAGAAGAUCCAUAGAAGAUCUUAGUAAUAAGAUAGUUUUUAGGAAAAUAGAUAUUUAGUUUUAGAUCAUUCCUUGUAAUAUUUGUUGGAUAUCUGUUCAUGGAUAUGUGUUGGAUAUAUAUGUGUUCAUGACUAUAUAUUGGUAACAUGUGUUGGAUAUGUGUUCAUGGAUAUGUGUUGGAUAUAUAUGUGUUCAUGAGUAUUGGUAAUAUGUGUUGGAUAUGCUAUAUUGGUCAUACAUAUAGUCUGUGUUUGAUUGUGUUUGAUUUUCUGUGAAAAUGAAUUGAUAUAAGAAGAAACAGAAUUAAUGCCUAUUUGGUCUAUUUGCCAUCUGCCAACAGAUGGCAAAGAACCUGCAGCCUUUGCCGUCUGCCAGCAGAUGGUAAAGAGUCGUGCCCUUUGCCGUCCGCCACUGACAGCAAAGGCCUCUUUGCCGUACGCUACAAAAAACAGACGGCAAAGAAGGCCUUUGUCGACCCUGUCUUUGCCGUCGCUGUUUGCCGUCCGCGGCGGAUGGCAAAGGCCUUUGCCGUUCGCCAUCCUAGCCUUUGCCGUCCGCCAUGGCUGAUGGCAAAGUACCAGAUUCCUGUAGUGAGAGUGACGGUGUCCUGGACUAGAGGUACUCAACGCGUCGUCUCCCGAUCAGUUGGAUUGGGCCAAGGACCCCCAUGGCCGUAUACUCAUGGGCCAGUCCGGACAACUGCCGCAUACAAGGAAGAAUCAACAAGACUUGGCGAUCAAGAGAAGGACUCCUCCCCGACCGGCGUAUUCGGCUAGGACUCUUGUUAUCCUAGGCCUCUGGUGCAUUAUAUAAACCGGGGCUAGGCUAGUCGAUAGACAUAUACAACAACAAUCAUACCAUAGGCUAGCUUCUAGGGUUUAGCCUCCUUGAUCUCGUGGUAGAUCUACUCUUGUAACACACAUCAUCAAUAUUAAUCAAGCAGGACGUAGGGUUUCACCUCCAUCAAGAGGGCCCGAACCUGGGUAAAACAUCGUGUCCCUUGCCUCCUGUUACCAUUGAUCCCAAGACGCACAGUUCGGGACCCUCUACCCGAGAUCCGCCGGUUUUGACACCGACAUUGGUGCUUUCAUUGAGAGUUCCGCUGUGUGAUCGGCGAAAGGAUCAAUGGCUCGACUGCAGGUCAACUGCGACGUCGGCUUCUUCGUCACCAGCUUGGCUGGUCACCUUGGCUUGACCGAGGACUGCACCCUACUUCCGAUCGUCAUGUUCGGAUGAAGGCCUUCAUCAAACACCAACUCGGAUCUCUAUCAAGAUCGUGGAGGAGUCAUCCAUGGAGCUCGGGGGCUCAACGUCAACAUUGCCCUCAAGCGACCGUGCUGUUUUCCUGGACAGCAAAUUUGUAUCCGCCGCCACCGCCUCCUCGAGUGUCGCUUAAAAGAUUACUUCGGUGCAAUUAUGCGGAAUUAAGUCUACAACAACCCUGCAAAAAUUUCGUUGAGUUCCGAUGGAGGAAUCUCUGGCAAUCUCCGAUAUACCGGAGCCCUGUUGAAUCUGGACGAGAAUCCGGACGAGUUUAGGGCGUGGUAUCCAGCAUCUAGCUCGGAUGUCCUUUGGAGGAUCCAACCGUUGAUUUGCUGCGGAAUUCCCAUAUCUACCACCUGCCCAAAAUCCAGCUCGAUCCGACCGUCCAAACUCCAGGAAACUUCCGAUUAGUGCAUCACUUUUUGGACUUGUUUUCUGCGCGAGAACGAGUCCGACCCGAAUUCAUCUUCUUUAUGAACGGGAUUUCGGACAUCCUUUUUGAAGGAAGUUUUGUAUGGGGUAUUAUAUUUUGUUCCCGAACACAUCCCACUAACUUUAAGAUCUUUUGAACAUGAUUUUCAACAUCAUGCUGGUGUUAAACCAGUCCGACAAUAUUGCUCCAUGGCUGCCGACCUGCGCUAGACACAUCGUCACUUUGUUGAGCCAAGCUCAACUUCUUCGGAUCAUCAUCUUGGCAAGCCGAACAAGAGUCCGGCAUCGCGAAGGAUAAAUCAUCACCAACGUCGCCUCCCCACGGAUUACACGGAGCGGGCAUACCGGCAUCGCCGCACGGUCGCUUCAUCAAGCCGGCAUCGACCACGUCACAACCUGCAUCGGCAAGGCCGCACUAUUGCUUCUUCAAGCCGGUGUCCAUCACGCCGACCUACUUCGAUAUCUCGGCUGGACUGGGGGCUUCGCCAUCUCUUCAUCAACCAACUCCGGACACUUCGGCGUCACUAGCCGACCAGGCAUGGGUGCGUGGAUUGAGUCCCAAUUUUGGGAAUCACCUUCCUUCGGAUUGCUACAACAAAUAAACCAGGUGCUAUUAAUCCUAGUAUUUCUUUUUGCUUGUUUGGGUUAAAUUUUACCCAAGGAAUUAUUACUCUGGUUAGUCCAGCAUAUGUACACAGGUCUAUCAAAUGGUGGCCGCAUUAUCGACGGUCGCAUGAUGGUUCGGUCAGUUUCCGUACACAGUUCGGCAAACGCCGCAUCCGGAACUCGGGCCGACCUGUGAAUCCAGGCUUCGCCACGCCUUUAUUGCAUUACGCCGACGACCUGCAUCGACAUCGACUUCGGCGCCAGGACAUAUUUCUUUUACUACUCACUUUGCAUAAAUUAUUUAUUAUGCAACAUUUUUUUUAAUUCCUAUUAUUACUAUUACCCCCGGUCUGCACUAUUUUUUGUGCACAGGAAAAUGAUCCAGCCGGACUAUAUCCUUUGACGUCACAUCGGCUAGACGGGGGCUUCGUCAACACUUCAUUACCCUAUGCCGGGGACUUGGGCAUCACUUUGCCGUCCUGCAUUGACCGUGCUAUGUCACCACUUCGGAGUGCCGAGCUCCUUGCUCCGCCACCUCGGGACCGGCUUGGGGGAUGGAACCUUGUCCCGCAUCAAGCUCGGACCGUGUCGUCAAUACCGAACACAUUAACCAGCUAAGUUGCCUUCACGCUCAAAGUUUUAAAUUUCUAACUUGUGUUCGGUUCGACCAAGAAUUAUACUUUUUUGUAAAAAAGUUGCUUGUAAAAAUUUUCCUUGUCGAAACUUUGUUCGCACACGCUUGACGCGCUACCCGCGCUCAUUAUACCUGGGGGCUUCUUUAACAGAAGCUUAUUAAUACGGGGUUUAUGCCCAACACAUGUGUCGCACUUCCGCAUGUACCGUUUAUUCACCAUUAUAUGCAUCGAUAUGACUUAAGUUUUGGCCAAGCUGGGUUGCCUGGCUCCUGUGCUUACCCCUACGUUCCCGAUUGUUCGGCUAGGUGGUAAAGGGAGCACCUCUGCGAUUGUUACUGCCGGGUCAGCCGGAUGUGUACCUCAGACUGGGUGAAGUCGAAAGCUAGCGUUCUUAAGGGAAUACUCGGUCGGUGAACUAAAAGAUGAUUUCUUACCUAUUUAUUUACCUGCCCCCAGAUGUUUUUCUGCUCUUUUCGCAGUCCGGACAUGCACUUUAGGGCAUGCCUCCCAGGGAAAGGAACUCCUAACGGAACUAUUCUCCCUGGAAGAUGUUUCUUACUAACCAUGUAAUAUAACAUAACUAGUUGGGCACUUGUCUGAUAAAGCACUAAUGACCCCUACGCCUGGUCUCCACGCAUGCCCCGGUUUUUAUAACCACGAGGGUAUUCGGACACACUCUAGACUAUUGGGUCCAGAGGUUGAAGCGAAAAGGUCCGCUACGACAAACGAUCUACAAUCCGGCUAGAAGGCAUUCUACAUGUCACCUUACAUUUUAUAGUCAACUUUUACCCAAGUCGCUUGGGGGCUCUUAUGUUUAUUUGAGCCGUUUCAUACUAAGUGUUUUUCUUCUUAGUCGUUGCAAAGUUAAAGCACGACAGAAGCACUUUUUUUUCUAAAGUCCAAUUUUCGGAUUGGCACCGAACACUUGAUCUUGUUCGGACGUCAUGUUUUUAUUGACGUUUUUUGGUUUUCCAAGCUUUUGGCACUUUUAACAAUUUGUGUGUUUUCAGCACAAGUCUCGCAGUGCAAUGCCGGACACCUUUAGAGAUUCGGCAAAAACAUUCUCGGAUAUUGCUAUAUAUGCAUCAGCUUCGAAUUGUGUCUUCGGUCAAUAGUUGGGUUGCCCGGCUCCCGCGCUUGCCUCCUACAUUCCGCUUUGUUCGGCUAGGUGUGCAAAGGGAGAACAACUGCGAUUGUGCUUCCAGCUCACAUGGUCAAGCACCUCAGUGGAGAAAGCCGAAAACUGACUGUCACAAUAGGUGUAAACUGGUUAGCGAUCCGAUGACUAUAAUAAAUGACGGGCCAUUCAUAACAUUGGCCGAAGUGUUUCUGGCUUGACCUUGGCUGUCGCCGAACACUACCGGGGGCUAUUAACUGGCCUCCCAAACUAAAUCCUUGAUCUUUUGCUCUUACAUUGGAGUUGAGGUUUCAUGAUCACGCUUAGCAUGACAACCCAAAGAAAGGAACCGAUAGCGGGACUAUUUUCUUUGGAAGACAUUUCUUCUGUUAAACAGCAAUAUAACAUAUCUCUCUGCGUACCUUUGUUUAGAAAGCCGUAUGACCAGAUUGCCUUGUUUGUCGUAAAUCUUUGCCCUCAUAAAGGCUUUAUAAAGUAGGACAAACACUCCUCAGCUACUGGCCGAGGAGGUUGAAGCCCAUGGUCGGUCAACAAAGUUUUGUACAAUGCGGAUCCGAGCAUUAAUGGCGUAAAGUACUUGGAUACAUAGAGUCAUUACACACAAUUUAUGAUUUUACUAUGGAUAUCGAUCCUUAAUUCGGCCUCCCGUGUCCGAAUUAAGGCUCGGGGCUACUGAGCUUCGGGCUUAUUAUUUACAAAUAUUAAAGGGGCACAUCGAUCCCCUGAUCUGGUGUUGCCACCCGACCAGUGUCUCGGGGGCUACUGCAUUGCCUGUUCUAUGCAGAAAAUUUUAAGUGCAAUACAGUUUCUGAGGAGAUUUUGAUCCUCAGGUUGGUCGGCCGCACCCAACCUAAGUCUCGAGGACUGAGCACGCCGCUUUUUCUGUCCCGAAGUAUUCUGCCGAGCUAGGACUUGAUCCUCAGACCAAUUUUGCAAAUCAACCUGAGUCUCAGCGGCUACGGGGAUCAGCGGUCUUAUGUCAUCCUUCAUGUGCAUCUCAGGUUUUAGACCGAUACCCACCUUGAGGGCUACUGGCAUCAAUAAAAAACAUUGACCAAAAAUCAGCCCAUGACCGAGGUGCUUAACCACCUCGGAAGCAGUUCGACAUAUAGCUCGGAUGCAAGUGGCUGGCUCCUUAGAGGGCAUUUCCGGCAUUAAGCUCGGUUAAACUCCUUCAAACUUCUUUGAACCAAGGUGAUUUAUGACACCUCGGAUAAAGUCUGGCAUUGGAGCUCAGAUACAUAUUCCGGCAUUGGAGCUCGGAUACAGUCCGGCGUUGGAGCUCAGAUACAUAGUCCCACGUUAGAGCUGGGAAGCAGUCCGACAUUGGUGCUCGGCUGCAAAAGAUACCUCGAAUGUAGUCCGGCGUCGGAGCUCGGACGCAAGAGGACGUUGCCACCCGGGAACAACUUCAAACCCGAGGCAUGGCAUAAAAAUAACAAGGCAUUGAUAAAGGCCGUAAACUUAAAGGGGCUCCUCGGAUACCCAACUCGUAAACUCGUCGAAUGCAUUUUGGCGAUCCUCAAGAUAGAAGAUGAGAAGAUUUGUUGAACCAGUUUUCAAGACCAGCAACCGAAGAUGAAGAACAGUUCGGAAGAAUCGAGGAGCGUCCCUAACUUGAAGACCGGUUUAGGGGGCUACUGACGGUGUCCUGGACUAGGGGGUACUCAACGCGUCGUCUCCCGAUCAGUUGGAUUGGGCCGAGGACCCCCAUGGCCGUAUACUCAUGGGCCAGUCCGGACAACUGCCGCAUACAAGGAAGAAUCAACAAGACUUGGCGAUCAAGAGAAGGACUCCUCCCCCACCGGCGUAUUCGGCUAGGACUCUUGUUAUCCUAGGCCUCUGGUGCAUUAUAUAAACCGGGGCUAGGCUAGUCGAUAGACAUAUACAACAACAAUCAUACCAUAGGCUAGCUUCUAGGGUUUAGCCUCCUUGAUCUCGUGGUAGAUCUACUCUUAUAACACACAUCAUCAAUAUUAAUCAAGCAGGACGUAGGGUUUCACCUCCAUCAAGAGGGCCCGAACCUGGGUAAAACAUCAUGUCCCUUGCCUCCUGUUACCAUUGAUCCCAAGACGCACAGUUCGGGACACCCUACCCGAGAUCCGCCGGUUUUGACACCGACAGAGAGUUUUAUGAUGACUUUGAAGGUUGUCAAACUUAGACUGAAGUCUCUAAAGAUUUUCAGUUAAGUCUUUAGUGCGGUCCAUUUCAUCACCCAACAUAUCAUCACUUUUGUCUAGCAUGUUCUGAAGUUUUUCAAUAGCCUUUUGUUGUUUCACAGCAAUCUUAGCAAUUUUAGAGUAGCUAGGCUUAAGAUUUUCAUCAGAUUCAUCCUCACUAGAUUCAGAAGAGGGGUAUUUUGUUACCUUGGCACCCUUUUCCAUGAAGCAAUAGGUGGGAGCGUAGUCAUCAUUAUCUUCGUCAGCCUUGUUGGUGAGGUCAAUUUCUUCAGAGUUGAAGAUGGACUUGCUGACGAAUGCAGUAGCGAGAGCCAGACUUGCCACACCAGACUCGGACUCCUCAGAUGCCUCCUCUUCCUCAUGUUCCUCAGAUUCAGCUUCAGAGUCCAUUUCCUUGCCAAUGAAUGCCCAAGCCUUUAUGGAGCUGCUCUUCUUGUGAGAUGAAGAUUUCGAGGAUUUUGAUGAUGAAGAUUUUGAAGAUUUCUUCUUCUUCUUAGCGUCAUCAGAACUGUAAUCCUUGUAUUUCUUCUUCUUUAAUUCCUUUUCCCACUGAGGACAAUCUUGAAUAUAGUGACAAGGUUUCUUGCAUUUGUGGCAAAGUCUUCUCUUAUAGUCACUUGACGAGGAAUCACUGCUCCUUGAGGAUUUUCCAAAGCGACCACAUCUUGAGAACUUCUGGAACUUCUUCACGAGCAGUGCUAGCUCCUGGCUCAAUUCUUCAGGAUCACCAAGGCUACUACCAGAAUCUUCACAUUCAGAUUCAGACACAGCCUUGGCCUUGAGGGCACGUGUUUUGCCAUAGCUUGAACCAUAGAGAUCUCUCUUUUCAGCAAGCUGGAACUCAUGAGUAUUUAGCCUCUCGAGGAUAUCAGCGGGAUCCAGUGACUUGUAGUCAGCAGGUUCUUGUAUCAACAGUACCAGAGUAUCAAAUGAAGAAUCUAGCAAUCUCAGCAAUUUCUUCACCACCUCAUGGUCGGUGAUGUCAGUGGCGCCAAGCGCUUGAAGCUCAUUUGAGAUGUCAGUGAGGCGAUCGAAGGUUUGCUGAACAUUUUCAUUGUCGAGUCGUUUGAAGCGGUUGAAGAGAUUGCGAAGAACGUCAACACGAGAGUCACGUUGAGUUGAGACUCCUUCGUUUACUUUGGAGAGCCUAUCCCAGAUAAGCUUAGCAGUUUCUAAAGCACUCACUAUUCCAUACUGUCCUUUGCUCAGAUGGCCACAUAUGAUAUUCUUCGCUUGAGAAUCGAGUUGCUUGAAUCUCUUCACAUCAGCAGCAUUCAGGGAAGGUGUGACUGAGGGAACACCAUUUUCCACAAUGUACCAAAGAUCGUUGUCAAUUGCUUCAAGAUGCAUUCGCAUCUUAUUCUUCCAGUAAGGGUAGUCCGUGCCAUCGAAGGUAGCACACCCACCGGAGACCUUGAUCAUACCUGUGGUCGACAUAACUAGAAAUCCAGGUGGUUAAACCAAAAUCACAUAGAACAAGGGAGUACCUUUCUCUAAUACCAAUUGAAAGUGCGUUAUAUCGACUAGAGGGGGGCGAAUAGGCGUUUUUUAUGAAUUCUUCACUGAGGAAUUUCCUGGUGAGGAAAUUCCUUGGCGAAGAACUACUUGCAGCGGAAUAAGUACUCAGAAGUAAGCAUAACAGAAUACAGGCAUGGUCAUCAUGAUGAAAUGAAGACAUGCAUAGAGUACAGAAAGCGUAAACACAGGAUAACACAAGAUGAAGACAAACAGACUGAAGAAAUUGAACUGAGGAAAUUGAGAAAGUCUUCAGUCAAAGUCUUCAAACACGGAUAUGAACAAUCACUCAACACAGUAAUGAGUAAAUGAAAGAGUUGAGGGAAUAGAACCAGGAAGGUUGGUGAAGACAAUGAUUUGGUAGACCAGUUCCAACUGUUGUCUUAGUUGUACGUCUGGUUGGAGCGGCUGAGUAUUUAAACUCGAGGACACACAGUCGCUGAGCACGCAGCUCAGGACACCAAGUCCUCACCGUAUUCUCCUUGAACUAAGGUCACACAAACCUCGUCCAAUCACUCAUGGUAAGUCUUCAGGCGACUUCCAAACCUUCACAGACUCAGUCACUUGGCGAUCCACAAUUCCUCUUGGAUGCUCUAGACCAUGACGCCUAACCGUCUGGAAGAAGCACAGUCUUCAAAGGUAACAAGCGUCAGAUCCAUGUAGGAUCAAUCUCUUCAAUGAUGCUCAAUCACUUUGGGUUUGUAGGUGUUUGGGUUUGGGUUUUUUCCUCACUUGAUGAUUUUCGCUCAAAGUCCUCGGAGGAUGGGAUGCUCUCAAAUGACAAGUGUCAGUUUCUCUCGGAGCAGCCAACCAGCUAGUGAUUGUAGGGGGCGCCUAUUUAUAGCCUAGGGAGCAGCCCGACAUGAUAAGACAUAAAUGCCCUUGUCUGAUAUGACCGUUAGGUGGAUAAGAUAUUUUGUGACAGCUGGCGCGCAGCACAGCAACGGUCGGAAAUUUGACUCUCAAAUUUCUCAGGGCUAUCAUGUUCCUCACUUCCUAGGCAAUCCGCAUUGGUGAAUUCCUAACUCCUCAGUCAGAACAAAUUCCUCAGCGACUAGAAGAACUUCGUCUCUGUCACUGAAGAAAUGACUGAACUGUAUGAGAUUUCCAAAGGCUUCACUCGAAGGGAUUGGUAGGUGUAGGAUUUUAAGUUGAGCAUCACAUGGAAAUUUUUGCUUAGUAUUUCCUCGACCCCCUUUAACAGUACGGUGUUUCCUAUGACUCAAGAAAGAGAAAAACAAAACUAUGAAAACAAAAGUCUUCAAGCUUCAUAUUCCUCGCAUGAAUAUCAAGUCUUCACGGACACACCAAUUUCUUCACUUUCAAAGUCUUCAUGAAAGUCUUCAGGAAUACCAAAAUCUUCAGUCGAAGAUAUUCAUUUUUAGGGGUCGACUUUCUCUGUAAAUAUCAAACUCCUCAUAGACUUAUAGACCUGUGUACACUCAUAAACACAUUAGUCCCUUAACCUAUAAGUCUCCAAUACACCAAAAUCACUAAGGGGCACUAGAUGCACUUACUGGCACUGAGGCGACCACACCAUAGCCAGGUGCGGGCCCAACUCUGGCUGCACGGCCCUAGGGUGUGGGCCCCUCGGGCGUCCACCGACAUUGCCCUUCCGCCUAUAUAAUGCCCCCGAGGCGAAAACUCUAAAUAAUGAAGCCUCCGUCCAUGAAAAAUUCCGCAGCGCCGCCACCAUCAACGACGAGAUUCGGGGGAUAGAGGUGUCCGUUUCGGCACCCUAUCGGGAUGGGGAAUUGCCCCCGGAGCCAUCUCCAUCGACUCCACCGCCAUCUUCAUCGCCGUUGCUAACUCCCAUGAUGAGAAGGGAGUAGUUCUCCUCCGAGGCUGUGGGCUCUACCGGUCGCUAUGUGGUUUAUCUCUCUCUCCCAAGGUGUGAUCUUUAUGUGAUCAUGAGCUUUGUAAUCUGGUUAAUUUAGUAGAUGUUACUCUCAUCUAUUAUGCUACUCAACUGCUUUUAUUAAUGUGAUCUCCGGAGACACCUUGUCCCACGGUGUGAAGGUGACAGUGUGCACACCGUGUGUGGCUCUUAGGCUAAAGAUUACAGAAAUACUUAUCAUGAGUUAUAAUUUGAGUUGGAUGUCUCUAUGAAAUUGUGGUGUUUGUUUGGAACCAUCUAGCGCUCAAGGUGACAGUGUGGAGUUACCUAGAUGGGGAAUGCGAACUUUAAGGUGUGCUUUUAUAGCCCUACGUGGUGAAUUGGUGUUCGUUAUCCAACCGGAGAGUAGUUCAGAGUAGCAUAGUGAUGAGAAGAUGUUUAUGUGUUCAAUUAUGAUAUCAUUGUUGAGAGUGUCCACUAGUAAAAGUAUGAUCCCUACGUUUUGUUUCUAAGCAUUGAAACAUCGUUUACAACCAGUUGUGCUACAUGUUUGCUUGCUGACAUUUUUAUUUCAGAUUGCAAUUACCACUUGUAAUCAUCCAUAUUACUUGUAUUUCACUAUCUCUUCACAGAACUAGUGCACCUAUACACCUGACAAGUGUAUUGGGUGUGUUGGGGACACAAGAGACUUCUUGUAUCUUAAUUGCAGGGUUGCUUGAGAGGGAUAUCUUUGACCUCUUCCUCCCUGAGUUCGAUAAACCUUGGGUGAUUCACUUAAGGGAAACUUGCUACUGUUCUACAAAUCUCUACACUUGGAGGCCCAACACUGUCUAUAAGAAUAGAAGCGUGCCUAGACAUCAAGCUUUUUUCUGGCGCCGUUGCCGGGAGGUAAGGUAAAAGGUACUCACAUCCUCUGGCUACUAAGCUAUCUUCUAGUACUGUUGCUGGUGUGUGAGUGGUCAAAGUUAUUUUUCCUUUAGAUUCUGCAAUUAUAUCUUUUUGUUUCUUGUUUUUAUUUUCACUAGUUAGGCUUAAUGGAAAACAACAACAAAAUUAGAGAGCUUUAUAGUAUGUUUCCUGAGUUAGGACAUGAAGUGUUUGAAGAGAAAAUUAAAAAACCUAUGGAACUUUAUUUGCAUGCUAAUAGAAAUGUUAUUAGUAUGAACUAUUUGAACACCAUUAUUGCUAAUGUUAUGGAAAAGUCUAAGCUUGGGGAAGCUGUUUUUUAUGAAAAUGGUCUUUUUAGUUCCCCAGCUUUAGAGGAGAAAUUAUUCAUGAAAAUAGUCUUUUUACGAAAAUGUUAUUUUUACUUCCCCAGCUUUAGAGGAGAAAUUGAACGAUUUUAGAUUCUAAACGAUUUUUAAAUUUGAACGAUUUUCAAAUUUGAACAAUUUUCAAAAUUUGAAACAUUUUCAUAAUCUGAACGUUUUCAACAAUCUGAACAUUUUUAAAAUUCGAACAUCUUUAGAAUCUAAACAGAAAAAGCAGGAAAAAAGGACCAGCUCCGAGGUAGUCGCCAAACUCCUCGUCCUCUCUGGCAGAGAUGUUCUCCCUCGCCUGCUGCCUUUGACUCUGCACUCCAUCUUCCUUUUAUAUUGAUAUUACUCCCCUUCUCACCCGAUCCCUCCGGUACUUCUGAUCUGUUCUUCUCCAUCUUCCCUAACCCUAAUUCUGCCACCCUCUCAUCCCCCUCCCCCCCGAUCUCCUUGUGAGUUGGAUCUGCCAUGCACGAAGAUGCGCGUGACGGGUAGUGGUAGAUCCCACCGGCAGCCAGAAAGAUCCGGCGAUCGGUGAGAUUUUACGUGGGCGCUAGCAUGAACGCCAGAGGAAAGUUGGAACCCUAGCGGCGGAGCCAGGGGGAGACACGAGAAUUCCUAUGCUCCACCCAACGCGUGCACUAAUAGAGCAUGCUCACGCGGGCACUCUUGGUGGCCCGGUCCAUAAGCGGGAAGAGUUUUUCUUUCAAUUUUUCUUAAUUUCUUUUUCUUCUUUUUAUUUUCUGCUUCUUUUUUCUUCUUUUUUAAAUUUUGGUUUCCCUUUUUCUCGUUUCUGUUGCUUUUUUAUUUUUCAAUGUUUGCAUUUUUUUCAAUUUUGUUUUUUUAUUUGAAUAUUUUUUAAUUUGAACUUUUCCAAAGCGGGACGUUUUUUAAUAUGAACAAAUUUAAACAUUUCUCAAAUUUGAACAACUUUCCAAUUGGAACAAAUUUUAAGUUUUAACAAAUUUCAAAUUUGAACAUUUUCUAUUUUUAAACUUUUUCAAAUUUGAACUUUUUUUAGAUCUCGUAUUUUCUUAAUAAUUUAUUAAUUACCAAAAAAAUAAAACAAAAAAAUCAAAUGACUGGAAAAAGAAAUUAAAUUUAUAACUUUUUAUUUGGCCGCGUUUGAGGCGGCCCAUCAGGAGGCUCUGCGUUCGUGGUGGUUUAGGCCACGUUUGAGCAGCACAUAGGGUUUGCCCCACCGAUCACGAGCGACGAGGAGCCAGCCAGCGACCACGUCAGAUCUGAUUCUUAAAUAAGAUUGUUUCUAAAUUACAAAUAAAUUUGAUAAUCUGAACGCUUUUCAAAUUCGAAACAUUUUGAAAAAUCUAAAUACUAUUUUUCCUUUUCUUUUUUCCAGUGUUUUCAAAAUCAGAACGGUUUUAAAAUUUGAAUGAUUUAAAAUUGAACAAGUUUAAAAUUUGAACAAAUUUCUAUAUUCAUAUUGUUAAUAAUCUGAAAAUUUACGAAAUUUGGAUAAUUUGAGCAACUCUAAAAUUGAACGAUUUUUAAAUUUGAACCAUUUUCAAAUUUGAACGAUUUUCAUAUUUGAACAAUUUUCAUAAUUUGAAACAUUUUCAUAAUCUGAACGUUUUCAACAAUCUGAACAUUUUUAAAAUUCGAACGUCUUUAGAAUCUAAACAGAAAAAGCAGGAAAAAAGGAAGAAUAAAAGAAACAUAGCGAAAACCAAUCGAAUAACCGCAGCAAAAAAGUGAAAGAACCGUGCAGAGAAACCUGAAAAAACCAGCCCCGGAUUUUCUGUUGAUUUACCUAUAUGGGUUGGCCAAAUAGCGCAAGGUUGCAUGUCGUAGCUAUAUAUCACAACGAGCGAUGUAUAAGGAUCUCCGAUACUACCGUCGCGAAUCGAGCAUAUCAUCACCAUCGAGACGUUGACGCUCCAAAAAAUACAUUUUAUUUCCAUCAUUGCCUUUUAAUGUUGUUUCUACGUAGUACAGAAGAUAUAUUUUUUUAUAGACAAUACCAUGAUAUAUUAUAGUAGGAAAUAGUAUAUGGUACAGAUACAUAAGCUGUCUCCAGCGAUUAUAAAAUAAGAAAGCUCACAUCAACAAACAAGAUAACUCUUUUAUACGUGAUAAGCAACCUCAAACCAAUAAACACUACAUCUAUUUCAUUCAGUACAACGGCAUAAGAUUUUUUAUUCUUAACAGUUUUUACGAAUUUAGUGCUCAUAUGCAGGAGUAAUUAUUCCUGGGAGCCAAAACACAAUGUCAUGCAACCUCCACAAUGCAUGAAAUUUCUAUCUUCUUGUCGUGACGUAAUUUACUCCACCCAAGAUUCUUCUUAACAAUCGAUACCACAUAUAUUUAAAAUAGCUCAUGGUCACUACAGGAAACGGGCGAUAGGCCGACGGCCCGACACUGUCGGCAUAGGCCAAAUAACCCUCGGCACAGGCUAUAGCCGAGGGCGGCCCUGGGCGUAUCGCCCUCGGGUAUCUGCGUACAGGUAUUUGUCGUCGGCGUAGAGGAUUCCCUCGAUGUAGACUUGGCGGGCCCAUCGCUAACAGAUGACGGCCGUUAGACGUCGAACAGGCUACACCGACGGCUUUGCCCUCGGGCUAGAUAAUCGAUUUUGUUUCCAACCUUUUUUCCAAAAAAAAUCCAAUUUUUUUCACACUUGUUAAUUUCACAACAGACAUUUUUAACUCUCAGCACAUUUAAUGUAAAAUCAAAUUGCACUUGUGGUCAAACUUCCCGCUCGACCACCCAUCCUCACACUACUCCAACCCCAGCAUGCUUAACUUCUCCGUUCCUUCGGGAUGAGCUAUCAAGAAAGAAAUCAUAUCUUAGUGAUAAUAGUACCAUAUCAAUCAUAUUAACUCUUGGACUAUGGUGUCACACCUUUUUAUUUUUGAAUUCCAUACAAAUACUUAAAUACACAACAAUUAAUAAGUAAUAAUAAUAAUUUUCAAUUCAAAUAAAAUAAAUAAAUUAAUAUUUUUUCUUUUUUCUAUUUAAUAUGGAAUAUUUAAUAUCUUAAAUCCUUAAAUCUGAAUUUGACAAACAAUAUGUCUAAGCCUAUCAAAAAAUGAGGAGAAUCCAAAUAUAACAUCCAUAUCGUCUUGUGAACCUAAAAAAAUGAUAUUUCCAAAAAAAUCAUGAGCAUUAGAUCAUGUAUGUGUAGUUCAAAUUGACCAUAGUUCAGAUCGAGCAAUAGGUACAUGUAUUUUUUUUAAAAUAUAUGUACACCAUGUAUAUCGACUUGAAUCGUUAGUAUGUGACAUAAGAAGAUUAUGUGGGCAGGUUUUUCAUAUUUUUCAUAUUUUUUGAAUUUUUUAUGCUCAUUUCAAAAAAAUUUGAAAUGUGUAAUAUUUAAGUGUAUAUAGAGAGAUCUUAUUCUUCUGCAAAUUUGAUAUAUUAUUUGUAUUUAUCUGAAUCAUAAUGAUUCAGUUAUGAUUUUUCUAAAAUUAAUAUGAUAAAAUGGAAAAUAGCUAUGCCGACGCCGUAGCUUCAAAACCUAUGCCGAGGGCUUUGCCCUCGACGUAGACCCUCCGUCGUGACGCGGUCGUAACACUGUUAGCCUGGGCUGGCCUACACCGAGGCUGGCAUAUACCCCGAGGGCAGCUGUUGGCCCAGACAUGGGUUCACCGAGGGCCGAUCCUACGCCAAGGGCCGGGCGGGCGGGCGGGCUGGAUUGCCAGCCCUCUACGCCGACGGCCCCGAUGUUUUGCCGUCGGUGUAGAGGCUGGCCGUCGGCUCGAGACAUCAGUCCUGUAGUGGGUGAAGAUACACAAGUUGUUUUCAGCGAUUAUAAAAUAAAGUACAUUUAAGAAAAUGAGCAAAUCUCCGAGGUCUUUAAACUCUUCUUUUCCAUCACAGGCAGCCAAAUUGUCACGACAUAAAUACCAAACUAUAGGCUCGUAAAUACCGACGAUGGUUCUCCCGUAUUUUUAAAUCUGAGCCGCAAUGCCAAGGCUACGUGCAUGCGCGCAACCAUUAAACUAAUCACCCGACAUCAGCGAGAGCAACAACACCAGUAUUCCAGGGAAAAAGAUACCGAACAGCCUGGUCGACAUCGCUAGAGAUCCGAAAGUACGAAUCACCAUUGUCGAUGGUGUAGCAUCCGGGAUAAAUAUUACGAGGACUAGUUGAAUGCCCGUGCGUUGCAACGGCCUCUAAAAUAUUUUAUUUCUGCACAUGUAAGCAUAAUACAUCUUAAUAUUUUGUCGCAUAUAGAAAGGUAGAGAAAUAUAGUAUUCAAGAAACUAUAGAAUUAUACAUUUUGAUGUGAUUGGACAAAAAGUUAUAGUUUGAUUUCUAUGCAUAGUAAUAGAAAACCCAUCUACUCAUCUUAUUCUUAGUUAGGUGUGUUUAAACUGUAUUGUUAUCAGAUACGGUUAGUAUCUAGGAUUGUAGUUAUCUUGUAUAACAACCUGUACUUAUCCUCCUGUAAACCCUAGCGGCAGCCCUAGAGGCGCCCUAUAUAAUGAUCCAAUCUCUUCUCUCUUUGUUUCACAUGGUAUCAGGCCAUCGCAUAACUGCUCGAUGGGUUCUCCUUCCUCGGGCGCCAUGACUUCCUCGACCCUGGCUUCUCUGCCCAUGCCCUCUGGGCUCUCAGCGCCGACAUCUUCCGCUGUUCCCCAACCCUCUGCUAGCCUCAUUACCGCCAAGCUUACCUCCUCCAACUUCCUCCUCUGGAAAGCACAGAUCCUUCCUCCCCUUCGAAUCACCGGUGUCACUUGGCUAUGUCGAUGGCACCACCCCUACUCCUCCUCGCAUCCUCCCAACUGAUGACAAGGGGGGCGCGCUCCUAACCCGGAGUAUGCUGCCUGGUCCCGUCAGGAUCAGAUCAUCCUGAGCUAUCUUCUUGCCUCGCUCACCUCGACACCUCCCGCGUCAUCUGGGCGCAACUCGAGGAGAUGUAUGUUACCCACUGCCGUGCCAGUGUGGUGCAGAUCAAGAUGGACAUGAUGAACUUCCGCAAGGGCAACCUCUCCAUGGUGGACUACUUCGCCAAGAUCCUCUCCAAUGCAGAUCAACUCACCACCGCGGGCCGUCCCAUGUGCCAGGAGGACAUCAUCACCGCCUUCAUCACCGGGCUCGACAACGAGUACGGGCCCCUCAUCAUUGCCAUAUCCUUCGAACGCCGCCGCGACAACAAAUGCAACACCAACAACCGUGGCAAGGGACACUACCGCGACAAGGGUCGCGGCAACUCUGGUGACCGUGGUGACUACAACAACAACAACAACCGCGACGGGUACUGUGGUGACUGUGGUGGUGGUGGCAAUCGUCAGAACGGUAACCGUGGUGGUGACCGCGGUGACCAUGGCGGUGGCGGGGAUGCACGUCUACACUGCCAGCUCUGUCGGGGCCCUGGGCACUAUGCAUGGGAGUGCGCUUAGCGCUAGAACCACGCCUUCCAACCUCAACAGUCCAAGAUGGCGGGUCUCGCUGCCGCUUCACCACCAUCCAUCCUCAGUGACCCUAACUGGUCCACUGACACGGGGGCUACCGAUCAUAUCAUGUCGGAUCUGGACCGUCUCACCGUGAGGGAAAAGUACCCUGGACAGGACCACAUCCACACUGCCGAUGGAUCAGGUUUGCACAUAGCUCAUCGUGGUCAUGCCCUUCUUCCUACACCCUCUGUCAAUCUUAAACUUCGCAACAUAUUACAUGUUCCCAAUGCCGACAAGAACCUUCUUUCUGUUAGUCGUCUUGCCGUUGACAAUCAUGCUUAUCUAAAAUAUUAUCCUACUCAUUUUCUUAUGAAGGAUUUGACAACCAAGAAGGUUCUUCUUCGCGGCAGAUGUGCAAAUGGGCUCUAUCCCAUUCGGCCUUCACGUUCUCAUGUCUUGUCUUCAGUUAGGCUCUCCGCUGAAGAUUGACAUGCUAGACUCGGCCACCCGUCCACACAAGUUGUUCAGCAUGUUUUGGCGUCCAAUAAAUUAGCAUAAUCGAGUCGGGCUUUGGCCCAUGUGUGUAAUGCUUGUCAACAUGGCAAAGUACAUCAGCUACCUUUUCCUAGAUCUUUGAAUGUUUCCUCGUUUUCGUUGGAACUUAUUUUCUCAGAUGUGUGGGGACCUACCGAAACCUCCUCUGGUGGGUUCCAGUACUAUGUUUCAUGUAUUGAUGAUUAUAGUAAAUUUGUGUGGAUUUAUCUUCUCAAACAAAAGUGUGAUGUGUUUAAUGUCUUUCGUGAUUUUCUUGCCCAUGUUGAACGCCUCCUAUCUCGUAAAAUCCUGUGUGUUCAAUCAGACUGGGGUGGGGAAUACGAAAAACUUAGCAACACAUUUUUUCGGCAACUUGGCAUUGCUCACCACGUCUCUUGUCCACACACACACCAACAUAAUGGCUCGGCCGAAAGGAAGCACCGUCACAUUGUUGACAUGGGCCUCUCCUUAUUAUCGCAUGCGUCUAUGCCCCUCCAUUUUUGGGACGAGGCGUACUUGUCCGCAUGUUACUGAAGGAAAUAUGCCCUAGAGGCAAUAAUAAAGUUAUUAUUUAUUUCCUUAUAUCAUGAUAAAUGUUUAUUAUUCAUGCUAGAAUUGUAUUAACCAGAAACAUAAUACAUGUGUGAAUACAUAGACAAACAGAGUGUCACCAGUAUGCCUCUACUUGACUAGCUCGUUAAUCAAAGAUGGUUAUGUUUCCUAACCAUAGACAAAAGAGUUGUUAUUUGAGUAACGAGGUCACAUCAUUAGUUGAAUGAUCUGAUUGACAUGACCCAUUCCAUUAGCUUAGCACCUGAUCGUUUAGUAUGUUGCUAUUGCUUUCUUCAUGACUUAUACAUGUUCCUAUAACUAUGAGAUUAUGCAACUCCCGUUUGCCGGAGGAACACCUUGGGUGCUACCAAACGUCACAACGUAAUUGGGUGAUUAUAAAGGAGCAUUACAGGUGUCUCCAAAAGUAGAUGUUGGGUUGGCGUAUUUCGAGAUUAGGAUUUGUCACUCCGAUUGUUGGAGAGGUAUCUCUGGGCCCUCUCGGUAAUGCACAUCACAUAAGCCUUGCAAGCACUGCAACUAAUAUGUUAGUUGUGAGAUGAUGUAUUACGGAACGAGUAAAGAGACUUGCCAGUAACGAGAUUGAACUAGGUAUUGGAUACCGACGAUCGAAUCUCGGGCAAGUAACAUACCGAUGACAAAGGGAACAACGUAUGUUGUUAUGCGGUCUGACCGAUAAAGAUCUUCGUAGAAUAUGUAGGAGCCAAUAUGGGCAUCCAGGUCCCGCUAUUGGUUAUUGACCGGAGACGUGUCUCGGUCAUGUCUACAUUGUUCUCGAACCCGUAGGGUCCGCAUGCUUAAGGUUACGAUGACAGUUAUAUUAUGAGUUUACAUGUUUUGAUGUACCGAAGGAGUUCGGAGUCCCGGAUGAGAUUGGGGACAUGACGAGGAGUCUCGAAAUGGUCGAGACGUAAAGAUUCAUAUAUUGGAUGAUAUGGUUAGGCCAAGGGGUCAAGCCCAUGAGGCUUUAGAUCGGUGCAAAAGGAGUUUUGCGGAGUUCAGGGGGCCAAACGCCGGAGACCCUGGCGUCUGGCCCUGGGCCAGACGCCGAGGCCCAUGGCGUCUGGGCCAGACGCCAAGGAUUGUGGCGUUUGGUCCUGGAGUCCGAGUGGGACUCUUGCCUUUCGGGAAAAACCGACUUUGAGGAGGCUUUUGCUCCAAGUUUCGACCCCGGGGCUCAACAUAUAAAUAGAGGGGCAGGGCUAGCACCAAAGACACAACAAUUGAUCCCUUGGAUCUCUUAGCCGUGUGCGGUGCCCCCCUCCACCAUAGUCCACCUCGAUAAUAUCGUAGCGGUGCUUAGGCGAAGCCCUGCGACGGUAGAACAUCAAGAUCGUCACCACGCCGUUGUGCUGACGGAACUCUCCCUCGACACUCGGCUGGAUCGGAGUUCGAGGGACGUCAUCGAGCUGAACGUGUGCUAGAACUCGGAGGUGCCGUAGUUUCGGUGCUUGAUCGGUCGGGCCGUGAAGACGUACGACUACAUCAACCGCGUUGUGCUAAUGCUUCCGCUUACGGUCUACAAGGGUAUGUAGACAAUACUCUCCCCUCUCGUUGCUAUACAUCACCAUGAUCUUGCGUGUGCGUAGGAAAUUUUUUGAAAUUACUACGAAACCCUACAGUGGUAUCAGAGCCAAGUUCCGAUGUUGAUGUUAUAUGCACGAGUAGAACACAAGUGAGUUGUGGACGAUACAAGUCAUACUGCCUACCAGCAUGUCAUACUUUGGUUCGGCGGUAUUGUUGGACGAGACGACCCGGACCAACCUUACGCGUACGCUUACGCGAGACCGGUUCCCUCGACGUGCUUUGCACAUAGAUGGCUUGCGGGCGACUGUCUCGCCAACUUUAGUUGAACCGAGUAUAGCUACGCCCGGUCCUUGAGAAGGUUAAAACGGAGUCUAUUUGACAAACUAUCGUUGUGGUUUUGAUGCGUAGGUGAGAUUGGUUCUUACUUAAGCCCGUAGCAGCCACGUAAAACAUGCAACAACAAAGUAGAGGACGUCUAACUUGUUUUUGCAGGGCAUGUUGUGAUGUGAUAUGGUCAAAGCAUGAUGCUGAAUUUUAUUGUAUGAGAUGAUCAUGUUUUGUAACCGAGUUAUCGGCAACUGGCAGGAGCCAUAUGGUUGUCGCUUUAUUGUAUGCAAUGCAAUCGCGAUGUAAUGAUUUACUUUAUUACUAAAUGGUAGUGAUAGUCGUGGAAGCAUAAGAUUGGCGAGACGACAACGAUGCUACGAUGGAGAUCAAGGUGUCGCGCCGGUGACGAUGGUGAUCAUGACGGUGCUUUGGAGAUGGAGAUCACAAGCACAAGAUGAUGAUGGCCAUAUCAUAUCACUUAUAUUGAUUGCAUGUGAUGUUUAUCUUUUUAUGCAUCUUAUCUUGCUUUGAUUGACGGUAGCAUUAUAAGAUGAUCUCUCACUAAAUUAUCAAGAAGUGUUCUCCCUGAGUAUGCACCGUUGCCAAAGUUCGUCGUGCCCAGACACCACGUGAUGAUCGGGUGUGAUAAGCUCUACGUCCAUCUACAACGGGUGCAAGCCAGUUUUGCACACGCAGAAUACUCAGGUUAAACUUGACGAGCCUAGCAUAUACAGAUAUGGCCUCGGAACACGGAGACCGAAAGGUCGAGCGUGAAUCAUAUAGUAGAUAUGAUCAACAUAACGAUGUUCACCAUUGAAAACUACUCCAUCUCACGUGAUGAUCGGUCAUGGUUUAGUUGAUUUGGAUCACGUAAUUACUUAGAGAUUAGAGGGAUGUCUAUCUAAGUGGGAGUUCUUAAAUAAUAUGAUUAAUUGAACUUUAAUUUAUCAUGAACUUAGUCCUGGUAGUAUUUUGCAAAUUAUGUUGUAGAUCAAUAGCUCGCGUUGUUGCUUCCCUGUGUUUAUUUUGAUAUGUUCCUAGAGAAAAUCAUGUUGAAAAAUGUUAGUAGCAAUGAUGCGGAUUGGAUCCGUGAUCUGAGGUUUAUCCUCAUUACUACACAGAAGAAUUAUGUCCUUGAUGCACCGCUAGGUGACGGACCUAUUGCAGGAGCAGAUGCAGAUGUUAUGAACGUUUGGCUAGCUCAAUAUGAUGACUACUUGAUAGUUUAGUGCACCAUGCUUAAUGGCUUAGAAUCGGGACUUCAACGACGUUUUGAACGUCAUGGAGCAUAUGAGAUGUUCCAGGAGUUGAAGUUAAUAUUUCAAGCAAAUACCCGAGUUGAGAGAUAUGUAGUCUCGAAAAAGUUCUAUAGCUAAAAGAUGGAGGAGAAUCGCUCAACUAGUGAGCAUGUGCCCAGAUUGUCUGAGUACAACAAUCGCUUGAAUCAAGUGGGAGUUAAUCUUCCAGAUAAGAUAGUGAUUGACAGAAUUCUCUAGUCACCAUCACCAAUUUAGUAGAACUUCGUGAUGAACUAUGAUAUGCAAGGGAUAACGGGAACAAUUCCCAAGCUCUUCGUAAUGCGGAAAUUGACGAAGGUAGAAAUCGAGAAAAACAUCAAGUGUUGAUGGUAGACAAGACCACUAGUUUCAAGAAAAGGGCAGAAGGAAGAAGGGGAACUUCAAAUAGAAUGGCAAACAAGUUGCUGCUCAAGUGAAGAAGCCCAAGUCUGGUCCUAAGCCUGAGACUAAGUGUUUCUACUGUAAGCAGACUGGUCGCUGGAAGCGGAACUGCCCCAAGUAUUUGGCGGAUAAGAAGGAUGGCAAGGUGAACAAAGGUAUAUGUGAUAUACAUGUUAUUGAUGUGUACUUUACUAGUGUUUAUGGCAACCCCUCAGUAUUUGAUACUAGUUCAGUUGCUAAGAUUAGUAACUCGAAACGGGAGUUGCAGAAUAAACAGAGACUAGUUAAGGGUGAAGUGACGAUGUGUGUUGGAAGUGGUUCCAAGAUUGAUAUGAUCAUCAUCGCACACUCCUAUACUUUCGGGAUUAGUGUUGAACCUGAAUAAGUGUUAUUUGGUGUUUGCAUUAAGCAUGAUUAUGAUUUGAUCAUGUUUAUUGUAAUACGGUUAUUCAUUUAAGUAAGAGAAUAAAUUGUUGUUCUGUUUACAUGAAUAAAACCUUAUAUGGUUACACACCCAAUGAAAAUAGUUCGUUGGAUCUCGAUCGUAGUGAUACACAUAAUCAUAAUAUUGAAACCAAAAGAUGCAAAGUUAAUAAUGAUAGUGCAACUUAUUUGUAGCACUGCCGUUUAGGUCAUAUUGGUGUAAAGCGCAUGAAGAAACUCCAUGCUAAUGGGAUUUUGGAAUCACUUGAUUAUGAAUCACUUGAUGCUUGCGAACCAUGCCUUUUGGGCAAGAUGACUAAAACGCCGUUCUCCGGAACAAUGAAGCAAGCAACAGAUUUGUUGGAGAUCAUACAUACUGAUGUAUGUGGUCCGGUGAAUAUUAAAGCUUGCAGCAGGUAUCAUUAUUUUCUGACCUUCACAGAUGAUUUGAGCAGAUAUGGGGAUAUCUACUUGAUGAAACAUAAGUUUGAAACAUUUGAACAGUUCAAAGAAUUUCAGAGUGAAGUGGAAAAUCAUCGUGACAAGAAAAUAAAGUUUCUACGAUCUGAUCGCGGAGACAAAUAUUUGAGUUACGAGUUUGGUCUUCAAUUAAAACAAUGUGGAAUAGUUUCACAAACUCAUGCCACAUGGAACACCACAGCAUAAUGGUGUGUCCGAACGUCAUAACCGUACUUUAUUAGAUAUAUAGUGCAAUCUAUGAUGUCUCUUACGGAUCUACCACUAUCGUUUUGGGGUUAUGCAUUAAAGACAGCUACAUUCACAUUAAAUAGGGCACCAUCUAAAUCCGUUGAGGCGACACCAUAUGAACUAUGGUUUGGCAAGAAACCUGAGCUGUCGUUUCUUAAAUUUUGGGGUUGCAAUGCUUAUAUGAAAAAAUUUCAUCCUGAUAAGCUCAAACUCAAAUCGGAGAAGUGCGUCUUCAUAGGAUAUCCAGAGGAAACUAUUGGAUACACCUUCUACCACAGAUCCGAAGGCAAGACUUUUUUUGCUAAAUUCGGAAACUUUCUGGAGAAGGGGUUUCUCUUGAAAGAAGUGAGUGGGAGGAAAGUAGAACUUGACGAGGUAACUGUACCUGCUCCCUUAUUGGAAAGUAGUACAUCACAGAAAACUGUUUUUUGUGACACCUACACCAGUUAGUGAGGAAGCUAAUGAUGAUGAUCAUGAAACUUCAGAACAAGAUACUACUGAACCUCGUAGAUCAACCAGAGUAAGAUUCGCGCCAGAGUGGUACGGUAAUCCUGUUCUGAAAGUCAUGCUACUAGAUCAUGAUGAAACCUACGAACUAUGAAGAAGCGAUGAUGAGCCCAGAUUCCGCAAAGUGGCUUGAAGCCAUGAAAUCUGAGAUGGGAUCCAUGUAUGAGAACAAAGUAUGGACUCUGGUUGACUUGCCCGAUGAUCGGCAAGCAAUUGAGAAUAAAUGGAUCUUUAAGAAGAAGACUGACGCUGAUGGUAAUGUUACUGUCUACAAAGCUUGACUUGUCGCAAAAGGUUUUCGGCAAGUUCAAGGGAUUGACUACGAUGAGACCUUCUCACCCGUAGCGAUGCUUAAGUCCGUCCGAAUCAUGUUAGCAAUUGCCGCAUUUUAUGAUUAUGAAAUUUGGCAGAUGGAUGUCAAAACUGCAUUCCUGAAUGGAUUUCUGGAAGAAGAGUUGUAUAUGAUGCAACCGGAAGGUUUUUGUCGAUCCAAAGGGAGCUAACAAAGUGUGCAAGCUCCAGCGAUCCAUUUAUGGACUGGUGCAAGCCUCUCGGAGUUGGAAUAAACGUUUUGAUAGUGUGAUCAAAGCAUUUGGUUUUAUACAGACUUUCGGAGAAGCCUGUAUUUACAAGAAAGUGAGUGGGAGCUCUACAACAUUUCUGAUAAGUAUAUGUGAAUGGCAUAUUGUUGAUCGGAAAUAAUGUAGAAUUAUUCUGUAAAGCAUAAAUGGAGUGUUUGAAAGGAGUUUUUCAAAGAAAGACUUCGGUGAAGCUACUUACAUAUUGAGUUUCAAGAUCUAUAGAGAUAGAUCAAGACGCUUGAUAAGUUUUUUCAAUGAGUACAUACCUUGACAAGAUUUUGAAGUAGUUCAAAAUGGAACAGUCAAAGAAAGAGUUCUUGCCUGUGUUACAAGGUGUGAAGUUGAGUAAGACUCAAAGCCCGACCACGGCAAAAAAAAUAGAAAGAGAAUGAAAGUCAUUUCCUAUGCCUCAGUCAUAGGUUCUAUAAAGUAUGCCAUGCUGUGUACCAGAUCUAUUGUAUACCCUGCACUGAGUUUGGCAAGGGAGUACAAUAGUGAUCUAGGAGUAGAUCACUAGACAGCGGUCAAAAUUGUCCUUAGUGGAAUAAGGAUAUGUUUCUCUAUUAUGGAAGUGAAAAAAGGUUCGUCGUAAAGGGUUACGCCGAUGCAAGUUUGACACUAAUCUAGAUGACUCUAAGUCUCGAUCUAGAUACAUAUUGAAAGUGGGAGCAAUUAGCUAGAGUAGCUCCAUGCAGAGCAUUGUUGACAUAGAAAUUUGCAAAAUACAUGAGGAUCUGAAUGUGGCAGACCCGUUGACUAAGAUUCUCUCACAAGCAAAACAUGAUCACACCUUAGUACUCCUUGGGUGUUAAUCACAUAGCGAUGUGAACUAGAUUACUGAAUCUAGUAAACCCUUUGGGUGUUGGUCACAUAGCGAUGUGAACUAUGGGUGUUAAUCACAUGGUGAUGUGAACUAUUGCUGUUAAAUCACAUGGCGAUGUGAACUAGAUUAUUGACUCUAGUGCAAGUGGGAGACUGAAGGAAAUAUGCCCUAGAGGCAAUAAUAAAGUUAUUAUUUAUUUCCUUAUAUCAUGAUAAAUGUUUAUUAUUCAUGCUAGAAUUGUAUUAACCGGAAACAUAAUACAUGUGUGAAUACAUAGACAAACAGAGUGUCACUAGUAUGCCUCUACUCGACUAGCUCGUUAAUCAAAGAUGGUUAUGUUUCCUAACCAUAGACAAAAGAGUUGUUAUUUGAGUAACGAGGUCACAUCAUUAGUUGAAUGAUCUGAUUGACAUGACCCAUUCCAUUAGCUUAGCACCUGAUCGUUUAGUAUGUUGCUAUUGCUUUCUUCAUGACUUAUACAUGUUCCUAUAACUAUGAGAUUAUGCAACUCCCGUUUGCCGGAGGAACACCUUGGGUGCUACCAAACGUCACAACGUAACUGGGUGAUUAUAAAGGAGCAUUACAGGUGUCUCCAAAAGUAGAUGUUGGGUUGGCGUAUUUCGAGAUUAGGAUUUGUCACUCCGAUUGUCGGAGAGGUAUCUCUGGGCCCUCUCGGUAAUGCACAUCACAUAAGCCUUGCAAGCACUGCAACUAAUAUGUUAGUUGUGAGAUGAUGUAUUACGGAACGAGUAAAGAGACUUGCCAGUAACGAGAUUGAACUAGGUAUUGGAUACCGACGAUCGAAUCUCGGGCAAGUAACAUACCGAUGACAAAGGGAACAACGUAUGUUGUUAUGCGGUCUGACCGAUAAAGAUCUUCGUAGAAUAUGUAGGAGCCAAUAUGGGCAUCCAGGUCCUGCUAUUGGUUAUUGACCGGAGACGUGUCUCGGUCAUGUCUACAUUGUACUCGAACCCGUAGGGUCCGCACGCUUAAGGUUACGAUGACAGUUAUAUUAUGAGUUUACAUGUUUUGAUGUACCGAAGGAGUUCGGAGUCCCGGAUGAGAUUGGGGACAUGACGAGGAGUCUCGAAAUGGUCGAGACGUAAAGAUUCAUAUAUUGGAUGAUAUGGUUAGGCCAAGGGGUCAAGCCCAUGAGGCUUUAGAUCGGUGCAAAAGGAGUUUUGCGGAGUCCAGGGGGCCAAACGCCGGAGACCCUGGCGUCUGGCCCUGGGCCAGACGCCGAGGCCCAUGGCGUCUGGGCCAGACGCCAAGGAUUGUGGCGUUUGGUCCUGGAGUCCGAGUGGGACUCUUGCCUUUCAGGAAAAACCGACUUUGAGGAGGCUUUUGCUCCAAGUUUCGACCCCGGGGCUCAACAUAUAAAUAGAGGGGCAGGGCUAGCACCAAAGACACAACAAUUGAUCCCUUGGAUCUCUUAGCCGUGUGCGGUGCCCCCCUCCACCAUAGUCCACCUCGAUAAUAUCGUAGCGGUGCUUAGGCGAAGCCCUGCGACGGUAGAACAUCAAGAUCGUCACCACGCCGUCGUGCUAACGGAACUCUCCCUCGACACUCGGCUAGAUCGGAGUUCGAUGGACGUCAUCGAGCUGAACGUGUGGUAGAACUUGGAGGUGCCGUAGUUUCGGUGCUUGAUCGGUCGGGCCGUGAAGACGUACGACUACAUCAACCGCGUUGUGCUAACGCUUCCGCUUACGGUCUACAAGGGUAUGUAGACAAUACUCUCCCCUCUCGUUGCUAUAUAUCACCAUGAUCUUGUGUGUGCGUAGGAAAUUUUUUGAAAUUACUACGAAACCCUACAGUUACCUUAUCAACCGACUACCUAGCCGCGUCAUUGGCAAUAUGAGUCCCAUGGAAAAACUGUUUUCCACCAAGCCUGACUACGUAUCUCUUCGCACGUUCGGGAGUGCAUGUUGGCCUAACUUGCGCCCGUAUUGUUGGGGAACGUUGCAGAAAAUUAAAAUUUUUCCCACGGUUUCACCAAGAUCCAUCUAUGAGUUCAUCUAGCAACGAGUCAUGGGAGAGUGAUUGUAUCUACAUACCACUUGUAGAUCGCGUGCGGAAGCGUUCAAGUGAACAGGGUUGAUGGAGUCGUACUCGUCGUGAUUCAAAUCACCGAUGACCUAGUGCCGAACGGACAGCACCUCCGCGUUCAACACACGUACGGAGCGGAUGACGUCUCCUCCUUCUUGAUCCAGCAAGGGGGAAGGAGAGGUUGAUGAUGAUCCAGCAGCACGACGGCGUGGUGGUGGAUGCAGCAGAACUCCGGUAGGGCUUCGCUAAGCGACUACGGGAGGAGGAGGAGGUGUAGCAGGAAGGGGAGGCGCCAAGGGCUUCAGGGUGCGGCCACCCCUCCCUCCCCUCCCUUUAUAUAGGUGCAAGAGAGGGGGGAGGGCGCAGCCUUGCCCCUUCCUCCAAGGAAGGGGUGCGGCCAGGAGGGGGGAGGAGUCCAUCCUCCCCAAGGCACCUCGGAGGUGCCUUCCCCUCUUAGGACUCUCCCCUCCCCUAGUCUCCUUGGCGCAUGGGCCUCUUGGGGCUGGUGCCCUUGGCCCAUAUAGGCCAAGGCGCACCCCCACAGCCCAUGUGGCCCCCCCCGGGGCAGGUGGACCCCCCCGGUGGACCCUCGGACCCCUUACGGCACUCCCGGUACAAUACCGAUAAAGUGCGAAACUUCUCCGGCGAUCAAAAUAAGACUUCAUAUAUAUAAAUCUUUACCUCCGGACCAUUCCGGAACUCCUCGUGACAUCCGAGAUCUCAUCCGGGACUCCGAACAACAUUCGGUUUGCUGCAUACUCAUAUUCAUACAACCCUAGCGUCACCGAACCUUAAGUGUGUAGACCCUACGGGUUCGGGAGACAUGCAGACAUGACCGAGACGUUCUCCGGUCAAUAACCAACAGCGGGAUCUGGAUACCCAUGUUGGCUCCCACAUGUUCCACGAUGAUCUCACCGGAUGAACCACGAUGUCAAGGACUCAAUCAAUCCCGUGUACAAUUCCCUUUGUCUAACGGUAUUGUACUUGCCCGAGAUUCGAUCGUCGGUAUACCGAUACCUUGUUCAAUCUCGUUACCGGCAAGUCUCUUUACUCGUUCCGUAACACAUCAUCCCGUGAUCAACCCCUUGGUCACAUUGUGCACAUUAUGAUGAUGUCCUACCGAGUGGGCCCAGAGAUACCUCUCCGUUUACACGGAGUGACAAAUCCCAGUCUCGAUUCGUUCCAACCCAACAGACACUUUCGGAGAUACCUGUAAUGCACCUUUAUAGCCACCCAGUUACAUUGUGAUGUUUGGUACACCCAGAGCAUUCCUACGGUAUCCGGGAGUUGCACAAUCUCAUGGUCUAAGGAAAAGAUACUUCACAUUAGAAAAGCUUUAGCAUACGAACUACGAUCUUUGUGCUAGGCUUAGGAUUGGGUCUUGUCCAUCACAUCAUUCUGCUAAUGAUGUGAUCCCGUUAUCAACGACAUCCAAUGUCCAUGGUUAGGAAACCGUAACCAUCUAUUGAUCAACGAGCUAGUCAACAGAGGCUUACUAGGGACAUGGUGUUGUCUAUAUAUCCACACAUGUAUCUGAGUUUCCUAUCAAUACAAUUAUAGCAUGGAUAAUAAACGAUUAUCAUGAACAAGGAAAUAUAAUAAUAACAACCAAUUUAUUAUUGCCUCUAGGGCAUAUUUCCAACACGUAUAACACUCAGAAACUUGCGUUUAGAUCACAAUAGUGUGUGUUUGUCGGGUACAUCAUUCGUCACAAAGGAUAUAAAUGUCUUCACGUACCUACCGCUCGUGUAUAUAUAUAUCACGAGAUCUUAUCUUUGAUGAACAUUUUUUUCCUUUUACCAAUGGCCAACCCUCUCCAAUACCACCUCACGUUGCUGAACAUGCAAUCCUUUUAUUUCCACAUGACCACAUGAACUAUGGCGCAUCUGUUUCUCGAACUAAUCUGGAUGCAGGUACCGAUUCAGUGCAGAAAAUCCCAUCUCCAGACUCCCUGACAGAUCCUGUGUCCCAAUCCGCCGCCGCAUCAGCCUAGGAUCACGCGCCGCCUGGAGACAACGACGUGGAGGCAGCUGACCACGUGACGAUAGGUGACAGCGCACUAGGUGACCGCGCUGGGCCCGGGUCUCCGCCACCCACCAAUCCCGUAUCCCCUGAGGGCGAGUGGACCAGGGCGUCUCUCGCGUCGGCUCCUGCAUGUGCGCGUCCGACCCACAUUGUGGCGGGGCCCACCCCUGCGCGGGCCGCUGUGUCUCCCGAUUUGCCCCAGGCCGCUGUCCACCUGGCGCCCGCGGAGCGGGCCGUUGCUGCUGGCGGCGCUGGAUCCUAGAUGGAUCUGGCGGCUGCGUCGUCUUCCUCGCCCGACACGGGAUCCCACGGGGAUUCGCCGGCGCGCUUGUCUGCAUGCGUCCCGCCCGGAUCCUCUAUGGCCACCGGAUCUUCUACUCCGCCUGUGCAUACAAUGACGAUGCGCACACGUGAUCACACUCACAAACCGCUGUAGCGCACUGAUGGUACUGUCACGUACGAUCCGUCCCGUCGUGCAUUCUUGGCACUGCGGGAAUCGUGAAGCGGUCUCUUCUCCAGAGUGGCGUCUGGCAAUGCAACUUGAGCUCGAUGCUCUCCGACAGAAUGGUACCUGGACUUUGGUACCUCCUCCUCCUUGUGUCAACGUCAUUGAUUGCAAAUCAGUGUUCAAGAUCAAACACAAACCUAAUGGAACUGUUGAUCGUUACAAGGCACGUCUGGUCGCAAAGGGGUUCAAACAACGCUAUGGCUUGGACUAUGACGAUAUGUUCAGUCCGGUCGUUAAACCUGUCACUGUGCGACUGGUUCUCUCCAUUACAGUUUCUCGUGGAUGGUGUUUGCGACAGUUGGAUGUUCAAAAUGCUUUCCUUCAUGGCAUUCUCCAAGAAGAAGUAUACAUGCGCCAACCUCCUGGUUUUGUGAACCCCUCGGUGCCUCAUCAUUUGUGCAAACUUCGCAAGGCUCUCUAUGGGCUUAAAUAGGCUCCUCGAGUGUGGUAUUAUCGGCUGAGUUCUAGGCUCCAACAACUUGGUUUUAUAGCAUCCAAAGCUGACAGGUCCCUCUUUGUCUACAACCGGUGUGGUGUUACUAUUUUCAUGCUUGUGUAUGUAGACGACAUUAUUGUCUCCAGCUCCUCUCCCGCUACUACUACCAAGUUACUUGCUGAUCUCCAAGCCUCCUUUGCUCUCAAGGAUCUCGGCUCUCUGCAUUAUUUUCUUGGAGUCCAUGUGGAGUCAUCGCCAGGGGGAAUUGUUCUAUCUCAGCAGAAGUAUAUCAGCGAUAUUCUUCGUCAUGCCAACAUGGAGAAUUGCAAAGUCUCUACCACGCCGAUGUCCUCCAGUGAGAAAAUUAGCAAGGAUAGUGGAACACCACUUUCUCAGGAUGAUAGCACCAAAUAUCGCAGCUUGGUUGGAGCUCUCCAGUAUCUGACACUCACGAGGCCAGACAUUUCUUUUGCAGUUAACCGUGUUUGUCAGUUCCUUCAUGCACCUACGACUGCACACUUUUCAGCUGCAAAGAGGAUUUUGAGAUACUUGAAGUAUACUCACAAUAUGGGCUUGUCUAUUCGAAAGUCACCCUCCAUGUUGUUAAGCUGUUUUCCAGAUGCAGACUGGGCUGGAUGCAGUGAUGAUCGCCGAUCCGCAGGUGGCUUUGCAGUUUUUCUUGGACCUAACCUUGUCUCGUGGAGUUCAAGAAAGCAAGCUACGGUGUCUAGGUCAAGCAUGGAGUCUGAAUAUAAGGCACUUGCGAAUGGAUUAGCUGAGGUCAUAUGGAUACAGUCGGUCCUUCGUGAACUUGGGGUCUUCCUCUCUCGACCUCCUGUUAUGUAGUGUGACAAUCUAGGAGCCACUUAUUUAUCUGCGAAUCCGGUAUUCCAUGCCAGAACCAAGCACAUAGAAGUGGACUUCCACUUUGUUCGUGAACGAGUUGCAGCCAAGGAGCAAGUUGCAGAUAUAUAUCUUCCAAGGAGAAAGUUGCAGAUAUAUUCAAAAAGCCUCUAGCUGAGGUGCCGUUUGUUUUAAAUAGGCACAAUAUGAAUCUUUGGGUAGGAAGUUCAGAUUGAGGGGGAAUGUUAAACUGUAUAGUUAUCAGAUAUGGUUAGUAUCUAGGAUUGUAGUUAUCAUUGUAUAACAACUUGUACUUAUCCUCCUGUAAACCCUAGCGGCAUCCCUAGAGGCGCCCUAUAUAAUGAUCCUGAGACCACCGCAUUAGGUGUGUCGAUCCAAUCUCUUCUCUCUUUGUUUCACAAUGUGUCCGUGGGUUGUAUGAAAUAAAACCAUAAAUUUACACACUAUUGUAUCGAUUGAGAACUCAAGAGCAAGGCCCGUUUCCAACCUCGUCUCGGCAAACGUGGUUUCUUCCUCAUCAUGCUUCUCUCACCAACGACCACCAUGAAGCCAUUGCUUUUCUCUCUCCAUGAUCUUUGGUCCUUCUCCACCAGCAAUGUGAAAAAAGGCAAUAUGCCAGCUUCAUACUCCAUGGUCUUUCUUUUGAGCUUCAAGGUAGUAUGAUAGUAUAAUCAGUGUACAGUACUGUCCAAGACCGAACCAAACUGGUUCAUAUAGCUGUAAAAAUCUCUUGUGAUCAACAACAAAACUAAUGCUAAUAUUCAGGAUUUCAAACUUCAAGCAUUUGGAGAUAAACCAACAAAAAGAAAAACUGAGCGGCGGUGUCAAAAGUAAUUGUUGACCUUUGUCAAAUUGACUGCAUGCUUUUAAAUCAAGAUCAUGCAACUAAGACUUGCAUCUCAAUAAAACCAUAUCAGUUGCACAUGCAGAUGAGAAAAAUAGGAAAUACUCUAUUCCAUUCAAGGGUUGUAUGUCAAUUAUUAAAACGCAAGCACAUUAUAAGUCACAAACCUCCAACGCGCAGAUAAUUUCGGAAAUGCCUAAACCUUAGAUAAUUUGGGAAAGGAGGGUGGCUACAGUCCCCUUGGCUGAUAUACAUAGGUCUAGCUGUAACAUCUUUGGGCAAAGCAUCAUUUGCAACUGGUAACCACAGAAUAUGUAUUUAGCGCUCCUACAGAAGAAAAGAAAAGAAAAGGAUUAAAAAGGGAAUGCCGCCUUCAUAGGUCACAAACCUCGAAUUGUCAAUAUCUUCUUGUGAAUGUACACAUAUUUGAAAUACUUGAAGCGGCUAGGAUAAUGUUCUUAAAAAUGGGUUGCUUCAGAGAUAAGAAACUAAUACUGCAGUCAGACCAAAAGGAAAUUCAAGGGCACAAAAUACUUCCAGCAGGCCUUUGCAAAUUGGCAAUUAAUUAAGAAAAGGUGAUGUAUUGACUCAGGAGCCUGGAAUCCACACAUGACGCAGAAGUUUAAUUCAAGGACGGGGAAGUAAGAAUAAGACCACGUACGUACUAACAAAAGAGGGGAUCAAGGAGGAGCUGUAAAAUCCAAAUGAAAAUAUCAAUACAUAAUGAACAGCACCAUUGCGUUGAAAUACCACAAGUCGCUGCUAGUAAGAUUACAUAUGCCGGCUCUCUUGGACAACAAAACCUAAGUCAGGAUUCGACUACGCACGAUUAAUUUGUUGUGUUUGACGUUCCUCUUCCUCUCUUUUUUUUAUGAAGAAUCACAGAGUGUUUUAUUCCAGGAUGAUAGAGUUACAAUCUUCAGCGACUAAUUUGCUAAUGCAUGGGGUGGAUGGCCCAGCCAACCUGCUGUGCUAUCACCGACACUAUGAAAUCAAUCUUCCAAACUGCAGAAUUGUAAAGUACAGCUCAGACCUACAGGGCAGGACCGGCUAGCUAAACGGCCACGCUGGAUGAUAUGUUAUCACGUUCCCCGCGGCCGCGCCAUGAACUCCAAAUCUGGCGAAACCACCUACCGUCGCACAAGGCGCCGUCGGUCGUGGAACACGCGGUCUGCAGGUCACAUCGGUCCAGGCCUUGUUGGGUUCACGCGGUCCAGAUGACAUGCACGCCCGCCAAGCAAUUGAGAAAGAGAGAGCCAUGCACGCACGCGAAGCACGCUGCCCUGUGACAACGAGGAUGAUCAUGCAUGCAUGUCAGAGAGCAGAGAGCAGAGACGUCUGUCACUUGUGUAGAUGGUAGGUUCUGCUGGUUGGCGGUCACGCUAUGCAGACCGCGUGUUCCACGACCGGGCCAAAUUUCGUGUUCUGACCCUUUUUCAAUACAAAUUUAGGAUCUGACCCCGGUUCCAAAAAAUUUCGAGAUCUGACCAUUCCGCUACCGCUAUGGGCUCUGACAGUAUGGUUAGACAUACUACCGCCAGGGUCCAUGGCGGUAGGGUGCGACGGAGGGCGACGGAGGGCAACGGCCGCCGUUUGCUCGAGCUGACGUGGACAAGUAGCCUACCGCCAGGGACCAUGGCGGUAGCAUGUUAGACCUUACCGCCUGACCGCUUGGCGGUAAGGUGUGGCUGGGGUUUUGCCUCCCAAGUUUCUGUAACGAAAUAUCGAGGUGCCCUGACGGUAGGUACGUUCGUCCUACCGUCAGGGUCCUUGGCGGUAGGGUCCUGUGUUCUAUGGUUUAUAAGUUUAUUUUUGCUUCUUUUCAGAAACAAUAUAGGCCCUAAAAUAUGAGCUCGCAUUUUUUUAGUGAUUGUUUAUUUUGUAAAAUAUGAGCUCACAAAGAAAGCCAACAAACGGUUUCACAUAGUUUGUUUUGUUACAAGUUUCACAUCACAAAUAGUAAAAUAUGAGCUCACAUAAUGAUGAUGGUUCCACAUAGCAAUUAUCAAACAGUUUACAGAUAAUAGAUUCAUAAGUAGGGAAUAGCAAAUAGCAAACUUGUCCACAUAGUUUGACAAACCCUACAAAAACAGAGAUAUAUAUUCAAUCGACAUGUUUAUGGGGCNNNNNNNNNNNNNNNNNNNNNNNNNNNNNNNNNNNNNNNNNNNNNNNNNNNNNNNNNNNNNNNNNNNNNNNNNNNNNNNNNNNNNNNNNNNNNNNNNNNNNNNNNNNNNNNAUGGCCGUGGAGACAGAUACGGCAGCGGAUCCACCGGUUCAGGCGGAGGCGAAACGCUGGUCGGCAUCCGACCAUUCAAGCAGUCCCACCUUGGCUUGCCCGCUGGAGUUUUCGCCUCAGCCCUUGGCCAGUUGAUGAUAUCGAAGCCGAUGCACUUGGGGGCGCAUCCUGGCUCUCUCCUCCUCAUUGCUCUCGAAAUAGAUCCUCCGGCCCAAAUUGCGCAGCUCGACACUACUAGGAAAAGGCAUGCUAGUGAUGCACCAGUUUUGCCUACUAAUGGCGCACUACUGGUGCGCCACUAGCAUCACGCCAUUAGAAUUAAAUUCUAAUGGCGCACCACUGGUGUGCCAUUAGUAUCUGGUGUUCUAAUGGCGCACCAAUCAGUGCGCCAUUAGUAUAGCCCACAGUGCGCCAUUAGAAUGCCUCCCAGGGGGUCGUAUGUACCCAUGUGCUUUGGCUUACUAAUGGCGCACCAGUGGGUGAUGCGCCAUUAGUGUGAUUAUCACAGUGCGCCAUUAGUGUCUUGUGUGGUGCGCCAUUAGUAUUAAUAUUAGAUUUUUUUUUGUUUUUUUCUAAUUUUUUCACAGGUUACAAAAUAUAUUAUUUGACAGAAUAUAGACAACACCACACAGCAACAGCAGAUUCAUCGAAUACAAUAGAAGGUAAGUCUCCGAAUAUAAUUCAUCAUAUUAGUCUCCGAAUACAAAAGACCGAACGAAGAUAGAACAUUACAAGUCUCGUAGACCGCGAGUAGCGAGUUUGUCUUCACAUUACAAGUCGAUAUCGAUCAUCUAAACUACCAUCACAUAGAAGAGAGCUGCGGUCAUCACGAUGAGCAUCAUCGCGAUGAAACUGGUCUUCACCCGGUUCCCCCAACGCUCCCUCCUCUCUCCCGCUAGAUAGCGGGCGUAUCUAGAUUCCGUCUCCGCCCUAGUGGUGUAUCCUUUGUAACUGUUACCGCUGAAACGGUGAACCUGUCUCCGACACUCCUCCCAGUCGUCGUAGACUCCGGGAACCUUACCCUUGUAUACGACAUACGAAGGCAUCUCUAUGCACAAGCCAAACAACAUACAAUACAUCAGCAAUAUAUAAGUAUGCAACAAAAGGAUCGGAAGAGAAAAGCAAGACACUAAUAACACGAUUCAUGGUCCUACUAAUAAAUAGCAUCGAUUACAUCUAAGUUGAACGACUGUCCAAACCGAAGAGACAUACAAGUUCAUUAAAGUUUAAUUACAACAUGAGCUAAUCGAUGUUUCAGAACUACAAAUAGCAUCACUACUUUCGACUUGACUCAUGGGACCGGAGCGUGGAUGAAGCCGCCAUCUUUCGUGAUGGUCAUGAAGUCGCGGGCGUUGUCAGCCUGCAUUUGAAGUGUUGUGUCUAUCUCACUGUUGGGCGGUUGCUCUCUGAGGUAGAACUGCCCCGAGGUACGAAGGACAUCUUGAUGGAUGAUUUCUGCAAACUCCGACUGGAUGCGAAAGAAUUCUUGUCGGAGGUCCGCGUCCUGGAUUGCCGCCAAGCUUGCGGCCCAAUCUUUGACAUUAUUUGGUAACAGAAGGUGAUUAUGGUCCCGUACGAUCGCCCUCAUGUGAUGGAGGGCGUAGUAGGCAUCCUUCUGACCGCCAGGCGGCUGCUUGACGCAGGGGAACGUCGUACUGUGGGUGAACACGUGUUUGCCAUACCUACGAUCUGGCCUCUUAAAGGUGCCUCCAGAUGUGGCAUAGCCAGGGAGAGCAUCAUCAAGAACUUUCUUGAUAUUUGUAUAGUCUAUCUUGGAGUCACGGUCCGAGUCGAAAUACGUGGUCGUGGAAUAUUUCGGGCUUAAGAGGAUGAGUUUGCAAUGUGUGUCACUGCACAAAACACGGAAUGUUAGAAAAAAAAGAACGAUCGAAAGCUAAGAAAUCAUAUUUUACGGGGCGGUGAGGGGAUGACUUACUCGGGAAAGUAAGGGACGAGGAAGUUAUCCUUAUCUGGGUUUGCCAGAAUGACGCCUUCGAGGUGUGAACUCGCGACUUGCCGGUCCCCAGCGCUGCCCAAGAUCUUGGCACGCAUGUAGAAGGGGUCGACUAUCACGAUGUCCGGGGUCUUGUCUCGAAUGAUCCGCAUCUCCAUACUCAGCGAAAACAGCCGAACGAAGGUGUAGUGCAGCGGAUGAAGAUUAAACAUAGCAAAGAUGCCAUCAAACCGCAGGACGAUCGUACCCCCAAUGGCCAUCCACAAAGCCCUUGCCCUCUGGCACCUUGGCCAUGAAAACCGGGUAUGCCACAUCAUUCUGGGAGAGACACAUCUUCUCCAAAGAAAGAACACUGUCAUGCGGACUCCGCAUAGCACCGGUUGCAGCAUUGAGCAUAUUUGUCGGUAGCAUCGCCCUACCCGCCACAUGCACCCUCCUCGAGAUAUCCUGAGGUGAAGGUGGCCCGUCCUGAGCACGGAUCGUACUCGGUGCCGGCUAGCUCGCAUCGGCGCCCUUGGCAGUCUUUCGUUUCUGUCCCUUCUUCUUGAUCUGCUGUAAUGGGACCGAUUUCUGAUCACAGACCGCCUUCUUGAGCGUGUUGGGGCUGAUAAUAUUUCGCACCUCAGCUAUCUGAGGCUCGGUGAAGGCAGGAGCUGGAGGCGUCUCCUGAGAACUGAACGCCAGACGACGCCUGUUGCAAUUGGAUUUCUCAGCCGUACCAGCUAGAUCGCGGUCGUCUUGGCUGGGUUCUUGAGAAGGAGGCCCACCGAACUCGUCACCGUACCCAUGUUCGGCAAAGUACUUAUCAUCGUUGGUAAAUGUACCAUCGUCGUUGUCAUCGUCGUCCGGAUCCUGUGCCAUAUGCAUGUCCAGAUCCUGUGCCAUAGGGAUGUCUGGCAUGCCCGGUAGCGUUGCGGCGUUCUUGCCAUGGCGCGGCGCUAGCACGACUAGCGGUCUUGUCUGUGGGGUGGUGUCCCCCGCCCCCAAACGAAUCUGGCUCUUCGGCCAAAGCAAGGGCCAGCUUAGGCAGGUGCUGAUGGUCAUCAGAUCUUCUUCAUCGGCCCCGGCGGGUUGAAUCAGAGGUAACAACUCGUCGCAGCCUGGCAGCACCCGAACCAGUUGAAUCCUAUACACGGUGGGUGGCAUCGGUUUACCGUGGAACACGGGGUUGCCCGGUUGAACGAUUUUGCCCUUGGCGACAUCGACCAACUCGUCAUUCACGAAGUGCAGGAGAGUGCACGGAACGUCGGCGGUGCCCUGCGAAAACAUGUAGGGCGUCAGGGAUGCCCAGUCAAAGGCAAAAGGAGAUGAAGUCCUCGACCGAGAGGCUUAAUUAGUUACCGUGAUGAUGGCGUCGAGCUCGGCUAAUGUCGAGGCACCGCCAACGGCGGGCGUGCAAAUGACGGAGGGGCCACUUGCUGGCAAGGUGCCGGCCGGCGUAAACCCGGGUGUAUUAAGCUCCAAUGCCCGUGCCGGCGCCAGAGACACCAAUACCGCCGCCGCCGAUGACACCAAUGGCGCCGCCGGAGACACUAAUGGCGCCGCUUGCGUGUUGUGCGAGUUGCUGGCUGUGAAGCUGGGAAUCGGGGGCGGCCCCUGUUGGCCACCCGCAAUCCACGUUGUCAGCCCAUGAAUCAAGGUAGGCAUAAUGCCGGUGAGCGUCGUUCCCAGUUGUUGUUGCACUUGCUCUUGGAUAAUCUCCGGAAUCCGCACCACUUGUGCCUUGAGUUCUUCAACCUCGCGCGACUGGCUUUCUGGGCUGGUCUUUUUCUCCUUUCGCCCACCAGCAGUAUAGUAUGAGGACCAUUUUGUGAACAAGCCUUUGUCGGCCACACGACCAGCUGACGACGGCUUACUGAGCUUAUCCUUAUUUUUCAUUACGUUCAACGCCCUAUUUAGAGUGAUGUCCCAAGCAGGGGUGCUCUGAGACGACCCCGCGCUGCUGCUUUUAGUCUCCUUCGCCAGAACAAGCUCAAGCGUACUGGUCUUCGGAUCCGUGGUAAGAUCCUUUGUUAUCGGGUCCUCCUUGCAUCGGGCCCUGACAAAGUUCCUGGUCUGCAUGUCACUGCUGUAUUUCUUGAAGCGGGACGGUAGGCCUUGCUCGGCACGCUCCGCGUCCUCCUUGUCCCAUAUAGGUUCCACCACUCUAUAACCGCCGGGACCAAGUUUGUGUUCCCCUAAGUUCAACUCCCGCAUUUCUUUCCCCCACUGACUUGAUUCGGAGGUUUCACUGCUCUCGCACUUGAUCUUGAACUCCUUGUAGUCAUCUUCGCUGAUCGAAGGAUUUUCUGCCUUGAUCUUCUCAUAACUAUCACCUUUCUCAAUCAUUCUCUUCACCGCGUUUCUCCAAGUAGACAGGGUCGUGCUCAUGCUCGUGAGGGCGGCACUGUUCACUUUAUUCCAUGAGAGGCGUGUGUUUUCAAAUUUAGCGGGGAACUUGUAUCGUUCGUGCAGCUUCGUGAAGUGGAGGUUGCGCAAAUUCCCUCGGUCCUUAUGCCUAAGUUUCUCGGUGUUGAUCGAGACGGUGCUCCAGAGAAUGCACCCGAGAUGAACCGAGUACCCCUUGACUAUAUGUUUGGGCUCCGUUGAAUUCCCGUCAGAGUCCACUUGAGUAAGUUCCUCCUUGACGGUGCGGAGCUCAUUCGGGCAUCGGUUCUUCCGUUGCUUCUUCGGUUGGCUGCCAUCUAUGCGUGCGCAGCCAUCAUCAGUGGUGGCAUCCUCGGUGGCACCAUCAUUGGUGUCAUCCCCGAUGCCACUAGGGGUUGUGUAGUCAGGAUCGGUGUCUUCCGCGGUGUCCUCAUAGCGGUGAUAGGAUCGGUGUCAAGAUCCCAUGUUUCGUUCUAAGUAGGAAAAAAGUUUGGUCAAAAAGUUGGUUAUUGUCAAGGAACAAGAUCAUGGUCUGAUCAUUUAGGGUUUGUCGACACUGAGGCAUCCUAAAAGCUAAGCUUUUAUCAUUUAGGUUUUGUCGACGCCGAGGCACCCUAAAAGCCUAAGCGUACAUCAUUUAGGUUCUCAUCGACACCGAGGCACCCUAUAGAAACCAAGGUUUCAUCAUUUAGGGUUUGUCGACGCCGAGUCACCCUAAAUGCUAAGUUAAGUUUUCAUCAUUUAGGGUUUAUCGAUGCCGAGGCACCCUAGGUUGGGCCUAAUCACUUGGCACUAAUCACUUGGCUCUAUUGCCACCUAUGUUGGGUUUAUCAUCUAGGGUUUAUCGAUGCUAAGGAGAAUUCUAAGUUGGGCCUAAUCACUUGGCUCUAUUGCCACCUAUGGUUUAAUGCAGCAAGAAUGGCGGGGCAGUUGAUCCUACUUAACUAAGUACUAAUAUACCCCGGCCCAUGCAUUAGUCGCAAGUACCCCAUAUGUCCUAUUUUUAGCAAAGUCAUGCUAAAAUUCACGGAAAAUUUCAGCAUGACCUUUGCUGAAAAUAGGACAUAUGGAGUACCCGAAUUUGCUGGAACGAAAGUUAAUCGACAUUCCGGCAAACUCAAGGGCCUCUCGAGGUACCUGCAAAUUCAUCACAACACAAUGGUCGGAGAUAAAACCCAGCAACUUUACAAGUCUUUCACAGAUUUGUUUGCAAGUUCUGAUAUGUAAUAAAGAUGAGCCUCCAAUGCUGAUUUGUUUGCCUCAAGACAAGAUGAACCUCCAAUGCAACAAGUAAUAAAAUGUUCAACAAUGUAUCAGAUUCGGCAACAGUUUAACAUCUACUCCAGUAAUUAUACAACACCAUGACCAACAUUUCUCCUCUCCAGAAAUUAGAAACAAAAUAAAGGAACAUUACAUAGUAGCCAUCAAAUUAAAAUAACAUAUACAGUACAUACAGGUAGGUAAUACUAAAGUGUGUUCAUAUUAGCUAGUGACCAUUAUAUUGCUUUAGGUUAGGGCCCUUACAUUAUUCUCUCUCUAUCCCUUUCUUUAGCUGCACUGCAUCACAAGGCAAAUAUGGUUCAAAAUAAAAUACUGCUCAAUAAGGACCUAGCAGAAUAGUAAAAUAAGCUUAAAAAAAGCAUACAACUUGACAUACAAACACAGACAGUUAUGCAAGUGCUAGAGGUAUGCAUAUAUNNNNNNNNNNNNNNNNNNNNNNNNNNNNNNNNNNNNNNNNNNNNNNNNNNNNNNNNNNNNNNNNNNNNNNNNNNNNNNNNNNNNNNNNNNNNNNNNNNNNNNNNNNNNNNNNNNNNNNNNNNNNNNNNNNNNNNNNNNNNNNNNNNNNNNNNNNNNNNNNNNNNNNNNNNNNNNNNNNNNNNNNNNNNNNNNNNNNNNNNNNNNNNNNNNNNNNNNNNNNNNNNNNNNNNNNNNNNNNNNNNNNNNNNNNNNNNNNNNNNNNNNNNNNNNNNNNNNNNNNNNNNNNNNNNNNNNNNNNNNNNNNNNNNNNNNNUGUGAACUUGAUCCUGAACUAGAGGUACACAUGUUUGCAUACUCAUCUCUGCAAUUAGUCGUGCUUAUUUGCAUUGUGCUAUAUAUGAAUCCACACUGACUCGAGCCUGAAUCAAUCAAUCAAUGCUGCUCACAAAUACUCCCACACUCCUAUAAUAGUACUAAUAUAAGAGCAUUUAUAUUAUUGGAAUGAAGGGAUAAUUUUUUUUCUUUCAAGAAAACACAAACCCUAACAACACAUUACGAGCACCUUCAAGAGAUUGAACCAACCCAACAUCCACAAACACCUCCUACUCAACACACAGACACAGACCAAGGAAGAAACAUAACCAUUCUUCUUUUUUCUUUCUUUGUUGUUAAUAAUAAAAGAAACUACAAGAGCAAGGAAGGAACAAGUCUUCUUUUGUACUGCCACACAAGAAACCCUCUUUCUUUCUUUCUUCCCUUCUUGUUAAUUUAAUUUUACUGCACCAUCUACUAACCUCCUCCAACUUUACUACCACUACAUCCCUCUCAAGGACAUCUAUGUACUGCUUAUAAAGCAUCACAUGCUGAUGCUAUGUUUCAUUUGCCCCAUCUCCCAUCUCUGCUCUUAUUUUAAGUAAAUGCCCAGAUGCCUUACAUUUAUCUCUGCGGGACUUUUUCUUUUCUAAUGAUAUCAUCUAUACAUGUUACUUAGUUACUAAACCUAUGUAACUUAGGAUCAAAUUGAUAAAUUGCUAGAAGUAUCCGCAUAUUUUCGUGGAGAUCAUAUGGGGGAGGAUCAGACAAUGUGGCAACAGACAGCAAGGUGUGUUCUUUCAAAGAAUCUUUGCAUCGAGUCAAUGAACAUCAUAUUUGAAGUGCAGUUUAACUUAGUCACUUAAAACUAUCUGAUCCACAACUAACAACCAAAGUCAUGUUCAGUUAUAGUGCUUAAAUAUGAUUUUGGUGUGUGUGAAAACAAUACAGUAUUAUAUUUGUACUGAAUGCAUGAGUAUGAUGUAUCACACAUCUACAUGUGUAGGCUUUUUCAGUUUUUUUCUAGAUGGAAACCAGAAGCAUCACUGUCCUUGACUAGAAUCACCAUGGCCAGAUUAAAGACUGCAAGCUGGCAAGUUCUUCCUUUCGAUUUCUCAAUCUUAGCUAGCGGAGGAGGAAGAGAGGUAGAGAGAGGAGGGUUACCUGGCGGCGGUGGGCCGUUGAAGACCUGACGGCGAGGUUCGUCCUCUCGGUGGCGGCGGGGCUCCUCCCCUCGGUGGCGGCGGUGGCCUCUUCCCCUCGGUGGCGGCGGGUGUGCUCCUCCUCUCCUUAUGGAGGCGGGGCGUUGAUCUGGCGGCGGCCCUGGAACCCUAGCACUGGCCCUGCUCGUCGGAGCGGGCGCGACGGUCGUUGGAGCGGGGGAGGCGGCGGGGGUGCGGGGGCGCGGGGGCAGCGGCAGCGGGGGUGGAGUCCUGCGGGGGUCGGGGCAGCGGCGUUGGGGCAGCGCAAGACCACAGCGGCGGCGGCGGCGCCGACGGCGUGCAUGCGCGGCGGUACCGUGCAUUGCCCUUUCUCACCUCGAGAGUUGGUGCAAACUUCACCGGUGCAUCCAAACCCCGUGAUAUGAUACGCUCUAUCACACAUAAGCCUCAUUAUAUAUUCCUCAAAAUAGCCACUAUACCUACCUAUCAUGGCAUUUCCAUAGCCAUUCCGAGAUAUAUUGCCAUGCAACUUCCAUCAUCAUCACAUACAUGACUUGAGCAUUUAUUGUCAUAUUACUUUGCACGAUCGUAAGAUAGCUAGCAUGAUAUUUUUAUGGCUUGUCCGUUUUUUGAUGUCAUUGCUACGCUAGAUCAUUGCACAUCCCAGUACACCCAAAAAGGGGGCCAAAGAAGCACACCCAAAAAGAAAAAAAAGAAAAAAGAAAAAUAAAAGGGGCAAUGUUACUAUCCUUUUACCACACUUGUGCUUCAGAGUAGCACCAUGUUCUUCAUAUAGAGAGUCUCAUAUGUUGUGACUUCCAUUUACUAGGGGGAAUUUUCAUUAUAGAACUUGGCUUGUAUAUUCCAAUGAUGGGCUUCCUCAAAUGCCAUAGGUCUUCAUGAGCAAGCAAGUUGGAUGCACACCCACUUAGCUUUCAGUUUGAGCUUUCAUACACUUAUAGCUCCUAGUGCAUCCGUUGCAUGGCAAUCCCUACUCCUCGCAUUGACAUCAAUUGAUGGGCAUCUCCAUAGCCCGUUGACUAUCCGCGUCGAUGUGAGACUUUCUCCCCUUUUGUCUUCUCCAUAUAAACCUCCACCAUUAUAUUCUAUUACACCUAUAGUGCUAUAUCCAUGGCAUGCGCUCAUGUAUUGAGCGAGGGUUGAAAAAGUUGAAGCGCGUUAAAAAGUAUGAACCAAUUGCUUGGCUUUUCAUCGGGGUUGUGCAUGAUGGGAGCAUUUUGUGUGACGAAAAUGAAGCAUGGCCAAACUAUAUGAUUUUGUAGGGAUAAGCUUGCUUUGGCCUUGUUGUUUUGAAAAGACAUGAUUGCUUUAUUAGUACGCUCGAAGCAUUAUUGUUUUUUAUGUCAAAUGAUAGACUAUUGCUUUGAAUCACUCGUAUCUUAAUAUUCAUGCCAUGAUUAGACAUAUGAUCAAGAUUAUGCUAGGUAGCAUUCCACAUCAAAAAUUAUCUUUUUUAUCAUUUACCUACUCGAGGACGAGCAGGAAUUAAGCUUGGGGAUCUUUAUACGUCUCCGUCGUAUCUAUAAUUUUUGAUUGUUCCAUGCUAAUAUUCUUGAACUUUCAUAUACUUUUGGCAACUUUUUAUACUAUUUUUGGGACUAACAUAUUGAUCCAGUGCCCAGUGCCAGUUCCUGUUUGUUGCAUGUUUUAUGUUUCACAUAAAACCAAUAUCAAAUGGAGUCCAAACGGGAUAAAAAAGGACGGAGAAUUAUUUUGGAAUAUUUGGGAUUUUCCGGAGGAAGAAUCAACACGAAACAGUGUCCGAGGUGGCCAGGAUAUAGGGGGCGCGCCCUCCCCCUUGGGUGCGCCUGGCACUCUCUUGGGCCACCCGUAAGGCGGUUGACGCUCUUCUUUUGCUGCAAGAAAGCUAAUUUUAUGAGAAAAAUCUGGCCGAAAGAUUCACCCCAAUCGGAGUUACGGAUCUUAAGAUAUAAAAGAAACGGUGAAGGGGCAGAAUCUGAGAACGCAGAAAUAGAGAGAUAGAUCCAAUCUCGGAGGGGCUCUCGCCCCUCCCAAGCCAUGGGAUCCAAGGACCAGAGGGGAAACCCUUCUCCCAUCUAGGGAGGAGGUCAAGGAAGAAGAAGAAGAAGGGGGGCUCUCUCCCCCUUGCUUCCGGUGGCGCUGGAACGCCCCAGGGGCCAUCAUCAUCACCGCGAUCUUCACCAACGCCUCCGCCAUCUUCAUCGACAUCUCCAUCACCUUCCCCCAUCUAUAUUCAGCGGUCCACACUCCCGCAACCCACUGUACGCUCUACUUGAACAUGGUGCUUUAUGCUUCAUAUUAUUAUCCAAUGAUGUGUUGCCAUCCUAUGAUGUCUAAGUAGAUUUCCAUUGUCCUAUCGGUGAUUGAUGAAUUGCUAUGAUUGGUUUGAGUUGCAUGCUUUAUUAUUGGUGUUGUUCUAUGGAGCUCUCUGUGUCGCGCAAGCGUGAGGGAUCCCUUCUGUAGGGUUUGCAAUAUGUUCAUGAUUUGCUUAUGGUGGAUGGCGUGAGUGACAGAAGCACAGACCCGAGUAAGUAGGUUGUUUGCAUAUGGGAUAAAGGGGACUUGAUACUUUAAUGCUAUGGUUGGGUUUUACCUUAAUGAUCUUUAGUAGUUGCGGAUGCUUGCUAGAGUUCCAAUCAUAAGUGCAUAUGAUCCAAGUAGAUAAAGUAUGUUAUCUUAUGCCUCUCCCUCAAAUAGAAUUGCAAUAGUGAUUACCGGUCUAGUAACAUAGUCAAAUGCUUUGGGACAAUUCCACAACUCCUACCACCACUUUUCCACAAUCGCUAUAUUUACUUUAUUGCUUCUUUAUCUAAACAUCCCCUAAUUUUUAUUUAUGUGUUCUUUAUUAUCUUGCAAACAUAUCCCAACAACACCUACAAAGUACUUCUAGUUUCAUACUUGUUCUAGGUAAAGCGAACACUAAGCAUGCGUAGAGUCGUAUCAGUGGCAGAUAGGGCUUGAGAGAGUAUUUAUUCUACCUUUAUCCCCUCGUUGGGUUCGACACUCUUACUUAUCGAAAGAGGCUACAAUUAUCCCGUAUACUUGCGGAUCAUCACCUAGCGGUGUGAAAUAAAUGGGAAACUUGUAAGUUCAUGGAGUUUGUAUAUGAGUUAGAGAAACGCCUGGGCGGCCAACCCGAGCCAUGCAUAAUUCAUGGUGGAAAUUUACAACAUAACCAUAGUGAGCAUUCUAUGGAGCAUCUUCAAUAAAAAAAACUAUGCCCAUGGUAAUAAAAGGAUUGCUGAGAUGCUCAUUGUCUGUUGCCUUGUCAUUUUGGUAUGGGAUAGCUCUUGUGUCAUGGGGCAAGGGGUACACCGUUGGCGGUUCUCUAUGAUGCAUGUACACUUACAAUGACAAGAACUUAUUUGGGACCUAAGUUGAGUAGCAUGAGGUUUAGGUACUCGUAUUCAAGGGGCAUGAGGCUUUCAAUUUGUGAUUUGUCAAGCAUACAACUCAUAUUUGCCCUCACUUUAACCUUAACCAUUCAAGAUGCGUAUGAUAGGGGCAAUGAGAGCUGAAAUCUAAUGAGGACCAUAACUUUUGGAAGCUUUAUCAAACUUAUUAAUCCCUACUUACCUCUACGAAGGGCCUUUCUUUUACUUUUUUGUUGAGUCUUCAUCUUCUAUCUUUAUGCACCAACUAAGAUAGCAUAGUUGUCAUUCUGAGUAUAAUGUGCAUUGUCCCAAAACUUGUUGAUUGAUUCAUGAUUAUGGUAUUGCUUAUUCUCAAAUUAUUUGUAUCUAGUCACCCUUUUGAACUUUGAAGGUGUCCUAUGCAUUUAUGUUUUGCUACUCCAAGAAGGACAAGCUGAAUACCACUUUGCUAUGUUUUCUCUAUGUGCGAAACAAACAAAUGUCUUUCAAAGCAUUAUUCAUGAUCUUUUGUUUAUGUUACCUUGCAUGUUGUAAUAUAGUUGCUAUGUUCUAUUGUUAGAAAUAUAUCUUUCAUACCUAUGUUUAGAGUACUUUGAUCCCAUCUUACAAUGUUUUACAAUGAUGAUGAUCAAGAUUGUAUUGGCUGCAUGUCACCUCAAAAAUUAUUUUUGUUAUCACUCCCCUACUCGAGGACGAGCAGGAGUUAAGCUUGGGGAUGAUGAUAUGUUGCAAACGUAUCUAUAAUUUUUGAUGCUCCAUGCUUGUUAUACACCAAUUACUUUAUGUUUUGUUUACACUUUGUGGCAUUUUUAUGUAUUUUCUGGAACUAGCCUAUUGAUAAGAUGCCACAAUGCCAGUUCCCUGUUUUCUGCUGUUUUUGUGUUUUGGAGAAAUUUAUUCUCGGAAUUGGACGAAACAAACGCCAAAGUUCCUAUUUUUCUCGACACGACACGGAGUCCAAAGCAGAGACGGAUGAGCGCACUGAGGUGACCACACCAUAGCCAGGCGUGGGCCCACCUCUGGCUGCACGGCCCUAGGGUGUGGGCCCCUCGGGCGUCCACCGACAUUGCCCUUCCACCUAUAUAAUGCCCCCGAGGUGAAAACUCUAAAUAAUGAAGCCUCCGUCCAUGACAAAUUCCGCAGCGCCGCCACCAUCAAAGACGAGAUUCAGGGGAUAGAAGUCUCUAUUUCGGCACCCUACCGGGAUGGGGAAUUGCCCCCGGAGCCAUCUCCAUCGACUCCACCGCCAUCUUCAUCGCCAUUGCUAACGCCUAUGAUGAUGAGGGAGUAGUUCUCCUCCGAGGCUGAGGGCUUUACCGGUCGCUAUGUGGUUUAUCUCUCUCUCCCAAGGUGUGAUCUUUAUGUGAUCAUGAGCUUUGUAAUCUGGUUGAUUUAGUAGAUGUUACUCUCAUCUAUUAUGCUACUCAAGUGCUUUUAUUAAUGUGAUCUCCGGAGACACCUUGUCCCAUGGUGUGAAGGUGACAGUGUGCGCACCGUGUGUGGCUCUUAGGCUAAAGAUUACAGAAAUACUUAUCAUGAGUUAUAAUUUGAGUUGGAUGUCUCUAUGAAAUUGUGGUGUUUGUUUGGAACCAUCUAGCGCUCAAGGUGACAGUGUGGAGUUACCUAGAUGGGGAAUGCGAACUUUAAGUUGUGCUUUUAUAGCCCUACGUGGUGAAUUGGUGUUCGUUAUCCAACCGGAGAGUAGUUCAGAGUAGCAUAGUGAUGAGAAGAUGUUUAUGUGUUCAAUUAUGAUAUCAUUGUUGAGAGUGUCCACUAGUAAAAGUAUGAUCCCUACGUUUUGUUUCAAAGCAUUGAAACAUCGUUUACAACCAGUUCUGCUACAUGUUUGCUUGCGGGCAUUUUUAUUUCAGAUUGCAAUUACCACUUGUAAUCAUCCAUAUUACUUGUAUUUCACUAUCUCUUCACCGAACUAGUGCACCUAUACACCUGACAAGUGUAUUGGGUGUGUUGGGGACACAAGAGACUUCUUGUAUCUUAAUUGCAGGGUUGCUUGAGAGGGAUAUCUUUGACCUCUUCCUCACUGAGUUCGAUAAACCUUGGGUGAUUCACUUAAGGGAAACUUGCUACUGUUCUACAAACCUGUACACUUGGAGGCCCAACACUGUCUAUAAGAAUAGAAGCGUGCGUAGACAUCAAGCUUUUUCUGGCGCCGUUGCCGGGAGGUAAGGUAAAAGGUACUCACAUCCUCUGGCUACUAAGCUAUCUUCUAGUACUGUUGCUGGUGUGUGAGUGCUCAAAGUUAUUUCCUUUAUAUUCUGCAAUUAUAUCUUUUUGUUUCUUGUUUUUAUUUUCACUAGUUAGGCUUAAGGGAAAACAACAACAAAAUUAGAGAGCUUUAUAGUAUUUUUCCUGGGUUAGGACAUGAAGUGUUUGAAGAGAAAAUUAAAAAACCUAUGGAACUUUAUUUGCAUGCUAAUAGAAAUGUUAUUAGUAUGAACUAUUUGAACACCAUUAUUGCUAAUGCUAUGGAAAAGUCUAAGCUUGGGGAAGCUGUUUUUUAUGAAAAUGGUCCUUUAGUUCCCCAGCUUUAGAGGAGAAAUUUUUAAUGAAAAUGGUCUUUUUAUGAAAUGGUCUUUUUAGCUACCCAGCUUUAGAGGAGAAAUUGAACGAUUUUAGAUUCCAAACGAUUUUUAAAUUUGAAGAUUUUCAAAUUUGAACAAUUUUCAAAAUUUGAAACAUUUUCAUAAUCUGAACGUUUUCAACAAUCUGAACAUUUUUAAAAUUCAAACAUCUUUAGAAUCUAAACAGAAAAAGCAGGAAAAAAGGACCAGAUCCGAUGUAGCCGCCAAAAUCCUCCUCCUCUCGGGCAGAGCUGUUCUCCCUUGCCUGCUGCCUUUGACUCUGCACUCCAUCUUCCUUGGUAUUGAUAUUACUCCCCUUCUCACCCGAUCCCUCCAGUACUUCUGAUAUGUUCUUCUCCAUCUUCCCAAACCCUAAUUCCGCCGCCCUCUCAUCCCCCUUCCCCCCGAUCUCCUUGUGAGUUGGAUCCGCCAUGCACGAAGAUGCACGUGACGGGUAGUGGUAGAUCCCACCGGCGGCCAGAAAGAUCCGGCAAUUGGUGAGAUUUUACGUGGACGCUAGCAUGAAUGCUAGAGGAAAGUUGGAACCCUAGCGGCAGAGCCAGGGGGAGACACGAGAAUUCCUAUGGUCCACCCAACGCGUGCACUAAAAGAGCAUGCUCACGCGGGCACUCUUGGUGGCCCGGUCCAUAAGCGGGAAGACUUUUUUUCAGUUUUUCUUAAUUUCUUUUUCUUCUUUUUAUUUUGUGCUUCUCUUUUCUUCUUUUUUAAAUUUUGGUUUCCCUUUUUCUCGUUUCUGUUGCUUUUUUAUUUUUCAAAGUUUGCAUUUUUUUCAAUUUUGUUUUUUUGAUUUGAAUAUUUUUUAACUUGAACUUUUCCAAAGUGGGACGUUUUUUAAUAUGAACAAAUUUAAACAUUUCUCAAAAUUGAACAACUUUCCAAUUGGAACAAAUUUUAAGUUUUAACAAAUUUCAAAUUUGAACAUUUUCUAUUUUUAAACUUUUUCGAAUUUGAACUUUUUUUAGAUCUCGUAUUUUUUUAAUAUUUUAUGAAUUACAAAAACAAUAAAACAAAAAAAUCAAAUGACUGGAAAAAGAAAUUAAAUUUAUAAAUUUUUAUUUGGCCGCGUUCGAGGCGGCCCAUCAGGAGGCUCUGCGUGCAUGGUGGUUUAGGCCACGUUUGAGCGGCACAUAGGGUUUGCCCCAUCGAUCAUGAGCGAUGAGGAGCCAGCCAGCGACCACGUUGGAUCUUAUUUUUAAAUAAGAAUUUUUCUAAAUUACAAAUAAAUUUGAUAAUCUAAACACCAUUCAAAUUCGAAACAUUUUGAAAAAUCUAAAUACUAUUUUUCCUUUGCUUUUUUCCAGUGUUUUCAAAAUCAGAACAGUUUUAAAAUUUGAAUGAUUUAAAAUUGAACAAGUUUAAAAUUUGAACAAAUUUCUAUAUUCAUAUUGUUAAUAAUCUGAAAAUUUAUGAAAUCUGGAUAAUUUGAGAAACUCUAAAAUUGAACGAUUUUAAAUUCUGAACGAUUUUUAAAUUUGAACCAUUUUCAAAUUUGAACGAUUUUCAUAUUUGAACAAUUUUCACAAUUUGAAACAUUUUCAUAAUCUGAACGUUUUCAACAAUCUGAACAUUUUUUAAAUUUGAACGUCUUUAGAAUCUAAACAGAAAAAGCAGGAAAAAGGAAAAAUAAAAGAAACAUAGCGAAAACCAAUCGAAAAACCGCAGCAAAAAAGUGAAAGAACCGUGCAGAGAAACCCGAAAAAACCAGCCCCGGAUUUUCUGUUGAUUUACCUAUAUGGGUUGGCCAAAUAGCGCAAGGUUGCCUGUCGCAGCUAUAUAUCACAACGAGCGAUGUAUAAGGAUCGCUGAUACUACCGUAGCGAAUCGAGCAUAUCAUCACUAUCGAGACGUUGACGCUCCAAAAAAUACAUUUUAUUUCCAUCAUUGCCUUUUAAUGUUGUUUCUACCUAGUACAGAAGAUAUCUUUUUUUAUAGACAAUACCAUGAUAUAUUAUAGUAGGAAACAGUAUAUGGUACACAUACAUAAGCUGUCUCCAGCGAUUAUAAAAUAAGCAAGCUCACAUCAACAAACAAGAUAACUCUUUUAUACGUGAUAAGCAACCUCAAACCAAUAAACACUACAUCUAUUUCAUUCAGUACAACGGCGUAAGAUCUUUUAUUCUUAACAGGUUUUACGAAUUUAGUGCUCAUAUGCAGGAGUAAUUAUUCCUGGGAGCCAAAACACAAUGUCAUGCAACCUCCACAAUGCAUGAAAUUUCUAUCUUCUUGUGGUGACGUAAUUUACUCCACCCAAGAUUCUUAUUAACAAUCGAUACCACAUAUAUUUAAAAUAGUUCAUGGUCACUACAGGAAACGGGCGAUAGGCCGACGGCCCGACGCUGUCGGCAUAGGCCAAAUAACCCUCGGAACAGGCUAUAGCCGGGAGCGGCCCUGGGCGUAUCACCCUUGGGUCCUUCAGGUAUCUGCGUACAGGUAUUUGUCAUCGGCGUAGAGGAUGCCCUCGAUGUAGACUUGGCGGGCCCAUCGCUAACAGAUGACGGCCGUUAGACGUCGAACAUGCUACACCGACGGCUUUGCCCUCGGGCUAGAUUUUCGAUUUUGUUUCCAACUUUUUUUCCAAAAAAAAUUCAAUUUUUUUCAGACUUGUUAAUUUCACAACGGACAUUUUUAACUCUCAACACGUUUAAUGUAAAAUCAAAUUGCACUUGUGGUCAAACUUCCCGCUCGACCACCCAUCCUCACACUACUCCAACCCCAGCACGCUUAACUUCUCCGUUCCUUCCGGAUGAGCUAUCAAGAAAGAAAUCAUAUCUUAGUGAUAAUAGUACUAUAUCAAUCAUAUUAACUCUUGGACUAUGGUGUCACACCUUUUUAUUUUUGAAUUCCAUACAAAUAUUUAAAUACACAACAAUUAAUAAGUAAUAAUAAUAAUAAUUUUCAAUUCAAAUAAAAUAAAUAAUUAAUAUUUUUUCUUUUUUCUAUUUAAUAUGGAAUAUUUAAUAUCUUUAAAUCCUUAAAUCUGAAUUUGACAAAUAAUAUGUCUAAACCUAUCAAAAAAUGAGGAGAAUCCAAAUAUAACAUCCAUAUCGUCUUGUGAACCUAAAAAAUUGAUAUUUCCAAAAAGAAUCAUGGGCAUUAGAUCAUGUAUGUGUAGUUCAAAUUGACCAUAGUUCAAAUCGAGCAUUACGUACAUGUAUUUUUUUAAAUAUAUGUACACCAUGUAUAUCGACUUGAAUCGUUAGUAUGUGACAUAAGAAGAUUAUGUGGGCAGGUUUUUCAUAUUUUUCCUAUUUUUUGAAUUUUUUAUGCUCAUUUCAAAUUUUUUUGAAAUGUGUAAUAUUUAAGUGUAUAUAGAGAGAUCUUAUUCUUCUGCAAAUUUGAUAUAUUAUUUGUAUUUAUCUGAAUUAUAAUGAUUCAGUUAUGAUUUUUCUAAAAUUAAUAUGAUAAAAUGGAAAAUAGUUAUGCCGACGGUGUAGCUUCAAAACCAAUGCCGAGGGCUUUGCCCUCGGCGUAGACCCUCCGCCGUGACGCGGUCGUAACACUGUUAGCCUGGGCUGGCCUACACCGAGGCUGGCAUAUACCCUGAGGGCAGCUGUUGGCCCAGACAUGGGUUCACCGAGGGCCGAUCCUACGCCAAGGGCCGAGCGGGCGGGCGGGCAGGAUUGCUAGCCCUCUACGCCGACGGCCCUGAUGUUUUGCCGUCGGCAUAGAGGCUGGCCGUCGGCUCCAGACAUCAGUCCUAUAGUGGGUGAAGAUACACAAGCUGUUUUCAGCGAUUAUAAAAUAAAGUACAUAUAAGAAAAUGAGCAAAUCGCCGAGGUCUUUAAACUCUUAUUUUGCAUCACAGGCAGCCAAAUUGACAUGACAUAAAUACCAAACGAUAGGCUCGUAAAUACCGACGAUGGUUCUCCCAUAUUUUUAAAUCUGAGCCGCAAUGCCAAGGCUACGUGCAUGCGCGCAACCAUUAAACUAAUCACCCGACAUCAGCGAGAGCAACAACACCAGUAUUCCAGGGAAAAAGAUACCGAACAGCCUGGUCGACAUCGCUAGAGAGCCGGAAGUACGAAUCACCAUUGUCGAUGGUGUAGCAUCCGGAUAAAUAUUACGAGGACUAGUUGAAUGCCUGUGUGUUGCAACGGCCUCUAAAAUAUUUUAUUUCUGCACAUGUAAGCAUAAUACAUCUUAAUAUUUUGUCGCAUAUAGAAAGAUAGAGAAAUAUAUUAUUCAAGAAACUAUAGAAUUAUACAUUUUGAUAUGAUUGGACAAAAAGUUAUAGUUUGAUUUCUAUGCAUAGUAAUAGAAAACCCAUCUACUCAUCUUAUUCUUAGUUAGGUGUGUUAAACUGUAUAGUUAUCAGAUACAGUUAGUAUCUAGGAUUGUAGUUAUCUUGUAUAACAACCUGUACUUAUCCUCCUGUAAACCCUAGCGGCAGCCCUAGAGGCGCCCUAUAUAAUGAUCCUGAGACCACCGCAUUAGGUGUGUUGAUCCAAUCUCUUCUCUCUUUGUUUCACAAGGUAUCAGGCCAUCUCGCAUAACUGCUCGAUGGGUUCUCCUUCCUCCGGCGCCAUGACUUCCUCGACCCUGGCUUCUCUGCCCAUGCCCUCUGGGCUCUCAGCGCCGACAUCUUCCGCUGUUCCCCAACCCUUUGCUAGCCUCAUUAUCGCCAAGCUUACCUCCUCCAACUUCCUCCUCUGGAAAGCACAGAUCCUUCCUCCCCUUCGCAUCACCGGUGUCACUUGGCUAUGUCGACGGCACCGUCCCUACUCCUCCUCGCAUCCUCCCAGCUGAUGACAAGGGGGGCGCGCUCCUAACCCGGAGUAUGCUGCCUGGUCCCGUCAGGAUCAGAUCAUCCUGAGCUAUCUUCUUGCUCACUCACCGAUGAUGUGCUUCAGCAGGUCCAUCUCUUCGACACCGCCCGCGCCAUCUGGGUGCACCUCGAGGAGAUGUAUGUUACCCACUGUCGUGCCAGUGUGGUGCAGAUCAAGAUGGACAUGAUGAACUUCCGCAAGGGCAACCUCUCCAUGGUGGACUACUUCGCCAAGAUCCUCUCCAAUGCAGAUCAACUCUUCGCCGUUGGCCGUCCCAUGUGCUAGGAGGACAUCAUCACCGCCUUCAUCACCGGGCUCGACAGUGAGUACGGGCCCCUCAUCACUGCCAUCUCCUUCGAACGCCGCCGCGAGUACCACGCGGCUCGUCUUCAACUUCAUACGGGCGGAUCCUCUGUCAAGUAUGUCGCCCGCGACAACAACUGCAACACCAACAACCGUGGCAAGGGCAACUACCGCGACAAGGGUCGCGGCAACUCUGGUGACCGUGGUGACUACAACAACAACAACAACAACCGCAGCGGGUACCGUGGUGACUGUGGUGGUGGUGGCAAUCGUCGGAACGGUAACCGUGGUGGUGACCGCGGUGACCAUGGCGGUGGCGGGGAUGCACGUCUGCAGUGCCAGCUCUGUCAAGGCCCUGGGCACUAUGCAUGGGAGUGCUCUUAGCGCUAGAACCACACCUUCCAACCUCAACACUCCAAGAUGGCGGGUCUCGCUGCCGCUUCACCAGCAUCCAUCCUCGGCGACCCUAACUGGUCCACUGACACGGGGGCUACUGAUCAUAUCACGUCGCAUCUGGACCGUCUCAUUGUGAGGGAAAAGUACCCUGGACGGGACCACAUCCACACUGUCGACGGAUCAGGUUUGCACAUAGCUCAUCGUGGUCAUGCCCUUCUUCCUACACCGUCUGUCAAUCUUAAACUUCGCAACCUAUUACAUGUUCCCAAUGCCGACAAGAACCUUCUUUCUGUUAGUCGUCUUGCCGUUGACAAACAUGCUUAUCUAAAAUAUUAUCCUACUCAUUUUCUUAUGAAGGAUUUGACAACCAAGAAGGUUCUUCUUCACGGCAGAUGUGAAAAUGGGCUCUAUCCCAUUCGGCCUUCACGUUCUCAUGUCUUGUCUUCAGUUAGGCUCUCUGCUGAAGAUUGACAUGCUAGACUCGGCCACCCGUCCACACAAGUUGUUCAGCAUGUUUUGGCGUCCAAUAAAUUAGCAUCAUCGAGUCGGGCUUUGACCCAUGUGUGUAAUGCUUGUCAACAUGGCAAAGCACAUCAGCUGCCUUUUCCUAUAUCUUCGAAUGUUUCCUCGUUUUUGUUGGAACUUAUUUUCUCAGAUGUGUGGGGAGCUGCCAAAACCUCCUCUGGUGGGUUCCAACACUAUGUUUCAUUUAUUGAUGAUUAUAGUAAAUUUGUGUGGAUUUAUCUUCUCAAACGAACAUGUGAUGUGUUUGAUGUCUUUCGUGAUUUUCUUGCCCAUGUUGAACGCCUCCUAUCUCCUAAAAUCCUGUGUGUUUAAUCAGACUGGGUGGGGAAUACGAAAAACUUAGCAACACAUUUUUUUCGGCAACUUGGCAUUGCUCACCACGUCUCUUGUCCACACACACACCAACAGAAUGGCUUGGCCGAAAGGAAGCACCGUCACAUUGUUGACAUGGGUCUCUCCUUAUUAUAGCAUGCGUCUAUGCCCCUCCGUUUUAGGGACGAGGCGUACUUGUCCGCAUGCUACCUUAUCAACCGACUACCUAGCCGCGUCAAUAUGAGUCCCAUGGAAAAACUGUUUUCAACCAAGCCUGACUACGUAUCUCUUCGCAUGUUCUGGAGUGCAUGUUGGCCUAACUUGCGCUAGUAUAACACUCAGAAACUUGCGUUUAGAUCACAAUAGUGUGUGUUUGUCGGGUACAUCAUUCGUCACAAAGGAUAUAAAUGUCUUCACAUACCUACCGCUCGUAUAUAUAUAUAUCACGAGAUGUUAUCUUUGAUGAACAUUUUUUUCCUUUUACCAAUGACCAACCCUCUCCAAUACCACCUCGCGUUGCUGAACAUGCAAUCUUUUUAUUUCCACAUGACCACAUGAACUAUGGCGCAUCUGUUUCUCGAACUAAUCUGGAUGCAGGUACCGAUUUGGUGCAGAAAAUCCCAUCUCCGGACUCCCAGGCAGAUCAUGUCUCUCAAUCCGCCGCCGCAUCAUCCUAGGAUCACGCGCCGCCUGGAGACAGCGACGUGGAGGCAGCUGACCACGUGACGAUAGGUGACAGCGCGCCAGGUGACCGCGCUGGGCCCGGGUCUCCGCCACCCACCAAUCCCGUGUCCCCUGAGGGCGAGCGGACCGGGGCGUCUCCCGCGUCGGCUCCUGCAUGUGCGCGUCCGACCCACGUUGUGGUGGGGCCCACCCUUGCUCGGGCCGCUGUGUCUCCCGAUUCGCCCCAGGCUGUUGUCUACCUGGCGCCCGUAGAGCGGGCCGUUGCUGGUGUCGGCGCUGGAUCCCAGAUGGAUCUGGCGGCCGCGUCGUCUUCCUCGCCCGACACCGGAUCCAGGGGGAUUCGCUCGCGUGCUUGUCUGCAUGCGUCCCGCCCGUAUCCUCUAUGGCCACCGGAUCUUCUGCUCCGCCUAUGCAUGCAAUGACGACGCGCACACAUGAUCACACUCACAAACCGCUGUAGCACACUGAUGGUACUGUCACGUAUGAUCCGUCCCGUCGUGCAUUCUUGGCCAUGCGGGAACCGUCUGAUCAUCGUGAAGCGGUCUCAUCUCCAGAGUGGCGUCUGGCGAUGCAACUUGAGCUCGAUACUCUCCGACAGAAUGGUACCUGGACUUUGGUACCUCCUCCUCCUUGUGUCAACGUCAUUGAUUGCAAAUGGGUGUUCAAGAUCAAACUCAAACUAGAUGGAACUGUUGAUCAUUACAAGGCACGUUUGGUCGCAAAGGGGUUCAAAUAACGCUAUGGCUUGGACUAUGACGAUAUGUUCAGUCCGGUCGUUAAACCUGUCACUGUGCGACUGGUUCUCUCUAUUACAGUUUCUCGUGGAUGGUGUUUGCGAGAGUUGGAUGUUCAAAAUGCUUUCCUUCAUGGCAUUCUCCAAGAAGAAGUAUACAUGCGCCAACCUCCUGGUUUUGUGAACCCCUCGGUGCCUCAUCAUUUGUGCAAACUUCGCAAGGCUCUCUAUGGGCUCAAAUAGGCUCCUCGAGCGUGGUAUUCUCGGCUGAGUUCUAGGCUCCAACAACUUGGUUUUAUAGCAUCCAAAGCUGACAGGUCCCUCUUUGUCUACAACUGGAGUGGUGUUACUAUUUUCAUGCUUGUGUAUGUAGACGACAUUAUUGUGGCCAGCUCCUCUCCUGCUGCUACUACCAAGUUACUUGCUGAUCUCCAAGCCUCCUUUGCACUCAAGGAUCUCGGUUAUCUGCAUUAUUUUCUUGGAGUUCAUGUGGAGUCAUCGCCAGGGGGAAUUGUUCUAUCUCAGCAGAAGUAUAUCAGCGAUAUUCUUCAUCGUGCGAACAUGGAGAAUUGCAAAGUCUCUACCAUGCUGAUGUCCUCAAGUGAGAAAAUUAGCAAGGAUAGUGGAACACCACUUUCUCAGGAUGAUAGCACCAAGUAUCGCAGCUUGGUUGGAGCUCUCCAGUAUCUGACACUCACGAGGCCAGACAUUUCUUUUGCAGUUAACCGUGUUUGUCAGUUCCUUCAUGCACCUACGACUGCACACUUUUCAGCUGCAAAGAGGAUUUUGAGAUACUUGAAGUAUACUCACAAUAUGGUAUUGUCUAUUCGAAAGUCACCCUCCAUGCUGUUAAGCUGUUUUUCAGAUGCAGACUGGGCUGGAUGUAGUGAUGAUCGCCGAUCCACAGGUGGCUUUGCAGUUUUUCUUGGACCUAACCUAAUCUAGGUCAAGAAUGGAGUCUGAAUAUAAGACACUUGCGAAUGGAACAGCUGAGGUCAUAUGGUCCUGUUUUGUGGUGUGACAAUCUAGGAGCCACUUAUUUAUCUGCGAAUCCGGUAUUCCAUGCCAGAACCAAGCACAUAGAAGUGGACUUCCACUUUGUUCGUGAACGAGUUGCAGCCAAGGCACUUGAUGUUCGAUUCAUAUCUUCCAAGGAGCAAGUUGCAGAUAUAUUCACAAAGCCUCUAGCUGAGGUGCCGUUUGUUUUAAAUAGGCACAAUCUGAAUCUUUGUGUAGGAAGUUCAGAUUGAGGGGGAAUGUUAAACUGUAUAGUUAUCAGAUACGGUUAGUAUCUAGGAUUGUAGUUAUCAUUGUAUAACAACCUGUACUUAUCCUCCUGUAAACCCUAGCGGCAGCCCUAGAGGCGCCCUAUAUAAUGAUCCUGAGACCACCACAUUAGGUGUGUCGAUCCAAUCUCUUCUCUCAUUGUUUCACAAGGUGUCCGUGGGUUGUAUGAAAUAAAACCAUAAAUUUACACAUUAUUGUAUCGAUUGAGAACUCAAGAGCAAAGCCCGUUUCCAACCUCGUCUCGGCAAACGUGGUUUGUUCCUCAUCAUGCUUCUCUCACCAACGACCACCAUGAAGCCAUUGCCUUUCUCUCUCCAUGAUCUUUGGUCCUUCUCCACCAGCAAUGUGAAAAAAGGCAAUAUGCCAGCUUCAUACUCCAUGGUCUUUCUUUUGAGCUUCAAGGUAGUAUGAUAGUAUAAUCAGUGUACAGUAUUGUCCAAGACCGAACCAAACUUGUUCAUAUAGCUGUAAAAAUCUCUUGUGAUCAACAACAAAACUAAUGCUAAUAUUCAGGAUUUCAAACUUGAAGCAUUUGGAGAUCGACCAACAAAAAAAAAACUGAGCGGCGGUGUCAAAAGUAAUUGUUGACCUUUGUCAAAUUGACUGCAUGCUUUUAAAUCAAGAUCAUGCAACUUUACAAGACUUGCAUCUCAAUAAAACCAUAUCAGCUGCACAUGCAGAUGAGAGAAAUGGGAAAUACUCUAUUCCAUUCAAGGGUUGUAUGUCAAUUAUUAAAACACAAGCACAUUAUAAGUCACAAACCUCCAACGCACAGAUAAUUUCGGAAAUGCCUAAACCUCAGAUAAUUUGGGAAAGGAGGGUGGCUACAGUCCCCUUGGCUGAUAUACAUAGGUCUAGCUGUAACAUCUUUGGGCAAAGCAUCAUUUGCAACUGGUAACCACAGAAUAUGUAUUUAGCGCUACUACAGAAGAAAAGAAAAGAAAAGGAUUAAAAAGGGAAUGCCGCCUUCAUAGGUCACAAACCUCGGAUUGUCAACAUCUUCUUGUGAAUGUACACAAAUUUGAAAUACUUGAAGCGGCUAGGAUAAUGUUCUUAAAAAUGGGUUGCUUCGGAGAUAAGAAACUAGUAAUGCAGUCAGACCAAAAGGAAAUUCAAGGGCACAAAAUACUUCCAGCAGGCCUUUGCAAAUUGGCAAUUAAUUAAGAAAAGGUGAUGUAUUGGCUCAAGAGCCUGGACUCCACACAUGACGCAGAAGUUUAAUUCAAGGACGGGGAAGUAAGAAUAAGACCACGUACGUACUAACAAAAGAGGGGAUCAAGGAGGAGCUGUAAAAUCCAAAUGAAAAUAUCAAUACAUAAUGAACAGCACCAUUCCGUUGAAAUACCACAAGUCGCUGCUAGUAAGAUUACAUAUGCCGGCUCUCUUGGACAACAAAACCUAAGUCAGGAUUCGACUAGGCACGAUUAAUUUGUUGUGUUUGACGUUCCUCGUUCUCUCUCUUUUUUUUUGCGAAGAAUCACAGAGUGUUUUAUUCCAGGAUGAUAGAGUUACAAUCUUCAGCGACUAAUUUGCUAAUGCAUGGGGUGGAUGGCCCAUCCAACAUGAUGUGCUAUCAACGACACUAUGAAAUCAAUCUUCCAAACUGCAGAAUUGUAAAGUACAGCUCAGACCUACAGGGCAGGACCGGCUAGCUAAACGGCCACGCUGGAUGAUAUGUUAUCACGUUCCCCGCGGCCGCGCCAUGAACUCCAAAUCUGGCGAAACCACCUACCGUCGCACAAGGCGCCGUCGGUCGUGGAACACGCGGUCUGCAGGUCACAUCGGUCCAGGCCUUGUUGGGUUCACGCGGUCCAGAUGACAUGCACGCCCGCCAAGCAAUUGAGAAAGAGAGAGCCAUGCACGCACGCGAAGCACGCUGCCCUGUGACAACGAGGAUGAUCAUGCAUGCAUGUCAGAGAGCAGAGAGCAGAGACGUCUGUCACUUGUGUAGAUGGUAGGUUCUGCUGGUUGGCGGUCACGCUACGCAGACCGCGUGUUCCACGACCGGGCCAAAUUUCGUGUUCGGACCCUUUUUUGAUACAAACUCAAGAUCUGACCCCGGUUUCAAAAAAUUUCGAAAUGUGACCCUUUCGCUACCGUCAUGGGCUCUGACAGUAUGGUUAGACAUACUACCGCCAGGGUCCAUGGCGGUAGCGUGCGACGGAGGGCAACGGCCGCCGUUUGCUCGAGCUGACGUGGACAAGUAGCCUACCGCCAGGGACCAUGGCGGUAGCAUGUUAGACUUUACCGCCUGACCCCUUGGCGGUAAGGUGUGGCUGGGGUUUUGCCUCCCAAGUUUCCGUAACGAAAUAUCGAGGUGCCCUGGAGGUAGGUACGUUCGUCCUACCGUUAGAGUCCUUGGCGGUAGGGUCCUGUGUUCUAUGGUUUAUAAGUUUAUUUUUUGCUUCUUUUCAAAAACAAUAUAGGCCCUAAAAUAUGAGCUCACAGUUUUUUAGUGAUUGUUUCUUUUGUAAAAUAUGAAUCACAAAGAAAGCCAACAAACGGUUUCACAUAGUUUGUUUUGUUACAAGUUUCACAUCACAAAUAGUAAAAUAUGAGCUCACAUAAUGAUGAUGGUUCCACAUAGCAAUUAUCAAACAGUUUACAGAUAAUAGAUUCAUAAGUAGGGAAUAGCAAAUAGCAAACUUGUCCACAUAGUUUGACAAGCCCUACAAAAACAGAGAUAUAUAUUCAAUCGACAUGUUUAUGGGGCGGACAAAUCUCCCCUNNNNNNNNNNNNNNNNNNNNNNNNNNNNNNNNNNNNNNNNNNNNNNNNNNNNNNNNNNNNNNNNNNNNNNNNNNNNNNNNNNNNNNNNNNNNNNNNNNNNNNNNNNNNNNNNNNNNNNNNNNNNNNNNNNNNNNNNNNNNNNNNNNNNNNNNNNNNNNNNNNNNNNNNNNNNNNNNNNNNNNNNNNNNNNNNNNNNNNNNNNNNNNNNNNNNNNNNNNNNNCCUCGUAUAUUAGGCAUGGCCGUGGAGACAGAUACGGCAGCGGAUCCACCGGUUCAGGCGGAGGUGGAACGCUGGUCGGCAUCCGACUGUUCAAGCAGUCCCACCUUGGCUUGCCCGCUGGAGGUUUCGCCUCAGCCCUUGCCCAGUUGAUGAUAUCGUAGCCGAUGCACUUGGGGGCGGCAUCCUGGCUCUCUCCUCCUCAUUGCUCUCGUAGUAGAUCCUCCGGCCCAAAUUGCGCAGCUCGACACUACUAGGAAAAGGCAUGCUAGUGGCACACCAGUUUUGCCUACUAAUGGCGCACUACUGGUGCGCCACUAGCAUCACGCCACUAGAAUUAAAUUCUAAUGACGCACCACUGGUGCGCCAUUAGUAUAGCCCACAGUGCGCCAUUAGAAUGCCUCCCGGGGGGCCAUAUGUACCCAUGUGCUUUGGCUUACUAAUGGCGCACCAGUGGGUGAUGUGCCAUUAGUGUGAUUAUCACAGUGCGCCAUUAAUGUCUUGUGUGGUGCGCCAUUAGUAUUAAUAUUAGGUUUUUUUUGGGUUUUUUCUGAUUUUUUCACAGGUUACAAAAUAUAUUAUUUGACAGAAUAUAGAAAGCACCACACAGCAACAGCAGAUUCAUCGAAUACAAUAGAAGGCAAGUCUCCGAAUACAAUUCAUCAUAUUAGUCUCCGAAUACAAAAGACCAAACGAACAUAGAACAUUACAAGUCUCGUAGACCGCGAGUAGCGAGUUUGUCUUCACAUUACAAGUCGAUAUCGAUCAUCUAAACUACCAUCACAUAGAAGAGAGCUGCGGUCAUCACGAUGAGCAUCAUCGCGAUGAAACUGGUCUUCACCCGGUUCCUCCAACGCUCCCUCCUCUCUCCCGUUAGAUAGCAGGCGUAUCUAGAUUCCGCCUCUACCCUAGUGGUUUACCCUUUGUAACUGUUACCGCUGAAACGGUGAACCUGUCUCCGACACUCCUCCCAGUCGGCGUAGACUCCGGGAACCUUACCCUUGUACACGACAUACGACGGCAUCUCUAUGCACAAGCCAAACAACAGACAAUACAUAAGCAAUAUAUAAGUAUGCAACAAAAGGAUCGAAAGAGAAAAGCAAAACAUUAAUAGCACGAUUCAUGGUCUUACUAAUAAAUAGCAUCAAUUACAUCUAAGUUAAACGACUGUCCAAACCAAAGAGACAUACAAGUUCAUUAAAGUUUAAUUACAACAUGAGCUAAUUGAUGUUUCAGAACUACAAAUAACAUCACUACUUUCGACUCGACUCAUGGGACCGGAGCGUGGAUGAAGCCGCCAUCUUUCGUGAUGGUCAUGAAGUCGUGGGCGUUGUGAGCCUGCAUUUGAAGUGUUGUGUCUAUCUCACUGUUGGACGGUUGCUCUCUGAGGUAGAACUGUCCCGAGGUACGAAGGACAUCUUGAUGGAUGAUUUCUGCAAACUCCGACGGGAUGCGAAAGAAUUCUUGUCGGAGGUCUGCGUCCUGGAUUGCCGCCAAGCUUGCGGCCCAAUCUUUGACAUUAUUUGGUAGCAAAAGGUGAUUAUGGUCCCGUACGAUUGCCCUCGUGUGAUGGAGGGCGUAGUAGGCAUCCUUCUGACCGCCAGGCGGCUGCUUGACGCAGGGGAACAUCGUAUUGUGGGUGAACACGUGCCUGCCGUACCUACGAACUUUCCUCUUAAAGGUGCCUCCAGAUGUGGUGUAGCCGGGGAGAGCAUCAUCAAGAACUUUCUUGAUAUUUGUGUAGUGUAUUUUGGAGUCACGGUCCGCGUCGAAAUACGUGACCGUGGAAUAUUUCGGGCUUAAGAGGAUGAGUGUGCAAUGUGUGUCACUGCACAGAACACGGAAUGUUAGAAAAAAAAAGAACGAUCGAAAUCUAAGAAAUCAUAUGUUACGGGGCGGUGAGGGGAUGACUUACUCGGGAAAGUAAGGGACGAGGAAGUUAUCCUUAUCUGGGUUUGCCAGAAUGACGCCUUCGAGGUGUGAACUCGCGACUUGCCGGUCCCCAGCGCUGCCCAAGAUCUUGGCACGCAUGUAGAAGGGGUCGACUAUCACGAUGUCCGGUGUCUUGUCUCGAAUGAUCCGCAUCUCCAUACUCAGCGAAAACAGCCGAACGAAGGUGUAGUGCAGCGGAUGAAGAUUAAACAUAGCAAAGAUGUCAUCAAACCGCAGGAAGAUCGUACCCCCGGUGGCGCCAUCCACAAAGCCCUUGCCCUCUGGCACCUUGGCCACAAAAACCGGGUAUGCCACAUCAUUCUGGGAGAGACGCAUCUUCUCCAAAGAAAGAACACUGUCAUGCGGACUCCGCAUAGCACCGGGUGCAGCAUUGAGCAUAUUUGUCGGUAGCAUCGCCCUACCCGCCACAUGCACCCUCCUCGAGAUAUCCUGAGGUGAAGGUGGCCCGUCCUGAGCACGGAUCGUACUCGGUGCCGGCUAGCUCGCACCGGCGCCCUUGGCAGUCUUUCGUUUCCGUCCCUUCUUCUUGAUCUGCUGUAAUGGGACCGAUUUCUGCUCACAGGCCGCCUUCUUGAGCAUGUUGGGGCUGAUAAUAUUUCGCACCUCAGCUAUCUGAGGCUCGGUGAAGGCGGGAGCUGGAGGCGUCUCCUGAGAACUGAAAGCCAGACGACGCCUGUUGCAAUUGGAUUUCUCCAUCGUACCAGCUAGAUCGCGGUCGUAUUGGUUGGGUUCUUGAGAAGGAGGCCCGCCGAACUCGUCACCGUACCCUUGUUCGGCAAAGUACUUAUCGAUGUUGGUAAAUGUACCGUCGUCGUUGUCGUCGUCGUCCGAAUCCUGUGCCAUAUGCAUGUCCGGAUCCUGUGCCAUAGGGAUGUCCGGCAUGUCCGGUAGUGUUGCGGUGUUCUUGCCAUGGCGCGGCGCCGGCAUGACCUGCGGUCUUGUUUGUGGGGUGGUGUCCCCCGCCCCCAAACGAAUCUGGCUCUUCGGCCAAAGCAGGGGCCAACUUAGGCAGGUGCUGAGGGUCAUCAGAUCUUCUUCGUUGGCCCCAGCGGGUUGAAUCGGAGGUAACAACUCGUCGCAGCCUGGCAGCACCCGAACGAGUUGAACCCUAUACACGAUGGGUGGCAUCGGUUUACCGUGGAACACGGGGUUGCCCGGUUGAACGAUUUUGCCCUUGGAGACAUCGACCAACUCGUCGUUCACGAAGUGCAGGAGAGUGCACGGAACAUCGGCGGCGCCCUGCGAAAACAUGUAGGGCGUCAGGGAUGCCCAGUCAAAGGCAAAAGGAGAUGAAGUCCUCGACCGAGAGGCUUAAUUAGUUACCGUGAUGAUGGCUUCGAGCUUGGCUAAUGUCGAGGCACUGCCAAUGGCGGGCGUGCAACGGACGGAGGGGCCGCUUGCUGGCGAGGUGCCGGCCGGCGUACACCCGGGUGCAUUAAGCUCCAAUGCCCGUGCCGGCACCGGAGACACCAAUACCGCCACCGCCGAUGACACCAAUGGCGCCGCCGGAGACACCAAUGGCGCCGCUUGCACAUUGUGCGAGUUGCUGGCCGUGAAGCUGGGAAUCAGGGGCGGCCCCUGUUGGCCACCUGCAAUCCACGUCGUCAGCCCAUGAAUCAAGGUAGGCAUAAUGCCGGUGAGCGUCGUUCCCAGUUGUUGUUGCACUUGCUCUUGGAUAAUCUUCGGAAUCCGCGCCACUUGUGCCUUGAGUUCUUCAACCUCGCGCGACUGGUUUUCUGAGCUGGUCUUUUUCUCCUUUCACCCACCAGCGGUAUAGUAUGAGGACCAUUUUGUGGACAAGCCUUUGCCGGCCACACGACCAGCUGACGACGGCUUACUGAGCUUAUCCUUGUUUUUCAUUACAUUCAACGCCCUAUUUAGAGUGUUGUCCCAAGCAGGGGUGCUCUGAGACGACCCCGCGCUACUGCUUUCAGUCUCCUUCACCAGAACAAGCUCAAGCGCCCUGGUCUUUGGAUCCGUGGUAAGCUCCUUUGUUAUCGGGUCCUCCUUGUACCGGGCCCUGACAAAGUUCCUGGCCUGCUUGUCACUGCUGUAUUUCUCGAAGCGGGGCGGUAGGCCAUGCUCGGCAUGCUCCGCGUCCUCCUUGUCCCAUAUAGGCUCCGCCACUCUGUAACCGCCGGGACCAAGUUUGUGUUCCCCUAAGUUCAACUCCUGCAUUUCUUUCCCCCACUGACUUGAUUCGGAGGUUGCACUGCUCUCACACUUGAUCUUGAACUCCUUAUAGUCAUCUUCGCUGAUCGAAGAAUUUUUUGCCUUGAUCUUCUCAUAACUGUCACCUUUCUCAAUCAUUCUCUUCACCUCGCUUCUCCAAGUAGACAGGGCCGUGCUCAUCCUCGUGAGGGCGGCACUGUUCACUUUAUUCCCUGAGAGGCGUGUGUUUUCAAAUUUAGCGGGGAACUUGUAUCAUUUGUGCAGCUUCAUGAAGAGGAGGUUGCGCAAAUUCCCUCUGUACUUAUUCCUAAGGUUCUCGGUGUUGAUCGAGACAGUGCUCCGGAGAAUGCACCCGAGCUGAACCGAGUACCCCUUGACUAUAUGUUUGGGCUCCGUUGGAUGCCCGUCGGAGUCCACUUGAGUAAAUUCCUCCUUGACGGUGUGGAGCAUAUUCGGGCGCCGGUCCUUCCGUUGCUCUUCAGUUGGCUGCCAUCUGUGUGUGCGCUGCCAUCAUCAGUGGUGGCAUCCUCGGCGGCACCAUCAGUGGUGUCAUCCCCGACGCCACUAGGGGUUGUGUAGUCAGGAUCGGUGUCUUCCGCGGCGUCCUCAUAGCGGUGAGGUUGUUCCUCCAUCUCCUAGAACAGCUCCCAGAAUUGCUUGCCGCCCGAACCGCCGGCCUCAUCGUUGUUGGCCAUGUUUCGCUAAAUAGGAAAAAAGUUUGGUCAAAAAGUUGGUUAUUGUCAAGGAACAAGAUCAUGGUCUCAUCAUUUAGGGUUUGUCGACACUGAGGCAUCCUAAAAGCUAAGCUUUUAUCAUUUAGGUUUUGUCGACGUCGAGGCACCCUAAAAGCAUAAGCGUACAUCAUUUAGGUUCUCAUCGACACCGAGGCACCCUAUAGAAGCCAAGGUUUCAUCAUUUAGGGUUUGUCGACGCCGAGGCACCCUAAAUGCUAAGUUAAGUUUUCAUCAUUUAGGGUUUAUCGAUGCCGAGGCACCCUAGGUUGGGCCUAAUCACUUGGCACUAAUCACUUGGCUCUAUUGCCACCUAUGUUGGGUUUAUCAUCUAGGGUUUAUCGAUGCUAAGGAGAAUUCUAAGUUGGGCCUAAUCACAUGGCUCUAUUGCCACCUAUGAUUUAAUGCAGCAAGAAUGGCGGGGCAGUUGAUCCUACUUAACUAAGUACUAAGAUACCCCGGCCCAUGCAUUAGUCGCAAGUACCCCAUAUGUCCUAUUUUUAGCAAAGUCAUGCUAAACUUCACGGAAAAUUUCAGCAUGACCUUUGCUGAAAGUAGGACAUAUGGAGUACCCGAAUUUGCCGGAACGGAAGUUAAUUGACAUUCCGGCAAACUCAAGGGCCUCUCGGGGUACCUGCAAAUUCAUCACAACACAAUGGUCGGAGAUAAAACCCAGCAACUUUACAAGUCUUUCACAGAUUUGUUUGCAAGUUCUGAUAUGUAAUAAAGAUGAGUCUCAAAGAUGAGCCUCCAAUGCUGAUUUGUUUGCCUCAAGACAAGAUGAACCUCCAAUGCAACAAGUAAUAAAAUGUUCAACAAUGUAUCAGAUUCGGCAACAGUUUAACAUCUACUCUAGUAAUUAUACAACACCAUGACCAACAUUUCUCCUCUCCAGAAAUUAGAAACAAAAUAAAGGAACAUUACACAGUAGCCAUCAAAUUAAAAUAACACAUACAGUACAUACAGGUAGGUAAUACUAAAGCAUGUUCAUAUUAGCUAGUUACCAUUAUAUUGCUUUAGGUUAGGGCCCUUACAUUAUUUUCUCUCUAUCCCUUUCUUUAGCUGCACUGCAUCACAAGGCAAAUAUAGUUCAAAAUAAAAUACUGCUGAAUAAGCACCUAGCAGAAUAGUAAAAUAAGCUUAAAAAAUGCAUACAUCUUGACAUACAAACACAGACAGUUAUGCAAGUGCUAGAGGUAUGCAUAUAUAUAUAUAUAUAUAUAUAUAUAUAUAUAUAUAUAUAUAUAUAUAUAUAUAUGUGUGAACUUGAUCCUGAACUAGAGGUACACAUGUUUGCAUACUCAUCUCUGCAAUUAGUCGUGCUUAUUUGCAUUGUGCUAUAUAUGAAUCCACACUGACUCGAGCCUGAAUCAAUCAAUCAAUGUUGCUCACAUAUACUCCCACACUCCCAUAAUAGUACUAAUAUAAGAGCAUUUAUAUUAUUGGAAUGAAGGGAUAAUUUUUUUUCUUUCAAGAAAACACAAACCCUAACAACACAUUACGAGCACCUUCAAGAGAUUGAACCAACCCGACAUCCACAAACACCUCCUACUCAACACACAGACACAGACCAAGGAAGAAACAUAACCAUUCUUCUUUUUUCUUUCUUUGUUGUUAAUAAUAAAAGAAACUACAAGAGCAAGGAAGGAACAAGUCUUCUUUUGUACUGCAACACAAGAAACCCUCUUUCUUUCUUUCUUCCCUUCGUGUUAAUUUAAUUUUACUGCACCAUCUACUAACCUCCUCCAACUUUACUACCACUACAUCCCUCUCAAGGACAUCUAUGUACUGCUUAUAAAGCAUCACAUGCUGAUGCUAUGUUUCAUUUGCCCCAUCUCCCAUCUCUGCUCUUAUUUUAAGUAAAUGCCCAGAUGCCUUACAUUUAUCUCUGCGGGACUUUUUCUUUUCUAAUGAUAUCAUCUAUACAUGUUACUUAGUUACUAAACCUAUGUAACUUAGGAUCAAAUUGAUAAAUUGCUUGAAGUAUCCGCAUAUUUUCGUGGAGAUCAUACGGGGGAGGAUCAGACAAUGUGGCAACAGACAGCAAGGUGUGUUCUUUCAAAGAAUCUUUGCAUCAAGUCAAUGAACAUCAUAUUUGAAGUGCAGUUUAACUUAGUCACUUAAAACUAUCUGAUCCACAACUAACAACCAAAGUCAUGUUCAGUUAUAGUGCUUAAAUAUGAUUUUGGUGUGUGUGAAAACAAUACAGUAUUAUAUUUCUACUGAAUGCAUGAGUAUGAUGUAUCACACAUCUACAUGUCUAGGCUUUUUCAAUUUUUUUCCGGAUGGAAACCAGAAGCAUCACUGUCCUUGACUAGAAUCACCAUGGCCAGAUUAAACACUGCAAGCUGGCAAGUUCUUCCUUUCAAUUUCUCAAUCUUAGCUAGCGGAGGAUGAAUAGAGGAGAAGAGAGGCAGAGGGAGGAGGGUUACCUGGCGGCGGUGGGGCGUUGAAGACCUGGCGGCGAGGUUCCUCCUCUCGGUGGCGGCGGGGCUCCUCCCCUCGGUGGGGGCGGUGGCCUCUUCCCCUCGGUGGCGGUGGCGGGGCUCCUCCUCUCCUUGUGGAGGCGGGGCGUUGAUCCGGCGANNNNNNNNNNNNNNNNNNNNNNNNNNNNNNNNNNNNNNNNNNNNNNNNNNNNNNNNNNNNNNNNNNNNNNNNNNNNNNNNNNNNNNNNNNNNNNNNNNNNNNNNNNNNNNNNNNNNNNNNNNNNNNNNNNNNNNNNNNNNNNNNNNNNNNNNNNNNNNNNNNNNNNNNNNNNNNNNNNNNNNNNGCCCGAGCGGGAGCGGCGGUCAUCGGAGCGGGGGAGGCGGCGGGGGUGCGGGGGCGCGGGGGCGGCGGUGGCGGGGGUGGAGUACCGCGGGGGUCGGGGCAGCGGCGUCGGGGCGGCGCAAGACCACAGCAGCGGACGGAGGGGGCGGAGCAAGGGGGCGGCGGCGUACGGUUGUUGAGUGGGGGAUCUGGCGAGGGAGGGAGGGAGGCCACAGUGUGAGGAGAAUAGGUGGAGUGGGGGAGGAUUCUAAUGGCGCACCUCCCCCUAGUGUGCCAUAAGUACGACGAUUCUAAUGGCGCACAUCCCCCUGGUGCGCCAUUAGAAUUUUGUUUUAAUUAGCCUGACUGGUCAGGUUAUAUUCCACCUAACACUAUCUUCAUCAGAACACGCCCACUAGCCCGACUGGUCAGCACGCAGCACACACACUAGGAGGUCCUGGGUUCGAUUCCCACGCUCCCCAAUUUUUGUUUUUAUGCAUUUAAAAUGAUGUUUGAUAUUUAUUCGUGCUUAAAUAUGUUCAAACUUGUUCAAAUCAUAACAGUAAUAUUUUUUAAUAAAAACAGUAAUAUUUUUUUAAAAAAUAUCAUCAAAUUUGUUAUUUGAAAAUAUUUAUGAAUAUGAAAAAAUAUCAUAAAAAUUAUUAUUUGAAAAUAUCAUCAAAUUUGUUAUUUGAAAAUAUAAUCAAAUUUGUUUUUUUACAAUUUUAGUUGCAUUCAUUUGCGACGGUGGAGCGGGCCGGGAAGGGUGCGGGGGGUCGGCGGCGGCGGUGGAGUGGGGGAGGGUGCGGGGGGUCAGCGGCGGCGGCCGGUGGAGCUGGGGAGAUGGUGCGGGGGGUGCUCGGCGGUGAGGGGGGCCGGAUCUGGCGAGGUGGGAUAGCGAUCGAGAUGGAGGGGGAUCGAGAUCGAGUGUCCAUGAAAUUUAAAAACAUUCAUGAGUUCAAAAAGUGCCCAUGAAAUACAAUCGAGAAAUGAAGGCUACAAUUUAAAUACAAUCGAUCUUAGCUAGCUAUCUAUUCACAAUCUUCUUGCCCUUAUUUUUCAUAAAUGGAGUUCUUCUCUUGAACGGACGUCCUUUAGGUAGGGUGGUCCUGCUUCUUCUUGUGGUGUAUGCUGAUACUUCAUCGUCGUCCUCAUGUUCCAUCUUCAGGUCGCCGUACUUGUCGAAGUCUUGCUCAUUGGCGACUCCAUCCAUUCCGAUGAUCUUCCUUUUGCCUCUUCCCACGACAACAUGAGUGGGCUUUGGCGGGUCGGUAAUGAAGAAGCAUUGGUCCACUUGGGAAGCCAGUACCCAUGGCUCAUUUUUUGCGGUGACGUUUGUGCCCGCGGUCUUGGAUUUGGCUUCGGGUAUAACCAUGGUGGUGAAAUACCGGUUUUCUUUUAUGAUGCUCUUGGCCCAUAUGACAUGGAACAUCGGGACCUUCUCUCCAGAGUAGCUCAGCUCCCACAUCUCCUAGAUCCUUCCGUAGUAUCUGUCCUUGUCGUUACUGGUGUAGUAUUCCAUCGUUACCCCGGAGUUCUAAUAACCAUCGCUCUUCAUGUCCUUGUCCUUGGUGUAGAAUGUGUAGCCGUUGAUAUCGUACGCCUCAUAGGUCAUCAGGUUGUGCUCGGCGCCCUGUGACAAGGCGAACAUGAGUUGUUCUUCCGCGGAAGAAUCCUCAUGUAAUGGGUACGACAGAAGCUUCUGCUUGAACCAACACGUGAAACAUGAGUUGUGCUCUUUGAUUAUAUCUCCGUCCGUCCUCUGUUGGCCUCGGUCAUUGUACGUCUUCUCAAUAAAGGUUUUGUGCUCUACCACCCAAGGAUCGACCACGUCUAUGUGUUCUAGCGCGACUAGGUUUGCUCUUUCAAAGUCGGCGAGUCGACCCUCGAAGUUGACAUGCAUUUCACGGCGACCCUCACGGUGACCCCAUCCAGCGAGCCUGCCGAGGUGCCUGUUGACGGGCAGACCAACGGGGUCCUCGAUGCCUAGAUAAUUCGUGCAGUAGGAGAUGCACUCUUCGAUCAGAAAGCCCCUGGCUAUGCUUCCCUCUGGACGUGACAUGUUGCGAACGUAUCCUUUGAUAAAACAUUCAUCCUUUCAAACGGCAUCAUGCUGUGCAGGAACGUUGGCCCGAGUUGGAUGAUAUCCUCCAUGAUAUGGACCAGCAGAUGCACCAUAAUGUCGAACAAUUCGGGCGGGAAGUACAUCUCAAGCUCGCAUAGUAUCACCACGAUCUCUUCCUGUAGCCUUCUGAGUUGCCUCACGCCAACCGACUUCCGAGAGAUGACGUCAAAAAAGUUGCAUAGGCCAAAUAGCAUUUCACGGACGUGCGUGUCCAUGAUCCCACGGAUUGCAACUGGAAGUAUCUGCAUCAUCAGCACGUGACAGUCGUGAGACUUCAUCCCGCUGAACUUCUCCUUCGCUGGGUCUAGGUAUCUGCUUAUCUUCCCCGCGUAACCGUAAGGAAGUUUUACUCCUAUGAGGCAGGUGAAAAACUGAUUGAUCUCCUCCUGACUGAGAGUAAAGCACGCGGGAGGGUAGUCAUUUCCGCUCUUCUUGACCUUUUUGCCUUUGCGACGACUUUUCGUGUCCUGCUUCGCCUCAUCAUCAUCAUCAUUAGCGUGAAGCUCCUCCCUGAUGCCCAUUGAUUUCAAGUCUACCCUUGCUUUUGGCCCAUCUUUGGUCCUCUCUAACAUGUUGAGUAGGGUACCAAGCAGACUCUCGCACACAUUCUUCGUGAUAUGCAUGACAUCAAGGCUGUGAGGCACACAGUGGAUCUUCCAGUAUGGCAAGUCCCAGAAAACAGACCUCGUUUUUCAUACCUUCAGCAGCGGCUCUGGUGCCUUUCGCUUCUUUCCCGGCUCUGGCGACUUUUGCUUCUCUCCCAGCAGUGGGCAAUCUUUCCAAUUUUUCAACAGCUCGUCUAUUUCCUCGCCGCGCCUCGUACGCGGGCGUCUUCGGGGUUCGGUUUCACCAUCGAACAGAUCCUUGUGUUUCCUCCACGGGUCAUCGUCACGAAGCCACCUUCGAUGUCCCAUGAACACGGUUUUCGAAGACCCGGGAUCUCUAUCUAGUUGGCGACACGUUGUGUCCCAUGCACCUAACGCAUCCAGAAAAUCCGUGGACCACCUGCCCCGCGACAUAUCCGUAACCAAGAUAGUCGUGCACCGUCGUGAGCGGUACGGCUCUCAUAGGGAAAUAUUCUUUCUCUGCGGCGUCCCACGUAUUGGCUGGCGUUUUCCACAGCGUGUCUAGCUCCUCUUUCAGCAGCCCUAGAUACAGAUUGAUGUCGUUCCCUGGUUGUUGCGGCCCUUCAAUUAGCAUACUCAUGUGAAUGUACUUCCUCUUCAUGCACAACCAGGGGGAAGGUUGUACAUCCACACAAACACAGGCCAGGUGCUAUGUGUGCUUCUCUGGCUGCCAAACGGAUUGACUCCAUCGAUGCUCGCGCCCAGCAUGAUGUUCCUUGGAUCCGUCCCAAAUUCUGGGUGUUCGAAGUUCAACGCUUGCCACUAGCUCCCGUCCCUAGGGUGACUUAGCAUCUUGUAUUUUUUAUUUAUCUCCAGAUCAUUUGCGUCAUCUUCUUGCUUCUUCUCCUCCCUAUCCGCGUGCCAACGCAGGAGCUUUGCUACCUUAGGGUCCGCAAAAUACCGCUGCAGACGAGGAGUGAUCGGAAAGUACCACACCACUUUUUGAGGAGCUUUCUUCCUCUUCUUGUAUCGAGUGACGCCGCACACCAGACAUAUGGUAGACUCCGCGUGCUCGUCCUGAUAAAUGAUGCAAUUGUUCAUGCACACAUGGUAUUUCACGUGCGGUAAAUUCAGAGGACACACGAUUUUCUUCGCCUCCUCAAAACUGGUCGGGCACUUGUUCCCCUUGGGAAGAUGUUCACGCCAGAAUGACAUGUUCUCGUCGAAGCAUGCGUCAGUCAUUUUAUGUUUUACCUUCAUCUCUAGAGCCAUGAGCGUUACUUUCAGGCGGGUAUCCUCGGGCGUGCAUCCUUCAUACAAUGGAGUAACCGCGUCUAUCUCUAGUUGACCCAGCUUGGCUUUCUCUCGGGUGGCAGCUCUUGCGCUAUCCGUCUGCUUCAGAAGCAGCUCUUGAACAUGAGGGUCCUGCACCCAGCCCAUCGAUGGUCCAUCGUCGCCUGCUCUGCCGACAUCUUCAUCUUAAUGAUCAUGCCCUUCGUCUGCUCCGGCAUCUUCCUCAUCAUCAUGUCCUGCAUCUUCUACAUGAUGACUAUGUACAACAUCACCGUCGUGAUCAUGUCCUGGAGAUUCUUCGUCUUCUCGCCCGCCCGAGCCGUGGUGGUUGUCUUGUUGCCCUUCCUCACUUCUUGCCCGGCCCCCAUGGACGACUUCAUAGACAUCUUCAUACCUUGCCACCGAUAGCCAUCCAUGAAACCAUGCAAGAGCAGUUGGUCCCGCACCUGCCUGGAAUUCGGGUCCGCAAUAAGGCUCUUCAGCUUGCAUCUUCGACACGGACAUCUUAUCUCCGUCUCGUUCUUUUCAAGCAUCUCGGCCUUCGUGGAGCUCAAAAACCUAUUCACGAUGCCUUUGGUCAUCGUGCGGACCAUGGUCGCCUGCGGGGUAGAGCAAAACGAUAUUUUAGAACCAAGAAAAAAUUUGGCAUGACUUUCCCUAAAAAUAGGACCAAAAAGAAUGCAUAGUGCCAAAAUUCUCACCGAAACGGAAAUGAAUCAACAUUCCGGCAAAAUAUUGGCAACUAUCGCAUUUCAAAUACCGGUACCUGCAAACACAAACAAAUAUGCAACACCACAAACAUAUGCAACACCACGAACCUACAUAGAUCUAGCUAGGUCAUAAAAAGUGCAUGUGCAUGUUGUUGGAGAGGGAGAACAACAUAAAGAUAUCUUCCAACCUACUUACCAAUCAAAAAAAGGUAAUUUAACCACUUAAUUUGGAUGAAUCUAUGGUGCAAAUGAGGUGAGGAGGAGGAGGCAGCCGAGACAAGCUUGGAGGAGGAGGUGGAGAGAAUGAAGUGGGGAAAGUGAGUGGGUAGGUGGGCUGUCCAAAAUAUCUUAUUGGUCCCAGGUUACUAAUGGCGCCCAACCUGCAAAUGCGCCAUUAGUAACCCUGGUUACUAAUGACGCACCUGCUGCUGGUGCGCCAUUAGAAGUUUUGCAAAAAAAUAAAAAAUAAAGUAUAUAUUCUAAUGGUGCACCAUGGCACAGUGUACCAUUACUAGUUUAAACUAGUAAUGGCGCACUAGGCUAGGGUGCGCCAUUAGUAGUUUUGCAAAAAAAAGAAUAAAAAAACAACAGUAGUGGCGCACUAUGUGGCCGGUGCGCCAUUACUAGUUAGCACUAGUAAUGGUGCACCUUGCCAUGACGCGCCAUUAGUAUGUUUGGAAAAAUAAGAAAAAAAAUUACUAGUGGCGCACCGUGUGCCUGGUGCGCCAUUAGUGUCUUCCACACUAAUGGCGCACCUGCACAUGAUGCACCACUGCUAUAUAGUAGUGGCGCACCACAUGACAGGUGCGCCAUUAGUGGCCAUUUCAUCUAUAACCCUUUUCCUAGUAGUAUCCCGGUCGGAGCGCUGCUUGGUAGCUUCAAUGUCCCAUUCCCGGCGUUCUCAGGAGAUAGUUGGAUCUCCCUCCAUCUCUGCAAUCACUCUCUUCCACUCCUUCGCACGCUCUGCCCAACACUUUUGAUCAUCGUAGAUCCGUUCCGCCCUCUCGUGCCACCGCACUGCCCUCGUCUCCUGUAGGAACUCGUCUGAAAAAGCGGUCACCGGCAGCAAAAGCUCGGGGCAGGCCUCGUACACGUACGGAAGUGGCAAGCCGGACAGGUCGUGUUGGAGAUGAAGGGGCGAUGGUUGCGCAACUGUUGCAGACCUAAACAUAUGGAUGAAAUAAAUAAAAUAUAUAUAUCAAGAUGUGUCAAAUGCAAAAUCGUAUCAUAUCAUAUUUACUCCAACCAAAUCCAGUACUUGCAUCAUAUUCACAUGCUUACUAAAAAACUAAGAACUAAGAACUAAGAACUACAACUACAAUCACACAUCCUAAAUACAAUACAAUACAUAUCAAAGAAUUGCAUAAGCAUAUCAAAAGAAUUGCAUAAGCAUAUCAAAAGAUAUCGAUGCAUAACAAAGGUUCAUCACAUCCAAAAAAACCUAUGAGUUCAAUCUUUGAAUAAUCAUAUAUCUAGAUUAUUAUGAACAUGAACUAAAUAAAAUACAUAUAUCAAAAACAAAAACCAUGAACUAGGGUUCAUCUUGAGGGAUUAACCAUGUUUACUUCAACAAAAUCCACUACUUGCAUCAUAUAAGAUCCACAUGCAUCCUAUAUCAAAACAAAUAUUUCCAAUAUUCAUCAUAUAUAAAAAAUUAACACAAAAAAUUAUGAACUAGGUUCAUCUUGAGGGUUCAACAUUUGUUCUCCAACUAUAUCCACUACUUGCAUCAUAGCAUAUCAACAUGCAUCAUCAUAUCACAAUAUAUUCCUCCAACAUGCAUCAUAUAAAAAAAAUUCCUCCAAAAAUAAUAUGAACUAGGGUUCAUCUUCACAUAAUCAUACCAACUAGUGACUAGAGUUCGUAUCUAACACAUUAUAACAUCGAUAAUCAACCUAAAUCAAUCCUAGGAUUCAAAAUAUUUAAAUCUAGUUCAAGAAGGGGGGUGAUUUGAAUCAAAUAAUGCGACGAAUCGGAAGCUAUUUGACUAAAACUAAUUGGAGGGAUUGAAGGAGCUUACUUUUCUUUCUUCGGGGCCAUCUCGAUCCGCAAAAAUGAUGAAGAAACGACGAAGAUCUGAGGGGGGAGUGGAGGAAAGAGAGAGGGGCGAGAGGAGGAAGAACUCCUCUAUUCUUGGGCGGGUGGUUGGGGAGAAGGGGAGGGGUGGGGCGGCCGAUGGAUUAUAACUGCCUGCACCCUACCGCCAGGUAUCCCGGCGGUAGGAUCAGACAGGCUACCGCCAUGACCGGCAGCGGUAGGGUGGGACGGAGGCCGUUAAUGUUGCUGACGUGGAUAAGUUUCCUACCGCCGCAGUGUCUGGCGGUAGCCUAGGUAAUCCUACCGUCGGGCGUCCUGGCGGUAGCAAAAAGGGUCAAAUGUCGAUUUUUUUCAAAGUGGGGUCAAACCCCGAUUUUGUUUGACAAAAGGGUCAAAACACGAAAAUUGGCCCCACGACCGGGGGAGCUCAUAUCAUUGGCGUGAGCUCAUAUCAUUGGCGUGUCAGUAUGAUCCUCUUGUCGGAUACUACGGCUUUACCGCGUACGUACUCCUACCGUGGAGAGCUGGCUGGUUGUGGACCCCUCUGGAACGAACAGGUCGACAGGUCCCUCUCCCUUGGUAGUAGGCCCAAAUUAUAGGCACGUGCCGUUGUUGGUCUAGUCCCGGCCACACCGUCAAUGUAUCAGUUAGCGUGAUCGCGUCGCGUCGGAAUAAGUUUUUUCGGGCUCCGUUCGCGGCUAGAUGAGGCUUUUGCCUUCGUCUAGGAGCCAGCGGGGUGGGGAUCCCCGGAUCUCGUUGAGCUCGCGGGCUAUAGUGACUGGAGGUUCAUCAGCACUGGCCGUUUGGGUCCUCAGAUAGGCGUUGGAUGCAGGGAGACUGUUGAGUAACGUGAUUGUAGUUGGAAACAUAGGUUAGACUAGGAAAUAUUCUUGCUUUCCUUGUACUCCAAGUAGAUCAUGUACUCCUAUAUAUGUGCCCACGAGGCUCAAGCAAUACAUUGAACUAUUCCACCAACCCUCUCUCUCCCUUCAACAUGGUAUCUAUUGCAAGUCGAUCCUAAACCCUAGCCACCGCUGCUUCCGCACCUGCUCGCCGCCCUCGGGGCUGUCAGCCUCCAUGACCGCCGCUGGGGGCUCCGCCGCCCGUACCUAGGGUUCGUCCACCGGUCGUGUUGACCGGCUGCCCUAGAGAGUCUUUUCCCCGAGCCCUUGCUCCAGAUUUUUUCGCUCUCUUGCCGGUCGUUUUGAUCGGUGUUUUUCUUUUUGGUUUUCUGAUCUAUGCUUGAUCGGUUUGCGUCGCCCGCCGCCGCCGUCGACACCGAGCGCCUCUACUUUGACCCCGACGCGACAAGCCGGCCUCUCCUCCGACCCGGCAGCCACGCGUGCCGAGGCGGCCCGUCAGGGCCAGCCGUCGUCCGCGCGUCGGUCCGCCCGUCACCGCCCUGCUCCGACCGGGACACUUGCAUCGCCCCGACCCAGCGGCCACGCGCCAUGUGAUGGCCAAUCAUAAUCGUCGCUCGUGUGCCGGCCCCCAUCGAUCCAGAUCACCCGCCUCCGCCGCGUCUUCACGGCGGCCCGACGGUCUACCUCGCCGGCCUCGUCCUCGGUUGCGUCGGGACGGCUGCGUCAGGCUUGUCGGCUGCCUCAACUCGGGCGCCGCUGCUCCGUUGGUCGCUCGGGCCUCACUGCCCGGGCGCGCAUGUUGCUUUGGCAGCUCGGGUGCCGGUGCUGACAAGUUCGUCCGCACGACGUCUCACGCCGGCUGUCGUCGCCGACUUCAUCUCAGACUCCGCCGCCACCACACCUCCACCGAGCGGCGUCCCGACCUCGCGUGCGAUCGGCUUGAUCACCCGCUCGCCGCGGCGAUCCGCCUCAUCUACGCCGCGCAACCGACCUGGCCCGUCGGUUACGCGCGCCUCCGCAGGUCCCGUGAAGAUCGUCCCCGAGUUCAGCGCGCCUCUCCACCGAUCGAGCAUUGGGCUGCCACCGUGUCGCCUCAUCAGGCCGCAACGCCGCCGCCCCGUGGUUCUCCUCGCGGCUGCAUCGACCCGUGCAUCGCCGCUGCGUCGCCCCUUCGGGCUGUAGUGUCGCGAUACGCGGUCCCCGCCGCCGCCCCGAGGCCAUCCCCGCGGCUGCACCGACUCGCGAACCGCCGUUGUGUCGCCCCUUCGGGCCGCAACAUUGCGGACCACGGUCCCCGCUGCCGCCCCGAGGUCUUCCCACCGUCGCCCCGACCCUCCUGCCGCCGCUACGUCACCCCUUCGGGUUGUAGCGCCGCGGCCCGCGAUCCACUCUGUCGUCACCGCGCGUCGACCUCCUAUGGUAUGCGCCACGCCGUCUUCCUUGGCGCGGAAACGCCACCGUCCGCGCCGGUCUUCGUCACGCUGUCAGGGUUCUUCGCCUACUUCGAGCACCGCCGCCGCUCUCCUAACCUAGCUGUCGCCGCUGCCGUCAGGCCGCCGCCGCCGCUACCUUCAUAGCCGCCGCGCCGCCCGUCCACCCCCUUCGGUCUUCGUCCAAGCACCAGCCCGUUGCCAGCGUCACCGUCAUCUAACCCGACCACUUUGUCUACUUCGACCACCGUUGGUGACAUCGGCCCCGCGCCGAUGGGCACCGCAAUCAUCGUCGAGUUUUUCUCUGCUGGCCCUCCGACUUCUCCGACAUGGCAUACAGCUCGUGCAGGUCCCUCGUCUACGCAUGCCCGGUGCUGGCAACACCAAUGCGUACCUUCAUCCACGACGUGUCCCCGGGCCUGGCAAGCCUGGUCGGCACUUCGUCAACUUCGUCUUCGUCCGUCUACGCAUGCCCGGUGCUGGCAACACCGGUGCUGGCAACACCGGUGCGUGCCUUCAUCCAUGAUGUGUCCUCGGGCUUGGCAAACCCGCCGCGACGCGUCGUCAACACCAUCAUCCUUCCGGCGCACCACUACCUCGUCACCACUGCGCCCAUGACUAACUCGGCGCCCUCUUGCGCCCGCGGCUCCACGGCGACUUCCUCGACACCGGGCCUGGCAAGCCUGGUCGAUGCACCCAGACUCGACAUCGACCACGGCAUUCUCCGAACGGCUACCUCGACCAUGGCUCCACCACCCACGCUCUUGGCUACAUCGACAAACGGCACAAAGGGCUACGGUCUGCUUGAGCAACCUCGUUGGUUUCCACUCCAGCCACGACUCCGCGAUGCGUCGACCGUUACGACUGUGGGGGGGGGGGGUGUCCGUCGGCUUGGCUUCGGAUUCUUCUCCAGUCUCACCGUCUGCGUCGCUACCGUUGUGACUGCAGGGGGAUGUUGAGUAACGUGAUUGUAUUAGGAAACAUAGGUUAGACUAGGAAAUAUUCUGGAUUGCCUUGUACUCCAAGUAGAUCAUCUACUCCUAUAUAUAUGCCCACGAGGCUCAAGCAAUACAUUGAACUAUUCCACCAACCCUCUCUCUCCCUUCAACAGAGACGAAGACCCUUCUUCUUCCUUGUCGGUAUGAUUUGUUGCGGCUGUUCUUCUCCUUCCUCUGCGCUGAUGCUGGAGGGAGAUUCUGCUUUGCCCGGGUGGAUGGCCCGGCCGCGGUGCUGGACCGGUCGGAUGACUCGAAUUCUCUUCCAUCAGGAAGGGACAUUUUUCGCGGUACUCAAAGCCAAAGCUGGCGACGGCUGUUGCAGGUGUGUUGGAUUGAUGCCCAUGCCCUCUCAGCGCUGGUGUCAAGAAAGGAGAAAGUAGCGUGGCGGCAAUUGUACCGUGGUCGAAGAUGAUGACCUGCUUGCGCCUGGUUGCGGAUCCUUCUGCUUGAGGGGUCUUCUCUCAAGAUUCAGGGAUGAUGUCAAAAGGCUCCACAGCUCUUCUUGUGUUAUGUUUGGCUUAGGGUACUCUAAUUGUUCAUCGUCCUUUGUGUUUACGUUUCAAUGUGCUUGUAAGGAUCAACUACUUUGUACUGUUUCGUGAUUUGAAUGAAAAAAUUCACAAAAAAAAAAACAAAUGCACCGUGGCCAGAUCUAUUUGCCGACUAUAGACUACUUUUGGUUUCUUCUCGUAAGGACUACUUUUGCGAAACCCAAUACUACAACACAUACGUUCACAAAUACGCACACGUAAGGAAUAAUAAUAUGCUAAAACAGCGCUAGUAGUAUGGUCUUUGCAUGCUUGGUGCUGCUGCAUGUGGGCUGUGGAGGUUUUUGAGCCUACUGUCUGCAUGCAUCUCGAUAAUAAUAAUCCAAUUCAAUCCAAUCCAAUCCAAUCCAAUCCAAUCCUAUGGUCUUUGCAUGCUUGAUACAGUGCCUACCAAUCCAAUCCGAAACUGGUCAAACUUUGCGUGCGCCGUAGUGGUUGGCUAUGCUGGCAUGAAAAAUAAUAAUGGUCCUUUACUUCCUUUCUCUCUGCACGGUGCAGUUUAGGAUAGUCGUAAUGAAAGUAUUAUAAGCGGUAUCAUGCAUGUCAAAUAGAUUUUUUGGAUCAUGUGGCAGAGAAUUAAAUGAGGAAAGAAAGGAUGUGGCAUCAUAUUAUGAUACCGUAUCAUAUUAAAUAUAGUACUACUUUGUGUCAUGCAUAACAAUUAAUGAGGCAAACUAAGAUGCUAGGUUACGAUACUAUGCAUUACGGAAAUAGUAUCAUACACGAGUAUCAUAUGCAUGAUACUAGUAUAUGAUACUCUCCAUUACGACCUGUCUUACUACUGUAGCGUCCUGUGGGUCACGAGGAGCUGACCGCGUGUUCCACGAAAAAAAACGAUACGGGCCCUCGUGGAACACGGUGCCCUGUCUACCUCCGUACCAAAAGAUAAUUUUUUUACUGUUUUAUUACAAAGAUUUAUUUUAAAUAUAUAUAAAAUGUUAGUGUAAAAUUAGUAUUAUGAGAGGGUGUGUUUCAAUAGUAAACCAACGAUACUGAUUUUCCACUAUAGGAAUUAAGUUUUAGUUGCUUUAUUUAUUCGGUCCAACUUGUAUAGUUUAACGUAGAUAGAUAAGAAAGGAAUAAAUUGUGAAAACCAUCAAGACUCUGGCUCUAAUACUAUGUUAAGCUUCAUUCUCUAGGCAAUUAUUGCAAUAAUAGACCGAUCUAACGGAAAGAGCUAAGCAACCGAGUUAAUUAUACAAUUAGUUAGUUUAACAGUAACACUUAACUGGCAGCAGGUGUUACAUUGCAGCCAGCGAGAGCGAGAGCCUUCCCCCUUCCCCGCCAUGCGCUACUCCGGUGCUGGCGUCCACCGCGCCUCUGCGCCCCCGGGCCGUGCCAGCCACCCAGGCUCCUGGCCGUGCCACUAAGGCCGUCCCGGCCACCCAGAUCUGUUCCCCCGCCCCCCGCUGCUUCCUCGCGCAACCAGGGCUGUCAGCCCCAGAUCCGUCUCCUCCCAGGUCAGGCCGGCGGGGGAGAGGCCGGUGGUCUCUGGGCUGGGGCUUUCGGAGGGCUUGGCUGAGUCGGACCCGCAGCCGGCGGUGGACUCCGCGCCUCGCCUGGAGGCUCCUGCUGCGGGCUGGGAGCGGCCUUCUCCCACCAAGAAGGAGCUCUGGCGCCUCCGUCAUGGACAGGGCGGCCAGGGCGGAGAUGUUGCGGCUGGGCGGCACGUGCCUUCGCCGCCGCCGGCGGAGAUGAUCCCGGAGAUGCGAGACAAGUGCUUCAGGUGCCUCGAGAAGGACCACUUCCGGUGGGACUGCACCAACCAGGAGGUCUAUAUCAGGUGCGGUUGGUCGGGUCAUGGCUCCCGCGAUUGCAAGAGGCCGCAGAGCCCCUCUUCGGCUGAUGAGCUCCAACGCGAGGCGAUCGCCAAGGUGGCACGCCACUCGUCUCCCCGGGUCAGUCCAGACCACACGGCGCCUCAUGCGGCCUUCCCACCCCCACCGCCUCCGCCGCUGCACCCCCCCUCGCUUUGUGCUGCCGCCGAGGCGGCCUGGCCGCGUCUUGCACCCCCGCGGCUCCAGGUCGCGCUGGAUGCGGGGGAAGGUGCGUAUGAGCUUUGUGUGGUGCGGCGCUCGCAGUCCAUGGAGGACUUGGAGCGCCGGCUACGCUUCGCCAUGGUCACCUACGUGGGUGGUGCCCGGAGACGCCUCUCGCCGCAGCGGGUGCUGGAGAUCUUGGCGGGGUGGCUCGACAUCUCGGCGGAUCAUGUCUCGGUGCACUCUUACCGGUCGGAGGAUUUUCUGGUCGUUUUUGCAUCGGCUGAGCUUCGGAACAGGGUGGCGUCGUACCCGGCGGUGUAGUGGGAGGGCUAUAGGCUGUUCUUCAGGCCAUGGAACCGGCAGUCGCAGGCAGUCUUCUCGACCAUGGGCUUCAAGGUCUGGAUUGUCAUGGAGGGGAUACCACCACACGCUUGGGAUCGGAAGACAGCAGAGGAGUUGUUGGGGACGGCGUGCAAGGUGGACUCGGUUGCGCCGGAGUCAAGUUCAAGAGCUGAUCUUUCUACGUUCAGGCUCACUGCAUGGACUGCAAACCGGAGGAGAUACCUUCGCUGCGCUGGCUGGCCAUCUCGGAGCCAAGCUCAGAGAUCCUACCACCAUUGUUGCAGUACAAGAUCCUCAUCCAUAUCGACGCAGUGGCGAACUUCCGUGAAGCAGGGGAGCCGUGGUUCGUGGGAAGUUCAUCCGACAGUGGGCAGAGUGGCUUGCUAGACUCUCCGGACGGUUUCCAUGAUGGAGGUGGUGGUCAGAGGUCACAAUGGCGAGUUUGGCAGUUCGGUGUCAGAGAUGUGCGCGGCGGUGAGCAGGGCUAGGCUUCCGGCGGUGGCGGUGGCGGCCAUGGCGCGGCAGGGAGGGCAAACGAGGGGCUGGAUUGGCGCCUACCUCCCAUGCCCCCGCCCCGAACGUUCUGCAUGUGGGGCCACCAGAACGCCUUCUGGAUAGGGUUGCCGUCAGGGUGUCUGCUUUUGACCGCCUUUUGGGUCAGCAGGCACAUGGAGAGGGGAGCGGGACGGUUCUAGAGCCAAAUUCAAACCUGACUGGCGCGGACAAGUGGCUGGGACGGACGGGCGCACUUUGACGGCGGGACCCCGGACGGAGGAGACGGAGCAGCAUCCAAUGGAAAUGGUCAUUGUGCCGUUGGGGCAGGGACGGCGCCUGAGCUUGUCAUCGGAUCGGGCGGUCGAAGUGGUGGUUGGCGCGCGCAGCCCGAGUGAUUCCCGUAGUGCCCCACGGGCGAAUGAUGACAUGGACAUGGUGGUUCUCGCGGAUCUAGGGAGACUGGACCCCCCGGUGCGGGAAAGGCUGAACCCGCCAGCUGGCGUGCCUGCAGGCUCCGUGCCGGGGGAUGGGAUACCGGACGGGUCCCAGGAGGUGGGGCUGGCUGAGGAUCCCAAUGCAGUUGGGGCCGUGUGCAACAUGGCGGGCCCCGUGCUCGGAUCGAAUGCAGAGAUGGCUACUGGUGGGUUGGGUGAAGGAAAUCGCGUGGUAUUGACUACUGGUGGGGCCGGUUAUCGAAUGCAGAGAUGGCUACUGGAGGGUUGGGUGAAAAAAAAGUUAGUUUAACAGUAACUGUGAUGCCAAGACAAAUCAUUGGGGUCAAAAUUACCGAAAUAUUUAUUUACUCCGGUUGUACACGGGUCGGCUUGUACACGCGCAUGAGCUGCCACGGAGCCACACUGUGGCCGGCCUACUGGGGAGCCCGAGUCAGCGAGGCUGCUUGAGAACCAAGCUGCAUGUCCUCGUGUUUGGAGAGGCGAACGACGAGUUCGCUAGAGACUUCGUCGGAGAAGGGGCGGUGGUCAAAGGGAUGUGAGAGAGGUGAUUUUUUUUAUUGGGCUGUAAGGUGGGUCCUUGUCCACAUCAGCUGGGUAUUAAUUCGUGGCCAACACGUUGAAAAAUCCACCGAAUAGUCAUCACAUUUUAUCAUGCAAUCAGAAAGCCGUGGUGUUCACAACAUUUUGGACAAGUGGGAUAGUUAUUUCAUGCUAACAACUCAUUGAGACCGGACUAUGUACUUGCAGAGUAAAGACUCUAUAGCUACGACAAAUAAUUUGGAUCAGCGGGAGUAGAACAAAUACACGUGUAAAUAUUUGGUAACUGCAGAAGAAAUGUUAAUGUAUGUAAAGAAAAGAACAAUUUAUGUAGAUUACAUAGGUGCGGUACAAUGGGCGGAAAAAAUGAAAUAAACUAAAGAGAAGCAAAUUUGAAAAAUCUAUAAACAAAAAGUAAAACUUAAAUGCAAUAAUACAGGUGACAUUUAUUACAAAUCAAAUGACGAGCAGAAUAAAUACUCCUUCCUUUCCAGUUUAUAAGUCUUCCACGUGUAUCUUGGCUGCUAAUUUACCAAGUUGAUUACACGUGCAAGACUAAUAAACACGUAAGGACGGAAGGAGAUAGUAUCUCCGAAGUGGAAGUAUAUAAGAACAUUUAAGGGUAUACUUCGAUAAUUGAUCGAAUCCCAUUGGUUGGAGUGAUCUUGUAGUCGCUGAACCCGGCUUCGGAGAAAAUCAAGCUCCACUCGUUUUCCUCUCGCUCCAUUCCAUCGGAGCCCAUCAUGUAGAUAUCUAACAAAACCUGCGCCUCUAUGGAAUCGUUGGGCUGAGUCACCGGAUAUCCCACCACCAUAUCGAUAAUUAUCACCUUUCCUCCGGCUUCUUUCGCUGGGAUCGCUUCCUUGCACCGGCGCAUUAUCUUGACGCAAUCUUCGUGUUUCCAGUCAUGCAAAAUCCACUGGAACCAAACAUAUUAUUAUAUCCCAUUAGCAUAUAUAGUAGACCAGCAGAAAAAAGAAGAACAUAUCCAAAAAUAAAAAUAAAAAUAAAAAAUUACCUUGAGUAGAACAGCAUCCGCAGGUGGGACAUACUCGAACAUAUUUCCGGCGACGAAGGUCAAAAUGUCGCUGGCGGGAGCCGCGGCGACAACGUGUGCGAGGUCCAGAACGGUGCACUUGAGGUGCGGGAACGCUCUCGCCACGGCCGACGCGGUAGCGCCAUGGUUGCCGCCGAUGUCCACCAGCGAGCUUUUCACUUCCCCGAACGCUCCGCCGU
This 318260-nucleotide long non-coding RNA is filed under the name Triticum aestivum (bread wheat). RNAcentral's name for it is "long non-coding RNA (TAES_LNC012354)". The record is from RNAcentral. Lineage: Eukaryota; Viridiplantae; Streptophyta; Magnoliopsida; Poales; Poaceae.